UCAGAUCUACAUCAACGACCAUCUUUCCUUCACAAGAGAGAAGCGACCGCCAUCUUGUGAAGCCAUCCUAUCUAUCCUAAUACAAGCUCACCACCGAGUCUUGUAUCAUCUGGUAUCAGAGCCUCACGCUGUUCCCUUGCCAGGUUUACCUUUUCCAUUUUCUUUUGAUAGUUUUGAUUUCUAGUUUUGUUUUAUUUGAUUUAAAAAAAAAUUAAGAACCCUAGUUUGCUGCAGCCUUGUUUCUAUAGGUUGUUUAGUUUUAUUUUUUUUCUUAACAAAAAAAAAAAUAUAUAUAUAUUCGUCAUUAUUCUUUCCUUAAUCGUCUGUUUCAGUCUUUGAUUUAGUUUCUGUACUAGUUCAAGGUUUUCGUCAAAAAAAAAAAAAAAAAACGUUUUUAAAAUUUUUGUGUCAUUAUCUUUGUUAGCUAGUAUUGUUUAAGUAUCUUAAAGCUUAUUUAAAUUAAAAAGUUUUCAUUUUCUUGUCUAAUUCAGCACGUGCAUCAGUUUCUUGUUUCUAAAGUUUUCAUUUUCGAUUUCUGUGGUACGUUGAUUUCUUUGUUGUUUUUGUCUAAGUGCAGGAUAAUUUUUAGACACUCACAAUGGGAGAACACGCAGCCAUACCACAAGAUGCCAUGAUGCAAAUGAUGCAAACCCUAUCGAAACAACUAGAAGGGUUUGGCGAAAGAAUAGGUCGUUUGGAGCAGCCUCAGCCCAGAGCUGAAGCUGAACCAGUUCAGGUUCGAAGGAACGCCCGUGAAGAGGAAGAAGACUCCCUUGACCCGGAUGACGACGAUGAUCCACCACCUGAUCCAUUAAGGCGUCAACAUCAGCGGAGAGAAGAUCCCUUGAUGAGGAACCGCGCUCGNNNNNNNNNNNNNNNNNNNNNNNNNNNNNNNNNNNNNNNNNNNNNNNNNNNNNNNNNNNNNNNNNNNNNNNNNNNNNNNNNNNNNNNNNNNNNNNNNNNNGAGGUUUACAUGGAUUGGGAGAAAAGGAUGGAAUACAUAUUCCAAUGUUAUGGAUAUGGAGAACUCCGAAAAGUAGCCUUAGCAUCGGCACAACUCACCGACAACGCCUUAUCUUGGUGGGAUAGGACAGUGGCCGAAAGGAGGAGGCAAAGAUUUGCUCCCAUCAACAAUUGGGGAGACAUGAAGUACUUCUUGAGGUUGAGGUAUGUUCCUGAUCACUAUCAUAGAGACUUACAAAAACGUUUUAGAAAAUUGUCUCAGGGAACAAGGACCGUGGAAGAGUACUUUGAGGAGUUUGAAAAGCUCAUAAACUCCUUGGAGUUAGAAGAAUCCAGCGAGUCAUUGAUGGCUCAAUUCAUUGACGGGUUGCAAGAGCGUAUAGCCCGAAAGGUGGAGACGUCCAACUAUAGCAGCAUACAUGAACUACUUCACAAGGCUGUACAAGUAGAGCAACAAAUCAAGCGUAAGAUGUCUUUGAGCAAUCGUACCAGAAGUAGUACACCUUGGAACGCAAGUAACAACCGAGGCAUGGACAAAGGCAAAGCUAUAGACAACGAUUCUCGAUUCAAGAAUAAGUCUAGUGAAGCGCCUNNNNNNNNNNNNNNNNNNNNNNNNNNNNNNNNNNNNNNNNNNNNNNNNNNNNNNNNNNNNNNNNNNNNNNNNNNNNNNNNNNNNNNNNNNNNNNNNNNNNNNNNNNNNNNNNNNNNNNNNNNNNNNNNNNNNNNNNNNNNNNNNNNNNNNNNNNNNNNNNNNNNNNNNNNNNNNAACCUGAAUGAUCCAGAGGAAGAUGUGGAGUAUCCUGAUGUAGGAGAACUUCUUGUGAUACGACGUAUGCUGAGCGUGUAUAUCAACCCCGAGGAGAAAGUUCAAAGAGAAAAUAUCUUUCACACUCGGUGCACAAUCAAUAACAAGGUAUGUAAUUUGGUUAUUGAUGGAGAUUCUUGCACUAAUGUUGCUAGCAAGUAUAUGGUAGACAUGUUAGGUCUUCAAAAGAGAAAGCAUCCGAGACCAUACAAACUUAGGUGGCUGAACGAUGAUGCUGAGCUAAAGAUCGCUGAACAAGUGACUGUAUCAUUCAGCGUUGGAAAGUACCAGGACCAAGUUAUUUGUGAUGUAGUUCCAAUGAGAGCCGGACAUCUUCUCCUUGGAAGACCAUGGCAGUUCGAUCGAGCUACUAAUCAUGAUGGUCGCACAAACCACUACUCUUUCACCCACAAUGACCGUAAGUUUAACCUUGCCCCUCUAAGUCCAUCAGAAGUUCAUGAGUUGCAAAAACACAUGAACAAAGAGGUCGAGGUAAGAACUUCUAGCCUUUACUUAAGUUCUAGUCAAAUUUGUAAAACCAUGAGUGCUCAUGGCACCGUGCUACUAAUGGUUUUCAAAGAAUGUCUAAGUACAGGUUUAGGUGAAGUUGAACUACCUGCUGAAGUACGAGCUGUACUAGAUCAAUACAACGAUGUUUUUCCGGAGGAGAUUCCACCAGGACUACNNNNNNNNNNNNNNNNNNNNNNNNNNNNNNNNNNNNNNNNNNNNNNNNNNNNNNNNNNNNNNNNNNNNNNNNNNNNNNNNNNNNNNNNNNNNNNNNNNNNAAACCAGCUUACCGAAUGAAUCCGGAGGAGUCUAAGGAGUUAGAAAAGCAAGUGCGCGACUUGAUGGACAAAGGGUACAUCAGAGAGAGCCUUAGCCCGUGUGCUGUACCAGUUCUCUUGGUACCAAAGAAGGAUGGCACAUGGAGGAUGUGUGUAGACUGCCGAGCAAUCAACAACAUCACCAUCAAAUACCGACAUCCUAUUCCGAGGCUAGACGACAUGUUAGACGAGCUAAGUGGUGCAAUCAUCUUCUCUAAAAUUGACUUGCGAAGCGGCUAUCACCAAGUCCGAAUGAGAGAAGGCGACGAGUGGAAGACCGCAUUCAAGACCAAGCAAGGUCUCUAUGAAUGGCUCGUUAUGCCCUUCGGGCUAACCAAUGCACCAAGCACCUUCAUGCGAUUGAUGAACCAGGUUCUAAGGUCAUUUAUUGGUAAAUUUGUUGUUGUCUACUUUGAUGACAUACUUAUUUACAGUAAAUACUAUUCUGAUCAUACUAAGCACUUAGAGUUAAUUCUGAAAACGCUUCGGAAGGAAGGCCUUUAUGCUAACCUAAAGAAGUGCUCAUUUUGUACUGACAAGUGUGUGUUCUUAGGUUUUGUAGUGAGUAAAAAUGGCCUACAGGUAGAUGAAGAAAAGAUCAAGGCGAUCCGUGAAUGGCCUACUCCAACAUCCAUUGGACAUGUUCGCAGUUUUCAUGGACUAGCAAGCUUCUACAGGAGGUUUGUCAGAGACUUCAGCACAGUGGCUGCACCAAUGACUGCUGUAAUCAAGAAAAAUGUACCAUUCUCAUGGGGAGAAGCCCAAGAACAGUCAUUCAACACGCUGAAAGAGAGGCUCACACAAGCACCAGUUUUAGCACUUCCAGAUUUUGAAGUUAUGUUUGAAGUGGAGNNNNNNNNNNNNNNNNNNNNNNNNNNNNNNNNNNNNNNNNNNNNNNNNNNNNNNNNNNNNNNNNNNNNNNNNNNNNNNNNNNNNNNNNNNNNNNNNNNNNGGAAUUGGAGCUGUACUACAUCAGAGGAAAAGACCAGUCGCGUUUUCAGUGAAAAGUUAAGUGGAGCAGCAUUGAACUACCCGACCUACGACAAAGAGCUUUAUGCCUUAGUACGAGCACUUGAGACAUGGCAACACUACUUGUUGUCCAAGGAAUUCAUCAUUCACACCGACCAUGAAACUCUGAAGCAUCUCAAGGGUCAGACUUCACUCAAGAGGAGACAUGCAAAGUGGUUGGAGUUCAUCGAGACGUUCCCAUAUGUGAUCAAGUACAAGAAGGGAAAGGAGAACGUGGUAGCUGAUGCUUUGUCAAGGAGACAUGCCCUUAUAGCUACAAUGGAGGCUAAAGUAAUGGGUUUUGAGCACAUCAAGGAGUUGUACAAGGAUGAUCCAGAAUUAGGAGAGUGUUACAAAGAGCAUGGUAAAGGAGCUUUUCAAGCAUUCUACUUGCAAGAUGGGUUCUUAUUCAAAGACAAGCGGUUGUGCAUCCCUCAAGGUUCAAUGCGAGAGUUGAUACUCACCGAAGCACAUGGUGGAGGGUUGAUGGGUCACUUUGGUGUUGACAAAACCUUGGCAAUGGUCAUGGAUCAUUUCUUUUGGCCCCAUCUCAAGAAGGACGUGGAGAGAUUUUGUUCUCGAUGCAUUGUUUGCCACAAGGCAAAAUCCAGGUUACAUCCUCAUGGUCUAUACUUACCAUUACCUAUUCCUAACGCCCCUUGGGUAGAUAUUUCUAUGGACUUUGUCUUAGGAUUGCCUAAGAUUAGACACAAGGAUUCAAUCUUUGUCGUCGUGGACCGGUUCUCCAAGAUGGCACACUUCAUCCCAUGUGACAAGACCAAUGACGCUACUCAAACCGCGGAUUUGAUCUUCAAGGAAGUGGUGCGCCUCCAUGGUAUCCCGAGAACCAUUGUCUCCGAUCGUGACACCAAGUUCUUGAGUCACUUUUGGAAGACACUUUGGAGAAAGUUAGGUACCAAGCUUCUAUUCUCUACAACUUGUCAUCCUCAAACGGAUGGACAAACCGAAGUGGUAAACCGAACUCUCUCAACUUUACUUAGAGCCACUCUUGGUAGGAAUAUGGCUACAUGGCUUGAUUGCAUUCCUUUUAUUGAGUUUGCUUAUAAUCGUGCCGUUCACUGGGCUACAAAACUAUCUCCCUUCGAGAUAGUCUAUGGAACUAACCCUUUCUCUCCCAUAGAUUUAGCACCUUUACCUCAGAUAGAACAGGCUUGUCAAGUUGGGUUAAGACGAGGAGAAGUCAUAAAGAAGUUGCAUGAAAAAGCAAAAGACAACUUGGAGAAGAAGGCUGUCGACAACAAACGCAAAGCUGAUCGAGGAAGAAAAGAAGUGUUAUUUGAACCAGGAGAUUGGGUCUGGCUACAUAUGAGGCCUGAGAGGUUUCCAACACAAAGAGCAUCCAAGCUAUCACCAAGAGGCGACGGACCAUUCAAGAUCCUCGAGAAGAUCAAUGACAAUGCUUACCGUUUGGAGCUACCUAAUGAGGUAAAAAUUUCUCAUACUUUUAAUGUCGCUGACUUGUCUGCUUAUGAUCCAGGAGAUUCAGUUUUGAGGGCAAAACCUUUUGAAGAGGGAGGGAAUGAUGCGGACAUCGAUUAUCCUGUACAACCCGCUGAACUAGAUCAACUACCAGAUCUUUUACCACACCCUGUACCAGUCGUCACAGUAGGUCCCAUGACUCGUUCAAAGUCUAAACAACUUAGAAAGAGGUUCAAUCUAGCUGUACAAGACAUUGUGAGCUCACUAGAGCUGAACUACGUCAACUGGUCUGUACCACCGUUACUCCAUCACGACGGAUAUGAUCCCAUCGCCAAGGAAGAGCUUGCUGAAGCAUUCACCCAAAUGAGUCUUUAACAUACCAUUUCCCCAGGUAUGAAUUCUCCUUUGACAGGUCAAGAAACCUCUAGAAUCCAAGAGAAGACAAUGGAGUCACAAGAGACGAGCAAAACAAGCUUCACCUUCGAGAGUGAUCGAGAGAGUGAAGAUCAAGAACAAGAUAUCAAGGACUUGGAAGAGCUUCAAGAUACUGAUCAAGCUACCCAAGAGAAACUCCAAGAAACCAUCUACUUCAAGAAACCAACAAACAAACAUGCACCUGACAAGACCCCUGAAGUAGAUCAAGACGUAGUUCAGAGAACAUCGAUUGGGCCUAGAUCGCAUCCAGGUAAGUUCUAUUCAAUAUUUUCGAUAAUUGCAGGUCCAUUAAGCCACAACAACGGCUAGGAGACGUGCUCAUCACGAGGUUUCAAGUUUGCUUUAGUAUUUUACUUAUUUUCUUUCCAAAAACAAUGGCUUUGUAUUUGUAGUUUUAUUUGUUUCCUUUGUUGCACUUUUACAUUUAUUUCGGCCUUAGGGCUAGCUGAAGGACUCUUAUAAAGUCCCCCUGCAGCAGUUGUACGAUUUUUACCCUUGAUUAUCAAUAAAGAACCGAACUUUCUUCACUUCUUCUCUUUAAGUGUUCUUAAGAGAAAAGCUUGUCCUUUGUCUUGUGUGUGUGAUUCCACAAGGCUGAGUUCGUGUACUGUAUCAGAGACCAAUCACAUCUCUGUGGUGUACUUCAAUCCGCCAGCACUUCCCCCUUAUUCGAUCCCACACGAGAGAAGCGACCGCCAUCGUGUCAGAUCUACAUCAACGACCAUCUUUCCUUCACAAGAGAGAAGCGACCGCCAUCUUGUGAAGCCAUCCUAUCUAUCCUAAUACAAGCUCACCACCGAGUCUUGUAUCACUAGCAGUAAUAAUACAAAUCACCUAAGAAUUUGGUACACAUCAAUGUGCAAGACUGGUUUGAAAUAGUAUUAGAUCUUUGAUCUUUUAUUUGACUAGUUUGAAUUAUUAAUUUUUUGGACAAAAUUACCCUUAAUAAUCCAUCAAUUUAACCACACGUCCCCUUCCCCAGAAAAAGCAAACAAGAAAGGAAACAAAUAUUUUCAAUUUUAUUCUUAAUUAAUUUAAUUUGUUGAUUAUCAAAAAUAAAGAAAUAAAUUAUUUGUUGACUAAAUAAACUUAUUUAAAUCUGAAGUCAAAGCGGCACGUUUCAAAUUACCAUAAAUUAAAUAAUCAUUAAGUGGUAAGAAAAGAUUUAGCUUAUCUUUACAUUUAGGGUUUUUUCCCCUUUAUUUGUUUUUGGUUUGGGUUUAAAUAUCAUUUAGAAAACAAAAAAAAAAUUAUUUCCGUCUUCCAUCUCUUCUCUUCAACCAGAUUAUUCACAAAACAUUUCUUUCUCCAAAGGCAAAAGAUAAUGUUUUCAUGUCAAUGCCUGUGAGAUACGACAAAUACCUAAGCGAGCAANNNNNNNNNNNNNNNNNNNNNNNNNNNNNNNNNNNNNNNNNNNNNNNNNNNNNNNNNNNNNNNNNNNNNNNNNNNNNNNNNNNNNNNNNNNNNNNNNNNNNNNNNNNNNNNNNNNNNNNNNNNNNNNNNNNNNNNNNNNNNNNNNNNNNNNNNNNNNNNNNNNNNNNNNNNNNNNNNNNNNNNNNNNNNNNNNNNNNNNNNNNNNNNNNNNNNNNNNNNNNNNNNNNNNNNNNNNNNNNNNNNNNNNNNNNNNNNNNNNNNNNNNNNNNNNNNNNNNNNNNNNNNNNNNNNNNNNNNNNNNNNNNNNNNNNNNNNNNNNNNNNNNNNNNNNNNNNNNNNNNNNNNNNNNNNNNNNNNNNNNNNNNNNNNNNNNNNNNNNNNCUUGUUCUAUAUGUUAUACCUUGAGUUUUGGUUUACAUUGACAAUGUUUUACUGAAGCUACAUACCAAAUUUUGUAUGGAAUAUGUUAAAUAUAUGAAUCAAUUAAACUUAAACCACGAAACUAGAGAUUUUAAUUUGGGUUGAUGGAUUUGAUUCAUAUAUUAUAAGUUUUUCCAUAUUUGUUAGUUCACCUCUUUUGUAAGUUGUAAAACAGGCCUGAAGAAGAAUCAUAUAAGGACAGAAGAAAGUGUGAACCAGAUAAAAUAACACCAUCUUAGUUUGAUGAGUUUUAGAUGAAGGGAUUUGAAGCUGGGUUUUACUUGCGUUGUUUUUUUGUUGAUAUAGUACGUACGAGAGGGAAAAAAGUGUGGAUGAACAUUUCACACCCGAAGCUGGUUUGUCUUCAUUGAACAAUUCUAGUUGUGUGCGCUAUGCUAUGGCUUCAGAAUCAAAAGACAAUUCUCUGGUGAGUUCACUCGCAUAUGAACUGCUUUGAGUAUCUUGUUUCUGAUGUGAUUUUUUUUUGUUAGUCUAGAUUGGUUUCAGAGUGUUAAUACUUUUUGAAACAAAAUGGAUUAGCUCAAUAUGAUUUUUUUUUUAGUUUUUUACAUAUGUUAGGCUUACCUAUUGUAUUUGAUUGUAUUUAUAGUUGUAUAGAGUGAAAAUUGUACAGGAGAAAACCUUGCUUCUACAAACAAUUCUUGUAUAGCCAUCGGAAAAUUAGCAUUCCAGGUAACACCAAUAUGUUGUUUACUCUUGAUGUAUGCUUGAACUUUUUGGUUAAGUACAAAAUCGUUAAUGACAAGAGCUAAAUAUAUAUUUCAUUAUCGUUAGAAAGUUUCAUCAAUUGUGACCAAUUUGUCUCUUCCUUCGGCUGGAUUAUUCAAUAUGGCGAAGUGACUCUAGCAGCCUAAUAAGUCCAAUAUUUUACUGGCAAUGUCUAGACAUGCAUGCCGAAUAAAACAUUGCUUCAUUUAUAAGGCUGCUAGAGUCACUUCUCCAUGAUGAAUAAUUAAGCUUAGGGAAGAGACAACAUUGGUCUCAAUUAAUGAGACUUCAUGACUAAACUAAAAAGUAAAUUAAUCUCUUAUCAUUCACGACAUGUUACUUAAACAGAAACUUCAAGCAUUCGUCGACAAUAAACACAAUAAUGGUGUAACCUUGUAUACUAAUUCUCCAAUGGCUAUACAAUGAAUGUUUGCAAAAGGAAGAAUUUCUCCAGUAAAACUUCCACUAAAUACAAAUCAUAAAAACUAUCAAAUACAAUAGCUAAUUAUAAAUACAAUCAACAGUAUGUACUUGUUCUAUUAGUUUUACCUUAGUUCUGGUUUACGUUGAUAGUCAUUUAUUGAAGCUAGCUAUACAAAAUUUUGUUUGGAAUCUGUUAACUGUAAUCUAUCAAAAUAAAAAAUAAGGAAAUUAAGAGAUGUUGGUUGAUGGAUUUGUAUCAUAUAUUAUUGGAUUUUCUAUUUUUGUUUGUUAUGUUUUUUAAUGAUAUUGCAAUUGUAAUGAAGCGUUACUCCAAUAAUAGUUUUAAGACAAUCCUACAUAAAAUCAACAGUUUCAACCCAACUCGAUAAAAGUGUUUUCGAAAUAACAUUAACAAAAUAAGCAAGAUAAAAUGAAACUGAAAAAAUCUAUAGUGCUAUAAUUAAAGAUAAGUCGGAAAAAAUGGAGUGGAUAAUAGAAACGAUAAUCAACAUAGAAAGAUAUUUCAAUAUCAACAUAGAGGGCCGCAAACAAAUUUUGAAUUUGAUGUUAAUAUAAGAGAUAUUUAAUUAAAUAGAUAAUCUCAGUUACCUUGUGUAUAUUAUUUUCUGUUCAAGUAUCACCUUAAUAAUUAUUACUUUAAUAUUUCUACUAUUUAUAACUAUAUUAUGCAUUGGAAAACUCACCACAAGGAAAAUUCUAAAUUAAUCUUAUCACAAAAGAAAAUGUGAUCAUAUACUUAUCUACCAUCAAUGAAUGUGCAACUAUUUUAUAAAACGAUUAAGUAAGUUAAUCAUAGGGGAACCCAACCUCUUUCCAUUUGUAUGUUAUUAACUGGCUUAGCAAAAUAAAACAACCUCGGAUCAAGCUUUCUCUAGCCUAGAACCACCAAGAACCAGCCUCAAAACGCACUAGAAUCCCACCAAAAUUCACUAGAGAACACUUAUAAGCUUUUCCCUCUAUGGGAUAGGACAAAAGCGGCGAAACACUCCAUAGUCGACUUCUUCUUCUUUAAAAAGUUGAGUCCUAGGGUUAAACCAACCCUCCCAAAUCGAUUUCUCAAAUUAAAACAAACCGGCUGACCGGAAAAAUGUUGGUGUCGAUCGACACCCAUCCUUAGUGUCGAUCGACACCACAUAUUUUUACCCAUAUCGUUUCUAAUUUUCAUUUCUUAUUUUGGAGAGCAAAAACGCUGUGUAUUCCUUAAGAACACAUUGAAUUCUAUAGUAAAUUUUGAAAGCACGAAAUGAUAAACUUUUUGACGCUAAGGAUAUAUCUCUGAUAGACACUUACCAACUUGCUAUGCCAAAAGCAACUAGCUGGAUAAUUACCCAAAUCGUUGAGGAAGUCGUGGAUACAGACCUAGAAGUUACGGUGGGCCCAUCUUAACCGGAACCGAUGACUAAAGCAACACGCUGUCAAAUUGAUGCCUCAUGGCAUAGUGAUGAUCUUUAUUUUGGGUUGGGGUUUGUUCUUGAUUUAGGUACGUUUCAUUUACUUGGACUAAAAGGUACUAUAAGAUUUCUAUCCCUCUUCCAUGCUAAAUUAGAAUCCCUCCUUUGGCUAUGGAGGCAACUUUAUCUCUGGGCUAUUUGUCGAUCCGGGUUGAGACAAGUUGUGCAUAUCUACGAAAAAUGUUGGAAGAAGAGGGAGAGUGGCUAAAUUUUACAUCUGUAUUAGACCUUUUUUAAGAUUCUUCAAUCAUCUUUUAGUGACUUUCCUAUAAAUUUUAAUUCUCGUAGUCAUAAUGUGUGUGCCGACGCUCUUGCAAAGGGCGCUCGAGUACGUGGUGAUACCUUUUCCCAUGUAAGCUCUUGGUUUCCGAAGUGGCUGCCUUUUGAGGCCAACCUUUUCGAAAAAGUUUAAUAAGAUAUGAUGUUCUUAUGUCAAAAAGAAGAUAAUAACUACUAUAGGGAGAUUCGAUCCAAAUAAUUUAUACGGUUAAAAAAAAUAUAAACUCCUUUUUACAAGGUUUAUUUUUAAAAAAAUAUAUUUUUAAAAGGGUUUAAGAAGUUUUUAAAUUGUUUUAAACAAUUUUAAAAUGGUUUUAAUAAUGUAUUUAUACGGUAUUUAUAAAAGAUAUAAAAAAUUUUAAACAUUUAUAAAGCUAAUUUUUGUGUAUAUUUAUAAGCUUACACAAAUAUUUGGACUAAUUUAAACAUUUUAUCGGUUUUUUUGAUAAAUUUUUAAAACGGAAUAUUUUUUUUAAGUAAUAUUUUAACAGCGGUUUUUUAAAAAUUUUUCCUUACUUGAAAUCCCCAUAAGAGAAAGAUAUUUAUCAAGUUAUAUUUUAGCUAUUUAUUAACAAUUUGUUAUACUAUCGAUUUAAAUAGUAUGCAAAACUAUAUUUCUUAAAGAGGUAUACCCAAAUUAGUGAUCUCUACAUUUAUAUUUCAUGAGUAAAAAAAAAUUUGAUCGACAAUAUAAAUAGAACUAUAAUUAAAAUAUACACAAAUAUAAUUUCGAAUGAUAAACACUUUCUGAAAACAUACGUCAGGCCUUUGAUCUUCCAUCAGUGUGCAACCAUUACAUGUAAAACAAUAGAGUCUAAGAAGAAGGAUGGUGAUCGUGAACAUUGAAAUCAAGAAUUGAAGGGGUUAAAAAAACGCAAAAUAUAUCCAAGCUGAGAUCUUAACUAGUUUCAAUAAAUUAAAGUUUUUAUUUCAUUCUUAUCUCCUUAAGGGAGAAGAUAUAAAUAUAUCUCUUACUCCGUUUCUUCUUUUAUUAAAUAUUUCAACACGAUUGUGCGCCAUAUGAAUCUCUUAAAUAAUAUUUUUUUUGUAUAACCUGGAAUAACGUCACUAGAUCAAGCGAACAACAAGCCAUACACAACAUGAAAUGGUACUUGCAUACGUUUUAUAGAAUAUUCAAUCUAUUUUGUAUUGUAUCAUAAAGAAUGGUACAUUUGAUUUGGAUGUUCUUUUGUUGUCUUCAUUAUAUUGUAGUGGUACCAUAGAAUUAGGGUGAGGUAAUAAUGUAUUAUCAAAUUAAAUACAUACUUUAAUUCACCAUCUGAUGCGAAUGCAUAUUGUUUGAGUUAGCAAUCAAUUUGUUUUUUGGAGCAAUGGACGGCACGUGAAGAUCCUAACAGUAAUAAUACAAAUCACCUAAGAAUUUGGUACACAUCAAUGUGCAAAACUGGUUUGAAAUAGUAUUUGAUCUUUGAUCUUUUAUUUGACUAGUUUGAAGUAUUAAUUUUUUGGACAAAAUUACCCUUAAUAAUCUAUUAAUUUAACCACACGCCCCCUUCCCCAGAAAAAGCAAACAAGAAAGGAAACAAAUAUUUUCAAUUUUAUUCUUAAUUAAUUUAAUUUGUUGAUUAUCAAAAAUAAAUAAAUAAAUUAUUUGUUGACUAAAUAAAAUUAUUUAAAUCUGAAGUCAAAGCGCCACGUUUCAAAUUACCAUAAAUUAAAUACUCAUUAAGUGGUAAGAAAAGAUUUAGCUUAUCUUUACAUGUAGGGUUUUUGCCCCUUUAUUUGUUUUUGGUUUGGGUUUAAAUAUCAUUUAGAAAACAAAAAAAAUUAUUUCCGUCUUCCAUCUCUUCUCUUCAACCAGAUUAUUCACAAAACAUUUCUUUCUCCAAAGGCAAAAGAUAAUGUUUUCAUGUCAAUGCCUGUGAGAUACGACAAAUACCUAAGCGAGCAACAAUCAGACAAGUAAACAAGCUAAAAACUUUUGUUUAAUUAUUUUUUUUCGAAGAGUUUAGCACUGAAGUAUCUGAGGCUGGUUUUAACUCUUGUGUGGUUUUAUUUUGACAUAGUACGUACAAGAGUGAAGAAAGGGAUGAUGAACAAUUCACAACCCGAGUCUGGUUCGUCUUCAUUGACCAACUCUUGUUAUGUGUGCUUUGGUAUGGCUUCACAAUUAGGUGAUGAUUCUUUGGUGAGUUUAUUCGCAUUUGAAAAUCUUUGUGCAUCUCGUUUCAUAUUUGAUUGUUGUUUUGUUAGUCCAGUUUUGGUAUAAGAGAAUUAGUACAUGUCAAAAUUAAAUGGAUAGCUCAAUAUGAUUUUGCUUAGGCUUAUGUACUUGUUCUAUAUGUUAUACCUUGAGUUUUGGUUUACAUUGACAAUAUUUUACUGAAGCUACCUACCAAAUUUUGUAUGGAAUAUGUUAAAUAUAUGAAUCAAUUAAACUUAAACCACGAAACUAGAGAUUUUAAUUUGGGUUGAUGGAUUUGAUUCAUAUAUUAUGAGUUUUUCCAUAUUUGUUAGUCAUGGUUUUUUUUUUUAAUUAUCAAGUAAAAAUCCAACAAAGAGUUACCUCUUUUGUAAGUUGUAAAAUAGGCUUGAAGAAGAAGCAUAUAAGGACAGAAGAAAGUGUUGAAUCAGAUAAAAUAAAACCAUCUUAGUUUGAUGAGUUUUAGAUGAAGGGAUCUGAAAAUUAGCAUUCCAGGUAACACCAAUAUGUUGUUAACUCUUGAUGUAUGCUUGAACUUUUUGGUUAAGUACAAACUCGUUAAUGACAAGAGCUAAAUAUAUAUUUCAUUAUCGUUAGGAAGUUUCAUCAAUUGUGACCAAUAUGUCUCUUCCUUGGGCUGGAUUAUUCAAUAUGGCGAAGUGACUCUAGCAGCCUUAUAUAUCCAAUAUUUUACUGGCAAUGUCUAGACAUGCAUGCCGAAUAAAACAUUUCUUCAUUUAUAAGGCUGCUAGAGUCACUUCUCCAUGAUGAAUAAUUAAGCUUAAGGACGAGACAACAUUGGUCUCAAUUAAUGAGACUUCGUGACUAAACUAAAAUGUAAAUUAAUCUCUUAUCAUUCACGACUUGUUACUUAAGCAGAAACAUCAAGCAUUCGGCGACAAUAAACACAAUAAUGGGGUAACCUUGUAUACUAAUUCUCCCAUUGCUAUACAAUCAUUGUUUGCAAAAGGAAGAAUUUCUCCAGUAAAAUUUCUACUCAAUACAAAUCAUAAAAACUAUCAAAUACAAUAGCUAAUUAUAAAUACAAUCAAAAGUAUGUACUUGUUCUAUUAGUUUUACCUUAGUUCUGGUUUACGUGGAUAGUCAUUUAUUGAAGCUAGCUAUACAAAUUUUUUUUUGGAAUCUGUUAAUUGUAAUCUAUCAAAAUAAAAAAUAAGGAAAUUAAGAGAUGUUGGUUGGUGGAUUUGUAUCAUAUAUUAUUGGAUUUUCUAUUUUUGUUUGUUAUGUUUUUUAAUGAAAUUGCAAUUGUAAUGAAGCGUUACUCCAAUAAUAGUUUUAAGACAAUCCUACGUAAAAUCAACAGUUUCAAACCAACUCGAUAAAAGUAUUUGCGAAAUAACAUUACCAAAAUCACUAGAGAACACUUAUAAGCUUUUCCCUCUCUGGGAUAAGACAAAAGCGGCGAAACACUCCAUAGUCGACUUCUUCUUCUUUAAAAAGUUGAGUCCUAGGGUUAAACUGUAACGCCCGUGUUCUGUAAAAUAAUAUGAGACUUGAUUGUGUAUAAUAAUUAGGGUGGAGUCGGUUUAAUUCAGGUUGAUUUCCUAAACUGGUCGAUUUGUUUAAUUGAAUCAAAGGAGGUUUAAUUAAUAUCGAUUUAGGUAAAUCCUGAUUUAAUCAUAAUUAAACCUAAAACCCUAGUUUUAUAACGAACGCUUCUUCUUUCUUUUGUUUUGUUGCUGUUGUUUCUGAGAGUUGAGUUGAGAAAAGGAGAAGGAGAAGUUCACUUGUGAGAAGUAGAGGGUUAGCUUUUCUUUGAUGUUUAGAGCAAGAGAAACAGAUUCGUCACGUCUUGAUAGAAUAGAGUUCCGACGUAUCAAAUCUUAUCGAAAGGUAACGAAAUUUGGUAGGUUUGUGCUUAAGGCGUGUACGUUGAUUCUCCUUUUACAGAAGUGAAUUCGGAUUAAUAUUCAGUGAGUUAUAUGCAGUUUGGUGAGACGCGUUUUCUCUGCUGCGAACUGGGAUCAACGUAGUUUGUAAGUGCGAUCAUGGUUUCAUCGUUUCUCUGAUCGGCACCAAAGUUUGUGGGGAUCUUCGUGACGUCGGGGUCUUGCUUUCCACCGAAAGGAUUAAGGAAUUAACGGGCGUUGUUUGGCAGUUGCAGUUGCGAGGAGAGUCUUUCCUGGUUGUAUUUGUUAUUCAAAUCACCUUGUUAAGGUGAGUGCGUGACCAUGAGCUUAUCUAAGCGAUUGGGAUUGAGUGACUUGUUUGUGAUGAUUUGUAGGUGAACUGAAAGUGUUAUUGGGUGUUUAUCUUGCUGGAUGGUUUGUUUAUGUUAUAUAUGUGGGUGUUAUCUCAUUGCUUGUGUGUAUAGCUCCUAGAUGGGAGGAUCGCCUCACUGAGUAUUUGUGAUAAUACUCACGCAUCUCAUUGUGUUUGUGGUGCAAGUAUAGUGUGAUCCGUGGAAUCAUGGCGAGAAGAGUAGGAUGAUCUAGGCGCUCAUUGGUGUUUUAGAUUAUUGUUGGAUUUGUUAGGGUGUUAGAAUGAAAUUUAGAAACAUGUUAGGAUGAUCAUGUUUUGGAAUAAUGUUUGGUUGAACUUGCUGGUUUAAUGGAAUUGUUUGGUUUAAUUGAUUUAAAUUGAUUAGGACCGGUUUAGCUGGUUUGAAUUAAUUGGGUUAAUCCGGUUUGCAUGUUAAAAGAAAAACAAAACGGGAUGGGUUCUUUCAAUUUGGUAUCAGAGCCCUUACGAUUCUAGGGCGGGAGUAAACUGGUGAUUUUUUUUAAUGUGAUGUGUGAAUUUUGUUGAUGAGAAAUGAUGAUGUGGAUUGCAUGCUGAUUGAUUUGUGUGUUUAAUCAAUUGUGUGAGCAUGGAGACCUAGAUCAUCCUCUCGAGCCUUCAAUGAGAUUCCACGGUAAGUUGUGAUGUUUUAUCUUUUCUCUAGUCGUUUGUUUUCCUAGUUUCUGCUCGUGGCAGUGUGGGAGAAUAGGGGUUGCGAGCGUGGUGCUCGUAGUAUUUGUGUGGUCAUGGUGGGUGUAGUCCGGAAUGCGGGUCUUCGGUGUUGUUUUGUUGGAAAUGGAUUUCCGAGAAGUUAAGUUGGAGACUAUUAUGUAAUACCCUGAGUGACGGGAUGGUGUGGGAGUUGACUUGAAGAAUGGUCAUGGUGGAGAUGAUAUUCCAUGUGGGAAUAUUGUUUGGUAGGUAUGACAUUGUCAUAUCGUACUUCGUCUAUGUGAGUAUUUCUUAGAUUUGACUUGGUUGUGUCAUGUGAAAGAGAAAUAUGUGUGAGUUUCUAAAAAUAGAAAGCGUCGGGUUUGACGGUUCUAUUUUUGGAAAGUUUCAGGAUUGUGGUUAGUAUAGCGUUGCGAUGCUAUAGGAGAACCACGGGAGGUAUAUGUGGGUACCGGAAUUGGCACUCCGGGCUGGCACCCCAUUCCGUUUAGGCCCGUUGGCGAAGGCCCAUUGUUGGAACUGCCCAGCCCGUCAGGCGAAGUCCAGUAGGAGCCGGGGGUACGAAAGGAGGAUCGAAAUGGGCUAUCAGCGGGUCAAGCGGCGUCUUAAUGAGAAUGGCGCGAUUCGCAGAGCAGAGUUCGAUGUGCGUUUAAUGCUUGCCAGAGUAGUAUAAAUAGGAGGAAAAACAAAGUGUAAAGGGGUCGGAUUUUUUGGGCAAAGUAUUCUAAAUAAAAACUAAGCAUUUUUCUCUCAAACAUUUCGCAAUCCUAUUUACGAGUUCGGACAGGGAAUUAGGAACCCACUCGAGUUCACUCCGUUUCCAGUUCGUAGAUUUCAGCUCCCACAUUUUGGCGCCGUUUGUGGGGACCCUUAUUCCCUAACCCACCGAUUCCUCGUUUCCGACCUUCCGUCCUCAGCCUAGCAAAAUGUCGAGCGAUGAUAGUCAGGUAACCCUCGGUUCUAUUCAGAAGUUAUUGCAGGAUUUAUUCGGGAAGACAGAGCAGCAGUUAGCUACAGCUGCGCUCUCGGAGAAGCUCGGAGGAUUCGAGAAGCGGUCCACCGCUCAGGUGGCCGCCUUGUCUGAAACCGUCUCCGAGCUGUCUAACGCUCACAACGCUUACGCAGCCCAAGUGGACGCGCUUGUGGAAGGGACAUAUGUCAGUACCGCGCUCCGCAGGUUCGCAUGCUCGAUUUUGGUGGAGGGUUACCAGCGACGUCCCCGGGGAGCGGGCGACCAGUCCCCCCAGUCGCUGCGAACUCGGCAGAGAACCAGCCAAGAGAGGCUGGUCUGUCUGUCGGAUCUCCCGCGAGUAGGAACUCCACACCUGGCCACAUCCGCACUCCGACCCAGCACAGGGCGGUGGCCGUGCCCAAUCCGGAGAUUUCAUUCCUCCAGAAUGAGAUGCGAGCCAUGCAGUCAAAGGUCCACUAUGCGACUAGCUCCGCCCCUAAUAUCGAUCGAGUCAUCGAGGAGUCGAAGCGGACUCCAUUCUCGCGUAGAAUCUCUACAAUGCGUAUCAAAGAUACGCGAAAGGUUAAAUUUCUCAGCUACGAAGGAAAGGGCGACCCUAAAGUUCACCUCCACACUUUCCUCCUUACGGUAGGAAGGGUUGACUUCGAUCCUUAUGAGGAGGAUGCGGGGUAUUGCAAGCUCUUCGCCGAAACAUUUGUCGGACCAGCCCUCCUGUGGUUUGCCUCGCUUCAAGAAGGGACGAUCGACAGCUUCACUCAACUCUCCACUACAUUCGUGAAGCAGUAUUCGAGUUUCAUAGGAGUGGGUGUGACCGACGCUCAGUUGUGGAAUUUGAGCCAGGGUCCAAACGAUUCACUUCGGUCUUACAUCACUAAGUUUAAAGAAAUAAUGGUCCAGAUCCCCAGACUCCCCGACUCGGCGGCAUUGUCCGCCCUUAAAAAUGGUUUAUGGCACGAAUCUCGACUCAGGGAAGAGUUGACGGUUAACCGCCCUUCCAGUAUCCAGGACGCCCUCCACUGGGCAUCAAACUGGAUCAUAGCGGAGGAGGAGAAAGCCGCACUCGCCAAGAAGUAUAAAGUAACUCCCAAACCGAGCUUCGAUCAGGGAGCCAGACAGUACGUGCAGGGGCAAAGGCCGGGACCAGCCUCCUUCGCGGUGGACCACCAGAAGGGGGGACCUAAGGGCGCCCCAUCGAAACAAAGGUUCGGAUCGCGAGGUAGAAACGGAGCCUUACCGAGCAAUAAGUGGACUCGGGAGAAGCAGGAGAACAAUUCUUUUUGCGAACUCCACAAGGUGGCUGGGCACGCCACCCCGAACUGCAAAAAACUCAUGCUCUUACGCGCCGAAAGGUUCAUGAACGGGGUGAUGCCGGACAUAACAAUCGAUGAGCUCAAUCAGGCGCAAAACGCAGUUCAGCUCGUAUCUGAGGCAGUUGCCGAAGAGGAGGAGCUCCCCCCGGCCAAAAAACCGAAGGCACUUAUCGAAGAGAUCCCUCAAGAAACAAAGAAGCGCAUCGACGUGAUUAUGGGCGGGUCCAGGAUAUUUUGAAAUUCUAUCAGAGCCAUUAAGGACCAUCAGAGGAAAUUAAACAAAUCGGCCCCAAAGAGGCAAAAGACGCGCGAAGUCUACCCCGAGAUAACUUUCUCGGAAGAAGAGACAGAGAGCCUCGACUCCCCUCACGAUGACGCGGUGGUCAUCACCUUGGAUGUAGCGAACCACGAAGUGUGUAGGAUGAGGGUCGAUACGGGGAAUUCAGUGGAUCUAAUUUUUCUGAACACUCUCACAAGGAUGGGCAUAGACAGGAGUCACAUCGUCGGGCCUCCGGCUCCCUUAGUUUCGUUCACCAGCGAAACGUCGAUGUCCCUGGGAACAAUAACCCUCCCGGUCGCUGCGCGGGGAGUAUCCAAGAUGGUGGAGUUCACCGUUUUCGACCGACCCGCGGCAUAUAACACUAUUCUAGGGACUCCGUGGUUGUAUCAGAUGAAGGCGGUCCCGUCUACCUACCACCAGUGCGUCAAAUUUACAACGCCUAACGGAGUCCGUGAGAUACUGGGUAGCCAGCGUACGGCCAGGAGCUGAUAUCUGGCUGUGCAUAAGCUCUUGAUCCAAUAGCAACCACAUCUCGAGGUCGCCAAGAACCCGAUGAAGAGUAGGAUGAACGGCGAACUUUACGAAGAAAUCCAGCUUAAUGAGCUGUUCCCCGAGCAGAAGGUAAAAAUUGGGGGUGGGCUUUUCCCCAGAGGUCAAGGAAGAGUUAAUAAGCUUUCUGCGAAGGAAUAAGUCAACUUUCGCAUGGGAGGUGAAGGAAAUGGUAAGCAUCAGCACGGAUGUGAUAUCUCACGAACUCAAUGUCCACCCUACUUUCAAGCCUGUUCGGCAGAAGCGUAGAAAGUUGGGAAAAGAACGGGCCGAAGUGGUAAAUGCCGAAGUGGACCGCCUGCUCGAGGCCGGACUUAUCCGGGAAGUCCAGUACCUGGAAUGGCUGGCGAACACAAUGAUAGUCAAGAAGAAGAAUGGCAAGUCGCGGGUCUGUGUCGAUUUCACCGACCUAAACAAAGCUUGCCCGAAGGAUAGUUUCCCCCUCCCGCACAUCGACCGGUUGGUGGAGUCCACUUCGGGGCACGAGCUGUUAACGUUUAUGGACGCAUUUUCGGGGUACAACCAAAUCAUGAUGCAUCCCGACGACCAAGAAAAGACAUCUUUCAUCACGGAUCGAGAGAUCUUUUGCUACAAAGUGAUGCCAUUCGGAUUAAAAAAUGCUGGCACUACAUACCAACGAUUGGUGAACAGGAUGUUCGCCGAACUAUUGGGAAAAACGAUGGAGGUAUACAUUGACGACAUGCUGGUAAAGUCGAUGGAAUCCAGCCAGCACGUCGGGCAUCUCGAGGAUUGUUUUGCGAUCCUCAACAAAUUUGGCAUGAAAUUGAACCCAACCAAAUGCACAUUUGCGGUCCCCUCGGGAGAGUUUCUAGGUUAUAUUGUGACCGAAAGGGGGAUCGAGGCAAACCCUAGGCAGAUAAAAGACUUUCUGUCGAUGACUUCACCGCGGAAUCUCCGCGAGCUUCAGCGCAUGAAUGGGAGGAUUGUAGCUCUAAACAGAUUCAUCUCGAGGUCCACAGAUAUAUGCUUACAUUUUUUCGAGCUCCUCCGGAAGGGCAACAAAAAUUUUCGUUGGGCGAGCAGUGUGAAGAAGCGUUCGGACAACUCAAACAAUAUCUGUCUAACCCUCCUGUCCUAGCCAAGCCCAAGCUCGGGGAACCCCAGUUUUUGUACGUAGCAGUGUCUGAACACGCCGUGAGCGGGGUACUAGUAAAGGAAGAGAGGGGAGAGCAGAGACCGGUGUUUUACAUAAGCAAGACUAUCACAGGAGCUGAAGUUCGCUACCCUAUGAUCGAGAAGUUGGCUCUGGCCGUGGUCACCUCGGCCAGGAAGCUUCGGCCGUACUUUCAGUCUCACACGAUUGUGAUUCUAACCUCGCAGCCAUUGCGAACUAUACUUCACAGCCCAAGCCAGUCAGGGCGGAUGGCAAAAUGGGCAAUCGAGCUUAGCGAGUAUGAUAUGGAAUUCCGAGCUCGAACUGCUGCCAAAUCGCAGGUGCUCGCCGACUUCUUAAUCGAACUGCCAAUUGCCAGUACAAAAGGCGAAGAGGAAGGUCCGUGGACAUUGCACGUCGACGGGGCCUCUACCAAACACGGUAGCGGUGUCGGAGUCAGGCUUCGCGCACCCACUGAUGAGGUAAUCGAGUAGUAAUUUAGAUUAGCAUUCGACGCCUCGAAUAACGAGGCCGAGUACGAAGCACUGCUAGCCGGACUCCGGUUGGAAGUGGGAAUUGGAGUCCAUCGUCUUCGCGCUUUCUGCGACUCACAACUCGUGGCAAUCCAGUUUUCGGGGGAGUACGAGGCAAAGGACGGGCGCAUGGAAGCUUAUUUACCCAUGGCAAAGGAACUAGCCGAGCGAUUCGAGCACUUUGAAUUGAUAAAAAUCCCUAGGGCGGAGAACUCGGCUGCUGACUCACUAGCGUCCCUUGCCUCGAUCUCGGAUCCUGCCUUAACAAGGAUUAUCCCGGUGGAAAUCUUGGAGCGCCCUAGCGUUUGCCUGAGCGGGGUGAACAUACUUACAAGGUCGAUGCAGCGUCGGCUCGAUAGGGGGGAAAUAAUCCAUGAGCUACCCGUCGCCCCCGCCAAAGCCGUCAGAUCUCGACGGAACGCUUAAGGAGAUCCCCCUGCUCCCAUUGGCGGGGAAAACUCCGAAGCGCCGGCUGGGACUCUAGCAGCCCGAUUCCCCUAUGGUGAGGAGCCUGGAAGGGAAGGGCCAGAGGACACCUCAUGGCUCCCGGAGAAGGACCAAGAAGUGUACUGGAGAACCCCCAUCCUAUCCUACCUAAGGGAAGGUGAGCUGCCCCAGGAUAAAUGGCAGGCUCGGAAGAUUAGAACCGUGUUGGCCCGAUUCUGCCUGCACAACGAGGGCCUGCUCCGUCGCAGUGUCGGAGGUCCUUAUUUAACCUGCAUCGCUGGGAAGUCGCCGGGGAUAGUGAUGCGGUCAGUCCAUGAUGGACCCAAUGGGGAUAACGCAGGGGCCCGAACACUGGUAAUCAAAAUCAAAUGAUACGGUUUCUUUAGGCUAACGAUGAAAGCGGACAGUGAAUAAUUUGUCAGAAAUUGCGAGAAGUGCCAAAGGCACGCCCCUACUAUUCACCAACCCUCGGAACUCAUGUCGUCAAUCUCGGCCACCUACCCGUUCAUGAGGUGGUCGAUGGAUAUAAUAGGGCCUUUGCAUAGCUCGACGAGGGGGUGAGGUUCCUGCUAGUCCUCACCGAUUACUUUUCCAAAUGGGUAGAGGCGGCCGCGUACUCUGCCAUAACGAGUUCUCAGGUCCAGCAGUUCGUAUGCAGAGAUGUCAUUUGCCGUCACGGACUCCCGUACAAGAUAGUAACUUAUAAUGGGUCGCAGUUCGUGUCGAGGCAGUUUGAAGCAUUUUGUGCUCAUUGGAAGAUUCGGUUGAGCAAGUCCACACCCCGCUACUCGCAGGGGAACGGCCAGGCUGAAGCUAUGAAUAAAGUAAUUUUGGCUAACCUAAAGAAGAGGCUGGACUCAUAUAAGGGUCGGUGGGACAAAGAACUACAAGGCGUAUUAUGGGCAAUCCGAACCACGCCUCGGCGGGUAACGCAUGAAACCCCUUUUUCGCUGGUGUAUGGGACGGAGGCGGUAGUCCCGGCGGAGCUCGCUGUGUCAGGAGUCCGGGUAAUCACGAACCCUACAAUGCCCGAAGAGAACGAAGAAUGUCUUCGGGAUGCCCUCGACUUCAUCAAAGAGAAACGCGAUCGAGCUUUAGUUCGUUUGCAGCAUUACCAGAGCACGAUCGUGAAGUACUAUAACUCAAGCGUGACCUCCGUGGUCAAAAACACUCGUGCAUGAAUCUUAAGAAAUUCGUGAAACAAGCAAAAAGCAACCAAAAGCAAAAGUAAUAAUAGCGAUAAACAAAAGGGGGGGUCUAAGCCCAAUACAACCCCGAACAGGAUGUUAAGCAAGCCCGGAGCCCGCGGCAGGGUCUUCAGGGCGGGCCAAAGGAGGGCUAGUCGCCUCACCAACAGGAGCCUCAUCACUCCCGGGGCCCGGCUGGUUGCUUCCAGUUCCUGGUUCGGUACAACAGGGGGGUCUGAAGUUGGUUCCUCGAUCAUAAGGGGGGUAGGAGCGGGAUCAGGCCCGAGUUCAGGGGGAGUAUCUGCCAGUAAAGCAGUGUAUGAUACAGUAUCAAACAGUAAGUCCUUUACCUUUUCAGCCUCAAGGCGAGUAGCCUUCUCGUCAGCUUUUAAGGUUUCGAGCUCCUCCUUCAAGUCGGCAAUCUCGCCCUUCUCGAUCUCUUCCACCAACAUCCGGUUGGCAGUGAUUUCAGCACCUCGGAUUGCAUGGGGGAGUAAGCGGUCAUGCUCCUCGAGGUGCGACCCGAUCUUGUCGAUCGUGUCCCAGAACUCGGCUAGCGUUUUCCUCCGCUCUUCUCUUCGCACCCUUUCCAUCUCGGAGCUGUUCCCUACUUCCAGGAGCUGAUUUCUUAGUUUGGUCUCCUGGAGUUCUUUCUUUGCCUCCGUCUCGGCGGUGGUCGCCUGCAGGUACAGCUCCCCAGCCAGCUUUAGCUUGUCUUGACAAGUCUCCAGGGAGGAUUCGGCGAUCUGCAGGUCAAGCUCGACGGUUCUGAGUUUCUUGUUGAACUUGGCGGCCUUUUCCACUUCAGCUUGGUUGGAGACCUCCAGCGACUUAUACUUCUUCACCUCCUUCUCUAAGUCAGAGAUUCGAGCUUGCAAAACCCCUAUUUCGGUGGCUGAAGGGCUGGCGAAAAGUUGCUCUUCGUAGUGGGCCACCGAGCUGUUAAACUCAAAGAGCAUCUGCCAAAGAUAGGAAAAGUAUUUAUGAGGGUGAAGGUGCAACCACUUGCGAAGCGAAAGGGAGUGGGCUUACCUCGCCAACCUUCUCGGCGAAACGGAAGUAGUCCUCCCGAUUGUUCACGGACAUGUCCUUGAAGGCAGGAACCCGAGCUCCGCAUCAUGUCAGCCAGGGAUUUCAGAGCAGCUAAAAAUGAGGUUUUUGCAUUAGCUCGGGGUUGCUCAUGUAUUAGAAGUGAGCUAUUAGUAAGUAGUUUACCCGGGAGUUCGCGCCUUGGGGUCGCCUUCGGAUCAGCGGAACUCGGAGCUUCGGGCAAGGAGCCCUUCGGGGCAGGGGUCUCAGCGGGCUUCUCCUCAGUUCGUGGUUUGGAGCUCGCACGCACCGGACAAGCUGGUUCCGCAGCUUUCCGAUUCUUUGACCCGCUGGAUUGGCCAUCUUCAGGAGCUGGGCGAGCGGCAGGAGAUUCAGCGAUGAGGUCGCUGUCGGGUAGAGUGAUCACCUUGCGGCCCGUCCUUUCGAGGAAACUUUGGCCCUGGUGUCAGUCAGUGCGGCAACCAUUUUCCUCUUUAGUUCCUUCUCUUUUAGCUCCAUCUUUUUCUUGUGAGCCCUCUCUUCGCGGUAGUUCAUCUUGGGAGGGGCGGACUGAGGAGAAGAGAUGGUAAGAAACCUAGUGCGAAUGCGAGCACCGGCCUCACGGAUUCGGGGACAGGUGAAAGAGUCCCACGCAGUUUCAGCACCGCAGAAGGUAACGAAGUAGUCAGCGAAGGUUUGAGAUAAUAGCCCACGGUCAAGGGAAGCUGAAAAAAAAAGAUAAGAGAGAACGAGUUAGUACCCCGGACAAGCAACUCCUGCAAGUCACCGAAAGUAUCCCGGUUAAUCGGGAAGAAGAAAUAGCCACUUCGGUACUGUUCGUCUUUUUCGGGGAAGUCGUCGAAGACUCGGAACCCAGCCAGCGGGCUGAGAUAGAAGGUCCCUCUAGUCCGGCCACUCUUUAUCGUGUUGAGGUGGAGGAUGUCCUGGAAGGUGAUGACGUAGCCGUGCUCUUCGGCUAAGGUCUGCAAGCAAAGAAUAGUCCGGACGAAGUUCGGACACAGCUGGGGAAGAGUGAUGCCGAGGGCGAACAUCGCCUUUACCAGAAGUUCCGGCAACGGAAAGUAUAGGCCACAUUUCGAGAAAAAUAUCUCUUAGGCACAGUAGUACCCAGGAGGAGGAUCCUCCGGCGACAGGUCAUCCCCCGGGGAGAUAAGCUCCGUCUCCGACGUGAGACCGCAAAGGAACUUUACGUGUAUUAAAUCUUCCUCGGCUAUCGUCGAUCUGGGAUGCGGGCCAAAUUGACCAGAGAGGGAAGCGUCUCCGGCUUUGAGAGUUUGCUUUGGUGGCGACAUGCUUAAGCUUAGAGUCGAGUAUGGGAACGGAGUAGCAGAAGAUACGGCGAGGAGAAGCGUCGACAAACAGAGAGAAAUAGAAGAAGCGAGAGAAAAUCUAAAAAGAAAAGCGAAGGAGAGAGGCUCUAUCUUUGUUGCGUCUUUGCGGCUGCAACCCAAUGAUUACCUAGGAAAGCUAGAAGGUCGCGUCCUUUAUAGCCGGCAGCCUAGGGAUUCCGAAGCGGCAAAACCGGGGGGCGGUAAUCCAAAAAGGCAACUUCGAAUAAAAACAAAUCAAUCAUAUCAGAUUCGGGAAUCGAAGUUUCUUUAUUUACGAAGCAUUAAAGUCUCCCGAACUGAGCCACUUCGGAAGACUUGGGGGGGCUUACUGUGGGUACCGGAAUUGGCACUCCGGGCUGGCACCCCAUUCCGUUUAGGCCCGUUGGCGAAGGCCCAUUGUUGGAACUGCCCAGCCCGUCAGGUGAAGUCCAGUAGGAGCUGGGGGUUCGAAAGGAGGAUCGAAAUGGGCUAUCAGCGGGUCAAGCGGCGUCUUAAUGAGAAUGGCGCGAUUCGCAGAGCAGAGUUCGCUGUGCGUUUAAUGCUUGCCAGAGUAGUAUAAGUAGGAGGAAAAACAAAGUGUAAAGGGGUCGGAUUUUUUGGGCAAAGUAUUCUAAAUAAAAACUAAGCAUUUUUCUCUCAAACAUUUCGCAAUCCUAUUUACUAGUUCGGACAGGGAAUUAGGAACCCACUCGAGUUCACUCCGUUUCCAGUUCGUGUAUUUCAGCUCCCACAGUAUAUCUGAUCUAGAGAUAUGCUCGGGGGCGUUUAGACUUAUUUGCUCGGAUGUUAUGUGAUAGUCUCAGAUGACGAUUCGAGACCUUGCUUAAGGGUGACGACCCAAGAGCGAGUGUGAUACUUCUCGGAUACCGUAGCUUGAAGGCUGGAGGCCUAAUAGUGAGCCGGUAUGACUUGAAGGUUGCAACCUGAAAGCGGGGGGAGUGGUGAGACUUCCCGGAUACCGUAGCUUGAAGGCUGGAGGCCUAAUAGUGAGCCAGUAUGACUUGAAGGUUUUAACCUGAGAGUGGGGGAAGUGGUGAGACUUCCUGGAUACCGUAGUCUAAGGCAGAGGCCUGAAGACGAGCCGAGAUAAUUCAUGGGUGAGUAUGAGCAAAUAGGGUAUGGAACUUGAGUAUAUGGAUUAGAUAGGAGCAUCAGAGGAGUCAGUUGUGGGAGUGCGGAUCGUUUGGGACGGUUGCACGGAGUCUGACUUAUGGACGAUGUUGAAGGAUUCGAGUACGAAUCCAUGUUAGUGGGGGAAAAUUGAAACGCCCGUGUUCUGAAAAAUAAUAUGAGACUUGAUUGUGUAUAAGAAUUAGGGUGUAGUCGGUUUAAUUCCGGUUGAUUUUCUAAAUUGGUCGAUUUGUUUAAUUGAAUCAAAUGAGGUUUAAUUAAUAUCGGUUUAGGUAAAUCCUGAUUUAAUCAUAAUUAAACCAAAAACCCUAUUUUUGUAAAGAACGCUUCUUCUCCCUUUUGUUUUGUCGUUGUUGUUUCUGAGAGUUGAGUUGAGAAAAGGAGAAGGAGAAGUUCACUUGUGAGAAGGAGAGGGUUAGCUUUGCUUUGGUGUUUAAGGAAAGAGAAGCAGAUUCGUCACGUCUUGAUAGAAUAGAGUUCCGACGUAUCAAAUCUUAAGGCGUGUACGUUGAUUCUCCUUUUUACAGAAGUGAAUUCGGAUUAAUAUUGAGUGAGUUAUAUGCAGUUUGGUGAGAAGCGUUUUCUCUGUUGCAAACUGGGAUCAGCGGAGUUUGUAAGUGCGAUCAUGGUUUCAUCGUUUCUCUAAUCAGCACCAAAGUUUGUGGGGAUCUUCGUGACGUCUGAGUCUUGCUUUCCACCGAAGUGAUUAAGGAAUUAACGGGCGUUGUUUGGCAGUUGCAGUUGCGAGGAGAGUCUUUGGUUGAAAUUGCUGGUUUAAUGGAAUUGUUUGGUUUAAUUUAUUUAAAUUGAUUAGAACUGGUUUAUCUGGUUUGAAUUAAUUGGGUUAAUCCGGUUUGCAUGUUAAAAGAAAAAAAAACGGGAUGGGUUCUUUCAUAAACCAACCCUCCCAAAUCGAUUUCUCAAAUUAAAACAAACCGGCUGACCGGACAAAUGUUGGUGUCGAUCGACACCCAUCCUGAUUGUCGAUCGACACCAUAUAUUUUUACCCAUAUCAUUUCUAAUUUUCAUUUCUUAUUUUGGAGAGCAAAAACGCUGUGUAUUCCAGAAGAACACAUUAAAUUCUAUAGUAAAGUUUGAAAGCACGAAAUGAUAAGCUUUUUGACGCUAAAGAUAUAUAUCCGAUAGACACUUACCAACUUGUUAUGGCAAAAGCAACUAGCUGGAGAAUGACCCAAAUCGUUGAGGAAGUCGUGGAUACAGACCUAGAAGUUAUGGUGGGCCCAUCUUAACCGGAACCGAUGACUAAAGCAGCACGCUGUCAAAUUGAUGCCUCAUGGCAUAGUGAUGAUCUUUAUUCGGGGUUGGGGUUUGUUCUUGAUGUAGGUACGUUUGAUCUACUUGGAUUAAAAGGUACUAUAAGAUUUCUAUCCCUCUUCCAUACUAAAUUAGAAUCCCUCCUUUGGUUAUGGAGGCAACUUUAUCUUUGGGCUAUUUGUCGAUCCCGGUUGAGACAGAUUGUGCACAUGUACGAAAAAUGUUGGAAGAAGAGGGAGAGUGGCUAAUUUUUACAUCUGUAUUAGACCUUUUUAAGAUUCUUCAAUCAUCUUUUAGUGACUUUUCUAUAAAUUUAAUUUCCCGUAGUCAUAAUAUGUGUGCCGACGCCCUUGGAAGGUUUAAUUUCUAUAAACUCCUUUUUACAAGGUUUAAUUUUUUGAAAAGAUAUUUUUAAAAGGGUUUAAGAAGUUCUUAAACGGUUUUAAACAAUUUUUAAAUUGUUUUAAUAAUGUAUUUAUACGGUAUUUAUAAAAGAUAUAUAAAAUUUUAAACAUUUAUAAAGCUAAUUUUUGUGUAUAUUUAUAAGCUUACACAAAUAUUUGGACUAUUUAAACAUUUUUAUUGGCUUUUUUGAUAAAUUUUGAAACGGGGUUGUUUUUUAAAGUAAUUUAACAGCGGUUUUUUAAAAAGUUUCCCUUACUUGAAAUCCCCAUAAGAGAAAGAUAUUUAUCAAGUUAUAUUUUAGCUAUUUAUUAACAAUUGGUUAUACUAUCGAUUUAAAUAGUAUGCAAAACUAUAUUUCUUAAAGCGGUAUACCCAAAUUAGUGAUCUCGACAUUUAUAUUUCAUGUGUUAAAAAAAUAUUUGAUCGACAAUAUAAAUAGAACUAUAAUUAAAAUAUACGCAAAUAUAAUUUCGAAUGAUAAACACUUUCUGAAAACAUACGUUAGGCCUUUGAUCUUCCAUCAGUCUGCAAGCAUUACAUGUAAAACAAUAGAGUCUAAGAAGAAGGAUGGUGAUCGUGAACAUUGAAAUCAAGAAUUGUAGGGGUUAAGAAAACACAAAAUAUAUCCAAGCUGAGAUCUUAACUAGUUUUCAUAAAUUAAAGUUUUUAUUUCAUUCUUAUCUCCUUAAGGGAGAAGAUAAAAAUAUAUCUCUUACUCCGUUUCUUCUUCUAUUAAAUAUUUCAACACGACUGUGUGCCAUAUGAAUCUCUUAAAUAAAAGUUUUUUUGUAUAACCAGGAAUAACGUCACUAGAUCAAGCGAACAACAAGCCAUACACAACAUGAAAUGGUACUUGCAUACGUUUUAUAGAAUAUUCAAUCUAUUUUGUAUUGUAUCAUAAAGAAUAGUACAUUUGAUUUGGAAGUUCUUUUGUUUUCUUCAUUAUAUUGUAGUGGUACCAUAAAACUAGGGUGAGGUAAUAAUGUAUUAUCAAAUUAAAUACAUACUUUAAUUCACCAUCUGAUGCAAAUGCCUAUUGUUUGAGUUAGCAAUCAAUUAGUUUUUUGGAGCAAUGUACGGCACGUGAAGAUCCUAGCAGCAAUACUACAAAUCACCUAAGAAUUUGGUCCACAUCAAGGUGCAAGACUGGUUUGAAACAGUAUUGGAUCUUUGAUCUUUUAUUUGACUAGUUUUAAGUAUUAAUUUUUUGGACAAAAUUACCCUUAAUAAUCCAUCAAUUUAACCACACGCCCACUUCCCCAGAAAAAAGCAAACAAGAAAGGAAACAAAUAUUUUCAAUUUUAUUCUUAAUUAAUUUAAUUUUUUGAUUAUCAUUAAAUAUAGAAAUAAAUUCUUUGUUGACUAAAUAAACUUAUUUAAAUCUGAAGUCAUAGCGCCACGUUUCAAAUUACCAUAAAUUAAACACUCAUUAAGUGGUAAUAAAAAAUUUAGCUUAUCUUAACAUGUAGGGUUUUCUUUUUUCCCUUUAUUUCUUUUUGGUUUGGGUUUAAAAAUCAUUUAGAAAACAAAAAUAAAUUAUUUCCGUCUUCCAUCUCUUCUCUUCCACCAGAUUAUUCAUAAAACAUUUCUUUCUCCAAAGGCAAAUGAUAAUGUUUUAAUGUCAAUGCCUGUGAGAUACGACAAAUACCUAAGCGAGCAACAAUCAGACAAGUAAACGAGUUAAAAACUUUUGAUACGACAAAUACCUCAGCUAGUCAUUUACUGAAGCUAGCUUUACCAAAAAAAAUUUGGACUUUUUUAAUUGGAAUCUAUCAAAAUAAAAAAUAAGGAUAUUAAGAGAUUUUGGUUGUUAGAUUUGACUUAUAUAUUAUGAGAUUAUCCAUUUUUGUUAGUUAUGGGUUUGUAAAUGACAUUGCAAAUGUAAUGAAGCAUUACUCGAGUAAUCUUUUCAACACAAUCCUACAUUAAAUCAACAGUUUUCAACCCAACUUGAUAAAAGCAUUUGUAGAAUAAAAUUAUCAAAAUAAGCAAGAUAAAAUGGAACAAAAAAAAAAGCUAUAGUGCUUUAAUUAGAGAUAAAGUGGAAACAAUGGAGUUAUUAAUGGAAACGAUAAUCAACAUAAAGCUAUUUCAAUAUCAACAUAGAGAGUCCCAAACAAAUAUUGAAUUUGAUAUUAAUAUAAGCAAUAUUUAAUUAAAUAAUAACCUCAGUUAACAUCUGUAUAUUGUUUUCUGUUCAAGUAUCACCUUCAUAAUUACCUUAAUUUCUCUAUUAUUUAUAACUAUAUUAUGGAUUGGAAAACUCACCACAAGGAAGAUUUUAAAUUAAUUUUAUCACAAAUGAAAAUGUGAUCAUAUACUUAUCUACCAUUAAUGUACUACAACAAUUUGAUAAAACGAUUAAGUAACUUAAUCAUAGGGGAACCUACACUACAAAAACGAGGCUUGUAGCAUCACUAAUAAUAUGUCGAUAAAUGACUUCAAUUUAAUCAAUUAAUAAAAAAUGAUGUUAAAUAUGAAGUUUAGUGUCAUUUAAAAUAAGUAUUGACUAAUUUAACGUCAGUUACAUACAAAUCAACCCAAAUAUAUAAUUUUACAUCAAUUAAAUAAUUGAUAUAUCUAUUAAACUUAUUAACAUCAAUAGAAAAACAAUGUGAACAUCGUUUCAGUUUUAUAAACUGAUAUAUAUUUUGAUGCCACUAAUUAAUCUGAAUGUCAAUCGUGUCUGUUAAAUAUAGUCGGUUGAUGCAAUUAACAAAAAUUGGUUAAUCAUAGACAUGUAAUAUAAUAUAUUUAAAUAUUCAUAUAGAAUUGGUUCAUCACAAGUAGGGAUAUAUUAUGGUGACGACUAUGUUAAUUUUUCGCAUAGUGGCGAAUAUGUUAUAUAAAGUUUAAUUGGCUCAAUUGGUAGAUAUCAUAUACCCAAAACCAAUGUAAUAGACAUGAGUUCCAUAUUCUUUGACAAUUAUUAACUUUAAUUACCUUUUUCUCUAAUAAAGUAAUUAGGGACAAAACUGUCAUUUCCUCAUCACCAGUCUCAUUAACCUGCAAGUCUGCAAUUCUUCUUCUCCUAAAAAAACUAUCCUCUAAUCCAAUUUAUAUCUAUUAUUUUUCAAGCUCUUUUUUUGCUAAUUUAUGAUAAAUUUUAGAGUUGUAGUGUCAUGGACAUAUAAUAGCUGCCCAGAUGAGUAUGUUGGUAGUCUGUUUUCGAGCUCAUAAUCCCCACUGAUGCGGCCAUGUUUGGAAUAUGGGUUCAUCAUAUUUCUCUGUUUUUCAACUUAUAUCAAUUAAUUGUAUUUAUUCAUUUACGUUAGAUAUUUUCAAUUGUGUAUGUGGUUAGCUUCGUUUGAUUUAUUCAAACAAACAUAUAUAUAUAUCAUAUAAAUGAUGAAAUCUCUUUUAAAUUUGUUGAUAAAUAUUAAUCUUUUUAUAUUCCCGCUAUGAAUUUUAUUUGGGUCUUCUACAACGGGAACAUACCACGAUCUGAGGACUUAUUAGUUGGUCAUGAUUUUUUCACAAACUUAUUUUCACUAAGGUUUCUACAGCUAAUUGGGAUAUUUAAAUUGGGAGAUUAUGUUGCUAAUUGGGAGAUUUAAAUUGUGUUUCUAAGGUUUCUACAGCUAAUUGGGAGAUUUAAAUCGUGUCUCUAAAAAAAUCUGAUUUCAUAGUUGUAUGGCUUUGAAAUAUGAGAACUUAAUUGUGAAUUGUUGAUUAGUUAAGGAUUCAUUGCCACUAAAAAAAAAAUAAUUGUUUGACUGUUGUUUAUCUUGAUAAACGUUACUCCUCAAUAAUUAUUCACUUUAAUUUUUAUUUUCUCUGGUGGUGUUUGCUUUGGUGGAGUAAAAUAAUCUAGUUUAGCUUCUCAUGAUCUUUUUUUUUUUGCAAUAGAAAUUAAGUUUCAUGAUCAAAAGAGUACAUGAUUUUUUUUAGGUUUUUAUGGAAAAAUUAUGGAUAAAAAAACAUCAUUUAUCUCAAGAUUAUAUAUUAGGAGUGAAGAGUUUUUUGGAUUUUGCCAUUGGUAAAUCAAAGGCAGGAAUAAUGGAAUGUCCGUGUAAUCGCUGCUGUGUAGCUAAAGCCAAGUCAAAGCAAGAGACUGAAGCAGAUUUGAUGUGUUAUGGUUUUAUAAGUUCUUACACGAAUUGGGUAUUACAUGGAGAGGAGAUUGAGAUCACAAAGACUACCACAGAAAUGCCUUCUCCAAUAAACAAUGCUACAGUUGAGUUUACUUCUACUUCAAACUUAUUGGAGGAUAUCUUCCCUGAUGUCAAUAUGAAUGCAUGUGAUGGAUCUGGUUCGUCUGACCAAGCGAGGAACAUAGGUGGACCAGAAUCUUCAAGGGAACACUUUGAAAGGGGAGAAGAACUUGAAGAGUUGAUGGAUGAUUUUAAUCAAGAGCUAUAUGAAGGAUGUAAUAACUUCACUAAGUUAUCAUUUCUGCUAAAGCUGUAUCAUAUCAAAGUCAUGAGUGGAAUCGAUGAUAAAGGGAUAUCCAUGAUUCUUGAUUCGCUUAAGGAAGCAUUUGCACAUGCAAAAUUACCUGAUUCAUUCAAUGAUAUGAAAAAAGUUAUUCGCAAGUUAGGUUUGACAUCCACGUCAAUUUAUGCUUGCCCAAAUGACUGCAUGUUGUAUUGGGAAGAGAAUGCAGAAAGACAAACUUGCAUAGUUUGUGAAACAUCAAGAUGGAAGACAAAUACUUCUCCAAGUAAUGAGCAAGCUGGAACUGAAAAGAAAAAGAAGAAACUACCUGCAAAGAUUUUGCGUUAUUUCCCUAUGAAACCACGUCUUCAGCGCUUGUUUAUGUCGUCAAAAACUGCUACUGAAAUGAGAUGGCAUGCAACUGAUAGUAACAAUGAUGGUAAGCUUAGACAUCCCAGAGAUGGAGAGGCUUGGAAAGCAUUUGAUCUACUAUAUCCUGAAUUUGCAUGUGGCCCAAGAAAUGUCCGACUUGGCUUGGCUUCUGAUGGUUUAUUUCAUUUGGUACAAUGAGUACGAGUUAUAGUAUUUGGCCAGUGAUCUUAUUUCCAUAUAACUUUCCCCCGUGGAAAUCAAACAUCAAUGAUCCUUUCUAUGAUUAUUCCUGUAGAGAAAAUGCAUGGCAAUGAUAUUGAAGUCUAUAUGCAGCCACUUGUCAAAGAGUUGAAAGAAUUGUGGUUUGAUGGGAUCAAGACUCUAGAUGCUUCCUCAAAUCAGAUGUUUGACAUGCGAGCAGCCAUUGUGUGGACGAUUAGCGACUUCCCGAGACUUGGAAAUUUGUCUGGUUGGAACACAUACACAACAUUAGCAUAUCCAAGUUGUAACUAUGAUGCCAGCGGUCGGCGGUUACGCCAUGGGAAAAAGCAUUGUUUAUGGGUCAUCGUCGUUUUCUUCCUUUAGAUCAUAGCUAUCGGCAAAAUAUUUCUGAUUUUGAUGGAACAUUAGAUACUCGAUCUCCGCCAGUUACGCCAUCAGGUUCUACAAUACUCCAUCAACUUGAAAACGUGAACGUUACUUUUGCCAAGAGAGCUAGUCAAGUUGGGAGAAAGAAGAUCGUAGCGACAUCCAAAGACGUGAUGAUCAACAAUGGAGGAAAUGGAUGAUACUUUUUGAGUUGCCUUAUUGGAGAUAUGUUAUGAUACGACACAAUUUGGACAUCAUGCACAUAGAGAAGAAUGUGUCGGAUAAUCUGAGUGCUAGAAAAGAUCUUCGGUAGCUUCGUAUACGUCUUGAUAUGUGGUCUGACAAAAAUAAGAAGUAUCAACCAGCGUCUUUUACUCUGAAUAAUCAUAAAAAGACAUUUUUUUAAAUGUUUUGAAAAAUGUGAAAUUCCCUGAUGGUUAUACUUCCAAUAUUUCAACGUGUGUUGAUCCUAAUAACAGAAAAUUAUCUGGCUUAAAAAUUCACGACUAUCACGUGAUAAUGAGACAUCUGCUGCCAAUUGCUAUUCAGAGCUUACUGCCACAAGAAGUGACUUCUGCCAUUAUUGGGAUAUGUCACUUUUCCGUGAUAUAUCUACAAAAGUCCUCGAUAAGGAUGAUCUGGAUAAAUUACAAGAGUGUAUUGUGCUGACUCUAUGUCAAAUGGAAAUAUUAUUCCCUCCAUCAUUUUUAUAGUGAUGGUACAUUUAAAAGUACAUCUCACUGAGGAGGCUAAGCAAGGUGGACCUGUCUCAUUUCGUUGGAUGCAUCCAAUUGAGAGGUGACAUUUAUUUCAGCUGGAUAUAAGUUGAUAUAUAAAUAUGCUUGGUCAUUUAGUCAUUUUACUAGAAAUUGAUUCAUUCAUCUGUAGGUGGCUUGGACAUUUCAAAUCAUAUGUUCGUAAUCGUGCUUAACCAGAGGGUUCUAUAUGUGAGCAAUAUUUAGCUGAUGAGUGUUUGACAUUUUUCUCAAUGUAUCUUGAUGAUAUUGAGAAACGAUUUAAUCGAAGAAACCGGGUUGAUGAUCGUCCUACAAUUCAUAACAAUAUUAGACCAAAUUCUGAACUUGGAGUUAUUUUUACGAAUUCCGGUAGAUUUGUUGGAGCAAGCAAUGUUCAUACUUGAUAUAUCAUGGUUUUUACGGGUUUUUGGCCAUGAUAUAAGUCUUAUUUAUAGAGCUUUUAUAGUGUUUUCAAGUCUUUUUGAGUCAUUUCAGGUGUAGGAGCUAUUUCACAUGGAUUGGAUCAAAAUGGAGUGAUUUGGAGCUUAUUGGAGCAAAGCUGAGUAAUCUGACUUGGAGAUGAUCUGUGAAAGAGUGUCGAUCGACACCACCUAUCAGUGUCGAUCGACACCGUGUACCUGACGAGAGAUUUCGAGUUUUCCCAAGUUUUGAAGAUUUACAAAAGAUGCCCAAAGUUUUCCCAAGUUGCAACAUUGGUCCCUGACGUGUUUUAGACAUAUUUAAAUACUUUUUAGGUUUUAUAAACACUUACGCUUUAUUCUAUUGCAAAACUUUGAGAGCUUUUAAUGAGAGAGAGAGAUCAGAACUCCUUGUAGAGAGAAGAUUUCAAUCCUCCCUUGUUUCUCUAUUCAGUUUUCUAAUCUAUAUUAUUCAGUUCAUGAUGUUUGCUUCUUACAUGAUGUCUGAGUAGUUUUCUUUGUUAGGGUUGGGGAUUCUCAUUAGGGAUUUCAUGACUUGUUAGGUAGAUUUGUUAGAUUAGGGUUCACAUCUUAAUUGUUCUUCACCAUAGGUUGUUCGUAAUGCUAGUUUUGGAUUAAUCGGCUAAAGUCUAGAUCUUAGGAUAAUUAAUUUGACAUGAGAGUGUGAUUAAUUACCUGAAAGAACCUAGGGUGAGCAAAAUACUUAUUCGCAAAGAGAUUUGGUUUAGGGAUUUUGUGAACACAUCAAACUUGUAUGUUAAUGCUUGUUUAAAACUUUAGAAUUUAGCAAAGAAAUUUGGAGUUCUAGUUUUAAAUUUAGAUAAUCAUCGCAACGAAAGCUGAAAGAUUUUACAUUAGUGAUUUGAGUUCAAGAACGACGCUUAAUCUGAAUCCUAAAUUAUUAAUUUAUUUAAAUUGAUUGAUUUCCUGAGAAUCCCCGAGCUUAGCGUUUUCUCAUAUUGUUUUAAAAACCAAUCUUUAUUUCAAUUUGCUGUUUUAAAUAUGAAAACUUUGUGUGCUUAGCUUAAUUUUAAUACCGAAUAUUUUGAGUCUCUGUGGAUUCGAUCCCUAAGUACUACAGUGAUCUCUUAAUUGAGAGAGUAGCUCAGGGCAAAUUUGAGCCGAUCAAAUUUUGGCGCCGCUGCCGGGGACUCAAUUUUAAUUACCAUUAGAUUUAGGUUAACAGUUUAGUCUAAGUUUUUUAUUUAUUUUUAUUUUGUUACUUACGCUUUUCUUUUCUCUUUUAUUUUUGGUGUUUCAGGUUUAUGCCUAAUACUAGAAGCCAGCAGAUCAAAGAGUUAGUUGAUCUCAACAAUUCAGAAUUAGCGGGUUUAGAAAGAGGAAUUCGAAAAGCUAAGAAAAAUGCAGCAAUGGCACCACUAGUGAUUCUGAUUCAAGAUGCUGGGGGUACUCUCAGAGAUGGAGAUGGUCAUGUGAGAAAUGCACAAGGGCAGAAGCUGAAUGCUAACAGGACUGUAAUUCUUGAACUAGUCGCCGUUGGUGUCGAUCGACACCAAGCCGCAGCAGACAACAACCAGUUGGCGUUGAAUGCUGAAGCAGAGGAUGAGAACCGUACACUUGGAGAAUACAACAAGUCUGCUCUGUUCUAUUCUAACCGCUAUGCUAUAAGUCCUCCUGCAUUUCAGAGGAACAACUUUGAGUUGAAGCCUGGGUACUACAGUCUUGUAGGACAACACUCGUUCCAUGGCCAUACUCAUGAGCAUCUGAUGGACCAUAUUGAGAAGUUUGAAAACUUGGUAUCUAGCAUCAAGGCUGAUGGUGUAUCUUCAGAUUUUCUGCUCUGUAAGCUUUUCCAACACUCUUUAGCUGGAGAAGCACUAUCGUGGCUCAAGGAGUUGAAGCCUGCAUCUCUUACGUGCUGGAAGGAUGUGAAAGUUGCGUUCUUGAAUAAAUUUUAUGAUGAUGCAAGGUCAGAGGAUCUGAGGAACAAGAUUUCUACUUUCUCUCAAGGAAUCUCAGAGACAUUCAAGGCUGCUUGGUGCGUUUUAAGGGGUAUUAGAGAGAUUGUCCACACCAUGGGUACGAGAAAUUUCAGCUUUUGGGCAUUUUCUACAGAGGAUUGGAUUGGAGGUACCAGAUGGCUUUAGAUGUUGCUAGCAACGGUAAUUACAACACAUGGUCUCUAGCUCAAGCCACCAAGCUGAUCGAGAACUUCGCUUCCAGCAAUAGUACCAAAGGUGCUGAUUUUGAGAGAAAAAAGCUAGCUGAAAACAUGGAGGGACUUCCACUUGCUAAAGUUAAGGCGAAGCUUGAUUUUAUGCAUCAUCUUCUUGUUAAUAAGAAGAAUGUUAAGUUUGCUGCUGAGGUUGAGGCUUUUGAACCAGAAGAGGAUGAAGAAGAAGACGUGAACUACGUCAAUGGUGUUGGGUAUCAGGGUCAGAAGUUUGGUAACGCACAGGGAAACUGGUUCAACAGCGGGUAUGGUCAGAAGAGCACUUACAUAGGAAAUCAGAAUUCUUUUGGUUACACUCCACGACCUGAUUAUCAGAAGAGUAGUGGCUUCACGAGGAGCUAUGGGAACUCAUCUUACCAACCAACUUCACCGGAAUCUUCAGAAACUGAGAUGAAGUCUAUGCUAGAACAGAUUCUAGAGGGUCAGCAGAAGAUGACAGUGGACUUUAAUGGGAGAAUGGAUGCGUUAUACCCUGAUUUGAAUGGUAAGAUAGAAGCUUUGAACAAUUAUACCAAGAAGUUAGACUAUUAGUUUACUCAGGCAAACCAGAACAGACAACCAGGCUUUCUACCUGGAAAGACCGAUGCAAAUCCUAAGCAUCCUUGCAAUGCAGUGACCUUGAGGAGUGGAAAACAGCUCAAAUCAGUGUUGAAACCAGGUUUGACAGUUGAAGAUGUCAUAGAGCUUGAUGAGAUUGAAGAUGAAGAUCUUGUUGAUCCGCAGUUGGUGUCGCUCGACACCACCACUAGUGGCGAUCGACACCUGUCUCGAACAGAACCAGUUUCUGCUUCACCGCCUUCCACGACCAAGACCAGAGUUUACAAACCUACAGUCCCUUUUUCUAAGAAGUCUAAGAAGUCAAAACAGGAGCAAGAGGAGGAGAGAUACAAGAAGAUAUUAGAGUCACUCACGAUUGAGAUGCCUUUUCCUGACUGCUUAUAGACUUCGCCUAUGUUUAAGCGGGUUGUAAAGAAGAUGGUGACUAAGGCUUUGUCUAGAGAGAUAGGGGUUAUGAUGGUCUGUGUACUAGUCAGCAAUGUUUUUCAGAAUAAGAUUCUAGGAGAUACACUUUCCAGACCCUCUAGAGAGAGCUUUAGUAGCUUCAGCAAAUGACAGUAAGUCUUUAGAUGAUGAGGCUUCUAGGUAUGUUCAGUUGAUGGAUGGUAGUGCGCAAGUGAUGAAGAUGGUUCACCUAAAAGAGGUUGUUGAGCCUUCUAAAAACGCUGAUGCGCUAAGUGAUUGAAGUGCUGAAAAAUCUCCAAAAAUCGAACUCAAGCAACUCCCUACGGGGCUGAGGUACGCAUUUCUUGGUGCUAAUUCUUCUUAUCCAGUUAUUGUUAAUGCUUCUUUAGACAACACAGAGCUCACGUUACUGCUAAGUAAGCUGCGCACUUUUUGCAAGGCUCUUGGCUAUUCUCUUGAUGAUCUUUCAGGUAUUUUUCCGGACUUAUGCAUGUACAUGUUUCACCUUGAAGAAGAUGAAAAGGCAACAAUAGAACACGAGAGAAGGCUGAACCCGAAUUUGCAAGAGAUUGUCAAGAAAGAUAUCAUGAAAUUGCUGGAAGCAGGGAUCAUCUAUCCAAUUUCAGUCAAGAGAUGAGUAUCGACUUAAUGUUGCAACAAGGAAGGAUCAUUUUCCUUUGCCUUUCAUUGAUCAAAUGCUGGAGAGGCUAGCAAAUCAUCCAUAUUAUUGCUUCCUGGAUGGGUACUCUGGUUUCUUUCAGAUCCCAAUACAUCCCGAUGACCAAGAGAAGACCACAUUCACUUGUCCCUAUGGUACUUUUGCAUAUCGCAGGAUGCCAUUUGGACUUUGUAAUGCUCCUGCGACCUUUCAGAGAUGUAUGAUGUCUAUCUUUACAGACAUGGUUGAGGAUUACAUGGAGAUUUUCAUGGAUGAUUUCUCGGUUUAUGGGUCAUCUUUUAAUGACUGUCUUGACAACCUGUGCAAGGUGAUUGCUAGAUGUGAAGAGAAGCACUUGGUACUUAACUGGGAGAAGUGUCAUUUCAUGGUUAGAGAUGGUAUUGUGCUCGGGCACCGGGUUUCAGAAGCUGGUAUUAAGGUUGAUUGCGCGAAGAUUGAGGUGAUGACAAGUUUGCAACCGCCGGAUUCUGUGAAGUCAGUGAGGAGUUUUCUUAGACAUGUUGGUUUCAAUAGGCGGUUCAUCAAAGAUUUCAGCAAGAUUGCAAGGCCACUAACUGUUUUGCUUUGCAAAGAUGUGAAGUUUGAGUUUACUGCUGAUUGUGUUUCUGCGUUUGAACAUAUUAAGAAGGCUUUAGUGAGUGCUCCAAUUGUUCAACCGCCAGAUUGGGAUCUACCUUUUGAGGUGAUGUGUGAUGCUAGUGAUUAUGCUGUGGGAGCUGUUCUAGGACAGCGGAAGGAUAAGAAACUUCAUGCUACUAUGCUAGUAGAACACUUCAUGAGGCACAGAAGAACUAUGCAACAACCGCGAAAGAGCUUUUUGUUGUGGUUUUUGCUUUUGAGAAGUUUUAUUCUUAUUUGGUGGGAGCGAAGGUGAUAGUGCAUACAGAUCCAACUGCUCUAAAACAUUUGAUGUAGAAAAAGGAUGCUAAGCCACGAUUGCUGCGAUGGAUUCUUCUUCUUCAAGAGUUCGAUAUUGAAGUUUGGGACAAGAAAGGCGUUGAGAAUGAGUUGAUGACCAUCUCUCAAGAAUUAGGAUAGAAGAUAAGGUUCCUAUAGAUGAUUUCCUGCCAUAUGAGAAUGUUUAUUCAGUAGAAAUUGGUUCCCAAGAAGAUCUUGAGAGAAAACGUCGAAUCUGCCUGACUGCAGUGGGGGUGUCGCUCGACACCACCUUGGUGUCGGUCGACACCAUGGACGAGACAGACGAUUAUCGAGCCGACAAUGCAAUUCUCGACAAUUUUAUUCGAUACUUAGGUGUAGUGUCGAUCAACACUUAGGUGUAGUGUCCAUCGACACCACUACUGGUGUCGAUCGUCACCCUUGGAUUUUCGAACCAGAAUCCGAUUUUGACGAGGAAUUGGCUGCUGUUGGGACUUCUAAUCAUCUGUGGUAUGCUGAUAUUGCGAAUUAUCUUGCUGCAAGCCUGACAAGUUUAAAGGUGGUGAGCCUGACAAGUUUAAAGGUUCCACUAAGAAGAAGUUCUUGAGAGAAAUCCGAGGCUAUUUUUGGGAUGAGCCUCACUUGUAUAAGCAUUGUUCAGACGGGGUCUACAUAAGAUGUGUUUCAGAGUCUGAGAUUCCGGAUAUUUUGUUUCAUUGCCAUCUUACGGGAAUAAGUACAUUCUAGUCGCUGUUGACUAUGUCUCUAAGUGGGUGGGAGCUAUUGCUAGUCCGAAGAAUAAUUUUUCAGUGGCUCUUAAGCUGUUUAAGACCAUUAUAUUCCCUAGAUUUGGAGUGCCUCGGAUUGUUAUAAGUGAUGGUGGAUCUCACUUUAUUAAUAAGGUUUUUGAGAAGGUUCUGCAAAAGCAUGGUGUUCAACACCGUGUGGCUACCCCAUAUCACCCUCAGACAAGCAGACAAGUGGAAGUCUCUAACCGGCAAAUCAAGGUGAUUCUUGAGAAAACAGUUGGUCCAACAAGAAAGGAUUGUUCAGCCAAGUUAGAUGACGCGCUAUGGGCAUACCGGACUGCAUAUAAGACACCACUUGGGACUACACCUUUCCAUCUACUUUACAUGAAAGCAUGUCAUCUACCAGUGGAGCUUGAGUACAAAGCAACAUGGGCAGUCAAGAAGCUGAAUUUCGACAUUAAAGCUGCUGCUGAGAAACGGUUGAUAUAUUCGACUAGAAUGUUUAGUGUCGAUCAACACCACUUAUUGGUGUCGCUCAACAACGUCACUGACGCGUUCCGGAUUUUAAAACCCGAGCUUUCUCCAAUGUUUUAAUUUUUUUUCAGAAACGAAGAACCACGAAGCCAAAAUUCAAAUUUGCGAUUACUCUCUCGUUUCACCACCAAAUUCGACGAUUUUGGUAUUAAUCUCUUUGUUUUUGAGAGAUCUAUCAACCCCCACAAGUCCGUUUCUUCGAUCUGUUUGAUGGCUGGCUCUAGACAGGCGAAACGAGGUCGCGGCGGAGCAAGGUCUUCUUCACUUCCGCCGGCUCCGGCGUGCUCCGGCGACUUCUGAGCAAACUCCAGCGAGUCCUCCCACCUCUCCUCGGGUCCUAUCUCGUCAUCCAUGGCCAAAGAGAGAAGGUUUGAGAGUCACUCCUCUAAGAGUUUUUGCAGAUGAUCCAAAGACGGAAUUUACGAAGGAAGAGUACAUCAACAGACGGAUUUCAGUGGAUCGGGAUGACUAUGAUGGGAAAACGGCUAAUUCCCCAUGAACAUAGUUGCUUUAUCAUAUUAAUACACAGAACUUUCGAGUGUGAUUAUAACUACAUAAACUAAUUUAUAAUUUGAAUAUACUACAUAAACUAUAAAAAUGUGGCCAAAACAUACAAAUUUAACGACGCCGUUAAUUAAACCGUUAGUGCAGCUGACUGGGAUGCCACAUAGAUGGUCAAAACGACUGUGUUUUAUAAAUACAAGUCUAAAACACAAAAACUACGUCGUUUCACUAAAGUUAAAAUUUUUGGAAAUAGACAAACAGAAGAUUCGAACUCCCAACCUCAAAGUUUCCUAGGCCGACUUAACACCAGUUAAGCUACAAGGUUUCUCGUUGUAACACCAAACAUAAUUAUUUAUAUAACGCUUCUUUCUUCUUCUUCUUCCAUGGUGCUUUCAUCCAUAGUUUGAUUCAAUUUGGGUUUGAUUUUUCUGGAUCUUAGGAUUUUAGGUUUAUAAAUACUAGAAUGAAAAGUGAAAUAUAAUCUAAAAACCAGUUUUUAUUUUGUGAGUUUCAACUAAUUAUCCUUAAUUUAUAUAUAAACUUAGAUGACAGAACAUUAUUUAAGUAAAUUGAAAUUUGCAGUUUUUAAUAUAUAAAUUAUGAAUCUAACUAGACCAUGAAGUAUAGUUCAAUUUUUGGAUAUAUUAUUCAAUUUGGUUUGAAUUGUAUUAGAUUGGGUUACUUGAAUUGAACACUUAUAUUAAGGAAUAUUUUUAUAUUAGAUUAAGAAAUUAAUAAAUUUGGGAGAUUUGUUCAUGAUGGAAACAAAUCUCCCAAAUAUAUUAAUUUCUUAAUCUAAUAUAGAAAUAUUCCUUAAUAUAAGUGUUCAAUUCAAGUAACCCAAUUGUUUCAUGCUAUCAUUUGUUCAUGAAGAGGAAGAAGAAGAAAAUAAAAAGAAGCGUUAUAUAAAUAAUUAUGUUUGGUGUUACAACGAGGAACCUUGUAGCUUAACUGGCUUGGAGUCGGCCUAUGAAACUUUGAUGUUGGGAGUUCGAAUCUUCGGAUUGUCUAUUUACAAAAAUUUUAACUUUAGUGAAACGACGUAUUUUUUGUGUUUUAGACUUGUCUUUAUAAAACACAGUCGUUUUGACCAUCUACGUGGCAUCCCAGUCAGCUGAACUAACGGUUUAAUUAACGGCGUCGUUAAAUUUCUAGGUUUUGGCCACAUUUUUAUAGUUUAUGUAGUAAAUUCAAAUUAUAAAUUAGUUUAUGUAGGUAUAAGCACACUCGAAAGUUCUGUGUAUUAAUACGAUAAAGCAACUAAGUUCAUGGGGGAAUUAGCCGUUUUUGCAGAUGAUCCAAAGACGGAAUUUACGAAGGAGGAGUACAUCAACAGACUGAUUUCAGUGGAUUCAGAUGACUAUGAUAGUCUGCUGUACAAUGCAUGGUUGGGGUUGAUAUUAGACCAAUCAGAUUUGUCGAUUCUAUUGCAUUGCGGAGAAUGGGUAUAAAAGAGGAAGUGCUGCACAUUUUUGAGAAGAUUGGUCUAGGCACCAUCUAUUCCAAGCAGUACGACCUAUUUCCAUAUUUGGUGCGCCAAGUUCUAGCUACCGCACAGGUUUACUAUGUAAACGAGAGGCUCCCACGCGCUAACGAAUGCACUCUCACAUUUUUCAUCCGCGGAGUUAGGUAUCACAUUUAACUACUUGAUAUUUGUGAUAUCUUUGGGUUGAUAGGGAUAACAUUUGAGUAACAUUGCAUGCGCAAUACGAUGAUGCCUCUACUCUCUGGUCUUUCAUCGGGAAUGGUAGAUACAACUCGAAGACUUCUACGCAAUCCAAUGUCAAGCAUCCUGUUAUCAGGUAUGUUAUUCGAGUUCUAGGGAACACACUCUUAUGCCAGACUGAGCCAGGAAAGAUGAGAGUAUCAGAAUUAGCUUUGUUGUCUUAUGCAUUGGGUCCUAUGAUAGAGGAUGAUUGCGAGUAUGUUGAGUUGACUAGGGUGAAUUUUUGUGCGAUGUUUGCUCAUCAUUUGGUUUCUCUUAAGACUUCUAGGCCGUUUGUGGGGACAGGGAAGAAGUUUGAUUGUGUUGGGAGUCUGCUUACUCCUAUUUUUAAGCAUUUGAACGUUAGCACAGGCGAAUGUUCAAUAGUCACUGCACGUUCAUUGAUGGAUAAAGGAUGGUUGGUUAUGGUGUUUUACUGAUAGCUCAGGCGCGCGUAUGAUUCAGCUGCCUCAGAGAGAGCUCACAGACAUUGGGGAUGACAAAGACAAGCUUAGCUUCGAGCCUGAUACUACCAUAGCGUGUCCCCAACCCUCUUCACGACUUCGCAAAGGUUCUUCUUCUUGAGCUAUUCCUACGCCUGCUGCUGAUCCUGGAGCUUCUUCUUCUUCCGCACCAGCACAGUUCGAGCUGCCACCACCACCAGAUAUUCCCAUGGAGCAAUCUGAUUUUCAGAGAUACAUUGGUUAGAGGGUCCACCAGAUAUGGAACGCGAUCGCUUCUCUCUCUAGAUGUGGAUGUGUGCGCCCCACGUCGUCGUCCUCGUUCCCGCUCUCCACCUGCUGAUGAUCACGAUGAUGAGGCUUAAAUCCUUGGCAUUUCCGGUUUAAGUUUUCUUUUAUCCUUUUGAGUCAUUUUUCUUUUUGCUUUGAGUCAGUUUGUUAUUUGCUUCCGCAUUGAAAUUUGUAUGAAGUGGGCAUUAAUAUCUCUUUUGUUGCUUUUGACUUGUGUUUUAGUGUUCUUAACAGUGAUACAUCAGGAAUUCGAUUGAUAGAACUACAAACAUUUUGUUCUUUAGCUGCCUGAUUUCUAACGCAGAGGGUGUCGAUCGACAACACCUGUUGGUGUCGCUCAACACCACAAUACAGACGGUGAAUUUUUCGAAUUUUUCCCUUUUUCCAUACAAUUUUCAUUUGUUUUCUUUUGCUUCGCCAAUCUUAGGCUUGGCAACACUGGGGGUAGUGUUGUUUAAGUUUGGGGGAGGUAGUUACUAAUAUUGUUUAGUCUUUUGGAGUUCUAUCGAGUCCGUCCAAAAAAAAUUUUGUUUGAUUGAGUCAAAAACUUUUGUAGGGAACAAUGAACUCAGUUUAAUGGUCUCUCUGAUUUAGAUUAACACUCUUAUGAUUAAAUUUUUAUGCUUGAUCUCAGAACCGAAGUUUGGUUAACCUUGUUACUAUGGAAAAUUAGUUGAAGUUAUAGUGCAGAACUAUUAUGAGACUUUUAGGGUUGUAUUAAUUUAAAUGCAAAUGAACUGAUACUCACAAUGAACGAGGAUAUAAAACAGAUCCUUACGGUCAACAAAUGGUUAAUUUUUUAUGCUUGAUACACACAAGGGAUAAUGAUGAUGAUGAGCCACAUAUAUUGGCUUCUCAAGCAAGAAUUGUAUAUGACGUUGAAGGCUCACACGAGAAAGAAUGGAAGUUUGUUGUGAAUGUUCAGCCUAGAGAUUUAUAUGACAUGUGAGAUCCAAAUAGUUCAGCCUCUGCCGCAUCUCUGGAGUACGAUUAAAGCAUUUUAUAAAUAUGACUUGUUUAACCUUCAAAUUAUUUUGAUUUCAUAUUAUGUUAUUCGUUGCUACAAUGUUAUUUGUCUUUUUAAUGGAAGUUUUUUUCCUAUGAGUUUCAUGUUAUUCCUUGUAUAUAGUUACUGGUGCUUUUCACUGAAUCUCAGUAUGAACCUUUUCUUUCCACAGUUGCUUAUAUAAGGACUGCUACUAAAUAUUGUAUGUGUAAAGGGAUCUUGUUGUAAUUAGUAAUAUUAGGUACUCUAGGUUUCUCUUCACUCUCUGUAUAAAUACUUGUAAUUUCCUUAAUAAUAAGAUUAACACUUAUUCCCUAUAUGGUAUCAGAGCAGAACGCUUCUCUAACCUAAAAAGUUUCUCAGCCGACAUCAUCAUCUACCUUCACUCUUGUCAUGUCAACUUCCCAAGAAACCUCCAUUAAUGGUGCCGACACUAUUGUAACAACAACAAACAAUCAAACGCUGCUUCACAUCAACACCUCCAACAUCACUAAGCUUACGACAACCAACUACCUCCUCUGGAAGCUUCAAGUUCACGUUCUCGUUUAUGGCUAUGGCCUUGUUGGCCAUCUUGAUGGAUCUGGUCCAAUCCCUCCCACGACAGUCACAGUGGCUACUGUGGUGUCCCCAAACCCAGAUUUCAUCCUUUGGAAGCGUCAGGAUCGUCUUUUGUAUAGUGCAGUCUUUGGUUCGGUCUCGCCGUCGGUUCAAUCAGUUCUCUCUCGCACCACGACUGCAACUGAAAUUUGGUCUACAUUAGCUGAGACGUAUGGCAAGGCAAGUCGUGGUCAUGCUCGUCAGGUUAAGGAUCAGCUGAAGUUUAUAAAGAAAGGUGCACGUACCAUUGACGAGUAUCUACAUGAUCUCACGACACGAUUUGAUACUUUGGUAAGCCUUGAGAGUGCACUGGCGCAUGAUGAUCAAAUUGAAACGAUUCUUGAUGGGUUACCCGAAGAGUAUCAACCCAUUAUUGAUCAAGUUUCGAAUAGGGAUACUUCACCUACCAUUGCUUAUGUGCAUGAGUACCUCCAUAACCAUGAAGCUAAACUCCUCUCUAAAGAUGCAGCGUCGUCAUUGGUUCUUCCUGCUAGUGCUAACGUCGCUGCUCAACGUCACAACAACAACAAGAACAACAACAAUAGUCGCCACAAUCAACAAUACAACAACAACAAGAAGCAGUACAAUGCUGGGAAUGGGUACGUUUCUCAGCCUCAAUUUGAUGGUCGUUCUCAAGACACUUGUGGCUAUAAGCCUUACUUGGGAAAAUGUGAAAUCGGCAACACACAAGGAAAUAGUGCACGGCGGUGUCCCCAAUUUCAGUCUCGUGUGAUGCUGAGCUAUCCGACUCAGACUAGUCCGUUCCGUCCAUGACAGCCUCGUGCUAAUGUCGCCAUUGGCUCUUCCUAUGAUCCCAAUCCGUGGCUGCUGGAUAGUGGAGCUACUCAUCACAUGACAUCCGACUUGAACAACUUGUAUCUCCAUGAGCCGUAUUCGGGUAGUGAUGACGUCGUUGCCGCUAAUGGCUCUCCGCUGCCCAUUACGCAUAUUGGUUCAAAAUUUCUUCCCUCUCAAUCUCGUGCCCUUGUUUUGAACAAAAUCUUAUGUGUUCCUGAUAUGUACAGAAAUUUUAUUUCGGUGUAUCGUCUUUGCAACGCUAAUCGUGUCUCAGUGGAAUUCUUUUCGGCUUCGUUUCAGGUGAAGGAUCUUAGUACGGGGGUUCCACUUCUACAAGGAAAAACUAGAGCUGAGCUCUACGAAUGGCCGGUCUCACCAAAUCAAGUGACCGCUCUAUCAACAUUUACUAGUCCGAAAGCAUCUGUUCCGGUUUGGCACUCUCGGCUCGGUCAUCCAUCUCUUCUGUUUUAAACACUAUGCUUUCUAUUUUUCAACUUCCAGUUUCGGGUUCUUCCCACAAACAUUUACCUUGUUCUGAUUGUCAUCUUAAUAAGAGUCACAAAUUCCCUUUUUCAAACACUACAAUUCUUUCUACUCGACCACUUGAAUACCUUUAUUCCGAUGUUUGGAUGUCACCGGUUUUAUCAUUUGAUAAUUACAAAUACUACCUUCUAAUUGUUGAUCAUUUCACCCGUUAUACUUGGCUAUACCCACUAAAAAGAAAAUCGGAUGUUAAAGAUUUUUUUGUUGCUUCCAAGAUGUUGGUGGAGAAGAAGUUUCAACACCAGAUCGGCACACUAUUUUCAGACAAUGGCGGUGAGUUUGUUGUGCUUCGGGGUUUCCUUGCUGCUCAUGGUAUUGCUCAUCUUACAUUACCGCCACACACGCCUGAACAUAAUGGGAUGGCGGAACGCAAACAUCGUCACAUUGUUGAGACAGGACUCACAUUACUUUCCAAACCUUCCGUCCUGACACUUAUUGGCUGUAUGCUUUUACCACGGCCGUCUAUCUUAUAAACCGAAUGUUCACACCAGUUCUAGCUAACCAGUCUCCAUACUCCAAGCUGUUCAAUGAUCGACCAAACUAUGACAAGCUGAAAGUUUUUGGAUGUCUUUGCUUUCCGUGGCUAAGACCGUACACGGAUCACAAACUUCAGCCUCGUUAUCAGCCGUGUGUGUUCUGAAGGUAUUCUUUGACUCAAAGUGCGUAUUAUUUCUUACAUGUUCCUACUGGUCGCAUAUAUACGUCUCAACAUGUUCAGUUUGACGAGAACACGUUUCCGUUCUCUACGCCGCCAGCUCCUAUGACUGAACCGUGCUCUGCUUCUGUGUCUCCGUCACCGGUUGCAACUUAUGUCCCUCUCUCGUUACAAUUGCAACGGCCUUCUAAUGAACCUCCGCACUCGGACCUUCACCAACAUGACUCCUCCGUCGUGAUGCCUUCACCGCUGCAAUCUCAGGUAUCGUCCCCUAUCUCUACUUCUUCUUCUUCUACAACCGAGCCCACUGCUCACCAAACUGGGCCUAAUUCCCCGGCCCAGCACAGCCCCACUUCCAAUGAGCCCACUGCUCACACACAAAAUGAGUAGAGACCCACGACUCAGCCACAACCUUCCCCAUCGACCUCCAUAAAUCAACAAAUACGCUCCCCCACCCCGAUACCUUCCCCACCAGCUCAGCCACAAUAACCAGAAAUUCCUAUUCCCCCUCAUCCACCGCAAAAUAUCCACAAAAUGCAAACUAGAGCCAAAAAUAAUAUUACCAUACCAAACAGGAAACUUAAUCUUCAUGUUGCUGGUCACAGAAAAACCAGAGAACCAUCUAUACACCUACACAUGGUAUUUUUCUUCGUAUGUAUUCGGCCUUCUCGGAUGCGGACUGGGCUGGCAAUGUUGAUGACUAUGUGUCUACCAAUGCCUUGGUCAUCUACUUAGGUCGCAAUCCUAUCUCAUGGCAGUCUAAGCAAUAACGUAGUGUUGCUAGGUCUUCCACCGAGGCGGAGUAUCGAGCUGUCGCCAAUACUGCCUCUGAAAUCCGUUGGCUAACGUCGUUAUUUCAAGAGAUUGGUUUCACUAUCUCGUCACCACCGGUAAUCUACUGUGAUAACAUUGGCAUUAUUUAUCUUUGUGGUAAUCCGGUGUUCCAUUCCCGAAUGAAACACAUUGCUCUCGACUAUCACUUUACAAGGAAUCAAACUGAAUCCGGUCUCUUACGUGUCUCGCACGUCGCUUCUAAAGAUCAAUUGGCCGAUGCUCUUACAAAACCGUUGUCUCGCCCGCAGUUUCAUGAUGCUCGUUCCAAGAUUGGUGUGACUGAAGUCCCUCCAUCUUGAGGGGGUGUAUAAGGAUUGCUACUAAAUAUUGUAUGUGUAAAGGGAUCUUGUUGUAAUUAGUUAAUAUUAGAUACUCUAGCUUUCUCUUUACUGUCGGUAUAAAUACUUGUAAUUUCAUUAAUAAUAAGAUUAUCACUUAUUCCCUAUAGCUUACAUGUUUCUUUAUUUUUUCCAGGAUGAGUAAUUUAGUGCAUUUCACUGUAUCAAAGACACAAGCACCAUAAUAUUUGCAACACUUAGAGAGGGUUUACAGUUCUCCUCCUCAACUUGCUCAAGAAUGCAAAAGUUACAAAUGGAAAAUUCAGUUGAUAGGUAACUCUAAAUAUAGUACUUUGUUAUUCAUAACUUUUGUGAAAAUGACUCUACUUGUUUACUAAAUUACUACGUAUAUCAAAUGUGGAUAAGUUUAACGUACGGGUUCUACUUGUUAUCAAAUUGAUGCUGAUGACAACAUUGAAGACCAAAUGCUGACAACCAAAGAUGUUUGUAAAAUACAAUAUCGUAAAGUGAUUGUUCACUUCGAUGAUGCUAGCGGUCAACCUGAUAAAGAUUCUGGAGGCUUACUUGGAUCAUGGUUAGGGCAGUUGAGUACUGAUGUAAACUUGUUACCCAUUAACUACAGUGAUUGGAGAUUGUUCGGCCUUCACAGAAAACAAAAAGCAUGGGAAGUAAUCUAGGUAAUUUUCUUUUGCUUCAUAAGGUUUUAGGAUUACUAUGUGUUAUACAUUUCAAGUAUAUCUAACCAAGCACUUCGCGUAAUUUUUGUAGAACAAGUUUUGGUUUGAUGAUCCUGAGACAAGAAAGGAUUAUGUGAUUGGUUUACUAGGAAACAGGUGCAAACAUUUAAAAUUGCGUCUUUGGAGAGAUUAUAAACGAAAUGAUCGAGAUGAUACAUUGGAGAAUCGUCCCAUUGAUAUAUCUGAAGACCAAUUGCUUGACUUUGUUUGCAUGAGGUUCACAGACAAGUGGAGGGUAUAGUUUUAUACAUAUUAUUUAUAUAUUAAACUACUAUUGUAGCUUAAAGUAGCAUUUUUAUCAACAUUUAAUUCCAGAUAAUGCGAGAUCAAAACAACGAAAGCCGAAGCAACCAUACCAUGCCUCUUUCCAUAUGUAUAUUUCUUAGCAAAAGAAAACAACCAUGGAUCUAGCAUUCUCUAGCCUAGAACCACCAAGAACUAGUCUCAAACCUCACUAGAAUCUCACAAAAACUCACUGGAGAACACUUAGAAGCUUUUUACUCUCUGCGAUAAGACAAAAGCGACUAAACACUCCAUAGUCGACUUCUUAUUCUUUACCUAGUCAAGCCCUAAGAUUAAACCAACCCUUAUAAUUGAUUUCGCAAAUUAAAACAAACCGGCUGAACUGAAAAAUGUUGGUGUCGAUCGACAUCCUUCCUUAGUGUCGAUCGACACCCUUCCUUAGUGUCGAUCGACACCACCCACCUUUUCCAAACACAGGUGUUACAAUUAGUAGUUUUAAUUUCUUAUUUUGAAGAGCGAAAACGCUAGGUAUUCAAGAAGGACAAUUUAAGAAUUUCCCAUGGAUUCUAUGGUAAAGCACGAAACGAUAAGCGUUUUAACGGUAAGGAUUUAUCUCUGAUAGACACUUAGUAACUUGCUACGACAAAAGAAACCAGCUGGAGAAUGGCCCAAAUCCUACAGGAAGUCAUGGAUACGGAACUAGAAGCCACGGUGGCCCCAUCUUAACCAGAACCGAUGAAUAUCGCAGAUCGCUGUCAAAUUGAUGCCUCAUGGCAUAGUGAUGAUCUUUAUUCAGGGUUGGGGUUUGUUCUUGAUGUAGACACGUUUGAUCUACUUGGACUAAAAGGUACUAUAAGAUUUCUAUCUCCCUUCCAUGCUGAAUUAGAAUCCCUCCUUUAGGAUAUGGAGGCAACACUAUCUCUGGGAUAUAUAUUUGUCGAUCUGGUUUGAGACAGAUUGUGCAGCUCUACGGAAAAUGUUGCAAGAAGAGGGAGAGUGGCUAAUUUUUACAUAUGAAUUAGAGCUUUUUAAGAUUCUUCAAUCACUUCUAGUGACUUUUCUAUAAAUUUUAUUGGGGAAAUGACAUAUUUCUCCACGAGAACUAAGACAUCGUACCAGAUAGAGGUGAAGGCACACGAGCUAAGCUUUCCCAAAACUUGUCUUGAUCAAAGGUUCCUCGGUGGUGAUGCGUUCCACGAACCUUCAGUGAUAAUGGUUGAAGCUCGGCUUGUCGAAAGGUUGAGCAUUGAAGAAGACCAUGAGUUGACCUCGUCUUGCUCCUCUUGAUGAUCCUUGAAGUCGUCUUGAAGUGUUGAGGCUGAAUCGUUGUCGUCGGGAUGAUCUCUUGUUGAAGACUUUGCUUGAACGGUUGAUCGAUGCGGCCGGCCGGAUGGUGCUCUCGGACAGACGGACGGCGGCCUCGAUGAAUCGAUGUCCGGGGACGCAUCAUUCCCUCCCUCUUAUUAAAGUUUUGACCUCAAAACUUAGCUUAGUAAAUGGAUCAAAAAGGAACCACAUCAGCAGCAUCAAGAAGGAAGCUACAAAACAAUAUACCGGGAUCGAAUGGAAAAAUUGAAGUUCUAAGUAAAAAGACUUGAACUUCCCCAGUGAAGCUGGUGGCAUUGGUAGCUUCUUUAAAAGCAUUGGAGGCUGGUUGAAACUCUCCAGGAUGCCACACAUAGGAUUGGAUCGCACCAAAGUUGCAAAAAAUUGUGGCGGAGACCCCAUUAGCGAAUUCGGCCUUGGUGCAUCGGGUGGGAAAGGUUGGUACUGCCUCGGCAACUCCCAGCUGGAGCAUAUACAUCACGAUGGCUGGUUGAAACAGAAUUGAAGUGAUAGGACCAUCAGUUGUCCUCUCGGGUUGGUGCAUACGCCUUACACGCCCAUAUGUCGAAUGAGGAAACACCUCUCGAUCAACUCUCAAAUGAGAUCGAUAACCACUAGAUCUGCCACGACGCAUGUCUCCAGAAUGCCUCAGUAUCGAGUGAAAACGAGAGCCCUUAGCCAAAAGAUCAACGAAUUCCAGAAUGGUCGACUGCUCCACUCCCGGUACGUCUCCGGGAAGCAUAUCUCGAUCGGCUCCAACAGAAACUGAUCCAGUAAGGAAAGUGUUUCGACCCAAAUCAUCUAAAGACAUAGUUUUCGAGUGACUUUCGAAUCCCAUAGUCAAUAGACGAGUAGAACUCAAACUGGUUGGCUUCUCCACUCGUUGCUCGUCUCCGGGUGGCUUGAUUCGAUCGUAUUCAACAGAAGCUGAUUCAUUGGACAUUCGGCUUCGACCAAAAUCAUUUAAACACAUGGUUAUCGAGUGAAUAUCAAAUAGCAUGGUCAACAGACUGGCAGAACUCAUUCUGGUCGGCUGCUCUACUCGUUGCGCAUCUCCUGGAUGAGUAUCUCGACCAACUUCAACAGAAACUGAUCCACUCAACAUUCUGCUUCGACCAGAAUCAUUUAAAUACAUGGUUUUCGAGUUAUUUUCGAAUCCCAUGGCCAAAUGAUCAGGAGAACUCAUUCUGGUCGAUGACUCCUCUUGGUGAACGUCGCCGGAUGCGCUAGCUUUGACUUCGGCUGGCUGGACUGGGCUGUCUUUGGUUCCUCCUGAACCAAUGACUUCUUCCGGACUGAUUUGUUGAUCCGGUGGUGAUCGGGGAUGACGACGAGUGAGAGUGGAUGCAGCGAAAUGAAAGGGGGAAUGAGAUGUACUUCCAAGAGUGAUGAAAGACUCUUCGACCACAAGCUUGGAUCCAACUUAGAUAUUACACACUAAGAAUAAAACAAGUUGAAAAGAUAUUACACACUUUUCGGAUCAAACAAGUAAAAGAGAGAGUUUUUGAUUAAAAUGUUUGAUGAGUUGCAAAACAGAGAUACAAGGAGUUUAUAUAGAAGAGGGAGGUUGAAGGAGAAGAGAGAAGAGAAGAAAAUCAUGUAAGAGCAGGCACAAAUAUCUUGUAAAUUACACUCAUGCAAGUCAUGCAAAAUGUCUUGGAAAUUACAAAAAGAACUAGAUUCGGACCCGUGCUACAGCGCGGGGGAAAUAAUUACAUAUAUGUAACUUUUAACGGAUUAAAAUAUGUUACAUUUUAAUUUUAUUGCAGUGCAAUUGAUUACGGUAAUCAUAUAUUUGUAUAAUAAGUUUAAAUAAAUUAAUAAAGGAAAAAGCGAGUAAAUAAUCAUAUAUUAUGUUUUGAUACAACUAAAAACACGGUGAAAAUUUAACAGAACGAAAUAAUAUUUGUCGAUAAAUUAUUCAUUUUGACCAUUUUUGUAGUAUAAGUAGGAAUAUACGUAAAACUUACAUAUUUACAAUAUAUUUUUUGAAGGACUAACCCGUAACAUAAUUCAUUUUCUAAAAAACAUUAUUCAUAACUCGUUUUAGCAUUAUAAUUUUGAUUUUAAAAAACUACCCGUGAACUAUCUAAAAUUUACAUAGUUUGAUAUAUAAUAUAUUUUAUCAAUAAAAAUUAUGUCUCCAAAAAAAUAUUUUCAAUAUUUUAAAUUUUAAAUUUUUUUAUAAAUAUUGGAACCUUUUAAUUAUAAUAUUUUGAAAGUUUCUAAAAUUUUAAUUUUAAAUAUGCUCAUGUAACAGUGGUUUUAAUAUUGGUUAUACUUAUACUUAUAAUGAUUUUAAACCAUCUUCUAAGACAUUUAACGGAGUGUGGUAGAGUAUUAUAUGUUUGUUUUGAAAAAUUCAAAUUGCAACAUAUGGAAAAAAAGUUAAAUUUUUAUUAAAUAUUUAUAUUAUAUAGUAUAAUAUCAUAAAUUAAAAAUAAGAUCAAAUAAAAGUGAAAGAAGAAAAAUAAAUUUUUAAUAGAUUAUAUUAAAUUAGUUAGAGAAAUAUUAGGAAAUCAUAAAAUUAGUUAUGGAAAUAAUACAAUCCUUAAAUUAGAUAUGGAAAGUAUCCGAUGUAUGUAUCCAAACCCAAUUUAAUAACCAUUUUUGAAGUAUCCAAUUGUUAAAAUCGGAUUAAUUUUUUUAUUUUGACCCGACCUGUAUUCUAUUUCGUACUUCUCUUUUACUAAUAUAGGGAUAAAUGCAAAGUUUAAAGAGAAAUGAGAAAAUGGGCCAAGGCAUUGUGAGUGGGCCUUCGACCAUGAAUUGGGAUGAUAAAGGGAGGCUUGAAAGUGUUACUUAUGCCUCAUUAAAAACCUUGUCAAGAAAACCCAUUGGGACAAAGAGUGCAUAAGCAACACUUACCCUUUUAUCGAACCUCUUGAGCCGUGAUCGCUAUUAAGGAGGAUUGAGCAACAUCUACUUGAAUCUUGUUUAGCUCCUUGAGUAGACAAUUGAUGGCUUGGUUGAACUUCUUGAUCCGUGAUCGCUAUUAAGGAGGAUUGAGCAACAUCUACUUGAAUCUUGUUUAGCUCCUUGAGUAGACAAUUGAUGGCUUAGUUGAACUUCUUGAUACGUGAUCGCUAUUAAAGAGGAUUGAGCAACAUCUACUUGAAUCUUGUUUACCUCCUAGCGUAGAAAAUUGAUGGCUUGGUUGAACUUCUUGGAUCUUGAUCAUGUUAGAGGACCCGCCAGAACAGUCAAUGCUUCCUCCAGUACAAGCUGCUCCUCGGCUACAAGCUGCUCCUUGUCGGCGUGUGGUCUGGUUCGAUUAGUCAUGAUCUCAUCAUCCUCUCCCACUUGAAAAGGAUUUGUCCUCAAAUCCGAAUUAUGUGCAAAAUAAGGUUGAAGAUCAGAAACGUUGAAGCUACCAUUCACAUUACACUUACCUUGGAGAUCGAGGUUUUAGGCGUUGUUGUUGAUCCAUUUGAGCACUUUGAAUGGUCCAUUGAUUCUUGGCAUUAGAUGGGAUGAAGCCACACUUAAUCGCCUUUCUUGAAGAUGACUUCUUUUCGGCCUUUGCUUGCGUACUUCUUGUAAAGCUUUGUCCGGGCUUCAAGAUUCUCCUUAGUAUUCUUGUGAACCUGCUGCACUAAAUAAGCUUUCUUCUUGCCAUCAACACUUGAUUUUUCACUCAAAGGUAAAUGCAUUAGAUCCAAAGGAGAUGUGGGAUUAAACCCAUAAACGAUUUCAAAAGGAGAAAACUUAGUCGCAUAAUGCUUCGAAUGAUUAUAAGAAAAUUAAACAUGCGGCAAGCAAUCUUCCCAAGUAUUAAGGUUAUUUUUAAUGAGCACACACAAUAAAGUAGACAAGGGUCGAUUAACAACUACAGUUUGACCAUCGGUUUGCGGAUGACAUGUAGUAGAGAAAAACAAUUUAGUUCCUAACUUCAACCACAAAGUUUUCCAAAAAUAACUAAAGAACUUAGUAUCACGAUCAGAAACUAUGGUCUUAGGAAUGCCAUGCAAACGAACAACUUCUCUAAAGAACAAGCUAGCAAUAUGAGAUGCAUCAUCGGUUUUAUGACAUGGAAUAAAAUGCGCCAUUUUAGAAAAACGAUCAACAACUACAAAAAUAUAAUCCUUACCAGCCCUAGUCCUAGGAAAUCCUACCACAAAAUCCAUAGAUAUAUCAUUCCAAGGAUGCAAAGGAAUAGGUAACAUGAUAUAUAAACCGUGGGGUUGAACCUUAGCCUUAGCUUGUUUACAAGUCGCACACCGUUCAAAUAGUCGCUCGACAUCUCUUUUCAUGUGCGGCCAGUGGAAGUGUUCUUGCAUCACCUUGUAUGUCUUGGCAACUCCAAAAUUUCCCAUUAAGCCACCUCCAUGAGCUUCCCUUAGAAACAAUUCUCGCAAAGAAGAGUGAGGCACACAAAUUCUAUUCUCAAAGAACAAAUAUCCAUCAUGCCGAUAAUAUUUUCCAAAGGCAAACUUCUCACAAGUUUGAAAUAUUUUGCCAAAGUCAGAAUCAUUAGCAUACAAGUCUUUUAUUUGCUCAAAACCCAACAAUCUUGCAUCCAAAGAAGUAAGCAGAACAUACCUCUCAGAUAAUGCGUCGGCUACAAUAUUAUCUUUACCUUUUUUGUACUUAAUCACGUAUGGAAAGGUUUCUAUGAAUUCGACCCACCGUGAAUGACGUUUGUUGAGCUUUUGUUGACCUUCUAUGUGCUUGAGAGACUCAUGGUCGGUAUGAAUGACAAACUCUUUCGGCCAUAGAUAGUGUUGUCACGUAUGUAGUGCUCGGACCAACGCGUAUAGCUCCUUGUCGUAAGUCGGUUAGUUGAGUGUCGCUCCUCAUAGUUUCUCACUAAAGUAUGCUAUGAGCUUAUGAUCCUGCAUCAAAACAGCUUUAAUACAUAUACAGGAGGCAUCCCACUCAAUCUCAAAAGUUUUCAUAAAAUUAAGAAGAAUUAAAACGGGAGAAUUAGUGAGCUUCUCUUUCAAGGCUUGGAAUGCAUUUUCUCGUGCAUCUUCCCACUUAAAUCCAACAUCCUUCUUGAUAACUUUCGUAAGCGGGGCGGCAAUGGUGCCGAAAUAUUUAACAAAUCAUCGGUAAAAUCCCGCUUGAUAACUUGCAUUAUAGAUUUUGUGCAUAAACAGGUGUUUACCCAAGGGAAAAGAAGCAAAUGAGGACAAAUCGACCAAGUGUAGCUGUUGCAUGCGAUCGAGCAGGAGGAUCCGAGCAAUGGAAUCCAUCGAGUGUUUGAGUGGACUAGAGAAGCAGCUCGACCAACCAUCCGAUCAAGUCAUCCGAACAAACUGAUCGAGUGCACGACCGAGCAGACCGAUCGAGCACAAUUAAACCAACUUUCUAUGUUGUUUGCUAGUGUUUUAGGGCUACUUAAACUUGCUAUAAAAUGACUCUUUGCUUAAUGACUGAUUAUCUCGAGUUGUAUUAGGGUUUUUCUUCAAUUUGCUUUAGAAUUUCCAAAAUCUUGUAAACUUCAUAUCUUUUCAUCUAUUGAGUAUUUUCUGUUGCUUCUUUGUAUUAUUUCGCUUCUCUCUCUUAGAUCUAUCUAGUUUUGCAUGAUUUAGAGAUUUUUGGGCUUGAUUUCUAGAGCAUGAUUCUUAAGGUUUUGGGGAUGAGCUAGAUUUGUAGGUGGAGAACUUUAGAUAGCUAGGUUGCCCAAGUGGUGAUUAACUUUUAGGCUUCCACGCCAGAGAGUUAUUCGAUGGAAUGCCGGAUAAUCUAAUACCAGAAAACUUCAUGUCUAGCCCAAGAUAUUGGUUGUCUAGAGUGUUAUUUGACAUUAAGGAGUUGAGUCUUAAUGCCUGUUCAUUUCAUGUUUCAUCAACCAGAAGUUUAGAUUAGGAAUUGAUUUGAAUUUGAUAGCCUUUGUCAAGAGAUUGAAUUGGUUAGCUUAUGAGCUUGUUGUCUAGGAAACAACAUUGUUUGUGUUUGAUUGAUUUAGCAACCUAGUGAACAUAAAGAUCUCCACUGAAGUCACCAUCUCAUCCCUAGGACCUCCCUUUAAUUGAUUGAUUUACCUUGCUUCAAUUCUGUUCUUGCAUUCUAGUUCACUGCAUGUUAUGAUUUCUAUAGUUUCAUUUCUGUUUUAGGUCAAUGUUGUGUCUUGCUCAGUUCCUGCUUGUUUUAAAUUCCAUAGUUGAUAGUUUAAAACCUGAUAUUAUGGAUCGAUAAACCCUUUAUAUUCCAAUUAUACUGAGUGAUUGAUACCAUUAGCAGUAAAAAUUUAGUAUCAAUUUGGCGCCGCAACCAUUUGGACGUUUAAGUAAUCGACCAAAGCACUCGACUGAUCCGAUCGAUUUCACUGAUCGAGCUUCUGUUCGAUUCCGUGUUUGCACACAAGGUCUAAAGGUAGUAAGAAUCUUCUCGAAUAUCUCGACAACAAUGACAGACUUCCUAAAGCUUUGAGAGAGCAGAGAGAUCAGUUAAAAAAGAAAACAACAGUCGUUGACAUGGAACCUCAUCAUAAUACGAAUCAAAGGCGUACAACACACAUAGGUGCAGGAGAUGCUCUUAAUAGCAAUAUCCAAAGGUCCGAGAUAGUACCACCAGCGGUUCAGAAUAAUAAUUUUGAAAUCAAGAAGACGGAUUCAAGCUUCAGCUCUUUCCUUUCUCACUUCGAGACAAGGCUCACCAAUGGGAAAAGGGUUUGCCUGCUGGUUCUAUGACCACUUAGGAGGAGUGUAAAUGUGCUUCCCCGUCCAUGUUCUUUUCCAACUCCCGCACCGCCCGUCUUAGGAAUCAAAUCUCAUUCUUCGCCCAGAAGAACAGCGAGACGUUGUGUGAAGCAUGGGAACGGUUCAAGGGAUACCAAUCUCAAUGCCCACACCAUGGGUUCACUAAGGAGUCCCUUCUCAGCACACUAUAUAGGGGCGUGUUUCCUAAGAUCCGCAUGUUGUUCGACACCGCAAGUCAUAGAAACUUCUUAAACACAUAUGUGGAUGAUGGAUGGGAGCAUGUUGAGAACCUUACCCAAUCUGAUGGGAAUUACAAUGAGGAGUAUGAUAGAACAAAUAGGGGAAGCUCAGACCAUGAAGAGAAGUAUAAGAAGGACUUCAAGUCUUUGAAUGAUAAGACUGAUAGGAUACUUAUGGCACAACAGAAGACUGUUCACUUCAUCUCCAAAGAAGAGUAAUUCCAACAAGAAGGGGAAGGUGAUGGUACAGAGGAAGUUAGUCACUUGAAUCAAGGAGGAUUUCAAAAGGAUUUCUCAAAGUACAAGGUGAACCCAAAACUAUCUUACAGAAGUACAAAUGUAGCAAAUCCUCAAGACCAAGUCUACAAGCAACAACAACAACAAGCUCAGAACAAGCCUUUUGUUCCCUUCAAUCAACAACAAGGAUUUGUCUCCAAGCAACAAUUCCAGCAAGUUUAUUCCGCACCUCCACCGGGUUUUCAACCGUAGCAAAUGGCAUCACCACAGGAUAUUGCCUUGAAGAAGCUAGCUGCAAUUCAGAGCCAAAUGACAUUGUAUUACAAUGACCUUAACCUGAAGUGUGAUGCCAUAAGAACAUGUGUCACAUCUUUAGACGGACGAGUAACCUCCACAUGUUCUGGUCAGCUACCAGGAAAGUCUAUUGUCAACCCCAAAGAGUUUGCUUCUGCCCAAGCCAUUACUUUGAAGUUCCCAAAGUACAGUGAAGAUCAAGUUAGGGGGGGGGGGGGGAAUUUGAAACGAAUCAACCAGGCUACUAGACCAAGCAAUCGACUAGCCAAUCGAGUGCUCAAUCGAGUGCUUUCCAACACUCCCCAAACGGUUGCAUCUCAGGUUAAGGCCCCAAUUUUCUGUGAACCACUUCCAUUUCCAGGAAGAUUCAAUGCGGAGAUGAAGGAAGAAUACAACAAGAUCCUUGACUCUCUAACUGGGCAUGAACAGGUAGCUGCUCUAGUUAAAGCCUUUCCUCAUGUUCUAACCUCCAAGGCUAUUCUAAAAGAGGUUCUACUCGAGAGGAUUCAUAAGAAGAGUACAGAGAAUGAGGGUUCUCAAGAGAUCACCACAGUCAACAUACUACCCAAGCUUGAAGACCUAGGAGAUAAAUCUUAUCAAACAAGUGCCGAAUCCGAUCAAACAAGUGUUGAAUCCGAUCGAGCAUGCUGUGUGUUUGAACGGACGUGUGAGUUAGCUUCUGACGAACAUUUUUGUCCCAUCAGAGAUGCUAGUCCAAAACCUUCAUCUUGAAGACCAUUGCUUUUUGCAGAGGAGCACAAGGCUGAAAUCAAAGAAGAAUAUAACAUGAUCCUUGACUAUAUAACUGGGAAUGACCAGCUGAAGGCCUUGGUUGAUGCUUUUGCUUAUAUCCCCUCCUAUAGGGAAAUUCUUAAGGAAUUGUUGCUCGAGAGGAUGCUGCAGAAGAAGAAAUGGGAAUCAUCCACUCAAGAUCUUAGUUUUUCCAGAAAGAUAGGAGAUCCUGGAGCCUUCACAGUACCUUGUUCGAUCAGAUCGACAAUUUUCAACGAAUGCCUAAACGAUUCAGGAGCCUCAAUCAGCCUUAUGCCUCUUUCUACAGCGCAACGAAUGGGAUAUACGAUGUUUACGCCUUGUAACCUAACGGUUGUAAUGGCGGAUAGGAGUUCGAAGCAGCCCAUAGGAGUGCUAGAAGACCUUCUAGUAAAAGUUGGGAGAGUCAAAAUCCCUACUGAUUUCUUAAUAUUGGAAAUAAAGAGAGAGCCGCAAUAUCAUUUAAUCCUUGGAAAAUCUUUCCUAGUUUCAGCGGGUAUGGUAAUUGAUGUAGCAAAGGGAACCAUCAGCCUCGAUCUUGGAAGAGAAACGAGGAUAAAGAUCAACAUGGCAAAUCCAUAUCGAACUAUGGUGAUUGGAACAGAAGAAACUUUGUCCUCCUUUCCCACCUACACAGAACUCCAGGUUAUCAAAACUGUUAAGAAUGACUUGAUGAUACUUGCAACCUCUAUUCAAGAGAUGGAUAAGCAAGUUGUGGAGUUGAAAAGGAGUAAUCAGUUCCUAACUUCAAGGAAGGCUAAGAGGGUCUCAGUUUGAAAAAAGGAAUGUUAUGCGCAACAGGUCUCUUGGUCAUUGAUGUUGGAGAGAAUCACUGAGUCUCUCCACGGUUCUAUUCCAACUUGAGGAGCAUGCAAAGUCAAGCUCAGUGACAGUAAACAAGCUCACCUGGGAGGAAGUACCAGUGUUAUCCAAAUAGUUCUUCACUUUUAAUGUUAAUUUUUUUUUUUGUCUAUUUGUGUUUCAGGAAUUGGUUCAAGUAUGAAUACUGGUUCAAGAAGGUGGAAUUCGAUCUAAUAAAUGAUGUAGUCUGAUCGAGUGGGUAUUUGAGAGUCAUUAGGCCCUUAAAAGAACAAAUCUGGUCCACCAAAGCCUUGCACUUGAUCGACCUGGCCCGACCGUUUCCUGGCCCGUUUUCACUCGAGUUUGCCCCAUCUUCGAUGGUUGUAGAAUCAAUUGUAUGCUGACAUUAUUAAUUCUUAAUCAAUAAAGUUUUUCGUUGAAAAAAAAAACGUACAAAAUAAACUAAAAGUAUAUAUUUUGCUUCUUUAUUAUAGGAAUAUUACCCAAAACUAUUAGUAGUUAUAUGUAUGUAAUGAAUAAUUAGUUUUAUUUUUUUCCGAGAUGCGUGCAUGAUGUUCCCGAAGCCAUCAUGGUUAGGUCCAUUAGAAUGCAUCAUAUCUUCGAUAACAUGAUGACAGUACGACUUCAGUUCAAGUUUAGUUAUCUCCGGACAUGUAAACAAAUAUAUUUGAUUAGGAAAAUAAUGUUAAGUAUACAUUGGGUAUUUAUCCUUCAAUUAAGAUUUACACAGCAGACAAUAUAAUUUUACUAACCAGGAUUUGGACGGUCAAUCAUUAUUUGACACCGUAAAUCCCUGCUUCGAUAAGUCCAAGUUAUGCCCCAAACAUGUUGCGCGUCCAAACAGGUAAAAUAUUUCAUGUAUGGGACAAAUAAAUUCCGGAGAUCCCGCGGGAGGCAAUGACCGGAUUUCGAGACGAUAUUGAAGAUAUAUCAUGGUUCUUACGGGUUUUUGACCAUGAUAUAAGUCUUAUUUAUAAAUCUUUUAUAGGGUUUUCGAGUUUUUCUGAGUCAGUUCAGGGUUAGAAGCUAUUUGGCAUGUAUUGGAGCUUUUUGGAGCAUUUGGGAGCAUUUGGAGAAGAUGAGCCGAAAGAAGAUAUUGGGAGAGCAUAUUUGGAGUCAGUGUCGAUCGACACAACACCUGCUGUCGAUCGACACCAAUAUCUGACGGCAAUUGAAUUUCGAAUUUAAUUGAAGUUCAGAAGAUUUGCAUAUUCGGCGCAAAAGUUUUCCUUAUUUGCAAUAAAGCACAGUUCGUGGUGUAGACAUAUAUAUUGAGUUUUUAGGGUUUUGUUAAGACUUAAGAUUUAUUUUGGAGAGAGAGAUUUGUAGAGAGCUAUGAGAGAAGAAUCAAAACCUCUUUCAGAGAAGAUUCAAAAGUCCUUUAUUUCUUCUAUUGAGUUCUUUAAUGAUAUCUAUUUUAUUCAUGAUGUUUGUUUCAUUCACCAUGUCUGAGUAGAUUUCUUGUUAGGUUUAGGGUUUUCAAAGGAAUUCAUGAAUUGUUAGAUUGUUAGGAUGGAAUCAAUAGAGUUCUUCAUCUAGAUUUUGGUUAAUUUGUUCUACAGUAGUGAAAGCAACCUAAAAUUUGAUUCUUAGGUUAACUAGUAGACACGAAAGUGUUAUUAAUUUCCUGAAAAUAAUCUAGAUGAGCAAAAUACCUAUUCGCAAAGAGAUUUGAUUUAGGGAUUUUGUGAACUUAUCAAACCUGAAUUUAAUGCAUGUCUUAAACUUAUAAUUUGCAAAUAGAUUUGGAAUUUAGGGUUCUAGACGUAGAUAGUCUUUGCAACGAAACUUGAUUGAUUAUAUUUUUGUGAUUUGAGUUCAAGAACGGUGCUUUAUAAAUCCUAACAAUUAUUUAUUUGCAAUUCUGAAUUAUCUGAGCAUAUCCCUAGGCCUAGCGUUUCCUCAUUAUUGUUUUAAAACCAAUCUUUAUUUUAAUUUGCCGUUUGCUUAGCUUAAUUUUAAUACCGAUUAUUUAUUGUGUAAUAUUUGAGUCUCUGUAUAUUCGUUCACUAAGUAAUACAGUGAUCUUUUAAUUGAGAGAGUAUCUCAGGGCAAAUUUGAGCCGUGGACAUAGUCUCAAGGAAAUAUGAUUUUUCUCGACUCAAAUGACAUGUUGAUUUACAUACCUUAACACCAGCUGCCACAUAACGCUUUUAUAUACAAGAAAAUAUAGCAAUACCAACUAUAAAAAGUAGAAGAAAAGAUAGCAAUACCAAUUAUAAUCAGUAUAUUUCAAAUUUAAUAAAAAAAUAUUUACAGUCUUACCACAUUAUUAAAGAUUUUUCAACGUAAAUUCCGUAGGUCCCUAUUUAAAAUAACACGAAGUGUUAAGAAAUAGAAAUCUAUAGAUAUUAAAAUAUUAAAUUCGUACAAAUAUAUACCUUCUCGCUAUACAAACCAGAUGAUAAUAAAUUCGCCUCAUGCAGUCAAAACAAAACUUAAUGUUAUCACCUACCUUUUAUUUAUUGUCAUAUACGUAAAGAGUUGGUAAUGACGACAAAAUUUAAUUAAUACCAACCUUUUCAUAAAACUCCAUCAAAUAUUCUCCGUGCGAACCUCUCUUAUGACCGUCGGGAAGAUAUUAGAUCAUUUAAAAGUUAGCGAGUAAGGUACAAUUACUAAUAGAAGAGAAUUUAGUAAGGAUUAAUUGUUUACACAAUCAUAUAGAGUCUCCAAAUUAAAGCUAGCGUCUUCCGAUCCCGAUAUUAUAAAAUUUUCCCUAUGUUCGUGGAUAAAAGGAACCAAUAACAUACCGUGUUUUAUAAAUGUUAGUGUAGAGAUCAUAGUUUUAGAACAUAACUCUAGAAUUCUUGUCUCUAAAUAUACAUGUUGAAAGGAUAUAAUUUUGUAUUCUAUAUCCCUGCGCGUCCUAUGUUUGCGUAGAGGUUUAAAUGAAUUGAUUUGGCCACCUAUGUCAACAAAGUCUACUUAUCUUUUUGGUAAAAGAUCCUUAGAGAACUCUACAGUUAAGCGUGCUUAUGCUCGAGUAGUCUCCGGAUAGGUGAACUUCCGGGAAGUGGUUGUAGGAACGGUGUGAGUGAGGAAAAAACACCAGGAAAGAUCAGGUGCUGGUUUGUAGGGUCGGUAAACAAGUUCUCAAGCCUCCCAGACGUAACAAACCGACCGCCGAAUUUGGGUGGGCACAUGUGCCCAUUAAGAGAGGUGAGCCUAUGGGCUAAGAAUGAACAUAGUUCGCACUAGAGAGGUGACGGUCGGGGCGUUACAUAUGAUCAUGAAUUUUUCUUGAAAAUAGUGAAAGUUACUGAAAUUUUAAAACGUAUAAUUAGUAAUAUAUAAGGAUGGAUGGAAAGUAAAAGUUAAAAAGUAGAGAACAUUACAGUAAGUAAAAAGUAUUUUGAAGUUGUAUGACACAUAUUAUAUGUUACACGUUCUAUGAAACAUCGCCCUACAACGUACUAAAAUAUCUAUAAUCACAAUCUCCAGAAAUCUAAAAAGUAGAAGACAUUAAGACUUACGUAAGCCGAGCAAUAUUUUGAGUUUGUAUGAAAAAUAUCUCAUGUCAAAUAUCAAAUAUUUAUAAGAAAAUAUGAGGCAGUUAUAAUCUAGGGUUUACCUUGACAGCGUUGCAAAAUUAUGUAUGGUUCUAAUUAGGGUGCCAAUUAGGUAAUCUUUUAUAAAUUUUCAAGCAGAAGGCAUAUUAAAGUGGACUCUUUUUUUUUUUUUUUUUUGUCAUAGAGUUUUUAAGCACUAAAUACAAUACAGCCAUAAGCUAAUAUUACAAAUAGACUAAAUUUUGUAACCGAAUCAUCCGCUUCGGUUAGCUGCUUAGAUCGACAAAGAGGACAACUAAGUGGACCUUAUUAUUAACAUAUAAAUAACUCAAUAAACUUUAUGGACCCGUUUUAUUUGGUUGGAAAUAGUCAUAUCAAUCUGAAAUAGUAAUCCAACGUAAUGAAUGUUAUUGACCCAACUUUAAAGCCCAACAACUUUGACCCGUUUAGUGGAUCUGACGACCCGACUGUUGUAUUUAGUAGAGGGUAUAAUGGUCUUUUCUAGGCCAACGAUGCCCUCAUAGGCCUCCAAACCGGGUAAAGUGCUUGUCAAAUAAUAUAUAUACUAGGUUUGGACCCGCGUCACAGUGCGCAGAAAAUAAUUACUUAUCUAUAAUAUUUAACGGAUUUUUUAAAAUAAUUUAUUUAAUCUUUUACCCAAAAAAAAAUUUAACGGAUUAAAUUAUAUUACAUUUUAAUUUUAUUAGUGCAGUCGAUUACAGUAAAUCAUAUAUUUGUAUAAUAAGUUUAAAUAAAAUAAUAAAGAAAAAGCGAGUAAAUAAUAAUAUAUUGAGUUUUGAUACAAUUAAAAAAAGGGUGAACAUUUAACAGCACGAAAGAAUAUUUAUCGAUAAAUUGUUCAAUUUGACCAUUUUUGGAAUAGAAGUAGGAAUAGACGUUAAAAUUACACACUUACAAUAUAUUUUUGGAAGAACCAACCCGUAACAGAAUUCAUAUCGUAAAAAAAUAUUAUUCAUAACUCGGUUUACCAUUACAAUUGUGAUUUUAACAAACUACCCGUGGACUAUUUAAAAUUUACGUAGUUUGAUAUAUAAUAUUUUAUCAAUAAAAAUCAUGUCUCCAAAUUUACAUCUAUGUCUUUAAACAAAUAUUUUAAAUAUGCUUAUGUAACAAUGGUUUUAAUAUUGGUCAUACUUAUAAUGAUUUUAAAUCAUUGUCCAAAAUAUUUAACCGAGUGUAAUUGAGUAUUAUAUGUCCGUUUUGAAAAAUUUAAAUUGCAGCAUAUGCAAAAAAAGUUAAAAAUUUUUGAAACAUUUUUAUUAUUUAGUAUAAUAUCAGAAAUUAAAAAAAAGAUCAAAUAAAAGUGAAAGAAGAAUAAUAAUUUUUUUAAUAUAUUAUAUUAAAUUAGUUAGAUAAAUAUUAGGAAAUCCUAAAAUUAGUUAUGGAAAUAAUAUAAUACUAAAAUUAAAUAUGGAAAGUAUCCGAUGUAUGUAUCCAAACCCAUUUUAAUAUCCAAUUUUAAAGUAUCCAAUUGUUAAAAUCGGGUUAUUUUUUUAAUCUUGACCCGACACGCAUUCUAUUUUGUACUUCUCUUUUACUAAUAUAGAGAUACAAUUUUAUAAAAACAACUAAUGUAGUUGUAGUUGUGUGCGAUUUACAACCGAAUAAAAAAUAUUCAACUUCCAAAAAUAACUAAAACUCUAUAAAUUUACUUCCACAAUCAAACAUUUUUUUUGUGAGCUCCAAACCAAGUGGUUCAACCGGUUUACCUGGUCACGGGUUAAUUGCAAGUUGUUAUGAGGUUUUCCGGGUUUUAGAUUGUCGAUUUUUAGUAUUUAACCCAAACUGGAGAAGUUUCAAGUUCAUGGGUUAACCGGUCGGACAGACUGGCUCAAUCUAGGCAUGAAAACAUUGGAAAAUAGCAUGCGCCAUAGCGCAGUAUUUAAGUAAAGUUAACUAUCCAAAUGAUUUCCUUCUUAGUUGAUCUCAAAGACAAUGAACUACAGCGGAAUCGAAAGAACCUAGCGAGACAUGUUGACCAUAUUAUCAACGCCUCCUAGUCCUACGACAAGAAUGGGGUUGGUUGAGAGGAGCUCCACACUUGUAGCAAAAAGGCAACCCACAUCUGCAAAAAGUGUCUAAAGAUAUAACUGUUUUGUUUAUUUCAAGUUUUUUUUUUUUGUAUUGCAAACAAGAACAAAGAAAGAUACCUGCAUAUCACGGUUGAGCAACCCCUAGUCUUUUGAACGUAGAAUUUGCAAUUAGGACAUCUUUUCCACUUCUUACUCUCAGCCAUCUUCUUCAACAAAAUAUCAUCUCUUUCUCUUUCGUUCUCGCCUAACUUCUGAAACUCCUCACAUGUUAUCUCCGCAUGCCACUUAGUCCCACACUCUACACAUACCAUUCUAUGGCAGUGAGGGCACUCUGAUUCUUUUAUCUUCUCAUCCAUGUAGACCAAAGCAGAACAAUCUUUAUACGGACAGUAGAAUCUAGUCGAACCGGCAGUUAUCACCGCUUCGCAGAGAGCGUCGCCCCAACGAUCAAAGACCUCUCCCGGCAAGAUUAAACGGCAUUGGUCAGGCUCGAGCUGCCCGGGGCAACCAGAAACAGGGCAUUUGAUUGAGAGGAUGUUGUCUUGUAACCUAGCAGCUAUAUACUUUGAGACACAAUCAUUACAGUAGGAGUGAGAGCAUUCAUUGAUUCGAAAAGAUUCAAUCUUUGGUUUGCGUUCAACACAUAUCUCGCAAUCAAAGGUUCGUCUAGUGGAUGAGGACGACGAGGACUGUCCCUUUCCCAUAGAGGUUGGUGUGAAACAGAGGAUCUUGAGAUCGUCAUCUUCAUCAAGAUCAACGUAGUUUGAGAAGUCUGAUUUGACUAGGGUUUGUUGUGAAGAACCAAGCCGGGGAUAAAGGUGGCGUUCACGGUCGUAGUCCUCGAUGGAGAUGGCGUCAAGUUUUGUUGAACCACGAGCAGAGAGAGGUGUGGAGAAGAUGGAUUUGUUGUCUCUGUCGCCAUUGACGGUGGCUGCAUUGAUCGACUGUGUGGUCAUUUGGUUUAACCACGAGCAGAGGUGUGGAGAAGAUUAGGGUUUUAUGUUUCUCUUGCUUGCGUUGUUAAAUUUGAAUUUUGGUUUUUUUUUUUUGUCAUGUUAAAUUUGGUUAUAAUUAUUUAAUGGUUACUUUAUAUAUUUUUACUUGCCUUUAUAAUAUGAUGGUAUAUUUAAAUAAUAUUUACUUUACAAUAUGAAGUAUUUGUAAUUAUAUACAGUAGUUCAAAUAUAUAAAGUAAAUUAUUAUUUUUUCUGAUUAAACUAACCUACAUAUAAUUAAACUAAUUGUAGUCAUGAACCUAUAAAUAAUUAAAUUAUUUUUUUAUUUAAUUAACGGAAAUGAGUAAUCUAUAUUAAUAUUUUUGCAGCAGUUUUGUAAAAAACCUUGGAGUUGAAACUUAUUUACAAGCCAUUGCCACUCACAUUACUUGAAUUUCUCCCUAAUUUUAGAAGAAAAAAAAAUUAAGUUACACAUCAAUAAACAAUUAAUUCAGAAAAAUCCCUAAAUUCAUUCUCCUCAAAUCUAUCUAAUUUAAUCUAUUAACAAAAACAUUUUAAAAAACUUUUAACCCUCAAUUUUAAACAUAUAUAUAUAUAUAUAUAUAUAUUAAAUAUAUAGAUAAUACAUAAAUAUUAGGGGGAUUUGCACAACUAACAUUUUUAUGAUACCCUUUUUUACAAGUAUCCUCUCUAGGUGUCCAUUUUCAAAAAUACCAUUUUCAAUGUACAAAAUGACUAAAUUACCUUUUUUAUUAUAGCUCAUGAUGAAGAAAGGAAUAUUCUUACCAACAAAAAGAAUAUUGCUUCCAACAAAAAGAACUGCAGAUCAAUUGGUGACAACUUGUCAAGUGGGAAGUUUGUUAAAGGGUGAGGACCUGGGUUCGAGAAACGCUAGGCGCACCAAUAACCUACCUGGUGGGCCAGCAGGCUGCGAGCAGUGGGCUGUGCAGUUUGGGCCCGCAGGAGAGAGGUUAGGGUCGAUGCGCUGCAGCGUUAUAUCUACCAUGUGGUGGGCUGUGCCAUGUGGUAGGGGUUCCCACGGGAUGGGUUGUUACAGGGAAAAAGGUGGCGAUCACGGUCGUAAUCCUUGACGGAAAUGGCGUCAAGUUUGGUUGAACCACGAGAAGAGAGAGGUAUGGAGAAGAUAUAGAUGGUGUCUCCGUCGCCAUUGAUGGACUGUGUUGUCAUUGAAGGAUAAGAUUAGGGUUUUGUGUUUCUCUUGCUUGCGUUGUUGGGUUGGUUUCUGAAGCGUCUCAUUUUUGGUGUUAAAACUUAAACAUAGGGUUGUGUCUACAGAAUAGUUGUCCAAAAAUUAAAUAACUACUAUAAUUUUACAAUUUUUUUUUGGUGAAGCACUAUAAUUUUAAAAUUUAAUGCCUAUGGGUAGUCAUAUAUUCUCUUAAGAUUUUUUGAUAUACUACCAGUCUCCAGUCAGUCUUCCCCUAUUUUCUUUCCAUUUUCCGUUUUCAAUUUUUUUUCAAUUUUUUAUUAUGAUAUUUUCUGCAUAAAGAAAUAUAUAUUCUUUAUAUAUUUAUUAGAUUAUAGGGCUGAUUAGUUACGGUUGUACAUUUAAAUAAUCGUGCGACUACACUCGCGACUUACUUUCAAAAACCGUGUUCUGUAUUUUUUUUUUUUGUUUUUUUUGAUACCUUGUAAUUAUGAAUAUAUUCAGGGGCAUAAAUGUAAAUUAAAUCAUCUAAACUGAAGAAGAAGAUAAAGAGUGAGAUCCAUAAAGCUUUAACGAUGGCAUUUCGAAAUCGUGCGACUGUUUCUUGUUUGAAAUCGUGCCACUUUCUCCAGCGAUUUUAAAUCCAUCAAUCUUUAAUCGCAUCGAUUGAAAACUUUAAAAUAAAGUAGAGAUGAAUGAGAUUUAAAGACAAUUCAGUUACAGAAUAAUCAGUUGCAGGUAAGAAUCUCACGAUUCUUAAAAGAACACGGCCUUAAAGACAGAUUGUUUUGGAUCCGGGUAUGAUCUAUUCGGAUCUUGAAUAAGAUAUUAAUAUCUGGUGUGAUGACAUGUGAAGUUUAAUUUAUUAGCUGGUAUAUUUUCCUGGAAAAAAUAAAUAAAUCAAAAGAUAAUAGCUAACCACAAUUUAUGGAAAAUUAUUUAAAUUUGUUACUAUAAAAUCCAGUCUAUUAAAUUCAAAAUUAUAUACAAUAAACAGAUUUUAGAUACUUUUAAUAUAUCUUUACCUAGUUUAAACAAAUAUAUUUCAAAAAAUUACUAUUAUACAUUCACUUUUAUUUAAUUUUAUUUCUAUUAUUUUAUUAUAUAAUACAUAUGUUGCAAUUAGAUCUUUUUGAUGGACAUAUAUUACUAAAUUGAUAAAAAGGUAUAUUCACUUUUUAAAUAUCUUGAUGAUAUCUUUUGCAAAUGUCAAGCGGUCAACACCAUAGACAUAAAUUCUGGUACACCGGUCAACUGAUUCUGGCGUUGACCGGUGUUGACUCCGGCGUUGACCGUUUUUGACCAAAACAAUAUUCAAAUUUUUUUUUUAUAAUUUUAUUUAUACUAUUAAAAAACUAAAAAACUAUAAUUUUUUGAACUUUUUUAGUAUACAAAACUAUAAAAAAUUUCAAAAUAUGAUAUUAUUAAAAAAUAUAAUUUUAGGAAGAAAAUGACGACGGUGAUUUUGUAUUUAAUUCAAGAUAUUAAAAUCUAAAUUAAAACUAGAAAAAUUCAUGAUACUAAAAUCUAAAUUAAAACUAGAAAAAUUCAAGAUACUAAAAUCUUAAUUAAAACUAAAAAAAUUCUGUGAAUUAGUAAGGGAAGUACUUAUUUUUAUAUUGUUAAUAAAAAAACAUUAACUUAUUAUUUGAUUUUAUUUAAAUACAAAAUCAGCAUAGAAAAUUCCUAAGAUUAUAUAUUUUUCUUUAUAUAAAACCAUAAACAAAUUAAUAAAAAACUGUUGAUUUUUUUAUAUAUAUAUUCAAUAUAUAAACACUAAUUUUGUUUAUAUAGUUAAUGUAUCCAUUCUUAUUAUAAUUAGUUAUUUUUAAACUAUAGAGCUAAUUAAUAGUAAAAUAAUUAUAAUCUAAACUAAAACUGGAAAAAUCUUAUGAAUUAGUAAGGGAAUUGCUUAUUUUCACAUUGUCAAUCAAAACCAUUAACUUAUUAUGUGAUUUACUUAAAUACAAAAAAUCAUUGUUACAAUUUUCUUCCUAAAAUUGUAUUUUUUUUGAAGUAUACAAAACCUUAAAAAUUCAUUAUAAAAUAAUUAUAGUUUUUAGUUUUUUUAACAGUAUAAAUAAAAUUAGGGGAAGUUUCAAAAAUACCCCUUUUCCAAUAACACUUUUAAAAAAUACCCCUCUUUCUAAUUUUAUCAUAAAGUCACUAUAAAAUUUGAAAUUUAUCAAAACAAUAUGUGUAAACUUAUAUUUAUAGACACAAAUUAUCUUUAUAUGUGUGUAAAUUUAUAUAUAUAUUUCAUAAAUACCGUAUAAAUACCGUUUUAAAAACAUAUAAAAACCUUAUAAAAACUUUGUAAACCUUUUAAAAACCUUAUAAAAACCAUAUAAAUGCCGUUUAGAACUUUUUAAAACCUUCGAAAUAUUUGGAUUUAGUCUCCCAAUAGUAAUGAUGAUUUUGAUAUACCUUAUCAACCAUAUAAGAGUUUAUAAUUUUUCAUAUUUGAAAAGGGGUAUUUUUGAAAAUGUAUAGAAAAGAGGGGUAUUUUUAAAAAGGGGUACACCAAAAAGGGUAUUUCUCAAAAAUGCUCAUAAAAUUAUAUAUUUAAAAAGGGAAAAAAGUUUAAAAUACUUUAUCUAUUUUUUAUUUGGACGUUUAAUACUUGAUCUUUUUUUGUUGGAAAAAUAAUACCUAAAAUAAUAAAAAAGUACAAUUUAAUACUUAAAAUAUGAAAUAUUGUCAUUUUCAUACCUACGAUCUCUCAACAAAAAAAAUAUUACAAUUUUACCCUUAUUAAUUUCUAUUUAUUAUUAGUGCAUAAAUGACAUUAAAUUAAGUAUAAUUUUAUUUGAAGAAAAAUAUUUGUUAGUAAUAUUUCAAUAUAUCAUUAAUUUAUAUAUUUAAUUCAAAAUAUAAUUUCAUAUUUCAUUUCUAUCAAAAAUAUUUUUUUAAAGAUCAGGUAUUAAAUGUCCAAAUAAAAAAUUAAUGAGGUAUUUUUAAGCUUUUUAUUUUGAAUAUUUUGUUUGGUCAAAAACAGUCAACGCCAGAGUCAACACCGGUCAACGCCAGAAUCAGUUGACCAGUGUACCAGAAUUUUAUGUCUAUGGUGUUGACUACAUGACGUUGUAUAGUUGAUGCAUGUGACCAUGCAAUACAUAUAGAUCGUGUAGCUGAGUGUACAAUAUAAUACUUAGCAUGUGUGACCAUGCAUUCUUCUAUAGUUUGUGUAGCGAACCAUAUUUUUUCCAUAUCUUUUUCCAAAUCUAUACUAUAUAAAAGUUGAAGUUAUAUAAGCUCCUAAAGGCGUCCACAUAUGAUUUUAAACGACGAAUCACGGUUAGACAUCUCAAUAUUUAACAUUUUUAAAAUUAUGACGAAUUUUAUGUUAAGAUUUAUUUUGUAAAAAGGCAAAUAAUAUAUAUAUAUAUAUAUAUAUAUAUAUAUAUAUAUAUAUCUGGAAAUAAAAGAUAUAUUUUAAAACAUGAAAAUAUUUCUAAAUUUAGUAUUUCUUUUUCAUAAAAAAUAAAUGAUAUAAAACUAAUCAAAAUAUAAAAAUUUAAUUUUUGUUAAAUUAAAAACGAAAAGACUUAAAAUUAUUUAUUAAAUAUUUAAAUUAAAAUACUUCAUAAUUUAUUGUGAAUAUUGUGUUUAAGUAAAUUUCUAUUUAUAAAAAGUAAAAUCGAGUUGAGUAAUUAAGACAACUAGCCCUAACAAUUCAACUAUAAAUAAAGAGUCUAGACCUUUACAUUAGUAUCUUGUUCUAUUAGUUUCGUAGUUCUGAUGUUUUUUUUUUUUGGUGCAGUUUGAUUUUUAGAUAAUAUUUUUUUUUUGUAUUUGCGUUUUUUGAAUUGUUUCAAUGAUUUCAUUUGUUUAUCAUCCGUUUAUGAUUUUGUGUUCCAUUCAAGGUUAUAAUUGUGGUUUUAUAGUGUUGUAUUAUUUUGGUGUGUUUUAAUUGUUUAGUGCAAUUCUAACUUUUUGUUUUCUUACGUUUUGUUUAUGUAAUCGGAGUAUUGACUAUAUUGGAAUCUUUGAUUGAAAAAGUCUUUUAAUGAAGUAAUUGGAGUUGAUGUUAGGCAGAGGAUGCUAAAGUAAAAAGCACAAUCCAAUAUCUUUAUUUGUCUGCUUUUUGUUUGUUUAUUAUUUAUUGAUAUCUUGGUUAUUUAAUUUAUUUGUUUAUGAAAUUUAGUAUGGGUAUUCUGGAAGUAUAAAACUAAAUUACGGUAGAAAGUAAGAAAGACAUCUAAUUCGAGUUUAGGAGUUUAGAUGAACGAUGUUGUUUUGAGUAGUUAAUUCAUUAAUCAUCAACGAUAAAUAAUUUUAACCAAAAUAUCUCAAAUAUACCCACGCGUAGCGUGGGUUCAAAACAUAGUAUAUUAAAAACUAAGUCUAACAACCAUUCUAAAAGUAAACUAAUCCUAUUUUUAAAGAUGUAAGUAACAUAAUUAAGCAUUGUAAUUAUUCGAACUUUUUUUAAAGAAAAUUCAUUGUUUUUUGUUUCUUAAGUUAAGAAGCUAGCAAAUAAAUAUGAUUUCAUCAUGUUUAGUUUAAUGGUGCAUGUUUAUGAUAUUAGAAUGGCCAUGUUUUGUUUCGGAUUAAAUUUUAUUUAAGAAUUUUAUUAUGACAUAUUCAACUGUGUACAUUUUGGUGUAUGUGAAACUAAAACAUUGAAAUCUCCACAAUAGAAAAAUAUUUACCAAAUUGUAUUUUAACUAUUAAAUAACUUUCGUUAUACUAUCUGCUUAAAUAGGAUACAAAACUAUAAUACUGUCUACUUAAAUAAUAUACAAAACUAUCAUACUGUCUACUUAGGUGGUGAAGAAUCUUAUAGAGUCUCCGUUAUUGAUGCACAUUUACAAGUAGAGGUUAAUGGUGUUUUUGAUUAACGGCGGAAAAUAUGUAGGCAAAAUAUUGGCUUGAGAGGAGAGAAAGAGAAAUAGAAAAAGUAGAAAAAUAAGGUUGUGACAAGAGAGAGCACCAUUAACCUUAACAAGCAUUCACAUACAGUACGUUUAAGAAGAAAGCUCCAAAGCUCAAAAGGAGUUGUGGAAGGAGAAUUCUGAAACGUUGAUCGAAGAAGAGACGUGACGGUGAUCAAAGUCAGACACCAAACAAUAAUGGAGCAUAAACCGGUUGAAAAUUUAACUGAAGAAAAAGUGGAUAAGAUACACGCGUAAAACAUCAUGAAGACGUUAUGGUGAUCAAAGAAAGACACCAAAAAAAGGAUACUUACCUAGGAGAAAAAUAGAGCAUAAUUCGGUUAUAGAGAUAGCCGAAGCAAAAAUGAAAAAGUUUACGCAGAAAUUUGGUGAUAAAAAAGAAACUAAAAGGAAAUAAAAAGAAAGCUACUUAAAAGAAAGUGAGUGGAAGAAGGUUAAAACAAAAGGGACGUGACAAUGUUUAUAACUUGUGUGAUAAGAAAUCACCAAGAAGGAGACAAAAGAUGUCAUUCUACUCCUUUGAAAGCUAUGACAAACUAAGAAGGAAGCUUAGUGUAAGACCAAAACUCAAUUAAGGGGGAGUGUUGGUCGAUAAUUGAUUUUCAGAGUUAAAAUGUUUAGGUCGUGACGUUUCUGUUUGUUUUGUUUCACUGAACAGUCACUAAGUAUGAAGAGACACAAGUCAAUGUUUUGUUGUCACUAGAUCAAUCGGACAACAAGCCAUACACAACAUGAAAUGGUACUUACAUACGUUCCAUAAAAUAUUCAAUCUAUAUGUAUUGUGUCAUGAAGAAUAGUACAUUUGAUUUAGACAUAUUGUUUGAGUUUUUAAUACAUAUCUCGUGGUACCCGAGGCUCCACACCUUGCAAUGUAUAGAUUUUCUCCUUUUAUUUGUUAUCUUUUAUUUUACCUUAUCUUUUAUUUGACUAGUUUGAACAAAAUCUAAGAAUCUGAUCAUAGCUUAUCUUAUAUUCAAACUUAUCUUUUAUUGACUGGUUUGAAAUAGUAUUAAAUCUAUUAUUUGACUUGUUUGAACUUUGAACUAGUAGUUUCUUGGAUAAAGUUACCCUUAAAAAUCCAUCAAUUUGAUUCCCCCUUCCCAAAAAAAAAAAAAACAAACAACCAAAGGAAAAAAAUCUUAUAAAUUUUAUUCUUCAUUAAUUUAAUUUGUUGACUAUCAAAAAUGAAGAAAUAAUUUUUUUGUCUAAGUAAAUCAAAUUAAAUAUGAAGUCAAAGCGCCACGUUUCAAAUUACCAUAAAUGAAAUGCUCAUUAAGUGGUAAGAAAAAAUUUAGCUUAUCUUAACAUGUAGGAUUUCUUUUUCCCCUUAUUUAUGUUUUUGGUUUGGGUUUAAAAAUCAUUCAGGAAACAAGAAAUAUUUUAUUCAUGUCUUUCAUAUCUUCUCUCCCACCUGAUUUUUCACAAAAAAUUGCUUUUUCCACCGGCAAAAGAUAAUGUAUAAUGUCAAGCCUGCGAGAUACGACAAAUACCCAAGCGUAGCAACAAUUAGACAAGUAAAGUCUGAUUCUUAUAAAAAAUUUUGGUUUUUUUUAUCUAUGACAUAUUCAGAUUUAUAAGUCUUUUGACAAUCGAAUUAUAUGCAAAUAGGCUUGAAGAAGAAGCAUAUAAGGACAGAAGAGGAUGAUGAACGAAGUAAGAACUAUUGUUUAAUCCUUUUUAUUGGUGAGUUUAGCACUGAAGUAUUUGAAGCUUUUUUUAAAUCUUAUGUGGUUUUAUUUUGACACUGUACAUACGAGAGGGAAGAGAGUGAGGAUGAACAAUUAACGAUCUGAAGCUGGUUCGUCUUCAUUGACCAACUCUCGUUCUCUGCGCUUUGCUAUGGCUUUAAAGUCAAAUGAAAACUCUCUCGUGAGUGUACUCGCAUUAAAACAGCUUUGUGCAUUUCGUUUCAGAUGUGAUUGUUGUUUUGUUAGUCUAGUUUAGUUUAGGAGAAUUAAUACUUUAAAACAAAAUGAAUAGUUCAAUAUGGUUUUGCUUAGGCUUAUGUACUUGUUCUAUAUGUUUUACCUUGAAUUUUGGUUUACAUUGACAGUCUUUUAUUCAAGCUACCAAUCAAAUUUUGUUUGGAUUUUGUUAAUUAUAUCAAUCAAUUAAAAUUAAAAAAGGAGAGUAAAGAUUUUAAUUUCUUUUGAUGGAUUUGAUUUAAAUAUUAUGAGAUUUUCCAUAUUUGAUAUUUGUUAGUCAAAGCUUUUUUUUUUAAUUAUUAGGUAAAAAUCCAACGAAGAGUCUCCUCUCUUGUAAGUUGUAAAUAUAGUGUUGAAGAAGAAGCGUACAAGGGGACAGAGAAGGUGCUGAACCAGAUAACACCACUAACAUCAUCUUAGUUUGAUGAGUUUUAAAUUAAGAUAUCUGAAGCGGGUUUUGACUUGUGUGCUUUUUUUGUUGACACAGUAUGUACGAGAUGGAAAAAAUAGAGAAUGAACAAUUCAUAACCCGAAGUUGGUUCGUCUUCACUGAACAACCCUAGUUGUGUGCGCUUUGCUAUGUCUUCAUAAUCAAAGGAAAAUUCUCUGGUGAGUUCACUCGCAUAUGAACCGCUUUGUGUAUCUUGUUUCAGAUGUGAAUGUUGUUUUUUUGGUCUAGUUUAGUCUAGGAGAGUUAAUACUUGUCGAAACAAAAUCAAAAGUUUAUUAAUUUAUUAUGUUUUUGGUUUUAGUUUUUUUUACAUACUUUAGGCUUAUCUAUUGUAUUUAAUUGUAUUUUUGGUUUCCACAGAGUGGAAUUUUACAGGAGAAAACAUUUCUUCUGCAAACAAUGCUUGUAUAGCCAUCGAAGAAAUAACAUUCAAGGUAACACCAAUAUGUUGUUUAUUCUUGAUGUAUACUUGAAGUUUUUGGUCAAGUACAAACUCGUGAAUGAUCAGAGGUUAAUAUAUAUUUAAGUUUGGGCACAUUGUCACACCAAUUCUGAUUGAUGUUGUCUCUUCGUUGGAUUCAAUUAUUCAAUAUGGAGAAGUGAUUCAGCAGCCUUAUAAAUCCAAUAUUUUAUUGGUCAUGUCUAACUAUGUCUUUAUUUUUUGGUGAAUAUAAGGCACAAGUUUUGAGCAAUGCAACUACACUACUUGAACAUAAUCCAAUAAACCUAGAUGUUUACAAUACAAUUACCCAUGGAAGACUAGCAUCGGUUCGUCUAGACCUCGUUCCACCACUCUUUGAAUACUUUAUGGAGAGUAAAAUGAUUCUAAAUCCCAAAAAAACAAGAAAUUGGAAACGUUAGCAAACCUAAUUUUUUGGAUUGAGAGUCUUUUUACUCUCCAUGAAGUACUUCAAGUGUGGUGGAAAGAGGUCUGUACGAACCCGUGCUAGUAUCCCAUGGUAAUAGCACUGUUAACAGCUAGGUCAAUUGGCUUGUUGAUUAGAUAAUGUAAUUGCAUUCCUAAAAAAUUUUGCCUUCUUCACUAAAAAAAGAGAGGCAUAGUUAGACAUGGCAAAAAAAAAUUGGAUUUAUAAGGCUGCUAGAGUCACCUCUCUAUAUUGAAUAAUUGAGCCCAAGGAAGAGACAACAUCGGUCACAAUUGUUGAGACUUUGUGACCAAACUGAAAUAUAUAUUGAGCUUUUAUCAUUCACGAGUUUGUACUUAGCUAGAAACUUCAAGCAUACAUCGAGAAUAAGCAGCAUGUUGUUGUGACCUCGUAUGCAAAAUCUCCAAUGGCUAUACAAGCAUUGUUUGCAAAAGCAAGUUUUUCGCUAUUAAAACUUCCAGUCUAUAGAAAUCACAAAUACGAUCAAAAUUAUGUACAUAUUGUAUUUGUUUUACGUGAGUUUUGGUUAAUAUUUGUAGUCGUUUACUAAAGCUAGCUAAACCAAAUUUUGUUUGGAUUCUUUUAGUAGCAAAUAAUUUUACCUUACAGUGGAAAUUUUACGGGAGAACACCUUGCUUAGCAAACAAUGGUUGUAUAGCCAUUAGAGAAUUAGCAUUCGAGGUAAGACCAAUAUGCUGUUUACUCUUGAUGUAUGCUUGAAGUUUUUGGUUAAGUUAAAACUCGUUAAUGACAAGUGCUAAUUAUAUCUUUCAGUUUGGUUAGGAAGUCUUACCAAUUGUGACUGAUAUAUCUCUUCCUUGGGCUGGACUAUUCAAUAUGGAGAAGUGACUCUAGCAGACUUAUAAAUUUAAUAUUUUAUUGGCCAUGUCUAGACAUGCAUGGCAAUUAAUACAUUGGUUCAUUUAUAAGACCACCAAACUGAAAUGUAAUUGAUCUGUUAUCAUUCACGAGUUUUUACCUAACGAGAAACUUCAAGUAUACAUCGACAAUAAAUAGCAUAAUGGUGUUACCUCGUAUGGUAAUUCUCCAAUGGCUAUACAAGCUUUGUUUGCAGAAGCAAGGUUUUCUCCCGUAAAAUUUCCACUAAAUACAAAUCAAAAUUACUAUUAAAUCCAAUAGCUAAUCAUAAAUACAAUGAAAAGUAUAUACUUGUUCUAUUAGUUUUACUUUAGUUUUGGUUUAAAUUGAUAGUUAUUUACUGAAGCUAGCUAUACCAAAUUUUGUUUGCAUUCUGUUAAUUGAAUCUACCAAAUUUAAAAAUAAAGAAAUUAAGAGAUUUUGGUCGAUGGAUUUGAUUCAUAUAUUAUGAUAUUUUCCAUUUUUGUUAGUCAUGGUUAUUUUAAUGAUAUUGCAAAAGUAAUGAAGUGUUAUUCCAGUAAUCUUCUCAACACAAAUCUAUAUCAAAUCAGCAGUUUUCAAUAUCAACAUAGGGAGUCACAAACAAAUUUUGAAUUUGAUGUUAACAUAAGAGAUAUUUCAUUAUGACGAUGUGGUCGGGAUUUCGAAUAUCAAGAGAUGGAAUAAUAGCUACAGGAGUUGGUUGGAAAAAUUAUGUAAAGUGAAUGACAUAAACAAAGGAGAUUCAUCUACUUUAGAGUUCAGAAAUCAAGAAGAAGACACAACUCUGUUGUUUAGGAUACGUCCUAUAUCUCGAGUCUAAAAAGAUGUAUGUAACAUAAUUAAGCAUUGUAUUUAUUAGAACUUUUAUUAAAGAAAAUUCAUUGUUUUUUUUAUUAGGUUAAGAAGCUAGCAAAUAAAUAUGAUUUCAUCAUGUUUAGCUUAAUGGUGCAUGUUUAUGAUAUUAGAAUGGCCAUGUUUUGUUUCGGAUUAAAUUUUAUUUAAGAAUUUAUUCUGACAUAUUCAACUGUGUACAUUUUGGUGUACAUGAAACUAAAACAUUUAAUUUGAAAUCUCCACAAUAGAAAAAUAUUUACCAAAUUCUAUUUUAGCUAUUAAAUAAAUUUCGUUAUACUAUUUACUUAAAUAGGAUACAAAACUAUCAUACUGUCUACUUAAAUUAGUUUCCAAAACUAGUAACUAACGUGAUCGAGUCAAUUUUAUCGAUUAGAUACAUUUUCAUGUGUAAAACAAAAUUAUUGAUCAACGAUAUACAUAAAAAAUCUAGUUAAAAAUACGCUAUAUAUAAUAUUAAAUGAUAGACCCUUUCUGAAAAGAUACGUAAGGGUUUUGAUCUCCCAUCAGUCCGUAAGCAUUAAAUGUAAAACAAUAGAGUCUUGGGGAUAGAAAGAGUUGGUAAUCCUGAGCAUUCAAAUAAAAAUUUGCAACACAACACAUAAUCAAGCAGAAUUUGCAAGAACAACAAUGAUACAACACAUAUCCAAGCUGAAGUUUUGAUGUGUGGUUAAGAGAUUCAUUGGUUUAGAUGGUGAAGAAUCUUAUAGAGUUUCCGUUAUUGAUGCACAUUUACAAGUAGAGGUUAAUGGUGUUUUUGAUUAACAGCAGAAAAUCUGUAGGCAAAAUAUUGGCUUGAGAGGAGAGAAAGAGAAAUAGAAAAAAUAGAAAAAUAAGGUGGUGAUAAGAGAGAGCACCAUUAACCUUCACAAGCAUCCACAUACAGUACGUUUAAGAAGAAAGCUCCAAAGCUCCAAAGGAGUUGUGGAAGGAGAAUUUUGAAACGUUGUUCGAAGAAGAGUCGUGACGGUGAUCAAAGUGAGACACCAAACAAUAUUGGAGCAUAAACCGGUUAAAAAUUUAACUGAAGAAAAAGUGGAUAAGAUGCACGCGUAAAACAUCAUGGAGACGUUAUGGUGAUCAAAGAAAAACACCAAAAAAAAGGAUACUUACCUCGGAGAAAAAUAGAGCAUAAUUCGGUUAUAGAGAUAGCCGAAGCAAAAAUGAAAAAGUUUAUGCAGAAAUUUGGUUAUCAAGAAGAAACUAAAAGGAAAUAAGAAGAAAGCUACUUAAAAGAAAGUGAGUGGAAGAAGGAUGAAAACAAAGGGACGUGAACGUGACUGAAAAUAUCACAGAGGGGACGUGACAAUGUUUAUAACUUGUGUGAUAAGAAAUCCCCAAGAAGGAGACAAAGAUGUCAUUCUACUCCUUUGAAAGCUAUGACGAACUAAGAAGGAAGCUUAGUGUAAGACCGAAACUCAAUUAAGGGGGAGUGUUGGUCGAUAAUUGAUUUUCAGAGUUACAACGUUUAGGUCGUGAUGUUUCUGUUUGUUUUGUUUCACUGAACAGUCACUAAGUAUGAAGAGACACAAGUCAAUGUGUUGUUGUCACUAGAUCAAUCGGACAACAAGCCAUACACAACAUGAAAUGGUACUUACAUACGUUUCAUAGAAUAUUCAAUCUAUUUGUAUUGUAUCAUGAAGAAUAGUACAUUUGAUUUAGACAUAUUUUUUGAGUUUUUAAUACAUAUCUCGUGAAACCCAAGGCUCCAUACCUUGCAAUGCAUACAUUUUCUCUUUUUAUUUGUUAUUUUUUAUUCUACCUUAUCUUUUAUUUGAUUGGUUUGAACAAAAUCUAAGAAUUUGAUCAUAGCUUAUGUUUUAUUCAAACUUAUCUUUUAUUUGACUGUUUUGAAAUAGUAUUUAAUCUUUUAUUUGACUUGUUUGAACUUUAUACUAGUAGUUUCUGGGGAAACGGCAUAUUACCCCAUAAACUAUGUUACUUUAUCGCAAUCAUAUACGAAACUUUGUCGUGUGCCUAUAACUACAUAAACUUGUAUUAAAUUUGAAUUUCAUACACGAACAAAACAAAUCCGACAUAAACCCACAAAUCUCUAAACGUCGUUAUUGUUCCGUUAACUGAAAGAUGACUAGGAUGCCACGUGGAUGUUGAUAAUACAAACGACGUCGUAUUUAAAAAACAAAAAUCCAUACACAACUGAGAAUCGAACCCAUAACCUCUAAUUUAAUGUUGCAUACUUAGUGCCAUAUGUGCCAACAAAUUUUAUUGUACAUUGACAAUCAAAUAUUAAUUUAUAUAUAACGAUUCUCUGUUUCUCUCAUAGAUUCACUCGUCCUCCAUGACUGAUUUGAAGACAAACGACCAUAAAGGUUUGGUUAGAUCGAGUAGAAAGGAUGAGAAGACAAACGACCAUAAAGCUUUGGUUAGGUUUGAUUUUGUUUCUCUCAUAGAUUCACUCGUCCUCCAUGACUCGUCCUUCCGAUCACUUUUAUAAUUUCCGAUGAGUUUGCUUUCUCAUUCUUAUCGUCUACUUAAUUUCUUUUUUCUCAGAUUUAUUUAUGAACUUAUUAUUUGGUUUAGAUCUCUGAGAUUUGAUCUUUAUUUGACCAUUGUGUUAUAGAUGUAGGAUCUAGGAUCCAGUUGAAGUUGAAUGAGUGAUUGUGGUGGGAAUGGAGAUAAGAUGAAGAAAUGGAACAAAGCGAAGAGAUAGUUUCUUUUUAGUUUUGUUAUUUUCAUUUAGUUUAUAUGUAUAAAUAUAUAUUCAUCUAAGCAACUAACAAUAUGUUCCUGUGGCUCAGUGGUAUUACGGUCCUCUGUCUUAAAGGAACAAGGUUCGAACCUCAGGUAAGUAGUUUUUAUCUUAAUUUUUCUUUUUCAAUCCACUUGGCAUCAAUGUUAGCAUAUUGUUAACGGAAUAUUAACAUCGUUUAGAGAUUUGUGGUUUUAGAUCGAAUUUGUUUUGUUCGUGUAUGAAAUUCAAAUUUAAUACAAGUUUAUGAAGUUAUAGGCACGCAACAAAGUUUUGUAUAUGAUUACGAUAAAGUAACAUAGUUUAUGGGGGAAUAUGCCGUUUUCCCUAGUUUCUUGUAUAAAGUUACCCUUAAAAACCCAUCAAUUUUAUUCCCCUUCCCCAAAAAAAAAUAAGCAAACAACCAAAGGAAAAAAAAUCUUAUAAAUUUUAUUCUUCAUUAAUUUAAUUUGUUGACUAUAAAAAAUAAAGAAAUAAUAUUUUUUUACUAAGUAAAUCAAAUUAAAUAUGAAGUCAAAAUGCCACGUUUCAAAUUACCAUAAAGGAAAUGCUCUUUAAGUGGUAAGAAAAGAUUUAGCUUAUCUUAACAUGUAGGAUUUCUUUUUCCCCUUAUUCGUGUUUAUGGUUUGGGUUUAAAAAUCAUUCAGGAAACAAGAAAUAUUUUAUUUAUGUCUUUCAUAUCUUCUCUCCCACCUGAUUUUCACAAAAAAAAAUUGCUUUAUCCAACGGCAAAAGAUAAUGUAUAAUGUCAAGCCUGCGAGAUACGACAAAUACCAAAGCGUAGCAACAAUUAGACAAAAAAAGUCUGGUUCUUAUUUUUUGGUUUUUUUUUUAUCUAUGACAUAUGCAGAUCUAUAAGUCUUUUGACAAUCGAAUUAUAUGCAAAUAGGCUUGAAGAAGAAGCAUAUAAGGACAGAAGAGGAUGAUGAACGAAGUAAGAACUUUUGUUUAAUCCUUUUUAUUGGUGAGUUUAGCACUGAAGUAUUUGAAGCUUGUUUUAAAUCUUAUGUGGUUUAUUUUGACACAGUACAUAUGAGAGGGAAGAGAGUGAGGAUGAACAAUUAACGAUCUGAAGCUGGUUCAUCUUCAUUGACCAACUCUCGUUCUGUGCGCUUUGCUUUGUCUUCAAAAUCAAAUGAAAACUCUCUCGUGAGUGUACUCUCACUAAAACAGCUUUGUGCAUUUCGUUUCAGAUGUGAUUGUUGUUUUGUUAGUCCAGUUUAGUUUAGGAGAAUUAAUACUUUUCAAAACAAUAUGAAUAGUUCAAUAUGGUUUUGCUUAGGCUUAUGUACAUGUUUUAUAUGUUUUACCUUGAAUUUUGGUUUACAUUGACAGUCUUUUAUUCAAGCUACCAAUCAAAUUUUGUUUGGAUUUUGUUAAUUAUAUCAAUCAAUUAAAGUUAAAAAACGAAACUAAAGAUUUUAAUUUUUUUUUGAUGGAUUUGAUUUAUAUAUUAUGAGUUUUUCCAUAUUUGAUAUUUGUUAGUCAAAGCUUUUUUUUUUAAUUAUCAGGUAAAAAUCCAACGAAGAAUCUCCUCUCUUGUAAGUUGUAAAUAUAGGUUUGAAGAAGAAGCAUACAAGGGGACAGAAGAAGGUGCUGAACCAGAUAACACCACUAACAUCAUCUUAGUUUGAUGAGUUGUAAAUUAAGGUAUCUGAAGCGGGUUUUGACUUGUGUGCUUUUUAAUACUUUAUUGGCCAUGUCUAGACAUGUAGAUUUGUGUUGAGAAAAUUACUGGAAUAACACUUCAGUAUAUUCGAAAUCCCGACCACAUCGUCAUAAUGAAAUAUCUCUUAUGCUAACAUUAAAUUCAAAAUUUGUUUGUGACUCCCUAUGUUGAUAUUGAAAACUGCUGAUUUGAUGUAGAUUUGUGUUGAGAAGAUUAGUAAAAGUAUUGAACUUUAAAUAUCCAAACCAGAAAACCUCUCGGGCACACAUCCCAAGAAUUCAAAUCUCUUUGAAGAGUGCGUCUCAGAUCUGCGUCUUCACCGGCGCGUCCAUCCCACCACUGGAGCGUGGGAUCUCCGACGUCUCUCUGGUCCACUGAUCUACUGGUUCCCUCGGUGUAAUCAUGUCCGGACCUGAAAGUACCCCAUGGCUGUCAUUCCACCAUGACUAAACAAGACUUUUGACUUCCCCUCCUCACCAUCGAAGGUAGAGAGAAACCUUUCUCAAAUUCAAGGCUCGGAAAUUCUGCUCUCCCCGUUUACGUCAAGGCUCGUCCUUCACUCAAAGGUGCACAAUGACUCACCGCCUCUCUUAUGCGGAAAAAGGCAAAGCUAUCGCCUCCUCAAGCAACCCUCCAAGAGUACCGAGGAUCAAAGCCCCAGAUUGUGACAACUCAGCACUCCUUCUCCGCCACAAGCUUACUCUUAUUCGCCGAAUAACCAAUCCAGUAGUCCAAAGGACUUGGUCCAUUCUCCCUUUUUUUACCGAGCACUGGAAAACUUUUUCCAGGCCACUCGGGUCAGAUCUAGGGCAUGGACUGUUUCAAUUUCAGUUCGAUUCAGAAGCAGAUGUGCAGCUCGUCUUGGAAAGCAGACCGUAUCACUUUGCGGGUUAUAUGAUCAUCCUACAACGUUGGGAACCCACCAUUUCUCGAACGUUCCCCUCAGAAAUCCCUUUCUGGAUCCAAGUUACUCGUAUCCCGGUUCAUCUCUGGACUGAGGAUCUUAUCAGAAGCAUUGGAGAAGACAUUGGCUCUGUGGAACAACUGGAUGUUUCUACAAAAAUGGCAAGGAUGAGGGUUCGUAUUAAUGGCCUUAUUCCGCUUGUUAAAACUGCUAUUGUGGAGUUUAAAAAUGGAGAAGAGAUUGAAGCAGAGUUAGUAUAUGAAAGGUUGAAGAAACACUGUCAUACUUGCCAUAUGAUGGAUCAUGAGGACAGAGAUUGUCCUUCUACAAAGCCUAGGAAGAAUCUUCCUCCCCCACCACCUCGCCCUAAAGGUCGUGAUGAUCGCCCUCGCCGCAGUCCUGAAAGAUUAAGAGAAGCGCGAAGGCACUCUCCCACAAGAGCAAAGUCGGUCGCUACUAGAAGCCACAGAUCACGAGAAACCUCUCAUGGCAGACGGAAAGAGUACUCCCUCUCACCUAGAAAAUCUUCCCCUGUAAGAGAGAGCUCUAGACACUCCUCUAGUCGCCUUCACAACAAUGAUCACUCUUCCCGGCAUCCUUCGGAGAGUGUAGGGCAUAGCUCCUCUCAUCGGGAAAAAGAGCCAGGACCUAGAUACUUCUCUAGCAGCUCUCGACAUUAUUCCAGAAGCUCAAAUCCUACCCCUCGGUCGAUGAGAGACCUUCAUGAAGAUACAAGGAGACAUGUAACCAAUUCACACCGCAGAACCCCCGAGGAAACCUCACAAGCUACAUUGCCAAGGGAACAGGUCAUUCCUUAAGCAGCCCUUGAUGUGGCAAUGGGAGAACUCCGUGAGGUUAUGGUACAAUAUGCAAGCUGCCCUGACCCUACAGAGAGUGCUGCAAGGAAGGAAAGAAUCAGACAAGCUGAAGCACUAGGAGAGUUUGAAGAAACUGCAGCACAAAUGGUAUCUAACAGCUUGGUUGUAGCAGCUCCCACUGCGGAGGAAAGAUUCUCCCCAGAACUUUCCAGCAGCCAUGAACGCAUCCCUGUAGCUCAACGAUUGGGACCUACUAACUCUCUUAUCCCACCCCCAAGACCAAAAAAGAGAGUUGCAGCUAAGAAAAGGUUAGGAAGACCUGUAGGGAGACCCCCAAGGAAAGCUCAGAGCAAAAAACACAGCCCCCGCAUUGUUCCCGGAGGAAAAUCAAAGAAGAAAAGGAAACUGCUCCUAAACCACACAUCUCCAAGAAGACGGCUAAACAUGGAUCCUCACCUAGCCCCUGGCACUCAAAUCUCAGAGGAGGCCGAUGAUAUUACGGGACAGGAAAUGAUUGCAGGGACCUCAGGGCAGAGGGAUUUUCAAGCCGGUCAAGCUCUCCUUCCUUAGAUAUUCUAUGUUGGAACUGUCAGGGUUUGGGGAACCCAAUGACAGUUCGUCGCCUAAAGGAGAUGAAUCGGCAGUUUUCCCCAGAGAUUGUCUUCCUUAUGGAAACCAAGAAUCAACAAAACAUUAUCCUGCAAGCUAAGGAGGAGCUAAGGUUUGAUCACCAUCAUAUUGUCCCUCCUCAUGGCCAUGGUGGUGGCGGCUUAGCCCUUUUAUGGAAAAAGGAAGUUGAAGUGGAGAUCAUCUCAUCCUGUGAUAAUUUCAUUGAUACUAAAACCACAAGCCACAGGAAAUCCUUCUUUGCUUCCUUCAUUUAUGGUGACCCUGACCAAAGCAAGAGAGGAUCAGUCUGGGAUGCUCUUAAAUGUAUUGCCAUGAACAGAGCGGCUCCCUGGUUCUUAUCUGGAGACUUUAACGACAUCACUGACAACUCAGAAAAGAGAGGAGGUCCUCUUCGCCCUGAAGGCUCCUUUGUUGAGUUUCGUUCAUUCAUCUCGGAAUGUGAUCUUUAUGAUCUGGGGUACUCAGGAAAUCCUCUAUCCUGGAGAGGCUCUAGACAUAAUCAUGUGGUUUCAUGUAGGCUAGAUCGAGCUAUGGGAAACAGUUAAUGGGCAGAAGAAUACCCGGAUGGAAGAUGCAAGUACUUGAGGUUCGAAGGAUCUGACCACAGACCUCUUAUUUCUCACUUUUCAUUAACUCCCAAGAAGAAGAGAGGCCUUUUCAGAUAUGACCGUCGACUUAAAGAAAACCAGGAAGUCAAGCAAUUAGUGGAGGAAACCUGGUUAAAGGAGCAAGAUCUGGCUGUCCAGUCCAGAAUCACCCGCUGCAGACAUGCAUUAGUGGCUUGGAAUAAGGAGAACCAAAAGAAUAGUCAGUUGACUAUAACCAAACUUCAGGAAGAGCUUGAAGCGGCAAUGGUCAGCAGUAAUCCGGUCGAGGCAGUGAUUGCAAAAAUCAAUGAGGCAUUGAAGAAAGCUUAUAGAGAGGAGGAAGCAUUCUGGAAGCAGAGAAGUCGUCAACUUUGGCUUUGCCUUGGAGACCAAAAUUCUGGUUUUUUCCAUGCUGCCACAAGAGGUAGAAGAGCAAUUAACAAAUUCUCUGUCAUUGAAGAUGAGGAAGGAUCGGCGGUGUUUGAAGAAGACAAGAUAGGGGAAGUGAUUUCUUCUUACUUUCAAAAACUUUUUGCUUCUCCUGUAUCUGUUUCAAGAGAUUUGGAUGAGACUAUUUGUGAAGCAAUUCAACCUUGUAUCACUGAUGAAGUAAACCAGGCCUUGAUUGCCUCCCCUACUUCUAAGGAAAUCAAAGAUGCAGCUUUUUCUAUACACCCAGGAAAGGCUCCCGGGCCCGAUGGUUUUUCUGCUUGUUUCUUCCAAUUAAACUGGGAUGCAGUUGGACCAGCUAUUGUUGCGGAGAUCCAAGAGUUCUUUUAUUCUGGUGUAAUGCCACCUAAUCUCAAUGACACUUUUAUAAGAUUGAUCCCCAAGACUCAAUGUGCUAAAAAGGUGGCAGACUUCCGCCCUAUUGCUUUAUGCAACGUCUACUUCAAAGUCAUAUCCAAACUCCUCUCAAGACGCCUCCAACCAAUCCUUGACCCCCUUAUCUCGGAUACUCAAUCAGCAUUCGUUCCAGGAAGGGCGAUAUCAGACAACGUGCUAAUCACCCAUGAGGUUCUGCACUUCUUAAAGACCUCAGAGGCUGAAAAACAUUGUUCAAUGGCUGUGAAGACGGACAUGAGCAAAGCAUACGACCGGGUGGAAUGGAGCUUCAUUGAGAAGGUUCUAAAAAAGAUUUGGUUUCCAUCCCAAAUGGACUAACUGGAUCAUGCAGUGUAUUUCCACUGUCACUUACUCAUUUCUGGUUAAUGAUUCCCCGAAGGGUAAAGUUAUCCCUCUGAGAGGCAUUAGACAAGGGGAUCAGCUCUCACCCUAUAUCUUCAUCCUCUGUAGUCAGGUUUUAUCAGGAUUAUGCAAUGCUGCUCAAGAAUCCGGAAACUUCUCUGGCAUUAAAGUAGCAAGAGGUUGUCCACGCAUUAAUCAUCUAUUAUUUGCUGAUGAUACGAUGUUUUUCUGCAAGGCAAAUACCAAAGCUUGUUAUGGGCUGAGAAGUAUCCUAAAAAGAUAUGGCGAAGCCUAAGGAAAGGUGAUAAAUAAAUUGAAGUCCUCUAUCUCCUUUUCCAGGAAGACUCCAGUCUGGCUAAAACAAAGGAUCAAACAGGAACUUGAGAUUGGGGUAGAAGGUGGUGUAGGAAAAUACUUGGGUCUCCCGGAGCACUUUGGAAGGAAGAAGAAGGAUUUAUUCUCCUCUAUUGUGGACAGAAUCAGACAACGAGCUCUUUCCUGGUCUAACAAGUUCCUCUCGGGAGCUGGAAAGUUGACUUUAUUGAAGAGUGUGUUAAUGGCAAUGCCAUCAUAUGCCAUGUCUUGCUUCCUCCUCCCUGUUUCCCUGUGUAAGAGCAUCCAAUCAACACUCACUAGAUUCUGGUGGGAUGCAAAAGCAGAGAAGAAAGGUAUGUGCUGGGUAGCUUGGGACUCGCUUACAAAAUUCAAAUUGGAAGGAGGUUUGGGACUUAGGGAUAUACAAGGAUUUAAUGCUGCGCUGCUUGGAAAACUGGCUUGGAGACUGUUUCAAAAUCCUAAUUGCUUGCUGGCCAGGAUUUUGCUUGGAAAGUAUUGCCAUUCCACAGAUUUCUUGGAUUGCAUCUGCCCCGGAUCAGCUUCUCAUGGCUGGAGAAGCAUCCUAGCAGGACGAGACCUGCUUAAGAAAAGGUUGGGUUGGGUUCUAGGUGAUGGGCAAUCCAUCAGGGUCUGGGAUGAUCCAUGGCUCUCUUGCUCUAAACUGGUCCAACCAACAGGACCUUCCCCACGAGCACUUAAAGACUUGAAGGUAUGCGACCUGUUCAUUUAAGGAACCCUGGAGUGGGAUGAGGUCAAAGUACAGGAAACCCUCCCCCACUUUGCUGCUUCCAUCAUGUCCCUCAAGCCAAGUAGACUCGGUGCAAAAGACAAGAAAAUAUGGGUGGGUAAUGCUUUAGGUACUUACUCUACCAAAUCUGGCUAUUAUGUGGCCAGAGAAAAUCUAGCAAUCUCCAAUCCUUUGUUGCCUCAAAGAGAUGUGGAUUGGAAAAAAGAAGUGUGGGCUGUUCACACUUCCCCUAAGUUGAAAAUGUUUCUCUGGAAAACAUUACAUGGUGCUCUCCCAACUGGUCAGCAACUGGUCCAUAGGCACAUCCCGGCCAACCUGAGGUGCAGCUUCUGCGGGGAGGAUGAAUCUAUCACUCAUCUCAUGUUUGCCUGCCCUUUUGCAGUUAGCGUGUGGGAGCUAGUCCCUUUCUCUGCUCCCUUUAUCUCCUCGCAGGUGGUAGAAGUGCGUGUUGGUUUAGCUGCAGCUUCAAAGCUCACCUGUCUCCCUCCCGUCGGCCUUACUUCAGGCCCUCUCGCUCCAUGGAUUUGCUGGAAUUUAUGGAAGUCAAGGAAUCAAAGAGUUUUCAAUGAUAGGAAUUUCUCGGCGGAGGAAACUGUGCUAAAAUCCAUUCUAGAUGCCAAAGAAUGGUUCUCGGCACAGUCAUCCUUCCCCUCUCCCCCUACCCUGCGACCGGAUGCUCAUCACAGGAAUCGACAAACUCAAGACCAAUUUAGCAUGAGUUGCAAGUCGGAUGGAGCUUGGCGUAAGGACCUGCAGACAGCGGGCCUUGGUUGGACCUUCACAAACAGCAAUGGUGAUACUUCUCUCCAUUCUGCUAUUUGUGAGCAUGUUUCUUCACCUCUUAUGGCAGAAAGUUUAGCCUGUAGAGCAGCUCUCAUGGAUGCGAAAUGGUGUUACCUCGUAUGGUAAUUCUCCAAUGGCUAUACAAGCUUUGUUUGCAGAAGCAAGGUUUUCUCUAGUAAAAUUUCCACUAAAUACAAAUCAAAAUUACUAUUAAAUCCAAUAGCUAAUCAUAAAUACAAUCAAAAGUAUGUACUUGUUCUAUUAGUUUUACUUUUGUUUUGGUUUAAAUUGAUAGUUAUUUACUGAAGCUAGCUAUACCAAAUUUUGUUUGCAUUCUGUUAAUUGAAUCUACCAAAUUUAAAAAUAAAGAAAUUAAGAGAUUUUGGUUGAUGGAUUUGAUUCAUAUAUUAUGAUAUUUUCCAUUUUUGUUAGUCAUGGUUGUUUUAAUGAUAUUACAAAAGUAAUGAAGUGUUAUUCCAGUAAUCUUCUCAACACAAAUCUACAUCAAAUCAGCAGUUUUCAAUAUCAACAUAGGGAGUCACAAACAAAUUUUGAAUUUAAUGUUAGCAUAAGAGAUAUUUCAUUAUGACGAUGUGGUCGGGAUUUCGAAUAUCAAGAGAUGGAAUAAUAGCUACAGGAGUUGGUUGGAAAAAUUAUGUAAGGUGAAAGGCAUAAACAAAGGAGAUUCAUCUACUUUAGAGUUCAGAAAUCAAGAAGAAGACACAACUCUGGUGUUUAGGAUACGUCCUAAGUCCCGAGUCUAAAAAGAUGUAUGUAACAUAAUUAAGCAUUGUAUUUAUUAGAACUUUUAUUAAAGAAAAUUAAUUGUUUUUUUGUUUAUUAAGUUAAGAAGCUAGCAAAUAAAUAUGAUUUCAUCAUGUUUAGUUUAAUGGUGCAUGUUUAUGAUAUUAGAAUGGCCAUGUUUUGUUUUGGAUUAAAUUUUAUUUAAGAAUUUAUUCUGACAUAUUCAAUUGUGUACAUUUUGGUGUACGUGAAACUAAAACAUUUAAUUUGAAAUCUCCACAAUAGAAAAAUAUUUACCAAAUUCUGUUUUAGCUAUUAAAUAACUUUCGUUAUACUUUUUACUUAAAUAGGAUACGAAACUAUCAUAAUGUCUACUUAAAUAGUAUACAAAACUAUUUUUCUCAAAGUACUAUAUCUUAAUUUGUUAUCUUAUGAAUAAAAAUUAGUUUCCAAAACUAGUUACUAACGUGAUCGUGUCAAUUUUAUUGAUUAGAUAUUUUUUCAUGUGUAAAACAAAAUUAUUGAUCAACGAUUUAAAUAAAAAAUCUAGUUAAAAAAAUGCUAUAUAUAAUAUUAAAUGAUAGAUCCUUUCUAAAACCAUACGUAAGGGUUUUGAUCUCCCAUCAGUCCGUAAGCAUUAAAUGUAAAACAAUAGAAUCUUGGGGAUAGAAAGAGUUGGUAAUCUUGAGCAUUCAAUUAAAAAAUUCAACACAAAACAUAAUCAAGCAGAAUUUGCAAGAAGAACAAUGAUACAACACAUAUCCAAGCUGAAGUUUUGAUGUGUGGUUAAGAGAUUCGUUGGUUUAGAUGGUGAAGAAUCUUAUAGAGUUUCCGUUAUUGAUGCACAUUUACAAGUAGAGGUUAAUGGUGUUUCUGAUUAACGGCAGAAAAUCUGUACGCAAAAUAUUGGCUCGAGAGGAGAGAAAGAGAAAUAGAAAAAGUAGAAAAAUAAGGUGGUGACAAGAGAGAGCACCAUUAACCUUCACAAGCAUUCACAUACAGUACGUUUAAGAAGAAAGCUCCAAAGCUCCAAAGGAGUUUUGGAAGGAGAAUUUGAAACGUUGUUGGAAGAAGAGUUGUGACGGUGAUCAAAGUGAGACACCAAACAAUAAUGGAGCAUAAACCGGUUGAAAAUUAACUGAAGAAAAAGUGGAUAAGAUGCACGCGUAAAACAUCAUGGAGGCGUUAUGGUGAUCAAAGAAAGACACCAAAAAAAAGGAUACUUACCUCGGAUAAAAAUAGAGCAUAAUUCGGUUAUAGAGAUAGCCGAAGCAAAAAUCAAAAAGUUUAACGCAGAAAUUUGGUGAUCAAGAAAAACUAAAAAGAAAUAAGAAGAAAGCUACUUAAAAGAAAGUGUGUGGAAGAAGGUUGGAAAAACAAGGGACGUGAACGUGACUGAAAAUAUCACAGAGGGGACGUGACAAUGUUUAUAACUUGUGUGAUACGAAAUCACCAAGAGGGAUACAAAGAUGUCAUUCUACUCCUUUGAAAAAUUGAAAGCUAUGACGAACUAAGAAGGAAGCUUAGUGUAAGACCGAAACUCAAUUAAGGGCGAGUGUUGGUCGAUAAUUGAUUUUCAGAGUUACGACGUUUAGUUCGUGGCGUAUCUGUUUGUUUUUUUUUUCACUGAACAGUCACUAAGUAUGAAGAGACACAAGUAAAUGUGUUGUUGUCACUAGAUCAAUCGGACAACAAACAACAAGCCAUACACAACAUGAAAUGGUACUUACAUACGUUUCAUAGAAUAUUCAGUAUAUUUGUAUUGUAUUAUGAAGAAUACUACAUUUGAUUUAGACAUAUUUUUUGAGUUUUUAAUACAUAUCUCGUGAAACUCAAGGCUCCACACCUUGCAAUGCAAACAUUUUCUCUUUUUAUUUGUUAUUUUUUAUUCUACCUUAUCUUUUAUUUGAUUGGUUUGAACAAAAUCUAAGAAUUUGAUCAUAGCUUAUGUUUUAUUCAAACUUAUCUUUUAUUUGACUGGUUUGAAAUAGUAUUUAAUCUUUUAUUUGACUUGUUUGAACUUUAUACUAGUAGUUUCUUGAUAAAGUUACCCUUAAAAACCCAUCAAUUUGAUUCCCCCUUCCCCAAAAAAAAAAAAACCAAACAAGCAAAGGAAAAAAAUCUUAUAAAUUUUAUUCUUCAUUAAUUUAAUUUUUUGACUAUAAAAAAUAAAGAAAUAAUUUUUUUGACUAAGUAAAUCAAAUUAAAUAUGAAGUCAAAGUGCCACGUUUCAAAUAACCAUAAAGGAAAUGCUCAUUAAGUGGUAAGAAAAGAUUUAACUUAUCUUAACAUGUAGGAUUUCUUUUUCCCCUUAUUUGUGUUUAUGGUUUGGGUUUAAAAAUCAUUCCGGAAACAAGAAAUAUUUUAUUUAUGUCUUUCAUAUCUUCUCUCCCACCUGAUUUUCACAAAAAAAUUGCUUUAUCCACCGGUAAAAUAUAAUGUAUAAUGUCAAGCCUGCGAGAUACGACAAAUACCAAAGCGUAGCAACAAUUAGACAAGUAAAAUCUGGUUCUUAUAAUUUUUUUUGGUUUUUUUUUAUCUAUGACAUAUUCAGAUCUAUAAGUCUUUUGACAAUCGAAUUAUAUGCAAAUAGGCUUGAAGAAGAAGCAUAUAAGGACAGAAGAGGAUGAUGAACGAAGUAAGAACUUUUGUUUAAUCCUUUUUAUUCGUGAGUUUAGCACUGAAGUAUUUGAAGCUUUUUUUAAAUCCUAUGUGGAUUUAUUUUGACACAGUACAUACGAGAGGGAAGAGAGUGAGGAUGAACAAUUAACGAUCUAAAGCUGUUUCGUCUUCAUUGAACAACUCUCGUUCUGUGCGCUUUGCUAUAUGGCUUCAAAAUCAAAUGAAAACUCUCUCGUGAGUGUACUCGCAUUAAAACAGCUUUGUGCAUUUCGUUUCAGAUGUGAUUGUUGUUUUGUUAGUCCAGUUUAGUUUAGGAGAAUUAAUACUUUUCAAAACAAAAUGAAUAGUUCAAUAUGGUUUUGCUUAGGCUUGUGUACUUGUUCUAUAUGUUUUACCUUGAAUUUUGGUUUACAUUGACAGUCUUUUAUUCAAGCUACCAAUCAAAUUUUGUUUGGAUUUUGUUUAUUAUAUCAAUCAAUUAAAAUUAAAAAACGAAACUAAAGAUUUUAAUUUUUUUUUGAUGGAUUUGAUUUAUAUAUUAUGAGUUUUUCCAUAUUUGAUAUUUGUUAGUCAAAGCUUUUUUUUUUAAUUAUCAGGUAAAAAUCCAACGAAGAAUCUCCUCUCUUGUAAGUUGUAAAUAUAGGUUUGAAGAAGAAGCAUACAAGGGGACAGAAGAAGGUGCUGAACCAGAUAACACCACUAACAUCAUCUUAGUUUGAUGAGUUGUAAAUUAAGGUAUCUGAAGCGGGUUUUGACUUGUGUGCUUUUUUUGUUGACACAGUAUGUACGAGAUGGAAAAAACAGAGAAUGAACAAUUCAUAACCCGAAGUUGGUUCGUCUUCACUGAACAACCCUAGUUGUGUGCGCUUUGCUAUGUCUUCAUAAUCAAAGGAAAAUUCUCUGGUGAGUUCACUCGCAUAUGAACCGCUUUGUGUAUCUUGUUUCAGAUGUGAAUGUUGUUUUUUUUUUCUUAGUUUAGUCUAGGAGAGUUAAUACUUGUAGAAACAAAAUCAAAAGUUUAUUAAUUCAUUAUGUUUUUGGUUUUAGUUUUUUACAUACCUUAGGCUUAUCUAUUGUAUUUAAUUGUAUUUUUGGUUUCCAAAGAGUGGAAUUUUACAGGAGAAAACAUUUUUUCUGCAAACAAUGUUCGUAUAGCCAUCGAAGAAUUAACAUCAAGGUAACACCAAUAUGUUGUUUAUUCUUGAUGUAUGCUUGAAGUUUUUGGUCAAGUACAAACUCGUGAAUGAUCAGAGCUUAAUAUAUAUUUAAGUUUGGGCACAAAGUCACACCAAUUCUGAUUGAUGUUGUCUCUUCGUUGGAUUCAAUUAUUCAAUAUGGAGAAGUGAUUCCAGCUGCCUUAUAAAUCCAAUAUUUCAUUGGUCAUGUCUAACUAUGUCUUUAUUUUUUGGUGAAUAUAAGGCACAAGUUUUGAGCAAGGCAACUACACUACCUGAACAUAAUCCAAUAAACCUAGCUAUUUACAAUGCAAUUACCCUUGGAAGAAUAGCAUUGGUUCGUCUAGACCUCGUUCCACCACUCUUUGAAUACUUUAUGGAGAGUAAAAUGAUUCUAAAUCCAAAAAAAACAAGACAUUGGAAACGUUAGCAAACCUUGUUUUUUGGAUUUAGAGUCUUUUGCUCUCCAUGAAGUAGUUCAAGUGUGGUGGAAAGAGGUCUGUACGAACCCGUGCUAGUAUCCCAAGGUAAUUGCACUGUUAACAGGUAGGUCAAUUGGCUUGUUGUUUAGAUAAUGUAAUUGCAUUCCUCAAAAAUUUUGCCUUAUUCACCAAAAAAAAGAGGCAUAGUUAGAUAUGGCGGCAAAAAAAAUUGGAUUUAUAAGGCUGCUAAAGUCACCUCUCUAUAUUGAAUAAUUGAGCCCAUGGAAGAGACAACAUCGGUCACAAUUGUUGAGACUUUGUGACCAAACUGAAAUAUAUAUUGAGCUCUUAAAAUUCACGAGUUUGUACUUAGCUAGAAACUUCAAGCAUACAUCGAGAAUAAGCAGCAUGUUGUUGUUACCUCGUAUGCUAAAUCUCCAAUGGCUAUACAAGCAUUGUUUGCAGAAGCAAGUUUUUCGCUAUUAAAACUUCCAGUCUAUAGAAAUCAAAAAUACGAUCAAAAUUAUGUACAUAUAGUAUUUGUUUUACGUCAGUUUUGGUUAAUAUAUGUAGUCGUUUACUAAAGCUUGCUACACAAAAUUUUGUUUGGAUUCUUUUAGUAGCAAAUAAUUUUACCUUACAGUGGAAAUUUUACGGGAGAACACCUUGCUUCUGCAAACAAUGGUUGUAUAGCCAUUAGAAAAUUAGCAUUCGAGUCUUAAUGUAUGCUUGAAGUUUUUGGUUAAGUUAAAACUCGUUACUGACAAGUGCUAAUUAUAUCUUUCAGUUUGGUUAGGAAGUCUUACCAAUUGUGACUGAUGUGUCUCUUCCUUGGGCUGGACUAUUCAAUACGGAGAAGUGACUCUAGCAGCCUUAUAAAUUUAAUAUUUUAUUGUCGAUGUUUAGACAUGCAUGGCCAAUGAUACAUUGCUUCGUUUAUUAGACCACUAGAAUCACCGCUCCGUAUUGAAUAAUCGAGCCAAAGGAAGAGACAACAUUGAUCUCAUUUGGUGAGACUUAGGGACCAAACUGAAAUGUAAUUGAUCUCUUAUCAUUCACUUGUUUUUACGAAACGAUAAACUUCAAGUAUACAUCGACAAUAAAUAGCAAAAUGGUGUUACCUCAUAUGGUAAUUUUCCAAUGGCUAUACAAGCUUUGUUUGCAGAAGCAAGGUUUCUACGGUAAAAUUUCCACUCAAUACAAAUCAGAAUUACUAUUGAAUACAAUAGCUAAUCAUAAAUACAAUCAAAAGUAUGUACUUUUUCCAUUAGUUUUACCUUAGUUUUGGUUUAAAUUGAAAGUUAUUUACUGAAGCUAGCUAUACCAAAUUUUGUUUGCAUUCUGUUAAUUGAAUCUACCAAAUUUAAAAAUAAAGAAAUUAAGAGAUUUUGGUCGAUGGAUUUGAUUCAUAUAAUAUGAUAUUUUCAAUGAAGUGUUAUUCCAGUAAUCUUCUCAACACAAAUCUACAUCAAAUCAGCAGUUUUCAUUAUCAACAUAGGGAGUCACAAACAAUUUUUGAAUUUCAUGUUAACAUAAGAGAUAUUUCAUUAUGACGAUGUGGUCGGGAUUUUGAAUAUCAAGAUAUGGAAUAAUAGCUAUAAGAGUUGGUUGGAAAAUUAUGUAAGGUGAAUGGCAUAAACAAAGGAGAUUCAUCUACUUUCGAGUACAGAAAUCAAGAAGAAAACACAACUCUGGUGUUUAGGAUACGUUCUAAGUCCCGAGCCUAAAAAGAUGUAAGUAACAUAAUUAAGCAUUGUAAUUAUUAGAACUUUUAUUAAAGAAAAUUCAUUGUUUUUUGUUUAUUAAGUUAAGAAGCUAGCAAAUAAAUAUGAUUUCAUCAUGUUUAGUUUAAUGGUGCAUGUUUAUGAUAUUAGAAUGGCCAUGUUUUGUUUCGGAUUAAAUUUUGUUUAAGAAUUUUAUUAUGACAUAUUCAACUGUGUACAUUUUGGUGUACGUGAAACUAAAACAUUUAAUCUGAAAUCUCUACAAUAGAAAAAUAAUUACCAAAUUCUAUUUUAGCUAUUAAAUAAAAUUCGUUAUACUAUUUACUUAAAUAAGAUACAAAGCUAUCAUACUGUCUACUUAAAUAGUAUACAAAACUAUCUUUCUCAAAGUACUAUAUCUUAAUUAGUUAUCUUAUUAUAAAAAUUAGUUUCCAAAACUAGUAACUAACGUGAUCGUGUCAAUUUUAUCGAUUAGAUAUUUUUUCAUGUGUAAAACAAAAUUAUUGAUCAACGAUAUAAAUAAAAAAUCUAGUUAAAAAAUACGCUAUAUAUAAUAUUAAAUGAUAGACCCUUUCUGAAAACAUACGUAAGGGUUUUGAUCUCCCAUCAGUCCGUACGCAUUAAAUGUAAAACAAUAGAAUCUUGGGGAUAGAAAGAGUUGGAAAUCUUGAGCAUUCAAAUAAAAAUUUGCAACACAACACAUAUCCAAGCAGAAGUUGCAAGAAGAACAAUGAUACAACACAUAUCCAAGCUGAAGUUUUGAUGUGUGGUUAAGAGAUUUGUUGGUUUAGAUGGUGAAUAAUCUUAUAGAGUUUCCGUUAUUGAUGCAUAUUUACAAGUAGAGGUUAAUGGUAUUUUUGAUUAACGGCAAAAAACCUGCAGGCAAAAUAUUGGCUCGAGAGGAGAGAAAGAGAAAUAGAAAAAAUAGAAAAUAAGGUAGUGACAAGAGAGAGCACCAUUAACCUUCACAAGCAUCCACAUACAGUACGUUUAAGAAGAAAGCUCCAAAGCUCCAAAGGAGUUGUGGAAGGAGAAUUUUGAAACGUUGUUCGAAGAAGAGUCGUGACGGUGAUCAAAGUGAGACACCAAACAAUAAUGGAGCAUAAACCGGUUGAAAAUUUAACUGAAGAAAAAGUGGAUAAGAUGCACGCGUAAAACAUCAUGGAGACGUUAUGGUGAUCAAAGAAAGACACCAAAAAAGAGGAUACUUACCUCGGAGAAAAAUAGAGCAUAAUUCAGUUAUAGAGAUAGCCAAAGAAAAAAUGAAAAAGUUUACGCAGAAAUUUGGUGAUCAAGAAGAAACUAAAAGGAAAUAAGAACAAAACUACUUAAAAGAAAGUGAGUGGAAGAAGGUUGAAAACAAAAGGGACGUGAAUGUGACUGAAAAUAUCACAGAAGGGACGUGACAAUGUUUAUAACUUGUGUGAUAAGAAAUCACCAAGAAGGAGACAAAGAUGUCAUUCUACUCCUUUGAAAGCUAUGACGAACGAAGAAGGAAGCUUAGUGUAAGACCAAAACUCAAUUAAGGGGGAGUGUUAGUCGAUAAUUGAUUUUCAGAGUUACAACGUUUAGAUCGUGACGUUUCUGUUUGUUUUGUUUCACUGAACAGUCACUAAGUAUGAAGUGACACAAGUCAAUGUGUUGUUGUCACUAGAUCAAUCGGACAACAAGCCAUACACAACAUAAAAUGGUACUUACAUACGUUUCAUAGAAUAUUCAAUCUAUUUGUAUUGUAUCAUGAAGUAUAGUACAUUUGAUUUAGACAUAUUUUUUGAGUUUUUAAUACAUAUCUCGUGAAACCCAAGGCUCCACACCUUGCAAUGCAUACAUUUUCUCCUUUUAUUUGUUGUUUUUUAUUCUAUCUUAUCUUUUAUUUGAUUGGUUUGAACAAAAUCUAAGAAUUUGAUGAUAGCUUAUCUCAUAUUCAAACUUAUCUUUUAUUUGACUGGUUUGAAAUAGUAUUUAAUAUUUUAUUUGACUUGUUUGAACUUUGAACCAGUAGUUUCUUGGAUAAACUUACCCUUAAAACCCCAUCAAUUUGAUUCCCCCUUCCCCAAAAAAAAAAGCAAACAACGAAAGGAAAAAAUCUUACAAAUUUUUUUCUUCAUUAAUUUAAUUUGUUGACUAUAAAAAAUAAAGAAAUAAAUUUUUUGACUAAGUAAAUCAAAUUAAAUAUGAAGUCAAAGUGCUACAUUUCAAAUUACCAUAAAGGAAAUGCUCAUUAAGUGGUAAGAAAAGAUUUAGCGUAUCUUAACAUGUAGGAGUUCUUUUUCCCCUUAUUAGUGUUUAUGGUUUGGGUUUAAAAAUCAUUAAUGAAACAAGAAAUAUUUUAUUUAUAUCUUUCAUAUCUUCUCUCCAACCUGAUUUUCAUAGAAAAAAUUGCUUUCUCCACCGGCAAAAGAUAAUGUAUAAUGUCAAGCCUGCGAGAUACAACAAAUACCAAAGCGUAGCAACAAUUAGACAAGUAAAGUCUGGUUCUUAUAAAAAUUUUUGGUUUUUUUUUUUAUCUAUGACAUAUUCAGAUUUAUAAUUCUUUUGACAAUCGAAUUAUAAGCAAAUAGGCUUUAAUAAGAAGCAUAUAAGGACAGAAGAGGAUGAUGAACGAAGUAAGAACUUUUGUUUAAUCCUUUUUAUUGGUGAGUUUAGCACUAAAGUAUUUGAAGCUUGUUUUAAAUCUUAUGUGGUUUUAUUUUGACACUGUACAUACGAGAGGGAAGAGAGUGAGGAUGAACAAUUAACGAUCUGAAGCUGGUUCGGCUUCAUUGACCAACUCUCGUUCUGUGCGCUUUGCUAUGGCUUAAAAAUCAAAUGAAAACUCUCUCGUGAGUGUACUCGCAUUAAAACAGCUUUGUGCAUUUCGUUUCAGAUGUGAUUGUUGGUUUGUUAGUCCAGUUUAAUUUAGGAAAAUUAAUACGUUUCAAAACAAAAUGAAUAGUUCAAUAUGGUUUUGCUUAGGCUUAUGUACUUGUUCUAUAUGUUUUACCUUGAAUUUUGGUUUACAUUGACAGUCUUUUAUUCAAGCUACCAAUCAAAUUUUGUUUGGAUUUUGUUAACUAUAUCAAUCAGUUAAAAUUAAAAAAUGAAACUAAAGAUUUUAAUUUCUUUUGAUGGAUUUGAUUUAUAUAUUAUGAGUUUUUCCAUAUUUGAUAUUUUUUAGUCAAAGCUUUUUUUUUUUAAUUAUCAGGUAAAAAUCCAACGAAGAGUCUCCUCUCUUGUAAGUUGUAAAUAUAGGUUGGAAGAAGAAGCAUACAAGGGGACAGAAGAAGGUGCUGAACCAGAUAACACCACUAACAUCAUCUUAGUUUGAUGAGUUUUAAAUUAAGCUAUCUGAAGCGGGUUUUGACUUGUGUGCUUUUUUUGUUGACACAGUACGUACGAGAUGGAAAAAACAGAGAAUGAACAAUUUGUAACCCGAAGUUGGUUCGUCUUCACUGAACAACCCUAGUUGUGUGCGCUUUGCUAUGUCUUCAUAAUCAAAGGAAAAUUCUCUGGUGAGUUCACUCGCAUAUAAACCGCUUUGUGUAUCUUGUUUCAGAUGUGAAUGUUGUUUUUUUGUCUAGUUUAGUCUAGGAGAGUUAAUACUUGUAGAAACAAAAUCAAAAGUUUAUUAAUUCAUUAUGUUUUUGGUUUUAGUUUUUUACAUACCUUAGACUUAUCUAUUGUAUUUAAUUGUAUUUUUGGUUUCCAGAGAGUGGAAUUUUACAAGAGAAAACAUUUCUUCUGCAAACAAUGCUUGUAUAGCCAUCAAAGAAUUAACAUUCAAGGUAACACAAAUAUGUUGUUUAUUCUUGAUGUAUGCUUGAAGUUUUUGGUCAAGUACAAACUCGUGAAUGAUCAGAGCUUAAUAUAUAUUUAAGUUUGGGCACACCAAUUCUGAUUGAUGUUGUUUUUUAGUUGGAUUCAAUUAUUCAAUAUGGAGAAGUGAUUCCAGCAGCCUUAUAAAUCCAAUAUUUUAUUGCUCAUGUCUAACUAUGUCUUUAUAUUUUGGUGAAUAUAAGGCACAAGUUUUGAGCAAUGCAACUACACUACCUGAACAUAAUCCAAUAAACCUAGCUGUUUACAAUGCAAUUACCCAUGGAAGACUAGCAUCGGUUCGUCUAGACCUCGUUCCACCACUCUUUGAAUACUUUAUGAAGAGUAAAAUGAUUCUAAAUCCUAAUUUUACUCUCCAUGAAGUACUUCAAGUGUGGUGGAAAGAGGUCUUUACGAACCCGUGCUAGUAUCCCAUGGUAAUAGCACUGUUAACAGCUAGGUCAAUUGGCUUGUUGUUUAGAUAAUGUAAUUGCAUUCCUCAAAAAUUUUGCCUUCUUCACCAAAAAAAAAGAGGCAUAGUUAGACAUGGAAAAAAAAAUUGGAUUUAUAAGGCUGCUAGAGUCACCUCUCUAUACUGAAUAAUUGAGCCCAAGGAAGAGACAACAUCGGUCACAAUUGUUGAGACUUUGUGACCAAACUGAAAUAUAUAUUGAGCUCUUAUCAAUCACGAGUUUGUACUUAGCUAGAAACUUCAAGCAUAAAUCGAGAAUAAGCAGCAUGUUGUUGUGACCUCGUAUGCUAAAUCUCCAAUGGCUAUACAAGCAUUGUUUGUAGAAGCAAGUUUUUCGCUAUUAAAACUUCCAGUCUAUAGAAAUCAAAAAUACGAUCAAAAUUAUGUACAUAUAGUAUUUGUUUUACGUCAGUUUUGGUUAAUAUAUGUAGUCGUUUACUAAAGCUUGCUACACAAAAUUUUGUUUGGAUUCUUUUAGUAGCAAAUAAUUUUACCUUACAGUGGAAAUUUUACGGGAGAACACCUUGCUUCUGCAAACAAUGGUUGUAUAGCCAUUAGAAAAUUAGCAUUCGAGGUAACACUAAUAUGCUGUUUACUCUUAAUGUAUGCUUGAAGUUUUUGGUUAAGUUAAAACUCGUUACUGACAAGUGCUAAUUAUAUCUUUCAGUUUGGUUAGGAAGUCUUACCAAUUGUGACUGAUAUAUCUCUUCCUUGGGCUGGACUAUUCAAUAUGGAGAAGUGACUCUAGCAGACUUAUAAAUUUAAUAUUUUAUUGGCCAUGUCUAGACAUGCAUGGCCAAUAAUACAUUGCUUCAUUUAUAAGACCACUAGAAUCACCUCUCCGUAUUGAAUAAUCGAGCCCAAGGAAGAGACAACAUUGAUCUCAUUUGGUGAGACUUAGGGACCAAACUGAAAUGUAAUUGAUCUGUUAUCAUUCACGAGUUUUUACCUAACGAGAAACUUCAAGUAUACAUCGACAAUAAAUAGCAAAAUGGUGUUACCUCGUAUGGUAAUUCUCCAAUGGCUAUACAAGCUUUGUUUGCAAAAGCAAGGUUUUCUCCGGUAAAAUUUCCACAAAAUACAAAUCAAAAUUACUACUAAAUCCAAUAGCUAAUCAUAAAUACAAUCAAAAGUAUGUACUUGUUCUAUUAGUUUUACUUUAGUUUUGGUUUAAAUUGAUAGUUAUUUACUGAAGCUAGCUAUACCAAAUUUUGUUUGCAUUCUGUUAAUUGAAUCUACCAAAUUUAAAAAUAAAGAAAUUAAGAGAUUUUGGUCGAUGGAUUUGAUUCAUAUAUUAUGAUAUUUUCCAUUUCUGUUAGUCAUGGUUAUUUUAAUGAUAUUGCAAAAGUAAUUAAGUGUUAUUCCAUUAAUCUUCUCAACACAAAUCUAUAUCAAAUCAGCAGUUUUUAAUAUCAACAUAGGGAGUCACAAACAAAUUUUGAAUUUGAUGUUAACAUAAGAGAUAUUUCAUUAUGACGAUGUGGUCGGGAUUUCGAAUAUCAAGAGAUGGAAUAAUAGCUACAGGAGUUGGUUGGAAAAUUUAUGUAAGGUGAAUGGCAUAAACAAAGGAGAUUCAUCUACUUUAGAGUUCAGAAAUCAAGAAGAAGACACAACUCUGGUGUUUAGGAUACGUCCUAUGUCCUGAGUCUAAAAAGAUGUAUGUAACAUAAUUAAGCAUUGUAUUUAUUAGAACUUUUAUUAAAGAAGAUUCAUUGUUUUUUUGUUUAUUAAGUUAAGAAGCUAGCAAAUAAAUAUGAUUUCAUCAUGUUUAGUUUAAUGGUGGAUGUUUAUGAUAUUAGAAUGGCCAUGUUUUGUUUCGGAUUAAAUUUUAUUUAAGAAUUUAUUCUGACAUAUUCAACUGUGUACAUUUUGGUGUAUGUGAAACUAAAACAUUUAAUUUAAAAUCUCUACAGUAGAAAAAUAUUUACCAAAUUCUAUUUUAGCUAUUAAAUAACUUUCGUUAUAGUAUUUACUUAAAUAGGAUACAAAACUAGCAUACUGUCUACUUAAAUAGUAUACAAAACUAUCUUUCUCAAAGUACUAUAUCUUAAUUAGUUAUCUUAUUAAUAAACAUUAGUUUCCAAAACUAGUAACUAACGUGAUCGUGUCAAUUUUAUCGAUUAGAUAUUUUUUUAUGUGUAAAACAAAAUUAUUGAUCAACGAUAUAAAUAAAAAUCUAGUUAAAAAAUACGCUAUAUAUAAUAUUAAAUGAUAGACCCUUUCUGAAAACAUACGUAAGGGUUUUGAUCUCCCAUCAGUCCGUAAGCACUAAAUGUAAAACAAUAGAGUCUUGGGGAUCGAAAGAGUUGGUAAUCUUGAGCAUUCAAAUAAAAAUAUGCAACACAACACAUAUCCAAGCAGAAGUUGCAAGAAGAGAAAUGAUACAACACAUAUCCAAGCUGAAGUUUUAAUGUGUGGUUAAGAGAUUUGUUGGUUUGGAUGGUGAAGAAUCUUAUAGAGUUUCCGUUAUUGAUGCACAUUUACAAGUAGAGGUUAAUGGUGUUUUUGAUUAACGGCAGAAAAUCUGUAGGCAAAAUAUUGGCUCGAGAGGAGAGGAAGAGAAAUAGAAAAAAUAGAAAAAUAAGGUGGUGACAAGAGAGAGCACCAUUAACCUUCACAAGCAUUCACAUACAAUACGUUUAAAAAGAAAGCUCCAAAGGAGUUGUGGAAGGAGAAUUUUGAAACGUUGUUCGAAGAAGAGUCGUGACGGUGAUCAAAGUGAGACACCAAACAAUAAUGGAGCAUAAACCGGUUGAAAAUUUAACUGAAGAAAAAGUGGAUAAGAUGCGCGCGUAAAACAUCAUGGAGACGUUAUGGUGAUCAAAGAAAAACACCAAAAAAAAGGAUACUUACCUCGGAGAAAAAUAGAGCAUAAUUCGGUUAUAGAGAUAGCCGAAGCAAAAAUGAAAAAGUUUACGCAGAAAUUUGGUGAUCAAGAAGAAACUAAAAGGAAAUAAGAACAAAACUACUUAAAAGAAAGUGAGUGGAAGAAGGUUGAAAACGAAAGGGACGUGAACGUGACUGAAAAUAUCACAGAGGGGACGUGACAAUAUUUAUAAGUUGUGUGAUAAGAAAUCACCAAGAAGGAGACAAAGAUGUCAUUCUACUCCUUUGAAAGCUAUGACGAACGAAGAAGGAAGCUUAGUGUAAGACCAAAACUCAAUUAAGGGGGAGUGUUGGUCGAUAAUUGAUUUUCCGAGUUACAAUGUUUAGGUCGCGACGUGUCUGUUUGUUUUGUUUCACUGAACAGUCACUAAGUAUGAAGAGACACAAGUCAAUUUGUUGUUGUCACUAGAUCAAUCGGACAACAAGCCAUACACAACAUAAAAUGGUAAUUACAUACGUUUCAUAGAAUAUUCAGUCUAUUUGUAUUGUAUCAUGAAGAAUAGUACAUUUGAUGUAGACAUAUUUUUUGAGUUUUUAAUACAUAUCUCGUGAAACCCAAGGCUCCACACCUUGCAAUGCAUGCAUUUUCUCCUUUUAUUUGUUAUUUUUUAUUCUAUCUUAUCUUUUAUUUGAUUGGUUUGAACAAAAUCUAAGAAUUUGAUCAUAGCUUAUCUUUUAUUCAAAAUUUAUCUUUUAUUUGACUAGUUUGAAAUAUUAUUUAAUCUUUUAUUUGACUUGUUUGAACUUUAUACUAGUAGUUUUUGGAUAAAGUUACCCUUAAAAAUCCAUCAAUUUGAUUGCCCCUUCCCCAAAAAAAAAGCAAACAAUCAAAGGAAAAAAAUCUUAUAAAUUUUAUUCUUCAUUAAUCUAAUUUGUUAACUAUAAAAAAUAAAGAAAUAAAUUUUUUGACUAAGUAAAUCAAAUUAAAUAUGAAGUCAAAGUGCCACGUUUGAAAUUACCAUAAAGGAAAUGCUCAUUAAGUGGUAAGAAAAGAUUUAGCUUAUCUUAACAUGUAGGAUUUUCUUUUUCCCCUUAUUUGUGUUUAUGGCUUGGGUUUAAAAAUCAUUCAGGAAAAAAGAAAUAUUUUAUUUAUGUCUUUCAUAUCUUCUCUCCCACCUGAUUUUCACAAAAAAAAAUUGCUUUCUCCACCGGCAAAAGAUAAUGUUUAAUGUCAAGCCUGCGAGAUACGACAAAUACCCAAGCGUAGCAACAAUUAGAUAAGUAAAGUCUGGUUCUUAUAAAAAUUUUUGGUUUUUUUUUUAUCUAUGACAUAUUCAGAUUUAUAAGUCUUUUGACAAUCGAAUUACAAGCAAAUAGGCUUGAAGAAAAAGCAUAUAAGGACAGAAGAGGAUGAUGAACGAAGUAAGAACUUUUGUUUAAUCCUUUUUAUUGGUGAGUUUAGCACUAAAGUAUUUGAAGCUUGUUUUAAAUCUUAUGUGGUUUUAUUUUGACACUGUACAUACGAGAGGGAAGAGAGUGAGGAUGAACAAUUAACGAUCUGAAGCUGGUUCGGCUUCAUUGACCAACUCUCGUUCUGUGCGCUUUGCUAUGGCUUAAAAAUCAAAUGAAAACUCUCUCGUGAGUGUACUCGCAUUAAAACAGCUUUGUGCAUUUCGUUUCAGAUGUGAUUGUUGGUUUGUUAGUCCAAUUUAAUUUAGGAAAAUUAAUACUUUUCAAAACAAAAUGAAUAGUUCAAUAUGGUUUUGCUUAGGCUUAUGUACUUGUUCUAUAUGUUUUACCUUGAAUUUUGGUUUGCAUUGACAGUCUUUUAUUGCAGCUACCAAUCAAAUUUUGUUUGGAUUUUGUUAAUUAUAUCAAUCAAUUAAAAUUAAAAAACGAAACUAAAGAUUUUAAUUUGUUUUGAUGGAUUUGAUUUAUAUAUGAUGAGUUUUUCCAUAUUUGACAUUUGUUAGUCAAAGCUUUUUUUUUAAUUAUCAGGUAAAAAUCCAACAAAGAGUCUCCUCUCUUGUAAGUUGUAAAUAUAGGUUUGAAGAAGAAGCAUACAAGGGGACAGAAGAAGGUGCUGAACCAGAUAACACCACUAACAUCAUCUUAGUUUGAUGAUUUUUAAAUUAAGGUAUCUGAAGCGGGUUUUGACUUGUGUGAUUUUUUUUGUUGUCACAGUACGUACGAGAUGGAAAAAACAGAGAAUGAACAAUUCAUAACCCGAAGUUGGUUCGUCUUCACUGAACAACCCUAGUUGUGUGCGCUUUGCUAUGUCUUCAUAAUCAAAGGAAAAUUCUCUGGUGAGUUCACUCGCAUAUGAAUCACUUUGUGUAUCUUGUUUCAGAUGUAAAUGUUAUUUUUUGGUCUAGUUUAGUCUAGGAAAGUUAAUACUUGUCGAAACAAAAUCAAAAGUUUAUUAAUUCAUCAUGUUUUUGGUUUUAGUAUUUUACAUACCUUAGGCUUAUCUAUUGUAUUUAAUUGUAUUUUUGGUUUCCAGAGAGUGGAAUUUUACAGGAGAAAACAUUUCUUCUGCAAACAAUGCUUGUAUAGCCAUCGAAGAAUUAACAUUCAAGGUAACACUAAUAUGUUGUUUAUUCUUGAUGUAUGCUUGAAGUUUUUGGUCAAGUACAAACUCGUGAAUGACCAGAGCUUAAUAUAUAUUUAAGUUUGGGCACAAAGUCACACCAAUUCUGAUUGAUGUUGUCUCUUCGUUGGAUUCAAUUAUUCAAUAUGGAGAAGUGAUUCUAGCAGCCUUAUAAAUCCAAUAUUUUAUUGGUAAUGUCUAACUAUGUCUUUAUUUUUUGGUUAAUAUAAGGCACAAGUUUUGAGCAAUGCAACUACACUACUUGAACAUAAUCCAAUAAACCUAGCUGUUUACAAUGCAAUUACCCUUGGAAGACUAGCAUGUGUUCGUCAAGACCUCGUUCCACCACUCUUUGAAUACUUUAUGGAGAGUAAAAUGAUUCUAAAUCCAAAAAAACAAGAAAUUGGAAACGUUAGCAAACCUAAUUUUUUGGAUUGAGAGUCUUUUUACUCUCCAUGAAGUACUUCAAGUGUGGUGGAAAGAGGUCUGUACGAGCCCGUGCUAGUAUCCCAUGGUAAUAGCACUGUUAACAGCUAGGUCAAUUGGCUUGUUGUUUAGAUAAUGUAAUUGCAUUCCUCAAAAAUUUUGCCUUCUUCACCAAAACAAAAGAGGCAUAGUUAGACAUGGCAAAAAAAAAAUGGAUUUAUAAGGCUGUUAGAGUCACCUCUCUAUAUUGAAUAAUUGAGCCCAAGGAAGAGACAACAUCGGUCACAAUUGUUGAGACUUUGUGACCAAACUGAAAUAUAUAUUCAGCUCUUAUCAUUCACGAGUUUGUACUUAGCUAGAAACUUCAAGCAUACAUCGAGAAUAAGCAGCAUGUUGUUGUGACCUCGUAUGCUUAAUCUCCAAUGGAUAUACAAGCAUUGUUUGCAGAAGCAAGUUUUUCGCUAUUAAAACUUCCAGUCUAUAGAAAUCAAAAAUACGAUCAAAAUUAUGUACAUAUUGUAUUUGUUUUACGUGAGUUUUGGUUAAUACUUGUAGUCGUUUACUAAAGCUAGUUAAACCAAAUUUUGUUUGGAUUCUUUUAGUAGCAAAUAAUUUUACCUUACAGUGGAAAUUUUACGGGAGAACACCUUGCUUCUGCAAACAAUGGUUGUAUAGCCAUUAGAGAGUUAGCAUUCUAGGUAACACCAAUGCUCUUGAUGUAUGCUUGAAGUUUUUGGUUAAGUUAAAACUCGUUAAUGACAAGUGACAAUUAUAUCUUUCAGUUUGGUUAGGAAGUCUUACCAAUUGUGACUGAUAUAUCUCUUCCUUGUGCUGGACUAUUCAAUAUGGAGAAGUGACUCUAGCAGCCUUAUAAAUUUAAUAUUUUAUUGGCCAUGUCUAGACAUGCAUGGCCAAUAAUACAUUGGUUCAUUUAUAAGACCACUAGAAUCACCUCUCCGUAUUGAAUAAUCGAGCCCAAGGAAGAGACAACAUUGAUCUCAUUUGGUGAGACUUAGGGACCAAACUGAAAUGUAAUUGAUUUGUUAUCAUUCACGAGUUUUUACCUAACGAGAAACUUCAAGUAUACAUCGACAAUAAAUAGCAAAAUGGUGUUACCUCGUAUGGUAAUUCUCCAAUGGCUAUACAAGCUUUGUUUGUAGAAGCAAGGUUUUCUCCGGUAAAAUUUCCACUAAAUACAAAUCAAAAUUACUAUUAAAUCCAAUAGCUAAUCAUAAAUACAAUCAAAAAUAUGUACUUGUUCUAUUAGCUUUACUUUAGUUUUGGUUUAAAUUGAUAGUUAUUUACUGAAGCUAGCUAUACCAAAUUUUGUUUGCAUUCUGUUAAUUGAAUCUACCAAAUUUAAAAAUAAAGAAAUUAAGAGAUUUUGGUCGAUGGAUUUGAUUCAUAUAUUAUGAUAUUUUCCAUUUCUGUUAGUCAUGGUUAUUUUAAUGAUAUUGCAAAAGUAAUUAAGUGUUAUUCCAUUAAUCUUCUCAACACAAAUCUACAUCAAAUCAGCAGUUUUCAAUAUCAACAUAGGGAGUCACAAACAAACGUUGAAUUUGAUGUUAACAUAAGAGAUAUUUCAUUAUGACGAUGUGGUCGGGAUUUCGAAUAUCAAGAGAUGGAAUAAUAGCUACAGGAGUUGGUUGGAAAAAUUAUGUAAGGUAAAUGGCAUAAAAAAGGAGAUUCAUCUACUUUAGAGUUCCGAAAUCAAGAAGAAGACACAACUCUGGUGUUUAGGAUACGUCUUAUGUCACGAGUCUAAAAAGAUAUAUGUAACAUAAUUAAGCAUUGUAUUUAUUAGAACUUUUAUUAAAGAAAAUUCAUUGUUUUUUUUUUGUUUAUUAAGUUAAGAAGCUAGCAAAUAAAUAUGAUUUAAUCAUGUUUAGUUUAAUGGUGCAUGUUUAUGAUAUUAGAAUGGCCAUGCUUUGUUUCGGAUUAAUUUUUAUUUAAGAAUUUAUUCUGACAUAUUCAACUGUGUACAUUUUGGUGUACGUGAAAGUAAAACAUUUAAUUUGAAAUCUCUACUAUAGAAAAAUAUUUACCAAAUUCUAUUUUAGCUAUUAAAUAACUUUCGUUAUACUAUAUACUUAAAUAGGAUACAAAACUAUCAUACUGUCUACUUAAAUAGUAUACAAAACUAUCUUUCUCAAAGUACUAUAUCUUAAUUAGUUAUCUUAUUAAUAAAAAUUAGUUUCCAAAACUAAUAACUAACGUGAUCGUGUCAAUUUUAUCGAUCAGAUAUUUUUUCAUGUGUAAAACAAAAUUAUUGAUCAACGAUAUAAAUAAAAAUCUAGUUAAAAAAUACGCUAUAUAUAAUAUUAAUGAUAGACCCUUUCUGAAAACAUACGUAAGGGUUUUGAUCUCCCAUCAGUCCGUAAGCAUUAAAUGUAAAACAAUAGAGUCUUGGGGAUAGAAAGAGUUGGUAAUCUUGAGCAUUCAAAUAAAAAUUUGCAACACAACACAUAUCCAAGCAGAAGUUGCAAGAAGAACAAUGAUACAACACAUAUCCAAGCUGAAGUUUUGAUGUGAGGUUAAGAGAUUUGUUGGUUUAGAUGGUGAAUAAUCUUAUAGAGUUUCCGUUAUCGAUGCACAUUUACAAGUAGAGGUUAAUGGUGUUUUUGAUUAACGGCAAAAAAUCUGUAGGCAAAAUAUUGGCUCGAGAGGAGAGAAAGAGAAAUAGAAAAAUAGAAAAAUAAGGUAGUGACAAGAGAGAAUACCAUUAACCUUCACAAGCAUUCACAUACAGUACGUUUAAGAAGAAAUCUCCAAAGCUCCAAAGGAGUUGUGGAAGGAGAAUUUUGAAAGGUUGUUCGAAGAAGAGUCGUGACGGUGAUCAAAGUGAGACACCAAACAAUAAUAGAGCAUAAACCGGUUGAAAAUUUAACUGAAGAAAAGUGGAUAAGAUGCACGCGUAAAACAUCAUGGAGACGUUAUGGUGAUCAAAGAAAGACACCUAAAAAAGGAUACUUACCUUGGAGAAAAAUAGAGCAUAAUUCGGUUAUAGAGAUAGCCGAAGCAAAAAUGAAAAAGUUUACGCAGAAAUUUGGUGAUCAAGAAGAAACUAAAAGGAAAUAAGAAGAAAGCUACUUAAAAGAAAGUGUGUGGAAGAAGGUUGGAAAAACAAGGGACGUGAACGUGACUGAAAAUAUCACAGAGGGGACGUGACAAUGUUUAUAACUUGUGUGAUAAGAAAUUACCAAGAGGGAGACAAAGAUGUCAUUCUACUCCUAUGAAAAAUUGAAAGCUAUUUCGAACUUAGAAGGAAGCUCAGUGUAAGACCGAAACUCAAUUAAGGGCGAGUAUUGGUCUAUAAUUGAUUUUCAGAGUUACAACGUUUAGUUCGUGGCGUUUCUGUUUGUUUUUUGCACUGAACAGUCACUAAGUAUGAAGAGACACAAGUAAAUGUGUUGUUGUCGCUAGAUCAAUCGGACAAUAAGCCAUACACAACAUGAAAUGGUACUUACAUACAUUUCAUAGAAUAUUCAAUCUAUUUGUAUUGUAUCAUGAAGAAUAGUACAUUUGAUUUAGAAAUAUUGUUUGACUUUUUAAUACAUAUCUCGUGGUAGCCAAGGCUCCACACCUUGCAAUGCAUAUAGUUUCCCCUUUUAUUUGUUAUCUUUUAUUCUACCUUAUAUUUUAUUUGACUAGUUUGAACAAAAUCUAAGAAUUUGAUCGUAACUUAUCUUUUAUUCAAACUUAUCUUUUAUUUGACUAGUUUGAAAUAGUAUUUAAUCUUUUAUUUGACUUGUUUGAACUUUGAACUAGUAGUUUCUUGGAUAAAGUUACCCUUAAAAAUCCAUCAUUUUGAUUCCCCUUUCCCCAAAAAAAUAAAAAGCAAACAACCAAAGGAAAAAAUCUUAUAAAUUUUAUUCUACAUUAAUUUAAUUUGUUGACUAUCAAUGAUUUGUUGAAAUCAAAGUGCCACGUUUCAGAUUAGCAUAAAUGAAAUGCUCAUUAAGUGGUAAGAAAAGAUUUAGCUUAUCUUAACAUGUAGGAUUUUCGUUUUCCCCUUAUUUAUUUUUUUGGUUUGGGUUUAAAAAUCAUUCAGGAAACAAGAAAUAUUUUAAUUAUGUCUUUCAUAUCUUCUCUCCCACCUUAUUUUCACAAAAAAUUGUUUUCUCCACCGGAAAAAGAUAAUUUUUAAUGUCAAUCAUGCGAGGUAUGACAAAUACCCAAGCGUAGUAACAAUUAGACAAGUAAAGUCUGGUUCUUAUAAUUGUUUUUGGUUUUUUUCAUCUAUGACAUAUUCAAAUCUAUAAGUCUUUUGACAAUCGAAUUAUAUGCAAAUAGGCUUGAAGAAGAAGCAUAUAAGGACAGAAGAGGAUGAUGAACGAGGUAAGAACUUUUGUUUAAUCCUUUUUAUCGGUGAGUUUAGCACUGAAGUAUUUGAAGCUUUUUUAAAAUUUUAUGUGGUUUUAUUUUGACACAGUACAUACGAGAGGGAAGAAAGUGAGGAUGAACAAUUAACGAUCCGUGGCUGUUUCGUCUUCAUUGACCAACUCUCGUUCUGUGCGCUUUGCUAUGGCUUCAAAAUCAAAUCAAAACUCUCUCGUGAGUUUACUCGCAUUAAAACAGCUUUGUGCAUCUCGUUUCAGAUGUGAUUGUUGUUUUGUUAGUCCAGUUUAGUUUAGGAGAAAUAAUACUUUGCAAAACAAAAUGAAUAGUUCAAUAUGGUUUUGCUUAGGCUUAUAUACUUGUUCUAUAUGUUUUACCUUGAAUUUUAGUUUACAUUGACAGUUUUUUAUUGAAGCUACCAAACAGAUUUUGUUAAUUAUAUCAAUCAAUUAAAAUUAAAAAACAAAACUAGAGAUUUUAAUUUGUGUUGAUGGAUUUGAUUCAUAUAUUAUGAGUUUUUCCAUAUUUGAUAUUUGUUAGUCAAGGCUUUUUUUUUAAUUAUCAGGUAAAAAUCCAACGAAGAGUCUCCUCUCUUGUAAAUUGUAAAUAUUGGUUUGAAGACGAAGCAUACAAGGGGACAGAAGAAGGUGCUGAACCAGAUAACACCACUAACAUCAUCUUAGUUUGAUGAGUUUUAAAUUAAGGUAUCUGAAACGGGUUUUGACUUGUGUGGUUUUUUUGUUGACACAGCACGUACGAAAUGGAAAAAACUUGGAAUGAACAAUUCAUAACCCGAAGUUGGUUCGUCUUCACUGAACAACCCUAGUUGUGUGCGCUUUAUUAUGACCUAAUAAUGAAAUGAAAAUUCUCUGGUGAGUUCACUCGCAUAUGAACCGCUUUAUGUAUCUUGUUUCAGAUGUGAAUGUUGUUUUUUAGUUUAGUUUAAUCUAGGAGAGUUAAUAUUUCUGGAAACAAAAUUAAAAGUUUAUUAAUUCAUUAUGUUUUUGGUUUUAGUUUUUUACAUACCUUAGGCUUAUCUAUUGUAUUUAAUUGUAUUUAUGGUUUCCAGACAGUGGAAUUUUACGGGAGAAAACAUUUCUUCUGCAAACAAUGCUUGUAUAGCCAUCGAUAAAUUAACAUUCGAGGUAACACAAAUAUGUUGUUUAUUCUUAAUGUAUGCUUGAAUUUUUUGGUCAUGUACAAACUCGUGAAUGAUCAGAGCUCAAUAUAUAUUUAAGUUUGGGCACCAAAGUCACACCAAUUCUGAUCGGUGUUGUCUCUUCGUUGGAUUCGAUUAUUCAAUAUUGAGAAGUGAUUAUAGCAGCCUUAUAAAUCCCAUAUUUAAUUGGUCAUGUCUAACAAUGUCUUUAUUUUUUGGUGAAUAUAAGGCACAAGUUUUGAGCAAUGCAACUACACUACCUGAACAUAAUCCAAUAAAUCUAGAUGUUUACAAUGCAAUUACGCUUGGAAGACUAGCAUGGGUUCGUCUAGACCUUGUUCCACCACUCUUUGAAUACUUUAUGGAGAGUAAAAUGAUUCUAAAUCCAAAAAAAACAAGACAUUGGAAACGUUAGCAAACCUAAUUUUUUGAAUUUAGAGUCUUUUUGCUCUCCAUGAAGUACUUCAAGUGUGGUGGAAAGAGGUCUGUGAGAACCCGUGCUAGUUUCCCAAGGUUAUUGCACUGUUAACAACUAGGUCAAUUGGCUUGUAUUUAGAUAAUGUAAUUGCAUUCCUCAAAAAUUUUGCCUUAUUCACCAAAAAAAAGAGGCAUAGUUAGACAUGGCAAAAAAAAAAUUGGAUUUAUAAGGAUGCUAGAGUCACGUCUCUAUAUUGAAUAAUUGAGCCCUAGGAAGAGACAACAUCGGUCACAAUUGUUGAGACUUUGUGACUAAACUGAAAUAUAUAUUGAGCUCUUAUCAUUCACGAGUUUGUACUUAGCAAGAAACUUCAAGCAUGCAUCGAGAAUAAGCAGCAUGUUGUUGUUACAUCGUAUGCUAAAUCUCUAAUGGCUAUACAAGCAUUGUUUGCAGAAGCAAGUUUUUCGCUAUUAAAAUUUCCAGUCUAUAGAAAUCAAAAAUACGAUCAAAAUUAUGUACCUAUUCUAUUUGUUUUACGUGAGUUUUGGUUAGUAUUUGUAGUCUUUUACUAAAGCUAGCUAAACCAAAAAAUUUUUGGAUUCUAUUAAUAGCAAAUAAUUUUACCUUACAGUGGAAAUUUUACGGGAGAACACCUUGAUUCUGCAAACAAUGGUUGUAUAGCCAUUAGAGAAUUAGAAUUCGAGGUAACACCAAUAUGCUGUUUACUCUUGAUGUAUGCUUGAAGUUUUUGGUUAAGUUAAAACUAGUUAAUGACAAGAGCUAGAUAUAUCUUUUAGUUUAGUUAGGAAGUCUUACCAAUUGUGACUGAUGUGUCUCUUCCUUGGGCUGGACUACUCAAUAUGGAGAAGUGACUCUAGGAGCCUUAUAAAUUUAAUAUUUUAGUGGUCAUGUCUAGACAUGCAUUGCCAAUAAUACAUUGCUUCAUUUAUAAGACGACUAGAAUCACCUCUCCGUAUUGAAUAAUCGAGCCCAAGGAAGAGACAACAUUGAUCUCAUUUGGUGAGACUUAGGGACCAAACUGAAAUGUAAUUGAUCUCUUAUCAUUCACGGGUUUUUACCUAACAAGAAACUUCAAGUAUACAUCGACAAUAAAUAGCAAAAUGGUGUUACCUCAUAUGGUAAUUCUCCAAUGGCUAUACAAGCUUUGUUUGCAGAAGAAAGGUUUUCUCCGGUAAAAUUUCCACUCAAUAAAAAUCAAAAUUACUAUUAAAUACAAUAGCUAAUCAUAAAUACAAUCAAAAGUAUGUACUUUUUCUAUUAGUUUUACCUUAUUUUUGGUUUAAAUUGAUAGUUAUUUACUGAAGCUAGCUAUACAAAAUUUUGUUUGGAUUCUGUUAAUUGAAUCUACCAAAUUUAAAAAUAAAGAAAUUAAAAGAUUUUGGUUGAUGGAUUUGAUUCAUAUAUUAUGAUAUUUUCCAUUUUUGUUAGUCAUGGUUAUUUUAAUGAUAUUGAAAAUGUAAUGAAGUGUUAUUCCAGUAAUCUUCUCAAAUCAGCAGUUUUCAAUAUCAACAUAGGGAGUCACAAACAAAUUAUUAGUAACUGUUAAAAUAAAGUAAAUGUUAGUAACUUGUAUUGAAUCUUUAAAUUAUAAACAUCAAGAUGUCAAACUCAAGAAUAAUUACCUGGUGAUUUCUUAGCUCUAUGCCUUAUAGCCAUAUGAUGACCAAAUAGAUUAGUUGCAUUUUAAAUUCAUCUAUCUCCGACAUUAUCUUAUCUUGAGUAUCAAUUUCUGAAACCAACAUGUUGAUGCAGUUAUACAAACCUUUCAACAUUUCUUCACAACCUACAUCAUCAGGAUUUUCAUACUGGAUUUAUGGAUUGAGAAAGUAGCUAGCUGCAUGCAAAGAACAAUGAAGUUGACACUCCCACCUUUUGUCAAUGAUUUUGAAUGACGUUUUGUAGAGUUCUUCUCUUAUAUUGAAAGACCUCGUAAUUGUUUACAUUGCCCAAUCCAUGGCUGCAUAUAUGUUUCCCAUAGGAGGAUUUCUCACUCCAUCAACCAUUCGGAGAACUUGUACAAGAGGACCUGUCAACUUCAGCGCAUACAAAACAUUCUUCCAAAAACUGUCUUCGAAAAUAUAUGCUCUUACUUUCUUUCCUCUUGAUUGUUUUGGCCACUUGGAAUUAUUCCAUUCUUCAUAAUGAACUUGUGCUAGCAUAAUGAAAGUUGUUGCAAAUCUUGUAAUCGCCGGUCUAUGCAAAUUCCUUUGAUCUGUGAACUUCCUCCUCAUGUUUACAAGAGGAAUAUGACUAUAAAUAUAGUCAUUCAUGAAGAUACACUUUUGUAUUGCACUCUUCACAUUUGAGAUUUUCCUAAUAUCUUAAAGCAUUAUAUCAAUGCAAUGUGCUGUACAUGGGGUCCAGUACAGAUUUGGUCUUUUAGCUUCGAGUAAUUUCCAUGAAUUUUAUAUUCACCAAUAAAAAGUUAGAUUUAAUCAAGAAAUUAAAUUCAAGAAAAAUUAGAUAUUAAAAACGGUAUGAUAUCUCACAUAAUUUGAUGCAUUGUCUGUGACCACUUGGACAACAUUUUUUUCUCCUACUUCCUCGACCAUCUUAUGAAGCAACUGAAAUAACAAUGUCACAUCUUUCACAACUUCUGAUACAGCCAUCGAUUUUAGGAAAGGAGAUCCCGUUGGAGAAUUAACAAGGAAGUUAACAAAAUCCUUCUGAACAACUGAAUCACGCCAUCCAUCAGACAUGUUAGAACACCCUUUAGAUGCCCACUCUUUUUGGUGCUGUACUAGCUGUCUAUUAGUGUUGUUUACAUCUUUCUUAAUUAAAGGAACUCUAAGCUCAUGCAUGGUUUGUGGCUUUAAUCCUGGACCGUAUUGUCCAACUAUAUCAAGCAUCAACAAAAUUCUCUCUAAAGUAGCUGCAUUAAAUGCAAGACCAGAAUCACAGAAAAACCUUGUAAUUAACAGUUUUGUCCUCCUCUAUUUAUCACAAGCUCCAAAUAUUCCUUUCCUAUCCUUUCUAGCAUUGAUCACAUCAUUAGGUGGAGAAGUUACAAACCUAUUAAGUGGAGCAAAAUAGGCUUUUCCAUACCUGCAAAAUUACACUGUGCUGAAUUCAUACAUUAAACUAUUGCAUGUGCUAUAACAUACAUGCGUUUUUAAAUUAUUUAAAUUUCAAAUCUAAAGUUUAGUUUUUUUGCCUAAAAAUACAAAAACGUGAUAAAUGUUUAAUUAAUGCUGAUGUGGCAUCCACGCAUGGAGAAGUCAUUCUAACAUGGAGUCCAGGUGUACAAAGAAAUUCAAAUUUAAUAAUCGCUAUAAGUUAAUUACAAUACAUGAUGAUACAAUCAGAAAUACAAUCAAAAGUAUGACUUUCUCUAUUUGUUUACCUAAGUUUUGGUUUACAUUGAUAGUCUUUUACUGAAGCUAGCUAUACCCAAUUUAGUUUGGACUCAACUAGUAGCAGUCUAUCAAAAUUAGAAGUUAUGAAAUUAAGAGCUUUCGGGUUGAUGGAUUCAAUUCAUAUAUUAUGAGGUUUUCCAUUAUUUUUAGUCAUACUUUGGUUUUAAUAUAUAUAUAUAUAUAUAUAUAUUAAUUAUCAGGUAAAAAUCUAAGGAAAGAAAAUCUUGUAUAUAGAUGAAAAUAUAUCGGAUACAUUUGAUUAAAUUAUUUAUUUUCAUUUAAAAAUAUAAUUAUGUUAUAAUAAGUAAUGCAAUAAAAGUCUUAAAAAUGGUCAAUAUUCAAACUUCCUAAAUAUAUUGGAGCUAGAAAAAUGUUUAAUGAAUCACUUGACUAUUCAUACAUUGUUUAUGUGAUAUCAAAUCAAAAGAAAUAUAGUGUAUCUAAUAGACUUUGCAAGUGAAAUUUUGAACUAAAAUUAUGUGAAAAAUUGUUCUAAAAAUAAUAUUUCACUAGUUGACCCAACAAAAUAAAAUAAGUUUUUACUAUUGCAACCUUUAAAAUUGUAACGCCACGACCCUCACAUCUCUAGUGGGCCCCAUAUUUACUCUCAGCCCAUGGGUCCACCUCUCUUAAGGAGUCUUACGUCCUCUCAUUAGCCCAGUAGGCCAUCCAUAUCCGACGGUCGGUUUGCUACGUCCGGGAGGUUAGAGAUUUGUUUACUAACCCUACAAAUCACACAUGAUCUUUUCCUGUGUUUUGGUCUAACUUACAAAGUUUCGACAAUCACUUCCCAGAAGGUCAGUCAUCCUUUGACUACUCCAGCAUAAGCACGCUUCACUGUUAAGUUCUCUUAUGACCCUGACUGAAAAGAUAAGUGCAUGAUGGUGACAUAGGUGGCCAAAUCAAUUCAUUUAAGCCUCUCUGCAAAGUAGGGUCUCACAAACAUCAAUUUAUUAACACUUUAAUAACAAGACUUAUAUCAAAUGUCCAUGGCCCAAACAAAUUUAUAGAAUUGGCCCCAAAAAAAAACAAUAUUAUUUUACUUAAAACAUUUCCCAAUUUUUGGUUUAUCUAUGCCUAAAAAUACAAACAACCAAAGGAAAAAAACAUAUUUUAAAUUUAAUUCUUAACUAAUAAUUUUUUAACUGUUAAAAAUAUAUAUAUAUAUAUAUAUUUUCGACUAAAUAAAUUAAUUUUAGUCUGAAAUCUAAGUGCAACAUUUCAAAUUACCAUAUAUGAAAUGCUCAUUAAGUGGUAGGAAAAUAUUUAGCGUAUCUUAACGUUUAGCAUUUUUUCCCUUCUUUUGUUUUUUGGCAUGGGUUUAAAAAUUCAAAAAUUCAGACAACGACAACAAAAUUUAUUUCUGUCUUUUGGCUCUUCCCUUUCUUCACAAAACAUUUGUUUCUCCACUGAAAGAUAACGUUUAAUGUAAGUGCUUGCGACAUCCGAAAAAUACCCAAGCCAAGCAACAAUGAGCAUAAUCAGACACGUGAAGUUCGGUUCUUAUUUUUGUUUUUUUAUCUAAGACAUAGUGAGAUCUAUAUGUCUUUUCACAAUCGAUACAUAUGUAAAUAGGCUUGUAGAAGAAGCAUACGAGGACAAAAGAAGGUGAUGAACCAGAUAAGACCGUUAACAUCAUCAUCUUAGUUUGGCGAGUUAGGACUGAAGUAUCUAAAGCUUGGUUUAACUUUUUGGUGGUUUUGUUUUUGGAACAGUACAUACGAGAGGGAUGAAACUGAGGAUGAAAAAUUUACAACCCAAAGCUGGUUAUGUGCGCUUUGCUAUGGCUUCAUAAUCCUACGAAGAUUCUCUGGUGAGUUCACUCGCAUAUGAACUUCUCUGUGCGCGCAUCUCAUUUUGAUGUGAUUGUUUUUGAAGUUAAGAGAGAAUACUUGUUGUAACAAUAUCCAAAGUGGAUAAGCUCAAUAUAGUUUUGGUUUAGCCUUUGUACACUCCACGUACCUUAGGCGUAUCUACUUGAUAUAUUUAUUUUACCUAGAGUUUUGGUUUAUAUUGAUAGCUUUUUACUGAAGCUAGUUAGUUAUAUCAAAUUUUGUUUGGAUUCUGUCAAUCAAAAUUAAAAAAUAAUGAUGUAAAUAGAUUAUGGGGUUGAUGGAUUUGAUUCAUAUAUUAUGAGCUUUUACAUAUUUGUUAGUCAUGAAUUUUCUUUGUUUCCUAUUGUAACGCCCGUUUUCUGGAAAAUAAUAAAAGACUUGAAUUAAGGUGGAGUCGGUUUAAUCCCUGUUGAUUUACUAUGCUGGUAAAUUUUUUAAUUGAAUCAAAGGAGGUUUAAUUAAUGUCGGUUUAGGUAAAUCCUGGUUUAAUCAAAUUAAACUAAAAACCAUAUUUUAUAAAGGUGAUGCCUCCUCUCUCUUUUGCUAUUGUCAUUUUUUUUGUUUAGGAGAAAAGAGUUAGAAAAAGGAGAAGGAGAGCAAGCUUUGCUUUGGUGUAUAGGGAAAAAGAAGUAGAUUCAUCACGUAUUGGGAGACAUGGGUUACGACGUACAAAAUCUUAUCCAAAGGUAAUGAAAUUUAAUAUGGUUUUUCUUAAGGUGUGUAUGUGGAAAAUCGAAUUUUACAUACCUGCACAAUUACACUGUAUUGAAUUCAUACAUUAAACUAUCACAUGUGCAAUAAUAUACCUACACUUUUAAAUAAUUUGAAUUUCGAAUAUGAAGUUUAGUUUUUGUGCGUAAAUAUACAAAACGUGGAUAAAUGUUUAACGAUGUUACCUAGUUAAGGUGAGUGCAUGACCAUGAACUUAUCUAAGCGAUUUGGAUUGAGUGACUUGUUUUGUGAUGAUUUGUAGGUGUACUGGAAGUGUCAUUGGAUGUUUGGCUUGUUGGUCGGUUUGUUUAUGUUAUAUAUGUGGUUGUUAUCUCAUCUCUUGUGUUUAUAGCUCGUAGAUGGGAGGAUCACCUCACUAAAUAUUUCUGGAAAUACUUAUGCAUCUCUUUUAAUGGUGUAGGUAAAAGCAAAGUGUGAUUGUGGAAUCAAGGCGAGGAGAGAAGACUGAUCUAGGGGCUCGCUGAGUGUGUUAUGGUAUUGUUAUGCAAUUGUUAGGUUGUUAGUUUUGAAUCUUAGAAGCAUGUUUGAUGAAUUAUGCUAUUUGUGGAUAAUUGAUGGUUUAAUGAUAUUGUUUCUUUAUUUAUUAUUCUGCUGGUUCUUGGUUGGUUUAAUUGAAUUGGCUUAAUAUGAAAUUGUCUGGUUUAAUUGGUUUAUUUUGGGAUUGUUUAGUUAAUUUGGUUCAAUCUGGUUUAAUUUGAUUUAACCUGGUUUAAUUGAACUUAUCUGGUUUAGUUGAGUUAAUCUGGUUUAGCUAGGUUAAUCUAUGUUAAUUCGGUAUAGUUGUGUAUUUAAAAGAUAACCGGGUCGGGUCUUUUCACAUAUCCGAAAAAGGAUGAGAACAACAUAUAGGACAUAGUACAUCUAGAAAGACUUCAUUUUAGCAAAUGGCUUGCAAAUUGGUGAGUCCUUCAUAUUGGAGUUGGUUUGGAAAGAGUACAUCUGGUAUAUUUUGUGUAUGUGGUUAAAGGCAAGAAAGACAUCGUUCACAAGCUUGCGAGAAAGAUGAGAACAACAUAUAGGACAGAGAGGAUUCAUCUUUAGAAAACCAACAUCGAGUCUUGAGAUUGACACUUACACAUGAAGAUGUUAGAGGCUGCAAACUAGUACGUUUAUGAUCAAACAAACUCUGCUCCAAAGGUGGUUUAGUUUCUAUUUUUUAGUCACUAAACUAUUGAAAUCUUUUGGAGAUUUUUCGAUGUAAAUACUUGAGUAUACAUCGAGAAUAAACAGAAUAAUGGUGUUACCUUGUAUGCUAAUUCUCCAAUGGCUAUAUAGAAGCUAGGUUUUCUCCGGUAAAAUUUGCACUCAAUACAAAUCAAAAUUACUAUUAAAUACAAUAGCUAAUCAUAAAUACAGUCAAAAGUAUGUAAUUGUCAUAUUAGUUUUACCUUAGUUUUGGAUUACAUUGAUAGUCAUUUACUGAAGCUAUAUAUACCAAUUUUUUUAAGAAUUUGUUAAUUGCAAUCUAUCAAAAUUAAAAAUAGGGAAACUAAGAGAUUUUGGUUGAUGGAUUUGAUUCAAAAAUUAUUAGAUUUUCCAUCUUUGUUAGUCAUGUUUUUUUUUAAUGAUAUAGCAAAUGUAAUGAAGCGUUAUUCCUAUAAUAUUUUCAACACAAAUCUACAUCAAAUCAACAUUUUCAAACCAACUCGAUAAAAGCAUUUGUGAAAUAACAUUAAAAAAUAAGAAAGAUAAAAUGGAACCAAAAAAAAAUCUAUAAUGCUUUAAUCAAAGAUAAAGCGAAAAAAUCUUUAGUGCUUUAAUCCUUGAUAUGGGCACCUAUGUCCUUAACUGACUUCUUCAAUGCCUUAAAUGUCUUAUCUUGAAACUUAUUCCACCUCUGAAGAAGUUUGAUCUUCUUGUGAGCAUCUUUAAGACUAGCUAGUCUUCCCUGAGUCUCUUCGAAGUGAAAACCUUAUGAACUAUCCUCAUCCAUAAUAUCAAUACCCACAUCAGCCCCUUGACUCUCCUCAUGAACAACUUGUGAACUAGCAGAAGCAUACAAAAGCUGAGUGGCAUGCCAAAAGUCAAUGUUCAAACCCGUUCUUAUCGUGGUAACGUCUGCAUUUGGAAGAAUAAUCCUAGAAGGUCCAGCGGAGGGAUGAUUGAACUUGUACAGAAACCUUCCUCCCACAUUCUCAUGAGUAAUGAAGCGGUUUCUCUUCAAGUAAUCUAUAUCAAUGAACGUAGGCUUGUGUACUCUUCCCAACAAAUCCACAUCACACGCCACAAGCAUUGGUGUACUAAUACCUCCUAUGCAGAGUUCUCUCCUCUAGAACUUCUAACAUGCAUUCUUGCUGCCCAAUCUUUAUAGUACAUAAACUGAUCUAGCAACACAAAUGUGAGAUUGCAAUUAUCCCUAUCACCAGCUAGAACCGUUCCAUUCCUAGUACUACUCCACCCAAAGAAAUAUCUAUCAUCAGAAGUUUCCCCUCGUUCAAGUUUUCAGUUUCUCUUCUAGCAAACAAUGUGUUAGCUAACGAUUUAUGCAAGUACCUGAUCAUUGGACUGCGGAUUUGAGCACUCUUAGUCUUUGUUGAAGCAUAGACUUCAUUGUUUCCAAUUGUUGCCCAUAGAACUCUCAACUUCCCCUUAUGAAUUCGCUGGUUAAUCCCUGAAACAGUCUUGAACCCAUAAAGCGUGUUGAUUUCCUUGAAUGAAAGCCUCUUCUCUCGACCUUUAACUGUGAAUGUGAUGUAGCCUAAACCAUACUCCACAAACCUCUCAGCAAACUCAUCAUAGAAUUGAACCUACAGAGAACUCAAAAACUAGCAAGUUUCCUGCUCGAACGUUUUUGUGUUCAUCUUCAUAAAGUCAGCCAAACCAAUCAUCUCAAAUAAAUACUCUCUAGUAAAUCCCAACUUAACCUUUGUCUCCUUAUGUGGGAAACGAGUUCUUGAAAGUACAUCUCCUUGAAGAUUCUGUAAAGUUCCUCAGGAUUCAACUCUCUCUUUCCCUGCAUUGGUUUCUCUUCUUCUACAUCUUCCUCGGUUUCCUCAACCAUAGACUCUCUAGCAGGUCUCUUCCCCAAUGAGAUGAGCCCUCUUGCCCUUGAGAACUUAACAUUUGCUCUGGCAUCACCCCGUUCAUCAUCAGAAUCAUCACCAUCAAGCUAUUCAAACUCGAUUUUUUUCUUUGCAGACCAUGAUGAUGUGCUCGACCGAGCACUCGAUCGUGUAGUUUGAUUGGCCGGUCGAUUGCUCGGUCGUGUAGCCAAACGAGUUGCUGUAAGUUCUUCUCCAUCAAUCUCCAUUGAUAUGAAACCUUGUUGUUGAGCUUGGGAUGAAGAAUCAAAAUCAAUUUUAGCCCUAGAGGAUCGAGUGUGAGAGCUCUUCUUAACCUUCUUCUUCUCUUGAUUCUUCUUCAUUCUUUCACUGAAAAUAUAAAACUCAAAGCUAAAAUUCAAUGGGUUAGUAGCAAAUCGAGUUCUUUGAAGUUUCUUGAGAGCUUGAACUCGAUUUUGGCCUUAAGAAGAGGAAGAAAAUGAAUUUUAAGCACUUAACCCAGAAACUAGGUGGUGAAGCUUGAAAAUCGUCAACAAUGGAGGUGAGGUGAGUGAUACGGCGAAUUUGUUCUUUCGGAGGAGGAGAAUCGAGUUUGUAGUUAUAAGGGAAGAAGAUAGGGCAAAAUCGGGUAAGUAAACGGGUAAGGAAACGGUUGGGCCGGGUCGUGUUCUGGAUCAACUGUGUGAUCAGAUGGGCCUCAAAUGGUCUUGAAGUGGCACUGGUCAUAACUUGCUCGAUUUUGGGACUUAAAUGGAUCCGAUCGGAUAGGGCUUAAUCAAUCGAGUGCAAGGAUUUUGGUGGGUCGAAUUUUUUCUUUUAUGGGCCUAAUGACUCUCAAAUACCCACUCGAUCUGACUAUAUCAUUUAUUGGAUUGAAUUCCACCUUCUUGAACCAGAACUCAUAGUCGAACAAAUUCAUGAAACUCAAAUAGAAAAGCAAAAGAAAUUAACAUUAAAAGUAAGGAAUUAUUUACAAGGAUACCACUCGUACUUCCUCCCAAGUGAGCUUGUUUAAAGUUACUGAGCUUAACUUUCCAAGCUCCUCAAGUUUGAAUAGGACAGUGGAGAGACUCGGUGAUCCUCUCCAACAUCAAUGACCAAUAAACUUUAGACCUGUUUCACAUAGCAUUACUUUUUUUGAAACUCAGAACCCUCUUAGCCUUCCUUGAAGUUAGGAUAUGGUUCCUCAUUUUAUUAGCUCCACAACUUGCUUACCCAUAUUUUGAAUGGUAGUUGCAAGUCUCAUCAAGUCCUUCUUAAGAGUUUUGAUAACUUGGAGUUCCAUGUAGGUGGGAGAGGAGGACAAGGUUUCUUCUGUUCCAAUCAUCGUAGUUCGAUAUGGAUCUGCCAUGUUGAUCUUCAUCUUUGUUCCUCUUCUAAGAUCGAGGCUCAUGGUUCCCUUUUCUACGUCAAUCACCAUACCCGCUGAAGCUAGGAAAGGUCUUCCAAAGAUUAACUACUAUUGCAACUCUCUUUCCAUUUCCAAUACCAAGAAAUCAGUAGGGAUUUUGACUCCCGCAACUUCUAUUAGAAGGUAUUCUAGUACUCCUAUGGGUUGUCUCGAACUCCUAUCUGCCAUUACAACCGUUAGGCUACAAGGCGUAAACGUCUUAUAUCAUAUUUGUUGUGCUAUAAAAAGAGGCAUAAAGAUGAUUGAGGCAUUCGUUAAAGAUUGACGAUCUGAUCGAACAAGGUAGCGUGAAGGCUAUAGGAUCUCAUAUCUUUCUAGAAAAGCUUGGAUAUUGAGUGGGUGAGUUCCAUCACUUCUUCUGUUGCAUUCUUUCGAGCAACACUUCCUUAAAAAUUUCCCUAUAGGAGGGGAUAUUUACAAAGCAUCAACCAAGACCUUCAGCUGCUCAUUCCAAGUUAGAGAGUCAAGGAUCCUGUUAUAUUCUUCUUCGAUUUCAGCCUUGUGCUCCUCUAGAUAAGACAGUGGCUUUCGGGAUGAAGGUUCUGGACUAACAUCUAUGAUGGAACGAAAAAGGUUUGUCGGAAGCUAACUCACUCGUCCAUUCAAACACACAACAUGCUCGAUGAGAUUCAUCACUUCUUUGAUUGGAGUCAUCUCCUAAGUCUUCAAGCUGGGGUGGUAUGUUGACUGUGGUGAUCUCUUGAGAACCCUAAUUCUCUGUACCGUUCUUAUGAAUCCUCUCGAGAAGAACCUCUUUUAGAAUAACCUUGUAGGUUGGAAAAUAAGCAAAUGCUUCAACUAGAGUAGCUACCUGUUCAUGCCUAGUUCGAGAGUCAAGGAUCUUAUUGCAUUCUUCCUUGAUCUUUGCCUUGAAUCUUCUUGGAAAUGGUAGUGGUUCUCAGAAAAUUGGAGUCUUAACCUGAGAUGCAACUAUUUGGGGAAUGUUGGAAGCCACUCGACUAGGCACUCGAUUGAGCACACGAUUGGCUGGUCGAUUGCUUGGUCGAUAUGCAUAAAAUCCCCCCCAACUUGAUCUUCACUGUCCUCAGUGAACUGUAAAGUAAUGACAUGGGUAGAAGCAAACUCUUUGGUGUUGAUAAUAAAGUUUCCUGGUAGCUUACCAAACGAAGUGGAGAUGUUACAUGGGUGGAUAUAACAUCGCAUUUCAGAUUGAGGUCAUUGUAAUUUGAUGUCAUUUGGUUUUGAAUGGCUUUGUACCAUUUGUUGAAUCAUUAUCUUCAAGUCAAUAUCAUGUGGUGAGGCCAUUUGCUGGGGUUGAAAACCCGGUGAAGGUGCGGAGUAAACUUGCUGGAAUUGUUGUUUGGAGAGAAAUCCUUGUUGUUGAUUGAAGGGAACAAAAGGCUUGUUCUGAGCUUGCUGUUAUUGUUGCGGGUAGACUUGGUCUUGAAGAUUUGCUACGUUUGUGCUUUUGUAGGAGAGGUUGGAAUUUACCUUGUAGUUUAUGAAACCCUUUUGAAAUCCUCCUUGAUUCAAGUAACUAACUUCCUUGGUACCAUUAUCUUCCCCUUCUUGCUGGAAUUGCUCCUCGCCGGAGAAGAAGUGAACAUACUUCUGUUGUGCUAUGAGUAUCAUAUCAAUCUUAUCACUCAAAGACUUGAAGUCCUUUUUAUACUUCUCUUCAUGGUUUGAGCUUCCCCUAUUGGUUCUAUCAUACUUCUCAUUGUAAUUCUCGUCAGAAUGGACAAGGUUCUCAACCAGCUGCCAUCCCUCAACCACAUCUGUGUUAAAGAAGUUUCCAUGACUUGCGGUGUCGAGCAACAUGCGGAUCUUAGGAAGCACGCCCCUAUUUAGUGUGAUGAGUAGGGACUCCUUAGUGAACCAAUGGUGUGGGCAUUGAGAUUGGUAUCCCUUGAUUCGUUGCCAUGCUUCACACAACGACUCGAUGUUCUUCUGGGCAAAGCUUGAGAUUUCAUUCCUAAGACGGGCUGUGCGGGAGUUGGAAAAGAAUUUGACAUGAAACCACGCUUACAUUCCUCCCAAGUGGUUAUAGAACCAACAAGCAAACCUUUUUCCCAUUGAUGAGCCUUGUCUCCGAGUGAGAAAGAAAAGAGACAAAGCUUCAAUUCGUCUUCACUUACUCUGUUCAUCUUGGUUGAACCACAAAGGCGGUCAAACUCAUCCAAGUGGUUCAAUGGGUUUUUCAUUGGUAAACCGUGAAACUUAUUGCUCUAGACCGUGGAUAUGAGGCUAUUCUUGAUUUCAAAAUUAUUAUUCUGAACAGCUGGCAGUACUAUCUUGGACCUCUGGAUAUGGCUAUAAUUAGCAUCUCCUGCACCUACGCAUGUUGCACGCCUCUAAUUCCCAUUCUGUUGAGGUUCCAUCUCAAUGUCUAUUGUAUCCUUGCUUAAUUGAUCUCUGUGCUGUCUCAACGCUUUCAGAAGUCUAUCGAUGUUGUCGAGAUACCUGAGAAGAUUCUGACUGCCUUUAGACCUUGUGUGCAUACAAGGAAUCGAACAGGUGCUCGAUCAAGGCAACCGAUUGGACCAGUCGAGUGCUGGUAGAUUGCUUGAUCGAAUGGUACCUAAAAAGCAAGACAUACAAGUAAACAAGCAAAACAAAUCAGUAUUCAAAGUGAAAAUGUUAUAGAACUUAAUCUUGCUAAAUUGAAAUCUAAACUGGAACAACUUAAACGUCCAAAUGGCAGCGGCGCCAAAUUGAUAACAAGUUUUUACUGCGAAUAGUAUCAAUCACCCAAUAUAAUUGCAGUAUAAAGGGCUUUAUCGAUCCAUAAGGACGCGUGCAAGCAGUUUAGAUGCAAUUAAUAUUUAACAAGUUAAGCCAAGCAUGAAAGGUUUUAAACUAUCAACUACUGAAUUUAACACAAGCAUGAACUAAGCAAGACACAACAAUGAAUUUAAACAGAAAUGAAACUAACAAAAUAAGAACAUGCAGUGAACUAGAAAUGCAAGAACAUAAAUGAAGCAAGGUAAAUCAAUCAAUUAAAGGGGGAUUUUGGGGAUGAGAUGGUGAUUUCAGUGGAGAUUUUUAACUUCACUAGGUUGCUAAAUCAAUCAAACACAAACAAUGUUGUUUCCUAGACAACAAGCUCAUAAGCUAACAAGUUCAUUCUCUUGACAAAGGCUAUCAAAUUGAAAUCACUUCCUAAUCUCAACUUCUGGUUGAUGAAACAUGAAAUGAAUAAGCAUUAAGACUCAACUCAUUAAUGUCAAAUAACACUCUAGACAACCAAUCUCUUGGACUAGACAUGAAAUUCUUUGGUAUUAGAUUAUCCGGCAUUCCAUCGAACACCUCUCGGGCGUGGAAACCUGAGAACUAAUCACCACUUGAUCAGAAUGGGAGUAGUGUUAUAUACACUAAUCCAGAAGGAAAUCUAAACAUUUCUACCUAUGGGUAACCUAGCUACCUAAAGUUCUCCACCUACACAUCUAACUCAUCCCAAAACCUAAGGAAUCUACUUAGAUCUAACAAACAUACUUAAGAACUCAAACCCAGAAACCUCUAAAUCAUGCAUAACUAGAUAGAUCUAAGAAAGAAGCAAAAUAAUACAAAGAAGCAACAAAAAAUACUCAAUAGAUCAAAAGAUAUGAAGUUUACAAGAUUCUGGAAAUUCUAAAGCAAAAUGAAGAAAAACCCUAAUACAACUCUAGAUAAUAAGUCAUUAGGCAAAGAACCUUUUUAUAGCAAGUUUAGAUAGCCCUAAAACACUAGCAGACAAAAUAGAAAGUCGGUUUAACGGUGCUCGAUCGGUCUCGUUGGAUGACUUGAUUGGAUGGUUGUAUGAGCUGCUUCUCUGGUCCAGUCAAAUACUCGAUCCAUUCCAUGGCUGGGAUCCUUCUUCUCGAUCGGAUGGAACAUCUACACUUGGUCGAUUUGUCCUGAAUUGCUUUAUUCCCUUGGGUAAACACAUGUUUAUGCACAAACAUUACAAUGCAUGCAAUGCAAGGCCUAGAUUCUACAAGUGAAGCAAAACAAGGCAAAUAUGCGUACAUGAUCAAGUAAUGAGACCUAGAAUGACAAAAACAAUACAUAAAACUAGUGUUAAAAUGAGUAAAAUCCAGACACAUCAACAAGUCCAAAAACCCUAUUUUAUAAAGGCGAUGCCUCCUCUCUCUCUCUUGCUAUGGUCAUUGUUUUGUUUAUGAGAAAAGAGUUAAAAAAGAGGAGAAGGAGAACUUCACUUGUGAGAAGGAGAGCAAGUUUUGCUUUGGUAUAUAGGGCAAAAGAAGCAGAUUUGUCACGUAUUGGGAGACAAGGGUUACGACGUACAAAAUCUUAUCCAAAAGGUAAUGAGAUUUAGUAUCGUUUUUCUUAAGGUUUGUACGUUAAUUUGGGCUAAAACUCUAUGAGUUAUCUGCAGUUUUGUGAAACACUUCUUCUAUGUCGCGAACAAGGAUCAGCGAAGAUUGUAAGUCCGAUCGUGGUUACAUCGUAUAUCUAAUUGGCACAAAAUAAUUUGAAACGCUUUGUGACCUCUAGUUUGUGCUUUCCACCGAAGGGAUUCAAAAGUUAACAGUUGGUUUUCGUUUUAUAGCUUCGUUUCUAUGGCUGUAAUUUUUAGUUGUUUAUGUCCAAUUUGGUUCAAAGGGAUUUUUGUUUGUGUGGCUUGUUGUACGGUGUUUAUGGGUUGUUGCAGUCGCGAGAGAGUCUUUCCUGUUUGUUUUUGUUGUUCGAGUCACCUAGAAGGUGAGCGCGUGACCAUGAACUUAUCUAAGUGAUUUGGAUUGAGUGACUUGUUUUGUGAUGAUUUAUAGGUGUACUGGAAGUGUCAUUGGAUGUUUGGCUUGUUGGUUGGUUUGUUUAUUGGAUACAUGUGGUUGUUAUCUCAUUGCUUGUAUGUAUACCUCGUAGAUUUGAGGAUCACCUCACUAAGUAUUUCUGGAAAUACUUAUGCAUCUCUUUCUGUUAUGCAUGUAAAAGCAAAGUGUGACUGUGGAAUCAAGGUGAGGAGAGAAUACUAAUCUAGGGGCUCGCUGAGUGUGUUAUGGUUUUGUUCUGCAAUUUUUAGGGUUGUUAGUUUUAGAAUUUAGAAGCAUGUUUGGAUGAGUUAGGCUAUUUGUGGAUAACUGAUAGUUCAAUGAUAUUGGUUUUUUUUUUGUGCACAAAAUUCUUGAUUCAACUUAGCGAGAAACAAGAGGAACGAGCAAAUUCAGACAGACCUGAAUAGCAAAGUUGAAGAUUAAAAAAACAAAAACCAAAGGUAGAGACACAAGCUUGAAUAAGCUUGAUAGGUUCCGAGGAGAAGUAUCAAACCUAACAAUCACAAGCAAUCCCAUGAAAGCAAUAGCAUUCAAUACAAAGACCUCGACCGGGAGGAAAAUAGUCACCAGACAAUGUGACUUUAAAACAAGACCAUUUUCAAAUGAGACACCCACAAAGGGGGAAGAAUGAAGGAAGGGCUCCCUCUCAACAAUGAGAAGGUAGCAGCGGUUGACACAGACAGGAGAACGCCAGAGAUGUAUCCAGUGAUCAAAAUCUGCUGGCUCUGGGCAACAAGCGAACCAAUUCAAGUGGUUCCAGAUUGGAGGCUAACUGGAUCCGCCUCAAACGACAUUAGAGAGUCUCCGGAGAAGUAUCCGGUGAGCAAUCCUGGCCUUAUAUGGAUAGAAGACGAACCAGAAAAGAUGUCUCUAGCCUGCCAACAAGCAAGAAAUGCUUAAGAUGUAGAGAAGGAGAGACCGGAGAAGUAUCCGGUGAAACCAAAGAAGUAUUCGGUGAACACUCUCCACUGUGGAGUUUGUGCUUGAACAAGAACGACCACAAUGAAGGAACCUAUCACAAGAGGAGAAGUCGCCAGAAAAGUAGACAAGCCUGAGAACGACAGAGACAAAACGUCAAGAGCAUAUGGUGGAUCUGGUGGGACUGGUGGAUCUGGUGGGACUGGUGGAUCCGGAGGAGAAGAAGGAUGAAUCACCAAGCGUAUCGGAUCUGGUGGCUUUGGAACAGAAGAGCUCAACGCAACCAGCAAAAGCUUCACCAAAGACAUGAACAACGAUUAAAAAGAUAACAAAGGUUCUUCUCCUACAAAAAACAGGAGGUGAGAGAUGAAGUAAUCUCGCCAGAAAACAGGGACGGCGGAGGCAGCGGCAAGAAAAUGACUUCAAAGGGGAGAGGAUGGAGGUUAUUUGGAAAGAGUCAACUCCUAUACUUAGGUUGUUCAAUACAUCUAGUAUAUUUUGUAUAUGUGAUAAAAGGCAAGAAAGGCAUCGUUCACAAGCUUGCGAGAAAGAUGAGAACAACAAAGAGAACAGAGAGGAUUCAUCUUUAGAAAACCAACAUGGAGUCUUGGGAUAGAGGAUUCAUCUUUAGAAAACCAACAUGGAGUCUUGGGAUUAACACUCACACGUGAAGAUGUUAGAGGCUGCAAACUAGUAAGUUUAUGAUCAAACAAACUCUUUUCCUAAGGUGGUUUAGUUUCUAUCUUCUAAUCACUAAACUAUUUGGUGUGUAUUUAUUAAAAUCUUUUGUAGAUUCUUCGAUGUAAAUACAUGACAGAUGAUGACAUUGACAAGCUUACCAAGAUAAAUAUUGUGGGUAAAGCUAAGACGAUGUGGUGGGGAUUUCGACCAUCAAGAGAUGGAACUAUAGCUAUAGGAAUUGAUUGAAAAAACUUUUUUAAGGUGAAUGACAUAAACAUAAUGACAUAAACAUAGGAAAUUCAUUUACUUUAGAGUUCAUAAAUCAAAAAGAGGACACAACUCCGGUAUUUAGAUCAAGCGGAACACUAGCCAUACACAACAUGAAAUGGUACUUGCAUUUGUUUUAUAGAAUAUAUUUUGUAUUGUAUAAUGAAGAAUUAUACAUUUGAUUUGGAUGUUCUUUAGCUGUUUUCAUUAUACUGUAAUGGUAUUUAAAUACAUACUUCUAUUCAUUAUUUGAUGUGAAUACAUAUUGUUUGAGUUUUGGAGUAUUUUAUUUUUAUAUUUUAUUUGACUAGUUUGAAGUAUUAGUUUCUUGGACAAUGUUAGCCUUAAUAAAAUUUGGUUCUUAUAUAAUUUUUUGGUUUUUUGUUAUCUAUGACAUAGUGAGAUCUAUAAGUCCUUUGAUAAUCGAAACAUAUGCAAAUAUGCUUGAAGAAGAAGAAUACAAGGACAAAAGAAGGUAAUGGACGAGCUAAACAUUUUUGUUUAAUUCUUUUUCUUUUGAUGAUUUUGACACUGAAGUAUGUGAAGCUUGUUUUAAAUCUUGUGUAGUUUUAUUUUGAUAGAGUAUAUACAAGAGGGGAAAAAUUGAAUAUGAACAAUUCACAACCCGAAGCUAGUUAGUCUUCAUUGACCAACUCUUGUUAUGUGUGCUUUGGUAUCGCUUCAGAAUCAAUUAAAGAUUCUCUAGUGAGUUCAUUCGCAUUUGAACUGCUUUGUGCAUCAAGUUUCAAAUGUGACUGUAGUUUUGUUAGUCCAGUUUGGUCUAGGAGAAUUAAUACUUGCCAAUACAAAAUAAAUAGCUCAAUAUGUUUUACCUUGAGUUUUGGUUUACAUUGACAAUCUUUUACUGAAGUUACCUACCAAAUUUUGUUUGGAAUUUGUUAAUUAUAUGAAUCAAUUAAAAUUAAACUAGGAAACUUUAUAAAUGUUCAGAGUAUUAAAAUGUUAAAUUCUACUCGAAUAAUCUAACCCUUUCAAUGUAGUUUUGGUUACUUAGAUAAGUAUAAAUGACUACAGUAAUAAAAUGUUCAAAUCUACUCGAAUAAGCUAACCCGUUAGAUGUAGUUUCAGUUACUUAGCUAAGUAUAAAUGACUAGAGUAACAAAAGUUUAUACAAAAGUAACCCGACCAUUUGAAUAAACAUAUUUGUACUACCUUGAAUAAGUCAUUAUUGGCGGUAAUGUUGACAAACAAUGUGAACGGUUGACUAAUAUGAUAUACUCAGUCUCAGCUAGGAAAGGUAAAAUCAAUACACAUAGAUAAUUAUGGAAUAACAAUAUAAGAGUUGACGAAAGCAAAUCCCAUGUAUUAUUCACCUUGCAAUUAUAAUUACUUAACACAGCAUAUAAUAGAGAAAAUUUUAUUAAUUGAUUCUGUUAUAAUGUUAACACUAUUCAUAAAAUAAAUAAGGUGGUAUUUAAGGUAUGUUUUUAUAUAGGGUAUAUAUGAUUGUAUCCAUAUUCAUUAAUUCACAAUCAAUAGAAUCUCAUUGGAAAACUGUAUAAAUACUGGGACACUACACAUUUCUCUAAACACUGUAGAUUAUUCUAAUAUUUUUUUCAGUUUUCCAAUUGCUAUAAUGGCUAAUGUUCAUAAGCAGAAAAAUAAUACCAACUCUUUCAUUCUUGCGUGGUUUGAACUUAACAAAAAUUGUGAAGAUGCUAGACAUCUAACAUUUGUGGAAAUUCCUCAGUUUUUUCACGGAAUCCGACAACUAAAUCAUUCCGAAGAAUACAGAGGACAAUCAUGAAUUGAAGAACAUCGUAUCUUCCAAGUAGUGUUGAUGGUAAUGAUAGUCUAAAACUGCUGUUCAGGUACUUGAAAGGACCAACGAGUGAUGAAGAUCAGAGGACUCAUAACAGUGUGCUAUACGACUCAUACGAGGAAGCAUGUGUGGCUAAUGGUUUGCUGGAAGAAUAAAGCCCAACAAAGUUCUGAAUUUUGAAAAAUUCUCUUCAGCCUUUAGAACUUCAUAUCUGAAUGUUUUUGUUCCUUUUCUCUUGCACUCAAAAUCAAUGAAACAUUGUUUUCGAUUAAAAAAAGUGUUUUAAAAUGCAAAAUCCAUACGAGUAACAACACCAGAACAAACACGUAUUUUUGGAUUGAUAACAAGUCGUAGAUGGAGUUUGAAUGUAUAAUGAACAAAGAGUUAUUUAUGGUCAUCUAUGCUAUAUUAUAUUUAGUAAAUGUGGUUCUCUUUCUGUUACCUAUGUAUCAAACUCAUCUUCUUUUUAUGAUAACGAGAUGUGAGAAUCAUGUUGAAACGAUUGUUAGAGAAAUAUAUGUAGAAUUGUAUUUGUAUAAUUGCAAGAAAAAAGAAAAAUAAAAGAAAAGAAGAUCCAAGAUAUGAUGACGUUAACAAGAUGAUCGAUGGAUAUACACACUAACAAGAUGAUCGAUGGAUAUACCCACCAGCGAAAAGAUCUCCUUAGAGAAAUAAUAGGUUUUGAUAAAAAUAAAUGUUGUCUUCUCGUAAGAGAUUACAAGGGGGUUAUAAAGAAGAAGGAAGUCUUGGAACACACUCCCAAGACUACCUUGGAAAUAACAAAAUAUUAAAGAUAAAGUUUGAAUAGAAAUGACUCUUCAAUUACUUAUUUUCGUCACUCCUCUUGGCCAGCAAAUUUCCCACUUGGUUUGGGCUCUUCUUGGGCUUGUAAUAGGCACAAAACAGGCUAGACUUGAUAUAUAUUCCAUUGGGCAAAUUUCUGAAUGUUUGGCCAUGGUUUGGAUCAACAAAUGGAUGAUUUGAAUGUGAAUCAUUUGCCUCAUUAAAAACCUUGCUAAGAAAACACAUUGGGAAAAAACAUGACAAGGGAAAAAGAGGACAAAUGAGACACAUGCCCAUUUGGUGAUCAUGUAUCAAAACCAAUGAGGUUAAGAUAACAUCUUUUCCAUACUCUUUCUCCGCUAUAAGCUCAUUCUCUGAUUCAAAUGGCUCCUUAGCUUCGAGCUGCUGCUCUGCUUCAAGCUCCUCCUCGGCUACAAGCUCAUUGUGACGUUCCAAGUCCGUUGUGUUAGGCAUGAUCAUAUCAUCCUCUCCCUCUUGAAAAGGAUUUGACCUCAAAUCCAAUUCAUCUACAAUGAAAAGAACCAAGUCAAAAAUUUUGAAACAGGAACUCACUUUAUACUUACCUUGCAGCUCAAGUUCAUAAGCUUUGUUGUUGAUUUGGCUUGCUAUGUUGAAUUGACCAUCGAUCCUUGGGAUUAGAUUGGACUCCUUUUCCGUUGGAAAUCUUUUCUUCCUCCAUUGUACCCAUACUUGUUCUCCAACCUCAAAAAUCAUCCUGAAACGAGCAUAAGGUUUCUUAUCAUGCGUGAAAACAUCUCCAAUUCCCGUCCUCAUAAAGAGAUUCAGUGAGAGAACUUCUAAAUAUGGUGGCUCCUGUUUUGUACCUACAAUGUUUUCAACACCUUUGACCAAGAACAAGUGUGUUAUUACAGUCAUGAAGUUAUUAUAAACAUGCAAACAAAUCUCAGCUUGGACCAAAUCAAUAUCCUCAUAUUGUUCCUCUUUUAGUUGCACCUUAAGACAAUAAUUUGAUUCCAAAUAUUAUUUCAAUAAGCCUGAUUUAUUCUCAAAGAUUUCCUGAUGUAAUAAAAUUAUAAUCAUAUCCCUUAAAUCAUGAGAAAUAAAUCGAGUUGAGGAAUUACUUACAUGGAUAGGGUCCUUGACAUGUUUGGUGUUUAUCAUCAUUUUUGGAUCUGGGGGUUCUUCUUGGAUCAAUGCGUUGGUGGUGACCAACUCAUCCUCUCUAGAGGUUAACUUAUAUAAUGAGAAAUCAUAAUGUUGCAGCAUAUAAUCUUGCACUGUCAUGUUCUCCUUUUCAUAUCUUCCCCCUCUAAAUAUUUUGUGGCUCAACUUUAGCUUGAAUGUUGUAUCUGGUGGCGCUUCUUUGAUCAGUAUGAAACGACUCACGUCUUGGUGUUUAUUCUAGUCCAGAUUGGCUGGCUUAAACUGAUUGUCUCCCUCUCUUGUUUUAGUUCUUCUUAAGCGCUUCAAGAUUGCCUUAAAAUAUGCAUUUGGCUCUUUUGACAAAGACAAGCGAAUCAAAUCUGUGUAAUCUUGGAUAAAAGUCAUGUACUUGAGAGUAAAGAUACUUAUCUUAUCAUAGCUUGGUAUGUGCACUAGUGUUGCAUCAGGUGGUUCAUCUUUGAACGAUGAAGAAACUUUAACUACCUUUCCAUGCUUUUUGUUUGCUUUAAACUGUAAGAACGCAAGAUCUCUUGUUUUCCUCAGGGACUUCCAGCUCCAAAAUUCCAUGAUGAUAAUUCUUUCUUUGGUAUUUAUCUAGCGGGUUUUCCUUGACUUGAGUAAGCCAUUUGAGUUCUUCUCCAAAGUACUUUCCAAAGUACUUAUGCUUCUCCAUGUCACAUGUUCCGUUUUUAGCACUCAUGCGAUAGAACAAGUGCAUUAUACUUGAAAUAGAUAAGUCAAGAACAUAACUUUUCACCACUGGUUUAUAAAGCUCAUCGAAGGGAUAUGAUUCACUCAACACGUUUUGCAAAUAAUUCAUUUCAGAAAAAAGUUUCACCAAUAUAUGCUCAGUUCUAAGCAGCUCAAUUGCAUUGCUACUCAAAGAAACUCUUAAAGAAGAGUUAAAUUCAAUAAAUAGAAAACCUUUUGACUAAAAUAACUUCAUUAAAUAGAGAACCUCAGAUCCUUAAGAACCAUCUGUUGUAGAUCCAAAGGUGCAGGGCCUUUGGUUGGGUCACAAAACUUUGAUUUUGUACACAAAUAUAAUGACCUUGGAGGUUGCGUUCUUCAAAUAAUCGUUCCAUGUUUCUAUAGGGCAUGUGUGCUCCAAGUUUGUCUCCUAAUCUCGUAGUAUCCACAACCCUUUAAUUCACACGCAUGGAUCCUCCAGUCACAACGCUGGCCCGAACAUUAGAGAACAAACGAUCCCUUUUUUGUGGUUGUCUGUGUAAAAUGGAACAUAUUCUUAAUAGCAUAUAUAGCAAUGCCAAUUUGAUAUUCCUCUUUGCUAGCAAAUAUCUUCCCUACGUAUAUGCCUUUACCAUCAUCAUCAAAUUCAAGAUCUGGUAUAUCUUCCCUUUCAUACUCAUUAUCACCAAAUAAAUGAGGUAUAUCAAACUCCUCGUCGUCAAUAUCUUCAAGCUUCCGUUCAUCAACAUUUAGAACUGACGUGCUUCCACCUGCUGCAUUGAUUCCAUUGUAUCCAUUCUCAUCUGUCCACCUGGAUACACCUGGUUGUCCAGUGGCGCUUUGAGAAUAAACUCUAGGAACAUACCCAUUUAUUACUCCCCCUUCAUUCACACCAUUGUGGUCUCCACCAACUACUGGCGGCUUAUUCUCAGGCUUUACUGGGACUCCACCAUUCAAUAUCACAGUAUGGUCAAAACAAGAAUGUGUAUUACACAUUACCUCCACAACAUCUACUCGCCCAUAGUUAUCACCUAUGAAAUUUCCCCGGAAUUCAGUGCCAUACUGUCUUGGUGUGACAUAAACAUCCUUUUCUUCAACAUUCUCUUCUUUCUCGCAUUUAUCAUUCUAUUGGUUUUCACUCAUAUAUGUUUCAUCUUCAAUUACCCUCCCCUUUACCUCUGCUUUGUUUUCCCUACCAUCUUCUGCUGCUGCUAUUUCAUCAAGAAAAGCUUCAUCCUCCUGCGUAACCUCAAUAACAAUAGUUUUUGAUCCAACAAUUGAUAUCUCCCCACACAACUCUUCUGCACCAUCACUCUUACUUAAUCCACAUGAAGACCCACAAUUACGUUUCCUAGAACCAUCCCCGGAACGGAGCUUCUCUUCUCCCUCAAACUCGACUUCAGUUUGACCUCUUUUAAUGAUCUCUUCGAAGAUUACAAACAAAUUAAGACCUCUAUUCCCACGAAGCAUCUUCAUAUAGUACUUAAGACCAAGAUUUGUACUGACCAUCACUGGCGGCGACCUAACUACUAGUGACAAAUGCAAAUUGCUUGGCAGACAGUAGCUCAAGUCUGCCUUCUUAUUAACCAAGCUGGUAUUUUCUACCACCGAAUCCUCCAAUUCCCACAACUUGAUUUCCGCCAAAAUUGGAACGAUCCUCGACAAAAGCAGUUGGUCGACGUGCCAAUCGCAAACGUUUUUGCCGGUACAGCACCACUUCCCUAAAACAACCACACAAUAAUGAGGGAGUUCAUCCUGGGCGACAACAACAAAAUUCAUCAGCAACAAUUAUCAACCCACAAUUUUUGAAACACAAAGAACUAUCCACAAACCCUUACCUGCGCAGCCAUGUUUACAGAAGAAUGUCCAAAACCCUAAGCUCAGUUUAGCAUUUCUUUAUCCACAAAUAAACGAAUUGUUAACUUGAAAAUUGCUUUGAAUCCACGAAGCCCCGAUUCAAACAAAACUUAAUCUAAGCCACAUGAUCUAAUCAUCUAGUUUCCAUCCUACGAUCCUUGUUAUUUUCGAUACAGUUACAAUUCAACUCUACUAAAACUAAGACAGAGGGCACAAUGGUCAUUUAUUUUGAGGUCAACACAACUUAAGAAGAACAAAAGUACACUAUAACUUCAAAGUGGGUCUGCUCGCAAAGACUUUCCCACAAAGUGGGCUUGCGUGUUAUUUUCUCCGAAUUUAAUUAUUCUUGUUGUCAUUGUUGCACGCUCAAUUAACAAGUCCUCUGUGUAUUUUCAUUUAAUUCACCCAAAAUUUUUCCAUUUUGUUGUCUUAAACUAAAGAUUUGGCGAAUUUUUAAGCUUUUUCCAUAAAUUUUAUGCAAAACAUAAUUAAAACUAGGAUUUACCCGGUGGUAUACCACAAGUCAAUAAUUUAAUAUAUUUGUUUGAUUGGUCAUUUUCUUAGUUGGUUUAUAUAGUCUAGUUUUAUAUGUGUUUAUUUCAUUAUAGUUUUAUAUAAUUUUAUGAAUUUGUAUUAUAAGUAGAUUUAUAAAUAUAUGUGGUCAACCCGCGGUACACCGCGGAAUAAUUUUGUUGUAAGUAAAAAAUUAUAUUUUCACUUAACCGUUAAAAGAUUUAAAUAUAGAUAACUCGUAAGAAAUCUAUUCAUAUUUAUGUAAACUCAAAACCGUUCAAUCAUAUUUAUGUACAAUAUUAUUAUAUUUUCAAUAUUUUAAAGUUAGAAUAUUAAUAGUACUUUAAUUUUUUGUAGAGUUUAAGUAUUUUUAAUAUUUUAAACAUCUAUAAAGAUUAAAUUAAAUAUUAUAAUAUUUAAAGCUUUUAAAAGUUUUAAUAUUUAUAAUAUUUAUAUUUACUUGUUAUUUAAUUACUAAAUUUACUUUUAAGUUUUGUUAUUCAUUCAAUUAGUAAGUGUUAUGCAAAUAUUACAAAAUAAAAGGUUAUAACCCAAAAUAGAUUUUUAGAACAAAAUGUACUUCAAAGGUGUAUAUAAAAGUACUCUAUUUCCACUAGCAUGUUGGUUCGGUUAAUCGAGAGUUUUUUUGGUUAAUCGAUUCGGUUCGGAUUGGUAUAAUUGGUUAAUUCAGAAUUUGAAAAUUGUUCGAAAAGAGGUUAAUUUGGUUUUUCUUUAUUUCUUACGGAACUGAACCGAAAUUUUUAGUUUCUUUAAAUUUGUGCCGCUGGAAAAAACAGAAGCCUAGUAACAUGUCAAACCCAUUUUAAAUAAAUUCGUUAACGUUUUUGUAUGAAUGAAACUUCAACAUAGUCACGAGAGUAAUUCUAAAACCAGAAAAAGUUAGACGAUGGCUAAUGCGAAGAGGAGAUCCCAUCAAAGAAAAAGAAGAGAUGCAAGGAAGAUGAAUCGAGCGAAGAUCCAAAAAAGAUUGACAGCGACUAAUUACACUGGGAUUUUAUUUUUCUCGGUUAAUCAUCUGGUUCGCCUAAACCGAACCAAAAAUUCAUUGAUAACCGAUUUCAGUUACAAAGCUUCCGAUCGGUUUACCUUUAGUAACCGAACCCAAAUCAAAAACCAAAAAUUUGGGUUCAUUCGGUUCGGUUUGGUUUAAUCACGUUUCAGAAGUAAAAAAAAAAAGAAAACACGGACUUCGAGUCAUCAUCGGUCGGUUAACCAUUUUGUACAGAACCACAGUGAAAGACUUAUCUUCUCUCCGGCGAUCGUUUAACCAAAUCCUUCAGUUUCACACUUUCACUCAAGCGGUCAUAUUAGGGUUUUACAUCUUCCGACCAAAACCAGUAAAGAUGUGCGGUAGGACUUGCUGUACUUUAAGACCAGAUGAUGUCCCAAGAGCUUCUCACCGCCACGGCGUUCAAACCCGAUUCCUUCACACUGACCGGUCUUUUCUCUUUUCUCAGUUACAAGUUUCAAUUUUUAAGCCUCUGAACUCUCUAAAAAUCGUUCCUUCUUGUUGUUAAUCAGUUAUCGUCCAUCUUACAAUGUUGCCCCUGGUUCGUAUAUGCCUGUUUUAAGAAGAGACAAUGAAGUAGUUGGUGAUGGUGUUGUUGUUCAUUGUAUGAAGUGGGGAUUAGUCCCAGGUUUCACUAAGAAAACUGAUAAGCCUGACUUUUUCAAAAUGGUAUCACUUUUACUUCUUUGGUGGGUUUUGUUUUGAGUUGCAAAAUUUGAUUGUCAAAGAAGUUUAUUGCACCUGAUUCUUUGAUUGGUGACUAUAUAGUGAAGAUGUGUUUGUUUAUGUGAAUUUGUAGUUUAAUGCUCGGUCUGAAUCGGUAGCUGAGAAAUCGUCUUUUCGUCGAUUGCUUCCCAAGAAUAGGUGCCUUGUUGCAGUUGAUGGGUAUCUCUUAUCUUCUCUUUUUUAGUAUUCUAUAGUUUAGGUUCAAUCUAUAUGUGAAUUCUAAAACUACAUAUAUAGAAAUGUUUUAAUUCUGAUCAGCAAUGUUUGACUUUGUGUAAUCAAUCUUAAGGCUAAUGAUUUGUUAUUGAGUUCUGUUUUUUGUGAACAUUCUUCAAAAGCAAUUGUUCUGUCUCUAUAUUUAGAUGUGUAUUUUUUUUUUCUUUGUAACACAUAAUAGUCUUUAAAAGAACUUACAGUUAGAUUCAAUUUGAAGAUUCUAUGAGUGGAAAAAGGAAGGUUCAAAAAAGCAACCCUACUAUAUCCAUUUCGAGGACGGGAGGCCACUCGUCUUUGCUGCUCUUUUUGAUUCUUGGCCGAACUCAGGAGGUGAAACGUUUUAUCUUGUUUUAUUCCAAACUCUGUUGCUAUUCUUUUUGAAACUGAUCCUGAAACAUUUCUUAGACUUUCAAUGUCUUUUUUUCCACAGAUGUUUGAAAAGUUUAUCUUUUGAAUUGCUAAUCAUUUUACAUUCAUUGAAAUUUUUUGAGUUAUGUGUGUUAGAAAAGCGAAGUAGCACUUUAAAGACCCUUUUUGGUAGCUAAAUACAUCUCAGAUGCUUUGACUCUAAGUUAAAGUUACUUUUUUUUCUUGCAGGUGAGACACUUUACACCUUCACGAUUUUGACAGCCGCUUCCUCUUCGGCACUUCAUUGGCUCCAUGGUUAGUAUCUUGGAAGGCUUUUUCUUAAAUAAGAUAUAUUUCUUUAUUCAUAUUCACUGAAGAUUCUCAGUAGCACAUAGCAUAUGAAGUUGGGAAUUGUUUAUCUUCCGUGGAGGUGGAGCCUUGAAACUUGUGUUCAUAUAUUAAGAAAGAUAUGAACUUAAAGUAUCAUACUAGUAUUGAAUUGUUUCUGUUUUCUUGUUACUUACAAUUUGAUAAUCUUCUUUAGAAAAUAUACUUUUGUAAUUACGAGUCUUGUUGCAAGAGAAUCUUGAACUGCUGCUAAAGGGACUCGUAUCAGAAAAAGAACAAGGAAAGACCGUUUAUGCGUUUUAUUGUUAAUAAGGACUGUGGCGUUUCUUAUUCAAUGUUCUUAUUAUAAGCUGCUGUUGGUGAAAGUUUUGUUAAUUUACGGCAGUCCUGAUUUUUGCGCUGACAUGUUUGUUUUUCACGUAAGACAGAAUGCCGGUUAUUCUUGGUGACAAGGAUUCUGUCGACACAUGGCUAGAUGAUCCAUCGACGACGAAACUGCAGCCAUUACUCUCACCAUAUGAAAAAUCAGAUUUGGUAAAGUUUACUUUGUUUCUGGUUUCUUUGUUAUAUUGUUUUUUCCGUUUUCACUUACUCAAGAUGAACUUUCAGGUAUGGUAUCCAGUAACUUCUGCAAUUGGUAAACCAACGUUUGAUGGACCAGAGUGUAUUCAGCAGGUACUGUUAACCAGAUUCCCUUUGUCAGUGUACAAGUAAAGGUCUAAAGUUGCAUCUCAAGUCAUGUUAUUAUCAGGAUCAUGUCUUAAUUCUCAUAUAGCAAACUCUGUAUAUGUCCAGUCUUAUGCUUGUCAUUAUUUAUAAAAUAAGGACUGUGCCACCUGCAGAUACAGCUUAAGGCUUCACAAAAUAGCUUGAUCUCAAAGUUCUUUUCAACAAAGCAGCCCAAAACAGACAAAGAAACCGAAUCGACAGAUAUCAAAGGUGGUUUGCAAGAGGAACCUACAGUUGACGGUCAUGAUGGGGCGGUAUUUUCCGACACCAUUAAGAAAAUUGAAGAACUAGGCGAGGAGAAAGAUGUCUUGAGCGAAGCCAGAAAUCUGGAUCCUCAAAUAACUGUGAAAGCAGAACCAUUUGUUGCAUUUCAUCCCGGACAUGUAAAGGAUGAAGUUGAGAAAUCCGUAAAGACUGGUCUUACUAAAGGAACAGGUGAGAGUAAUGACAACCUACCAGUUGGAUCCCACAACCUUGUCCCAAUAAUCUCAAAGGAGGAACCCGAGAAACAAGGCCAUCAUCAGUUUACCACAAAUGAGGAAUUGAAUCAGCCACAGGAGGCUGUUGAAGAUAAUAAACCAGGAAAUGAAAACCAGAAAGCAGCUUUAACUGACGAGACCCCAAAGGAAGGUGGCUUAGAGUUUAGCGAGAAGUCUGCAGAAACGACAGGGACAAACACGAAGCUAGGUGGCUUAGAGUUUAUCGAGAAGUAUGCAGAAAAGACUGGGGCAAACAGGAUGCAAGGUGGCUUAGUGUUUAGCAAGAAGUCUACAGAAAAGACUGGGGCAAACACGAUGCUAGGUGGCUUAGAGUUUUGCGAGAAGUCUGCGGAAAAGACGGGGACAAAGCGAGACUAUGAUUUAUUCUCAGCGCAAGAAAAGCCACUGAAACAUUGUGAGAGGUUGCAAGAUGUUAAAAGCAGUGGGAGAUGCGGAAGGAAGAAAGGAAAGGGAAAGUCUAACGUUAAGAAACCUAAAGAGUCUACUUUACAUUUCUUUUUCGAUGAGAAAUAGUUAGUUUGUGUCUGCGUAACGUCUAUGAGGACUAUGUUGGGCUACUUUAGUUGUAGAUAACCUUAGAUAUGUACCGGUUGUUUUGGAAAUGUUGCUUGUAUAUAUGUUGUAUUCGAUCUUUGAUCUAAGCUAAAUGGACACAAAAUUCUCAAACUCAUUGUGACAGUGUGAGAAAAAGAUCUGAGAUUUCAUGCUUUUUUCAUGUUAGUCGUUCGAAAUUUGAAGUCUUAUACUUUUCUGUCUUUUUUUCACUGAAUAAAUUAUAUUGAUAACCAAACUACCAAAGUGUUCGGUAAUAUUACAAAUCACAAGAAAAAAGAGAGAGUGAAAUUACAGGUAAAAGUCAAAUUUCAACAUGAACCAUUUUAAAAGUGUAUUUAUAUAUCUCAACUUUUAUAACGUAUAAAUUUCAACCUGAAUUAAAUAUUGUUUCGAAUAAAACUACACGAACUAUCAUCUAGGUAAUAAUUUUCAAGAAAUUUUGAACUAGUUGUUUAAGUUAAGUUAUAAUUAAAGAAAAAAAAUUCCAGUUUUGACACAUGGCAUAUGACUCAGCAAAAUUUGUACAUGUGGCAUAUGAUUCAGCAAAAUCUGACUCAUCGUAGUUGACCAACAUAAUCCCGGUCAAUAUUGAUUUUUGCAUAAAUUUGAAAAAAUAUUUAGUUUAAGUUGAAAUUCACACGUUAGCAAAGUUGAGGUAUAAAUAUACACUUUUCAAAUUGUCCAUGUUGAAAUUUGCCUUUUACCCGUGAAAUUACAAAGACAAUGAUUUUUCCAAACCUACAACUAGAAGAGGAGACGGUUUUCAAAUACAUUGCUUAUACCAAAAACAUCUUGUCUCGAGACAGAAAUAGCUCUCGAAAUACCAUAAAGACUUCCUGCAAUGGCAGAGGUAGAUAAGAAGCAUAGGGGUCAUUUGACCCUGUUGAAUUUUUCAAAUUAGAUGAAUUUUUAGGAAAAAUAUCAAAUUGACCCUUGUAAAAUAACACAAUUGACCCUUAUAAAAAAAUUUAAUAACACAAUUAACCUUUAUAUAAAAAAAUUGAUACUCAUGAACUGAUUUCCUAGCUCCGCCACUCUUUCCGGAUAUCAAAGGAUGAUAACGGGCUUCAACGCAUGCAAUACAUUUUUCUCUGCGAAUGCUUUCUCUACGAGUUCUUUGUCAUUCUUAACUGUUUUUUUUUCUCAAAAGAGAUACCAUUUUGUAUUACCAAGAAUUGAAACCAAUUAAAAACAGCCUUAGUAUACACAGAAGGAAAGGAAAAUACAAGUACCCAAAAACAUGAGGAGAGAAAAAAUAAGUAGCUACUGCUGUUUGAACCAUACCAUAGAUGUAGAAGGAACUCAGUCCAAACCAGCCAACCGCCUUCUUAACUUAAUAUCGCUCCGUCAUUCUUAACUCGAUCCGCCAGUCUAUGAAAAAUGGGAUUUUGCUUUAACCAGGUACUGUUAACCAGAUUCCCUUUGUUAGUGUACAACUAAAGGUCGAUAAUUGCAUUUCAAGUCAUGUUAUUGUCAGGAUCAUAUCUUGGAACUCUCUCCAUUCUGUAUUGUUUCAAUCUGUACGCUUAUCGUCAUUUAUAAAUACGGAUUAUGCCACUUGCAGAUAACGCUUAAGGCUUCACAAAAUAGCUUGAUCUCGAAGUUUUUCUCAACAAAGCAUCCCAAAACAGACAAAGAAACCGCAUCAACAGAUAUCACAGGUGGUUUGAAAGAGGAACCUACGGUUGAAGGUCAUGAUGGGGCUGUAUUUCCUGACAGCAUUAAGAAAAUUGAAGAAUUAGGCGAGGAGAAAGAUGUAUCGAAUGAAACCAGAAAUCUGGAUUUUCCAAAGACUGUGAAAGCAGAACCAUUUGUUGCAUUUCAUCCCGGACGUGUAAAGGAUGAAGUUGAGGAGGAUAGAAAUGGAGAAAAGAAAUCCAUAAAGACUGGUCUUACUAAAGAAACAAGUGCAAGCAAUGACAACCUACCAGUUGGAUCCCACAACCUUGAUCUCCCUAUAAUCCCGAAAGAGGAACCCGAGACGCAAGGCCAUCAUCAGUUUACCACAAAUGAGGAAUUGAAUCAGCCACACGAGGCUGUUGAAGAUAAUAAACCAGGAAAUGAAAACCAGAAAGCAGCNNNNNNNNNNNNNNNNNNNNNNNNNNNNNNNNNNNNNNNNNNNNNNNNNNNNNNNNNNNNNNNNNNNNNNNNNNNNNNNNNNNNNNNNNNNNNNNNNNNNNNNNNNNNNNNNNNNNNNNNNNNNNNNNNNNNNNNNNNNNNNNNNNNNNNNNNNNUACCUCCUCUGACUGUUUGUUACGCAGCAGAAAUGUCUUUCUCUUUGAAGGCUAAUUGCCUGAAAUGUCCAUGAACUUCCAAGAAUCUCUGAAACUCUACUUCAUAAACAAGAUUUAUGCCUGAAGAGGAAAGCACCUGCUUGUCUUGUGUAGUGAUGAUAACUAUACUCCCCGGACCAAAAUUGUUGAAAUUAUCUGCAAGAGCAUCGAACUGUUCAAGCUUUUUGAUGUCGUCAGCCACAAGCAAAACCUUUUUGUUCUUGACUCUUAAUUGACUCAUCCUCUCUUCAAAGAGAUGCAACAUGUGACGAUCCUUAUAAACCAUUUUCUCACUUUCCAGGAAAAAAUGGCUUUCAAAGUGUUGAUGAAUGUUCUGAUAAACAAAUUUAGCUAAAACCGAUCUUUUCUUGCUUCCUCUCUCCCAAAUCCCAAUCACUCUUACACUUUUCUUAGAGCUCAAAUUCAAUAAUCGGUUAAAAGCUUUCAUGUGUGCAUAAAUCCCCUGAAGGUCACUCCCAUUAAUUCUUGUUGUAUCAAUCAUCAGAUUUUUUGAUAUCAGCUCAGUAAUUUUGUCUACUAUCUUUGAGUCAUCUUCCCUAAAGACCCAAAAAAAAAAAAAAAUCGAAACUUUAGAAUCGAAUUAAUAAUUUUUUUUUAGUAAAACUCGAAUUUUAUCAUCGAAGAUUUUGAUAUAUGUAUAGAGCCGUUACUUUCAAAGAUAUAAUAUUAAUUCGUAGAUAAACAAGUUCAAAUAUAAAUUUAUGCUGCUGAUAGUUCACGAGUUCAAUAUAACUUUAUGUAAUAGUAAAACUUGUAAAAAGUUCUGAAAUUUUACCAUUUAGAUGAACAGAUGCCGGAGACAUUCCCCAAAUCUUUCAAUGCUUGCCUCCAAAAAAGCACCUUCUCAUGGUCUUCUCUACCCUCAUGCAUCUUGAAGUGUUCAGCGACUUUCCCAAUCUGCCUCCUCACAUGGCACGGAUCCACGUCGUAAAAGACGGGUAUCACGGUGAUCGAACCCUCUCUUACGAAUUCCAUAACCUUCACAAGCUCUUCCAGACACCAAGGAGAAGCAGAGUAAUUCUCAGAGACGACAACGACGGCGAAUCUAGAACCCCCAAUGGCCCGUUCGAGCUCAGGCGAUAUGCGUUCGAGCUCCGGAGAUAUCUGCCGGUCAUAUUUGAAGGGUGGAAUUUUAACAUUCUUUUUUAUCAAUUCUGUGAAGAGAAAACUGAUGAAGUUACGACCAGUAUCGUCUCCAUUGAAACUCAGAAAGACAUCGAACUUUUGAAGGGUAACUUCAGUUUCAGACAUUUGAUUGGUUUGGUUCUCUUGUCUUGAUGAUCGAGAGGUAACAUAAAUAAGUGGUCUUGUUAGGAGUGGUGUAGCCUUGCCCAAAACUCUUUCCGGUUAAGUUCCUCGCAUUUUCUUCCUAUUAUAUUUUUUUGACUCUCUCACUUUCCAGGAAAAAAUGGCUUUUGUUCCACUCCUAAAUUUGAUGACCCAAACAAGGUCUUUUUGGUAGUGAAAGUCAAACAAAACACAAAACAAUGUGAACCACUUAAUUGUAAAUCAAAUCCAUCCAUACUAUUCUAACUUGAUGGCUUAAGUGUUUUGUUAAUAAACUAGAUUUUAACCCGCAGUAUAACGCGGGACGGUAUUUUAAAAUAUAUUUUUAUUAAUUUUUUAAGUAUUGUACUACUGUAUUUUGAUUGUUAUUCCUGACUUAACCCGUAGAAUAAUACAUGAAAAUUUAUUUUUGAUAUAAUCGUAAUAUGAUCAACUUAAUUAAAUAAAUCUAAUAUUCAAAAUAAUGAAAUAAUGUUGGCAUAACAUAUUUCGUUUAAAUAGUCUAGUGUCAGAUUAAAUUAUUUUGUGAGUUUUACUAUAACAGACAACCCAUAAAAACAGCUAAAAUCAUAAUUAUGUAAAUUAUAACACGUUCCAUCACAUGACCCGUGCUACACAUUAUCAACAAUAGUUUAGUAAAUAAAAAUUGUUUUGUAUCGAUUGAGUAAUAUACGUCCGUUUUAAAAAAUUCAAAUUGUAAUAUGUGCGGAAAAAUAUAUUUUUAUUAUACAUAUGCUUUAUGUAAUAAUAUAAAUUUUAAAGAAAAUAAGAUAAUAUAAAUAUAGUAGAGAAUAAUUUGAUUUAUUAGGGUGAGAUUUUAGAAAAUUCUAUUGAAUGUAAUAAAUACUGAUUUCCAGUUUUGCAAUUUUUAUUAUAAUGUAAUUUUAAAUUUUACUUUAAACUUUUGUUAUUCAUUCAAAUGGCAAUGGUUUAUGAUUGCAAAUAAUACAAAAUAAAAGGUUACUUUCCAAAAGGCACUUCAAAAAUGUUCAUAUAGAUUACACAAUUAUAGAUAUACUAGAUUCUGACCGCACGCUACGUUCGAGAUUAUUUUUUGAAUUCUUUUUGUUAUAAAGUUUUAAAAAAUAGAUAUUACUAAAUUGUGAAAGUUAAUCUAUAUUUUAAAAAAUAGAUAUUACUAAGUUGUGAAAGUUAAUGAAAUGAUUUUGGGUAUGUAAUAGGAGUAUUUUAAUGUAAUAGGAGUAUUACUAAGUUGUGGAAAUUAUUGUUUAGUUCAAUUCUAAGUUCUUUGUUUUUGUAUUGUUUAUGUGAUAGGAGUCUUUUCUAGAUUGGGAUCUUUGAUCCGGAAAGUCUUUUAAUGAAGUAACUAGAGAUGAUGUUAGGCAUAGGAUGCUAAGGUAAAAACUACAAUUCAUUAUAUUUAUUUGUUUGUUUGUUUGUUUGUUUAUUUGUUUAUUAUUUAUUGAUAUCGUGGUUAGUUAGUUAGUUUAUGAAAUUGGGUAUGAUUAUUCUGGAAACAUAAAACUAAGUUAUGGUAGAAAGGUAUCUAAGUUCAAGUUUAGGAGUUUAGAUGGGCAACGUUGUUUCGAGCAAUUAAUUGAUUAAUCAUCAAUCAUAAAUAAUUUUCACCAAAAUAUAUCGAAUAUACCACGCAUAGAAUGUGUUCAAAACCUAGUCUAUAUACUAUAGUAUGAAAUAAAUUAUUACAAACUAUGUUUGUUUUUAAAUUAACAUUUAUACACGGGUUGUAUGACGGGACGAGUUUGAAUCGAUAUUACUAAAAUAUAGAAAUUAUCAUUAACCUUAUAUUUCAAAACGAGUUAAAACUUCAUUAUACUAUUUUUUAACAAUAUAAAUAUAAGACAUAUAGAUCAAACUGAUUUAAUUAAGUUUAAUAUUAUGCAAUCUUGAUAAUAAUAAUUUUUGGGAUUGCAUGAUAUUAAAAUUAAUAAAAUCAGUUUGAUAUUAUGCAAUCUUUUUUUUUGUCAUCAUUACAAAUUUGAAGUCUCUUUUUCACAGGGAUGGAGCUCGAACCUGGAUCUCGGGAGAAGGCAACAGAGGUGAGAACCAAUAGCCCACUUGCUCCUUCUCAUAUUAUGCAAUCUUAAUAAUUUAUAAACAAAUUCCAGUAUAAACCGUUGGAGAUGCUCGUAGGAGAUUUGGGUUUAUCUUCUUCGUUUAAAUUAAACCUUUAAAAGCUUGGUUGAGUCUAAGUUUUGAGAUUUAUAAAAGAAAAACAAAAAAUUAAAGAGGCAAUCUUAAUUUCCCAAAGAGCUUGUGUCAAGCUAGAGAGAAGGACUCUCAUUGUCUUUUGUUUUUUUAGUUAGAUAGAUCCAUUGAUUCGCUUCCGCCUAUGCAUUAGGAAGGGAUUCGAUAGAGUGCUAGAAUACUUUCCAAGGAUCUGCUUUUGGAGGGCGCGGUCACUAUAAUCGAUGAAUAAUUAGGGGGCAAAUCGUUCAUUUGUUUGAGUACAUACAACAAACCCCACAUAUGAAAAGUUAACGGAGUACUGACUGAAGCUUUCGUAACGUUAGACAUCAAGGCAGCCGCGGUUGAAGAUAUGAUAUCGACGGUUGGGAAAUGAAGAAGGUUUUCGCGCGAUGAGAAUUUUGAGUAAAAAACAGCAGUUGGAGGGGGCGAGAAAACUUCUUCCUUUGAUAAACUGUUUAGAAAAAAGUGGGAAAUAGAAGAGGCUUUGUUAACGUUAGACGUCAAGGCAGCAGCGAUGUAAGAUAUGAUCGACGGUUGAGAAACGUAGAAGGUUUAGGCACGAUGAGCAAUUUGAGUCAAAUUCGGCAGUUGAAGAGGGAGAGAAAGCAAUUUGAGUCAAAUUCAGCAGUUACUUUGGGAAACUCUUAGAAGGGUAGUUAGAAACGGAAGAGGCACUUUUGCUUUUUAAAGGUGAAAAUAGUAGAAUCAUUGUGCAUAAUUUGACACAAAAGAAGGGAAAUCGCGAACUCUUAGGAAUGCAAUAAUAAGACAUAAAGAAAUUAAGCAAACAAAUUAGUUAACGACAGAGUAAACAGAUGUUAGAUGCUCUGUUAUCACGACAUGUCUAUUUUGGCUUCAUCAACAACAUUUGAUUUUUAAAACGGACAUUAAAUAGAACUUGGUGUUUUAAAUGACCUUAAGGAAAGUUUAUGAUCUAAAUGACGUUUUUGGAAAAGUUCAUUAUUUAAAUGACCUUUUCCCAUUUAUUUAGAGACUUGGAAGGUAAGUGUUGUAAAAGAUAAGAUCAAAUGGUACAAUCAAAAGUUGCAUGAUCAUUUUUUAGGGAUAAACUUAAUAAAAUGAUUGUAACAAUUUCCAAUGAGCAGAGAUAUACUACUGCUCAUAUUUCAACUGUUAAAAAAAGAAAAAAACAGAGCCAACCAAAACAUUCCGGCUGUUAUGAAAAGGGAAAAAACGUGCCAGCCAAAAUAUUUUGUGGCAUAAAUGUCUCUCUUUUUAAAGGCUAAUGUUCGGAAGAAUUGAUCGUGAAAUUGAUGGAACUUCAAAAACUCUACUUCGUGGACAAGCUCUAUACCGUAAGAAUUCAACAGCUGCUUGUCUUGUGUAGUGAUGAUAACAACACUCCCCGGACCAAAGCCGCUAAAAUUUGAUGCAAGAGCAUGUAGCUGUUCAAGCUUAUCGACGUCGUCUGCCACGAGCAGAAUCCUUUGGUUCUUGAGACUAUGUUUGCUGGUUGAGAAUUCUCCUUUAAUAUUUUUCAGAAACUCUUCAUGUAGAUGGCCUUCAAUGUGUGAACUUUGAGAAAUCAUUCUCACGUUUCCCAAGAAACAAUGACUUUCAAAAUGUUGAUAUGUUUUAUGGUAAACAUAUUUAGCUAGAGCUGAUCUAGCAUUGCAUCCUCUUGCCCAAAUCCCAACCAUUGUCAAUCCUCUUUUGGAAUUCAAAUCCAUUAAUCGGUUAAGAUACUUCAUGUGUUUAUCACUCCCCACUAUGUACCUCCCAUUGCGUAUUGUUUUACUUGUAACAGUUAUCAGCAUAUUUGAUAUAUUGUCCGCAAUUUCGUCGACCAGCUUCAUGUCAUCUUCGCUACAGAGAAAAAAAAUAGAAACUUAAGGCAUCGAUUUAAACCCAAUUUAACAAGAAAAUUCAAUCUUUUGAUUCAAAUCAAGUGUAAAAAUAAAAACUCAAUCUUUUGAUUCAAAUCAAGUGUAAAAAUAAAAAUUCAAUCUUUUGAUUCAAAUCAAGUGUAAAAAUAAAAAUUCAAUCUUUGGUAUUAAAUCAAAUCUAAUUAUAAAAAUUAAACUUUUUUUUCAAUAACUAAAAGGUUCUAGGCCAAAGUAUGUACAUCUUAUUCUUCUCAAACCCAAAACGAGAGUAGAUUAUAUGGUUUUUGUCCCAAAACACCACUCAAACCAGGGAUCGUACCUGAUAGGUCCAGUGGUAAUACCAUGAUAAAUCAUUUUAAGUUAGGAACGUUUACCAUAUCCAUGAACAAGGGCCGGCCAUAUACGACAAAUUGGUCAAUGCUCGCCUCCAUGAAAGCACUUUCUCAUGAUCUUCUCUAGCCUCGUGCUUCUUAAACUGUUCAGCUACUACCCCAUCUGCGUCCUCAAAUUGAACGGAUCCACAUCGUAGAAGAUGGGCUUCACAGUGAUCAAACCCUGGUCCUCGAAAUCCAUGAUCAUCCUGAGCUCUUCGAGGCACCAACGAGACGCAGCGUAGUUCUCAGAGACCACAAUACCGCGAUUCUCGAGUCCCCUAUGGCACGUUCAAGCUCCGGCGAGAUCAUCUGACCGAUCUCCAGGUCUUUGUCAUCUUUGAAAGUUCGUAUAUUUCUUCCAACCAAUUCAUGAUAGAGAAAGCUGCUGAAGGUGCGGCGAGUGUCCUGCCCGCUAAAACUUAGAAAGACAUCGUACUUAGAUGCAGUAGGAGAAGUCAUUUUGAUUUCUGAUUUUCUAUGACUGUGUAUGGAUAAUAUAAAUAAUUUAGUGUGCUUUAUAUAAGCCACGUAGAGGAGACUUUUAGUAGAGACUUAAUUUGUGUAGAGACUCUUCAGUUUAGUGUAACAUCAGUUUUUGUCAGCUUCUGUUUCACUGAACUACUCAGAAACAGGGGUUUUGUAGAAGGAAAAGACCUGGCCCAGCCAAAACAAAAAAAAAUAUUAUUAACGAACGACAAUUAUCAUCUUAUCCUCUUGGUUGAAUUUUCCACUACCAAAAAAAUGUACUCUUCGUUAGAUAAAAGAAAAACGAAAUUAUUAGUUGGCUUUGAUUAGUAGACUAAUUUAAAUUAGUUAAAAUUUGAAACAUUUGUUUAGUUAGACCACCAUUAUUGAUGGUCUCUUAAGAAUCUCUUAGCUUAAGAUUUGGUAAGAGAUAUCUCUUAUAUCUCUUAUAUAUGAGUAUAUCUUAAAAGCACAUCUUCGUUAGCAUCUCUUAGUUUAAGACUAGGUAACGUCCCGCGCAUAUGCGCGGGUUGUUGUAUAUUUAUUUAAUUAUUUGAAUUUAUUUAUUACUUAUAAAAAAUAGAUUAAAUAAAUUUUAAUGCUUAUGACAUUUUUACAUGUUAUUUAUUUAAGAGAAUUUUUGAAAAAUACCCCUUUUGGUGUACACCUUUUUAAAAAUACCCCCUUUAUCUAUCCAUUUUCAAAAAUACCCCUUUUUAAAUAUAAAAAAUUAUAAAGUUUUAUAUAUUUUAUAAGGUACUUCUAUAUAAUAACUACUACUGGGAGAUUCGAUACAAAUAUUUUAAAAUGUUUUAAAUAGUUUUAAAUUAUUUUUAUAAGUUUUAUAAGGUUUUUAAAAGGAUUUAUACGGUUUUUAUAAGAUUUUUAUAAGCUUUUUAUAAUUUAUUUUUACGCUAUUUAUGAAAGGUAUAUAAAGUUUUAUACACAUAUAAAGGUAAUUUGUGUAUAUAUUUAUAAGCUUACACACAUAUUUGGAUAAAUUUCAACAUUUUUAGUGGGGUUUUUGAUAAAAUUUGAAAAUGGGGUAUUUUUAAAAAGAGGUAUAUGAAAAUGGGUAUUUUUGAAAUUCCCCCUUUAUUUAAAUCAUACAAUAGAAGCAUACAUCCAUAUCUUUUGAAUUUAUUCGUUGAUUAAUUGUUCAAUUAAUCAAUUUUGAUAGUAAUUUUCUUUAGUACUUUUAAGUAUUUUUUGAUAAAACAAUAAUAUUGUUAAUGAUAAAAAUAGGAAUGAUAUUGGGAGAAUUUAAAAAAUACCCCUUUAAAAAUACCACUUUUUUAAAUUUACCCCCUUUUCAAACUUUAUCAAAGCAACCACUAAAAAUGUUGAAAUUUAUCCAAAUAUGUGUGUAAACUUAUAAAUAUACACAAAAAUUAUCUUUAGUUGUGUAUAAAAUUUUAUUUAUUUCAAUGUCUUACAAAUUGGUUUGAAUAUAACAAAAAAAUAUUUUGUUAAAAUAAUUACAUACUUUGAAAAUAAAAUAAAUAUACAUGAAUAUGUGAGAAAGAAAAAAACAUAUAAAGUAAAACAAUGAAAAUGGUUUAUUUAGCUUGAUUUUCUUAUGGUGCGAUGGUCAGAAAUCAAUAUUUUUGAAUCCCAUCGAUAAAGUAAUUUCCUUAUAGCCAUAAAAUAUUAUUAUACAUAUGUAUUAUACAUUUAAUAGUAUAAAAAAUGAAAAAAUGAAGAAGUGCAUAAAAUAAAGAAGAAAUAUAAUUGAAAAAAAAAGUUUUAACCAAAUAUAUAAUCAAGCUCUUACAAUGAUAUCUUAAUUGAGCUUUCAGCCCAUGUAAGAACAUUAAAAAUUAAACAAAAAAAAUAUUGAGAAUAUAUGGUAGAGAAGGAUGUAAAAAUGAAUAUUUAUAGGAUAAAUAUGAUGUAAGUUACAAUUCUAAAAUAAUUAAAUCAGAGGAGUUAUAAUUAUAUUUUAUAGUGUGUUAAUUGAAGUUAAAUGGAGGAAACAAAUAGUCAAUUGAAGGGUUAUAUAAUUUAAGUUACAAUUUAAUAGUAAAGUGUGGAUUUCAAGUAUGAAUUAAAGUAUAUGACUAAAUGUGUUAGAUAUUUGGUUUAAUUAAAAAUAAAUAUUAUAAUUAAAAAAUAAAUGCUAAAUGGACCAAUAAGGAGAGAGUGAAACCUUAAAAAUUCCCAAGAAAUAAUUUUAUUUUUACUCUCUUUUUUUAUUCCUCUUAAUUUAAGUUAUAUUUCUAGGUUUAAUUAUAUUUUUCAUCCUUGUAGUGUAUAUAUAGAUAGAAAAUGGAAUAUCAAAUUGUUUUUUAGAUAGGAAAUCAAGUAUAAAAUUCAAAGUUAAAACAAAUUAUAAUGUUCUUUGUAUUUUUACAUGUUGAAUCACAAACUAAAUAUAAGGAUCAUUAUUCUUAAAAGAAUGUCUUACAAAUUUGUUUGAUAAUUAUAUAAAAAAAAGUUUAUUUUGUUAAAAAAUUACAUACUUUUGAAAAUAAAUUAAAUAUACAUGAAUAUGUGAGAAAGAAACAAACAUCCAAAGUAAAAGAAUGAAGACGGUUUCUUUAGCUUGAUUUUCUUAUAACCAUAAAAUAUUAUUAUACAUAUGUAUUACAUUUAAAAAUAUAAAAAAACACUGAAAACAUAAAGAAAUACAUAAAAACAAAAAUAAAUAAAAUUGAAAACAAAAGUUUAAACUAAAUAAUUAAUCAAACUCUUACAAUGAUAUUUUAAAUGAGUUUUCACCCCAUGCAAGAACUUUUAAAAAAACAAAGAGAAUAAUGAAGAUAUGAGAUAUGGUAGAGAAGGAUGUGAGAAUGGCUAUUUAUAUGAUAAGAAGUGAUGUAAGUUACAUUUUUAAAAUAAUUAAAUUAGAGGAGUUAUAAUUAUAAUUUAUAGUGUGUUUAAUUGGAAUUCAAUAAAGAAAAUCAAUAGUCUUUGGAAAUUUAUAUAAUUUUCAGUUUCAUUUUAGUAGUAAAGUGUGAAUUCAAAGUAUGAAUUAAUGUAUAUGAUUAAAUGUGUUUUUUUGGUUAAAAAUAAAUAUUAUAUUUUAAAAAAUAAAUACAAAAUGGAACAAUAAAGAGAGUUGAACCUUACUUUUAUAUAUAUGAUUUUAAAUAAUUUUCCACCAAUAAGCCUUAUAAAAUUUGUUGUAUGAUAUAUGAUUAAGUCUUUUCAUUUUCUUUGCCAUUUGAUUAUAACUUAUAGUGUAAUUAAAUUUUGUAUUGAAUGAUUGUCAUAAACAUUUAUUUAUUUUUUAUUUUUUAAAUUAAAGCCUUAAAUAUUUUUCCACCAAUAAGGAGAGAGUGGAACCUUACUUUUAUAUAUAUGAUUUGUUAGCAAAUCUUAGCUUACAAAUUUUAAGUUAAGAGAUGUUUAAGAUAUCACCAAUAAUGGUGGUCUAAUUCGACCAAUGAGAUAAUAGUUUAUACACAUAGAUUAGAUCAUUCUCCGUGCUACAUAUAUAAUGUGAUUGAAUUUUAUUUUAUAUAAAAUUUUGUAUUGUUUUUUUUAACGGUAAACUUAUAUUAAUUGAUCAAGUAAGGUUACAAAAUAUAGCAUUUUGAAUCAAUAAAGGGAUGUAAGAAUAGUAAAAACAUAACGCAUUACUCGGUGGUCUUCACUUAGUCAAUAGAUCAGCCGCUUGAUUAUUUGCUCGAGGAGUCCAAGUGAAUUGUACAUCAUCAAACCUUUCCUUCCAAGAUCUUGCCUCUCUAAUCCAGUUGAAACAACCAAAAUUGAGACAUAUACCAUUCAUUAACUCUGAAACAUUCUUAUUAUCAGCUUCAAAGAUUAAUUAUUUUAAAUAAAUUUAUUAGAAAAAUCAAAUUAACGUAUUUUGUAUCUAUACUAUUAAAGCUGAAGUACACAAUGAAUUUACACUAUAGUUUCAAAAUGAAAUAAUUAUCAUUUCUAACUGGGUUAACACGCGGAUCUAACUAACUAAACGGAUAUGUUAAUCGGGUUUAGAGAUUUAAUCUCCAUCGUUCAUUUUUCAGUUGAUAAAAAAAAAUUGGUUUUCAAUAUUAAAGGAAAGAUAAUUAUUACGUUUGAUAUUUAACUUUAUUUGUAAGAUACAAUGCCUAAAAUUUAGCUUACUUGGCAAGAUUUUCUUAAUUUCAAAUAUUUUAUAAAGAUCUUGAUCGAAAUUUUAAAUCUAUACUAUUAAAGCUGAAGUACACAAUGAAUUUACACUAUAGUUUCAAAAUGAAAUAAUUAUCAUUUCUAACUGGGUUAACACGCGAAUCUCAGGUUUAGAGAUUUAAUCUCCAUCGUUCAUUUUUCAGUUGAUAAAAAAAAAAAUUGGUUUUCAAUAUUAAAGGAAAGAUAAUUAUUACGUUUGAUAUUUAACUUUAUUUGUAAGAUACAAUGCCUAAAAUUUAGCUUAAUUGGCAAGAUUUUCUUAAUUUCAAAUAUUUUAUAAAGAUCUUUAUCGAAAUUUUAAACAUUGAGUAUUUUAAUAUUUGUUUUAAUAGAAACCAUUCCAUGUUUUCUUAGUAUGGAAUAUUCAAUGUAGUUUACUUUUUAAACUAUUUUAAUUUUUAAUUUGACCAACCAAAUCAAUCUAUAUUAACAUUUUUUAAAUAUAUCUAUACUAUUAAAGCUGAAGUACACAAUGAAUUUACACUAUAGUUUCAAAAUGAAAUAAUUAUCAUUUCUAACUGGGUUAACACGCGGAUCUAACUAACUAAACGGAUAUGUUAAUCGGGUUUAGAGAUUUAAUCUCCAUCGUUCAUUUUUCAGUUGAUAAAAAAAAAAUUGGUUUUCAAUAUUAAAGGAAAGAUAAUUAUUACGUUUGAUAUUUAACUUUAUUUGUAAGAUACAAUGCCUAAAAUUUAGCUUACUUGGCAAGAUUUUCUUAAUUUCAAAUAUUUUAUAAAGAUCUUGAUCGAAAUUUUAAACAUUGAGUAUUUUAAUAUUUGUUUUAAUAGAAACCAUUCCAUGUUUUCUUAGUAUGGAAUAUUCAAUGUAGUUGACUUUUUAAACUAUUUUAAUUUUUAACUUUACCAACCAAAUCAAUCUAUAUUAACAUUUUUUACAUACAUUUGAUAAUAUAACUUUUUAUUUGUAAGAUUUUUAUAAAUAAACUUUUGUCAUUUCAUUAUAUAUUAAAAAUCUAUACUAUUAAAGCUGAAGUACACAAUUGUNNNNNNNNNNNNNNNNNNNNNNNNNNNNNNNNNNNNNNNNNNNNNNNNNNNNNNNNNNNNNNNNNNNNNNNNNNNNNNNNNNNNNNNNNNNNNNNNNNNNCGACUAACACAUAAUUUCCUUUUUAAUAAACUCUUUUAAAUGUGUAACACAAACAAAAAAAGAGGAAAUAUUUUCCUUUGACAACAAUGAUGAAUUUUAAAUGUAAGAUAUUCUAUAUUCUUUCUUCUAACCUAACAAACCUAAGUAGCCGACUUCAAGCACUAUAAAUAAUCCAUCGUUUACACAAUAUGAUACCAUUGUUAUUGUUUACUCUUUUUUCUUUAGUCCUAUAUCAUUUUUCUUUGUUUUGUUCAAUGCGUUUUAAUUAAAUUNNNNNNNNNNNNNNNNNNNNNNNNNNNNNNNNNNNNNNNNNNNNNNNNNNNNNNNNNNNNNNNNNNNNNNNNNNNNNNNNNNNNNNNNNNNNNNNNNNNNNNNNNNNNNNNNNNNNNNNNNNNNNNNNNNNNNNNNNNNNNNNNNNNNNNNNNNNNNNNNNNNNNNNNNNNNNNNNNNNNNNNNNNNNNNNNNNNNNNNNNNNNNNNNNNNNNNNNNNNNNNNNNNNNNNNNNNNNNNNNNNNNNNNNNNNNNNNNNNNNNNNNNNNNNNNNNNNNNNNNNNNNNNNNNNNNNNNNNNNNNNNNNNNNNNNNNNNNNNNNNNNNNNNNNNNNNNNNNNNNNNNNNNNNNNNNNNNNNNNNNNNNNNNNNNNNNNNNNNNNNNNNNNNNNNNNNNNNNNNNNNNNNNNNNNNNNNNNNNNNNNNNNNNNNNNNNNNNNNNNNNNNNNNNNNNNNNNNNNNNNNNNNNNNNNNNNNNNNNNNNNNNNNNNNNNNNNNNNNNNNNNNNNNNNNNNNNNNNNNNNNNNNNNNNNNNNNNNNNNNNNNNNNNNNNNNNNNNNNNNNNNNNNNNNNNNNNNNNNNNNNNNNNNNNNNNNNNNNNNNNNNNNNNNNNNNNNNNNNNNNNNNNNNNNNNNNNNNNNNNNNNNNNNNNNNNNNNNNNNNNNNNNNNNNNNNNNNNNNNNNNNNNNNNNNNNNNNNNNNNNNNNNNNNNNNNNNNNNNNNNNNNNNNNNNNNNNNNNNNNNNNNNNNNNNNNNNNNNNNNNNNNNNNNNNNNNNNNNNNNNNNNNNNNNNNNNNNNNNNNNNNNNNNNNNNNNNNNNNNNNNNNNNNNNNNNNNNNNNNNNNNNNNNNNNNNNNNNNNNNNNNNNNNNNNNNNNNNNNNNNNNNNNNNNNNNNNNNNNNNNNNNNNNNNNNNNNNNNNNNNNNNNNNNNNNNNNNNNNNNNNNNNNNNNNNNNNNNNNNNNNNNNNNNNNNNNNNNNNNNNNNNNNNNNNNNNNNNNNNNNNNNNNNNNNNNNNNNNNNNNNNNNNNNNNNNNNNNNNNNNNNNNNNNNNNNNNNNNNNNNNNNNNNNNNNNNNNNNNNNNNNNNNNNNNNNNNNNNNNNNNNNNNNNNNNNNNNNNNNNNNNNNNNNNNNNNNNNNNNNNNNNNNNNNNNNNNNNNNNNNNNNNNNNNNNNNNNNNNNNNNNNNNNNNNNNNNNNNNNNNNNNNNNNNNNNNNNNNNNNNNNNNNNNNNNNNNNNNNNNNNNNNNNNNNNNNNNNNNNNNNNNNNNNNNNNNNNNNNNNNNNNNNNNNNNNNNNNNNNNNNNNNNNNNNNNNNNNNNNNNNNNNNNNNNNNNNNNNNNNNNNNNNNNNNNNNNNNNNNNNNNNNNNNNNNNNNNNNNNNNNNNNNNNNNNNNNNNNNNNNNNNNNNNNNNNNNNNNNNNNNNNNNNNNNNNNNNNNNNNNNNNNNNNNNNNNNNNNNNNNNNNNNNNNNNNNNNNNNNNNNNNNNNNNNNNNNNNNNNNNNNNNNNNNNNNNNNNNNNNNNNNNNNNNNNNNNNNNNNNNNNNNNNNNNNNNNNNNNNNNNNNNNNNNNNNNNNNNNNNNNNNNNNNNNNNNNNNNNNNNNNNNNNNNNNNNNNNNNNNNNNNNNNNNNNNNNNNNNNNNNNNNNNNNNNNNNNNNNNNNNNNNNNNNNNNNNNNNNNNNNNNNNNNNNNNNNNNNNNNNNNNNNNNNNNNNNNNNNNNNNNNNNNNNNNNNNNNNNNNNNNNNNNNNNNNNNNNNNNNNNNNNNNNNNNNNNNNNNNNNNNNNNNNNNNNNNNNNNNNNNNNNNNNNNNNNNNNNNNNNNNNNNNNNNNNNNNNNNNNNNNNNNNNNNNNNNNNNNNNNNNNNNNNNNNNNNNNNNNNNNNNNNNNNNNNNNNNNNNNNNNNNNNNNNNNNNNNNNNNNNNNNNNNNNNNNNNNNNNNNNNNNNNNNNNNNNUAUAUAUAUAUAUAUAUAUAUAUAUAUAUAUAUAUAUAUAUAUAUACUUAUAUUACAAUAUAUGCGUGCUUAUAUAAAAGCCCAAAAAUAAACAUAGUAAAAUUACUACACCCUUAUCUAUUAAUCAUAUAAUAAAAAUAUACAAAAAAAAACAACAAAUAUUUAUACAAUACAUAUUUUAUACACUACAAGUUUUUAUUUUUUUACAAAAAAAAUUAUCGCACGGGUUCUCCUCUAGUAUUAAUUAUUUCUCAUAUUCUGUAAAAUAAUAAAUCUAAACUAUUUUAAAUAUUUCUGAUAAAUAUUUCAAUAGUUUAUUUUAUUAUUUAAUGCAAAACUAAAAAAUGGGUUGUAAGUUUGAUAAAAUUUGUGAUGGCAUUGUAUAAGUAAUUACGUACCAUUUUUGAAGUUGCGUACUUCCUUUUGAUUAAUAAGGGGAUAUGAUUUGGAAAAUUCUUGGGUUCAUUUCUAGUGGAACCAAUAAAAAUCUGCCAUUUAAAAAAAAUAUUAUUCAUAGGAUAAAAUUAACAUUAUAUCAUUGAGUUUUGAUUUUACAAGGUUAUAUGUUUGUUUGGAUUUAUUACAGACGGUAUAGGGUUUGAUUUUACAAUUCAACGACAAAUAUAUGUCGGCUUGGGUUUAUAAAAGAGGAUUAGGGUUUAGAAUUCACUAAUAAACAAGGUUUGGAUAUAUAAAGGAGGAUUAGGUUUAGAUUUUACAAUUAAAUUUAUAUGUCGCUUUCAGUCCAUUAAUGAUGAUUAAGAUUUAGAUUUAGAUUUUGUAACUACACAAGAUUAUAGUUUUUUUUUUAUAUAUAAAAACGGAUUAGAGAUUAGAUUUUAGAAUUAAAAGGGGUUAUGUGUUUGUUUAGGUUUAUUUAAAUCAUAUUCUUUUCAAGGAUUUUACUUUUUUCUAACGUUGAAUAACUUCAAUUUAAACGAAAGAGUAGAAAAUUACAAAUGAAAUCGAAAAUGAAACCAACAAUAAAACAUAACCAAUAAUUAAAACAUAAACCUCUUUCUAUACGACGCUUAUCCCUCUCAAUGUGCUCCUGCAACCAAGACAGACCUCCUAGAGCAAUAUAAAAAGUAAGAUGUUCUAUUCUUUUACAUCCUGUAAGCAAUCUCCCUAGCUAACAAGUUAGCUUUGGGUGAAGAGAUGAAAAGAAACCUUCCACAUUACUUGACAAAUCCCAUUUAGCUGAGAAAGGUACUUAGGCCAAGCAGAAGGGGAUUUAAUCGCUACCAAGGCCGUAUGGCAAUAAGACAACACCUCACUCAUAAGUCAUAAUGCAUGUUAUGCAAACUAGAGAGACACAAAAAAUGCAGCUCAGCUCCACCGUGAUCCGAUUAGAAUAGGGAAUAAAUGCAUCUCUCGCAUGAUAAUAAAUAUCGCCGAUAUGAUUCCUUAGGACCCAAGCUCCACCAUAGAAAAAGUGUCAUUGACCGAAGAGGAGUGAAGAUUACAUUUUAAAUUGCCAACGACCAGUUUUGUUCAAAAAUUUCUGGAAUGAGGGAUAAGCGUCGGACUGAGUUUGGUAAUAGGCUGAUUUGUUAUUGACACCACUCAUCCGCAUCUGCCAAAGUUGUGGCUAUUGACUCAUAAAAUUACUUUAAAUCAAUAUCCACUGAUCAAAUGUCUGUAUAUAUUGAUAAAAAUGUAUUUUUUAUUUUUUAUAACUUGAAAUCUCAAUUGGAAUAGAAAAAAGGUAAAUAGAAAAACUUAGGUGAAAGUAUUUUUUUUAUUGGCGAAAUAAUAUUGUAGGUCUUAACAAAAAUAAAAAGGGAAAAAUAAGAGUCAUUGUAGGGAAAAAAUUCAAGUAAUGAAUUAACGGGUACCGAAAGGAAAAAGGUAAUUCGGAAAAUAAAAAGCAUUAUCUAAACUAUUGAUAAAAUAGGGGACGAAAAUUUUGGGUAAUGCGAAUUUAAGGAGGACAAAUGCAAAUAUACUUAUUAAUGUUGAUCACCGAGAUUGUGUUUUUACGGAUAAAAAUAUUUUAAUCUAUAGCGGUGUAAGCAUAGCGGAUGGAUUUGAUCCCGCUUGACACCUAUAGAUCAUGAAAUUUUAAUUUUCUUUUCAUUGUUUUUUAUCCGGUUUGAUAGUUACGAGUUUAACACUAGUUUAUUUUAUAAAGACUAUACCCAAAAAGGUCAGUUUAAUCUAGAUACACAGAAACUUUAAAAUUAAGAAUAUACCUAUAAUUUUUGUAUAAUUAAAUCUCUCUAUUCAAUUUGUAUAACUUGGACCAAAAUAAUCUUUUGUAUAUGAUAUAUUAUUUAGUGAGAUGAUAAAAUAGAUAUCAACUAAUUUUUAUUUACUCAAACAAUAUUUAUAUAUCAACUAGAAGGAGCAAAACAUAUCAUGAGUUAUAUAAUUGUUUAUUGAGCUAACAUGAUAACAAUAUAUUGUUAUCGAUAAGUCUAUAAAUCUAUUGUACUAAAUAAGAUUGUAUUGCGAUAAAUGUUUAAUUAUACGACAAAUUUAUAUUUAUCGUGUUAACUUAUUUAUUAUAUCCUAUGCAGAAGAUAAAAGUUUCAUAUUUUUUAUUUAUUGUGUGAGUAACCAUUUUAUUAAUUUGUUAACUAAUAUAAUAUCGUGAUAAAUUUAUAUAUUAUGUGUUAAAUGUAUAUAUAUCAUGCUAACUCAAUUAUCAUAGUUAUACAUAACUAUGAUAAAGCAUAUUUAUGCAUAAUUUUCUUUUUUGAUUACAUGAUAAGCUUGAUAAUUUUUUAAAAUAAUGAAUAUCUAUAAUUAUAACGAUAAAUAAUAAUAACCUGUUAAGUAAUAUUAUAUCUCGUUAAUAACAAAUGCAAAUAGAUAACAAAUAUGAGAAAAUCUAGAAAAGAGAUAAAAAAAAGAAGAAAAAAUAAAACAACUAAAGACAGUAAUGUAACUUACCUUGCCUAUUUACUAUAGAAACUAGAAUCGGACCCGCGCUACAGCGCGGGGGAAAUUUCUAAAUUUUCAUUUUUUUUUUAUGUUUUACACACUAUAAAAAAAAUUAGUAAUGUUGCAUUAAUUUAUUUAAUAAUUUUUGUAGAAACAUACAUUAAAAAUUAGCUAGUAUUUCAGAAAACUUAACUAACCGUCUAAUAUAAAGAUGAUUAUAUAUAUUUUAGACAGUAUAAACCAACGAAUCUUGUGUAUUAAUUUCGCUAUUAUUUGUUUUAGAUAUGAUAUUGCAAUUACUAAAAUUAUAGUAACCGAGUGUCUUUGAAUAUUAAAAUUUUUGUUUGUUGUAGUAAUUUUUUUGUUGUUAUAAUUUUAUUUGUUUGCAAGUGUAUUUCUUGUAGCAUACACAUUAACCAUAUAAUAGUCCAAUUUUAUUGAACUUAGUUAGUAUCUAACUGUAGUACCUUAGUUAAUAACGUGUGAAGUCAAUAAUUAAUUGCAUUAAUUACACAAAUGUGUCAGUUAAUUUUUCAUUCUUUGUAAAUACUCAAAAAAAUAUAUCUAUAAAUAAAACAGGAAAUACGUGCAAGUCUAAUCUCUUAUAUCCACACCUUAAAUAAUUUUAUUAAUUUCCACAAAAAAUUAUGCAAAACGAUCUCCUUAAAAAUAAUCUCGCAUAACCAAACACUUACAAGCUCACGUAAGAAAAAUAUUUUUUUACAAUCUUACAACGAAACGACGUCGUUUUGUGUUUUGUUGACUUUUCACUACUAAAAGAAGCAAGAACCAUAUUUUCCUAGAAAGUGAGAGAGUCACACAAAUAUAAUAGGAAGAAUAUGCGAGGAAGUUAUCCGGAAAGAGUUUUGGCAGCCCACACUACUACUAACCACACCACUUAUAUAUGAUCAUCAAGACAAGAGAACCAAUCAAAAGAGAAAAAAAUGUCUGAUGUUUUUCUAAGUUUCAGAGACGUCGACACUCGUCGCAACUUCAUCAGUUUUCUCUACACAGAACUUAUACAAAACAAGCUUCGAAUUCCAUCUUUCAAAUAUGAUCUGCAGAUAUCUCCGGAGGUCGAAAGAAUAUCUCCGGAGCUCGAACGGGCCAUCGAGGGGUCGAGAUUCGCAGUUGUUGUCGUCUCUGAGAAUUACUCUGCUUCCCCUUGGUGUCUGGCAGAGCUUGUGAAGGUUAUGGAUUUCGUAAGAAACGAUUCCAUAACCGUGAUUCCCGUCUUCUACGACGUUGAACCCUGCCAUGUGAGGAGGCAGAUCGGUAAAGUCGCUGAACACUUUAAGAUGCAUGAGGCUAGAGAAGACCAUGAGAAAGUGCUUUUAUGGAGGCGAGCGUUGACCGAUUUGGGGAAUUACUCCGGCAUUUGUGCAUCGAAAUGGUAAAAUUUCAGAACUUAAUUUGAAUCACACAAGUUUUAAUGUAACAUAAACGUAUACUCCCUCCGUUGCUAAUUGAUUGUUUUCUAGAUUAUUUACACAACAUUUAAAAGGUUAUGAUAAAUUUGCAUUUUUUUAGAACUCCAAAAAUAAACGAUCUAAUGUUUUAAAGUUGUAGUAAAACAAGUAAUGAUGCAAUUAUCCUCAAAGACUUGAUUAGAUAAUUUAUUAGCCUUUUAUUUAUUAGCCUUUUACUAUAUAUUAUACAUAUUGUUUUUUUUUUAAUUAAUUGAAUUGUGUCAAAUAACUAUUAUAUGAGGUUUUAGUUUAAAUAUAACAAAAAUUAAAUGAUUCUUUAAUAUGUGUGCAUAAUCCUAAAAAAAAUCAUAUAAAUAAGAACGGAGGGUGUAUAUCUUUGAAUGCAGCAUAAAUAUAUCAAAUGUUUUACUAACACUUUAAUGAAUUGAUUCUAAAGUUUCUAUUUUUGUUUUUGACUUUUGGUCUUUAGUGAAGAUGACUCGAAGAUAGUAGACAAAAUUACUGAGCUAAUAUCAAAAAAUCUGAUGAAUGAUACAACAAGAAGCAAUGGGAGUGAUCUUGAGGGGACUGGUGAACACAUGAAAGCUUUUAAGCGAUUAUUGAAUUUGAGCUCUAAGAAAGGUGUGAGACUGAUUGGGAUUUCGGAAAGAGGAAGCAACGGUAGAUCGGCUAUAGCUAAAGUAGUUUAUGAGAGCAUUUCUCAACAUUUCGAAAGCCAUUUUUUCAUGGAAAGUGAGAAAAUGAUUUACAAAGAUCUUCACAUGUCACAUCUCUUUGAAGAGUGGAUGAUUCAAAUAAGGCUCGAGAACAAAAAGGUUUUACUUGUGGUUGACGAUAUCAAAAAGCUUGAACAGUUCGAUGUUCUUGCAGAUGAUAUUAACAGUUUUGGUCCGGGGAGUGUAGUUAUCAUCACUACACAAGACAAGAAGCUGCUUUCCUCUUCUGGCAUAAAACUUGUUUAUGAAGUAGAGUGUCAGAGAUUCGAGGAUUUUCAUGGACACUUGAGAGAAUUAGCCUUCAAAGAGAAAGACAUUUCUGCUGCGUUGGAUUUGUUUUUGUAUAGGGCAACAAAUCUUGCAAUGGAUGUAUGUGGUAGAUCAUUUGAUCUGGUUAGGGGAAAGUUGAGAAUGAGUAACCUUAAUAUGAUGUGAUUGUGGUUUAAAAGCAGUAAUGUUUUUCUAUUUUUGGAGUAGGUUAUUAUGGUGUGUAGACGAAUAUUAUUAUUUGAUUGAACUUAAUGAUACUCCUUAUGUUCCUUAUUAAUCUUUUUUGUAGAAAAAAAUAAUUGUUUUAAAACGAUGUAUUUUUUGAGUUAUCUACUAGAUUCAGACCGAGAAGGACAAGUGAGCUAGUGGUUCUCACCUCUGUUGCCUUCUCACAAGAUCCGGUUUCGAGUCCGGUCCAUCUCAAAGAGAGGUAUAUAAUUUGUAAUGAUGACAAAAAAAAAAAUACUAGAUUCAGACCCGCACGUACUUAUGGGGUUGAUUUUUAUAAACUAAGUUUUCUAUGAAAUUUACAAUAUAUUAAAGUUGUGCAUGUUUGCAUAUAGUUGAAAAUUCGUUUCUAAAGAUAUAUAAAACUCAAUAUAUUUAAAAGUUAUAUACAAAUCAAUCUAUAUAUUUAAAAUUGUCCCUUGAAAUAAUAGUUUGACCCAUUAGUUAAGAGUGCCGUUUGAUUCAUAGAAUUACUUAGAUAUACCACAUUUUAGGUGUAUUGACGCAAACCAUCCAAAACUUUUUUUAUCCUUAAAUGUUUUUUAAUUACCAGCGUGCCCUUUUUACAUGUUACCGGAAAAAACUAAUUACGGAAAAUGCCAGUGCCACGUCAGACAAAAAGGCGCGUGCCACCAAUAACUCAGUCAUAACGUACGUUACGGCUGAGUUAUAACACGUUAUGGCUGAGUUAUGGGACAACGGCUGAGUUUCGGGUCAACGGUUGACUUAGGAUCAUAACUCAGCCAACAGUUACGACUGACUUAUAAAAAUCUAGUUGAGUUAUGAGAAAACGACUAAUAACUCAGCCGCCGUUACGGCUGAUUUAUAGUCCGAUGGUUGAGUUAUCAGAAGUUUGGCUGAGUUAUGUUAUCGACACGGCUGACUUAACUUUCUCUGGGUGGCUGAGUUAUCGAAAACGGCUGAGUUAUCAAAAGUCGUUACGGCUGACUUAUGUUUCAAAGACAUAACUCAGCCGUAAUUGGCUGACUUAACGGAAAACUCAACCAUGUUACGGCUGACUUAUAGACAAAAGAUUUAUUGCUAAUAUAGCCUCCAGUUACGGCUGACUUAUUUUACGUUACGGCUGACUUAUUGACGUUACGGCUGAAUUUGGCAUCUUAAAAAACAUUUUAGUAAUUACUUUUCAUGUUGUGCCUGACUUAAUUUGUGUUGAUGGCUGAUUUAUCGUUGGCUGAGUUACAAAGUUGUUUGGUGGCUGACUUACGACUUCAAAUUCACAAUUCCACGUCAGCAUAAACGAGGGAAAUACGAAAGGUCCCGCAUUAGCUUGUGUUUUUUCUUACACUCUGUUCUUCAUUUUCUGUUCUUCACUUCACUUCUGUUUUUCAUUUUCACUUAUGUUCUUCAUUUUCACUUGGGACUUCUGUUCUUCACUUCUUUUCUGCAUUUUCACUUCUGUUCUUCAUUUUCGUUGAUGGAUCAGCCGGUUCCAGUGAUUGUUGUGUCUGGUAACUGGGCAAAGAAACAAAAAUAUGUAUUUAAUACUGACGAUAGAGGUUAUAGAAUUGUGCAAAUAGAUGCGGAAACAACGCACGAGAAGCUAGUGAAAUUGGUUGUUGAUGACUACGGACUGCAUCAACUCAGCCACAAGGUGACGAUGAGCUACAUGCUCUCGUACAAACAUAUGAAACAUAUGUCGCAUGAUACUCCUCCAGUUUAUGUCUCAAACGAUCGACAAUUGCAGAAUUAUCUAAGCUUGUUGACAAUUGAUCAGCCACGACUUUGUGUUGAGUUCGCGAAGUUGAAGGACGGAUCGAAUUCAAGGACAAAACGGCCACGCAGUUCGGCUUCAGAAGUAGAAUAUACAUAUGAAGACGCAAGAGGAUUUGAUGGUUUCUGUUAUGAUUAUAGUGAAAACGUAGACGAUGAAGCCAAAGAAGAUGAAGCAGAGUAUGAAUCAGAGGAUGAAGAAGAAGAUGACGAGUUUUCAACCCGAUUUGACGUAUUCGACGACUCCGAUGGUGCGUCAUCUGACGAUGAUAACUUUACUACAUACGGCGAGCGUGAGGAGAAAGAUGAAUAUUUACCGGCUGCUACUCGAAACAGAGGUCAUUACUUUGGCAAAGUAGGAUCGAUUGGGAACUCGGAGUCUUUAACGGUGGAGAUGGCUAAGCUAAACCUCGUCGUAGGACAACGAUACGCAAACAAAGACGAGUUGGAGAAACGAGUUAAACUUCUUGCAGUGAGAGAUGGAUUUGAUUUUUCAGUACCAAAAUCAAAUACGACUAUAGUGAAUAUUAAGUGCUGGGUUGAAGGAUGUCUUUGGAGAGUUCGUGCAUCUCAAGAAGGAGAUCAGCCUGGUUUUGUUGUUCGUAUAUACGAUUCGGUACACACAUGUUCUGUGACGGAGAGAUCUAAUCGAUCCAAACAAGCUACACCACACGCAUGUUCUCGAUGUAAAGAAGUUGGGCAUAAUGCAAAAACUUGUCGGAAGUAGUAUCGUUGGUAUAUUGUUGGCAUGGAUUUUCUCGUUUUUUGGUUAUGUGUAGACAAUGUUUGUUUUAUGUAAUCCAUAUUUCUAUAUUAUUAUGAUAACUCAGCCAUAACAUAUAUUUAACUCAGCUGUAACGCGACCUUUCGUCUUUCUCCCGUACGAUAACUCAGCCGUAACGCGACCUUUCGUCUUCUUUAAUAUGAUAACUCAGCCGUAACAUAACUCAGCAUACGGAAUAUACUCAUGUUAUGUUACAGAUAACUCAGUCGUAACGCGACCUUUCGUCUUCGUUUCCCGUACGAUAACUCAGCCAUUACAUUAACCAACGCAACUUUCCGUCUUCUUCCUUUAUCUCUCUCAUCUGAUCCUCCCUUUAUAUAUCAGUUUUCUUUUACCAAAAUUCUUUUUCUCAUUCAUUUCAACUUUCAUCAAUAUGGAAGACAUUCCUCAUAUGCCAGGACAUGUUUUUACAGAGAUUAACGCGAUUCUUGCUGGACCUGGUCGGGAUGCUUUCGUUGACAAAAGAACAACGAGAUGGAGAGAAUACCAGUUUGUAAUGGGUGAUGCGAUCGAGCCUAUAAUUUGUCAGAACUGGCACCACGAGUGGCCGACUUAUCGCUUGAUUCCCGUCCACUUUAAGAUACAUUGGUUUAAGAUGCUACUGGUAAGAAACACGUUAAAAGCAUUUUCAUUCAUAUGGUUAUUUUCGUCUUCGCCUAAUUUUUUUCCUUUUAUGUAGCGCCAAUUCAACUGGGAUCCAAGGCAAACGUUACUCAUUUGGACACACUUUAAUAAAGAUGCGCAUUGCAUUUUCAUGUCGAAUAUGCGUAGGAUUAGGAAGUGCUGGAUCCGAGGUUACGAUAAGCCCGAGUGGUUGAAGCCAAUGGUUUGGGAGAAAAUUGUCCAUAUGUUCCAACAACUUGGUAUGGACGAUAUUUGCUGGGACUAUUUUUACUGAACUUCUACAGUUAUUUGCUUUUGAAUGUUUUCAAUGUUGUUUCCUAUGUGUUCUCAAUUUCUCUGCUUUUGAAUGUUGUUUGUGCUUUCUGAACUUCUUUUGAACUUCUUUGUAAUCCCAAACAUAUAUCAGACAUAUAACUCAGUAGUAAUGUUAUCAAUAACUCAGCCGUAACGGAAUCACGUAAAUAAUAUGUUAUUGAUAACUCAGCCAUAAUGUUAUCCAUAACUCAGCCAUAACAUAGUAUAAGUCAGCCAUACCCCAAAUAUACGUUAUGUCAAUUUCUUGUUAUAACUCAGCCGUAACGGAAUCAUGUAAUUAAUAGGUUACUGAUAACUCAGCCGUAAUGUUAUCUAUAACUCAGCCGUAAUGUUAUCUAUAACUCAGCCAUAACGUAGUAUAAGUCAGCCAUACCCUAAAUAUGCGUUAUCUCAAUUUUUAGUUAUAAUCAAGUUAUGAAAUCACUUAAAUCACAUAAAUAUUAGGUUUAAAUAUGAUACAAUCAUGUUACCAUAUUAUUCCCUAUUAUUCAUCAAUAAUUUAGACUUUGUUGGUAACAUUUCGAAACUAUCACACAAGAACAAGUUUUUAGUCAUAACCUACACUACAUAAUUUGAAUUGGAUGAAAUUGUGUAAAUUUUCCAUUUUAUUUUCAAAAUUAACAAUCUUAACAUGCAUAUUUGCUGGUAAUAUAUAUUUAUUAUAUGUCAUAUCCAUUAUAUACUUAUAUAAUUGCUAAUUAUAAAUUAUAACUAUACUCUUAACUCAGCCGUAACUUGAAUACAUUAACUUAGCCGUCACAUAAUUAUAAGUCAGCCAUACCCCAUUUCUCAUUUAACAUGAAAAGAAAUCUUAAACAACACAAAUUACAACAUAGUCAGUCUAAACAUCAUGAAACAACAAUUAUAUUCUCUCCCAUAGCCAUACAAUUGCGAUUCCUAUUACAGAGAGUAGACAAAUUGUCUUCAAAGCUGUCUUACCCAUAUCAUCCUCAAUCUUCUUCAUCAAUUUUGCUUCAAGAUUCUUACUCAGCUCUUCCUCAAGCUUGUCAAACAUUUCUUUUUGGAGAUCUAAAUUUUGAGUAUGUUGAUGCCUUAAGUCCGUCACAUCUUCUUCUAUUCUCUGUACCUUUGCGUCGACCAUCUUAAUUUCUUCAACCGAUGCCUCAUCAACCCAUUUGAAGAAAUGCGAUUCAUUCGGCCUCUAAUGAAUAAAAAAACCAACAUCGAUACCCAUAUGUUAACAAUAAAAAAUUAAAUGAAAAUUUGUACCUUCAAAGCAAUCGAGCAUCUAUAGAAGAUACGGUAAGGGUUUUCCUUUGUCUUCGAUAUGUAUGUGAUGAUAUCGUGACUACACCAACAUCCGCAAUUCGUCGGAAGAUCUGGAGGGUAAGCACCAUGUGCUGAACGAUAUGAACUCGAAGAGUAGUCGAUCACAUUAAAAUUGAGAAGUAGAAUUCUUUAAUCGAAGAUAAACCAAGAAAUCGGAUGUGAAUCCCAGAAAUCGAUAAGAACCCUAAAUCCCCAAUCUGAUCGCUCGAUUAUGACUAUAAGGGAGAUGAAAGAAGUAAACGACGUCGUCUGGAAUUAACUCGGCCAAACCACGAAUUUAAUUUACGAUAAGUCAACCAAACCUCAUUAUAUAACUCAGUCGUAACGUUAUGUUAUACCUCAGACGGAACGUAACUAUAACUCAGCCAUACCCCGAAUUUGAAUAUCAAAAUCAUAAAUCAGCCAUAUCUAACGUAUAAAUCAGCCGUAACAUGAUUAUAACUCAGCCAUAACUCAGCCAUAACAUAGUCAUAACCCAGCCAAAACUCGAAUUUUAAAUAUAAGAUUAUUUAUAUAUUCAUGUUAUUAGAACACUUAGAUAAGAAGAAUUUAAGGUUUCUAUUCACUGUCAAAAUGAAUAUAAUCAAAUUAGCUAUUGUUUAUACCUUUUAAAACUUCAGUGGCCAACAAAGAGAUAAAUCCUAGUAAUGAUUGUAUAUUCUAUCUUGUAAUACUAUAAUUUAAUACAAUUCUAUCUUUUAUAUUCGGGUGAAUUUUAUUUUUUACAUUAAAGCUACUUUUUAAGAUAUUCUAAUACCAUAAUGUUAAGUUUAUUGUUCAAUUUAAAAUGCUUGUUUAUUGUUGAGUUUAAUUUGUCUUUCGGAACUCAGCCAUAACAUAACCAUAACCUAGCCAUAACGAGACCAUAACUUAGCCAUAACAGACUUAUGUACAAAACCACAAAUGAUCCAUGAUUCCAAUAAUUUACAUAUUAUCAUAAUAAGUCUAGUACAACAAAUUAUUACUGAUUAUUACUGAAACUGACUGUAAUAAUCCGAUGCCUCCUCGAAAAUAUCUGCUGCCAUCUUCAGCCGUAUACCUUGGAUAUUUUCAUCACAGAGGCCAUCGAAACUAACACCAAGUGCUAAGCAUUCCACAUAUUUGAGAGAGUACACACCACAGUCCCCGGGAUUACGGUUUUGAGGGACCUUGGAUAUACUCUUCCUUCUGAAGGAAAACAUCUCCUUAUUAUGUGGACGGAUUUCAGCAGGGACUAAAGCGUUGAGCAUUGCCGGAAGCAUCUGCGCAAACGGCUUAACAGAGUUCAUGAUUUUUGCUUCACUUUCAGGUGUUACCUGUCCCACAAUACUGUCAUAUACAUCGAUAUGGCUCCUUCUCAGGUCAGCUUCUAGCGUAAUCCAGUGAUCACCUCCGGUUUGUAAAACAAGAUACAGUUUGUCCACAUCUUCUAUCCACUUCAAACCAGUGGGCUGAUCUUGCGGCAUUUUCCCGUUCAUAACCAGCUCAUAGGGUCCACCAUCGAAUUUAAACCUUUGUGGUCUUUCCUUGAAUGUUGUAUUAUACUCAUGUAAGAGUAAAGCAGUAAACCACGGGUCUAUAAACGCAAUAAGUUUGGUGUGGAAUGUGCAGGGGUCAACAAGGAACCGUUUCCUGAGGAGUCUUAUAUACGCAGCCACAUGCUGUAAAAACACCGUCAGGUAAGUUAAAUAUAACUCAAAUAUAAUUCAACCAUAACUCAGCCAUAACACAGUCAGAACUCAGCCAUAACUAAUAUAUAAUUCAACCAUAACUCAGCCAUAACUCAGUCAUAACUCAGCCAUAACUCAGUCAUAACUCAGCCAUAACUAAUAUAUAACUCAACCAUAACUCAGCCAUAACUAGCUAAUAACUCAGCCAUUACUAAUCCAUAACUCAACCAUACUAGCUAAUAACUCAGCCGUCAAGCUGAAUGAUAACUCAGUCACAACAAAAAGUGUAAAACUUACAUCGUCCCACAGCCAGCCAUACUUAGUGUCCGAAUCUGGCCAAUCCUUUCUUUCAGUGAUGAUUCUCUUGUAGAAUUCAAUUUCAGGGACCGCCUUGCCAUAUGGGGUAGCCCUAACAAACAACACACUUUAAUAUACAUAAAAAGGGGGUAAAGAAGCAGUAAUCAAAAGGUCAAUAGGUACGCAGACUUACUUGUGUGGACUUAAGUGUUCCAAUAAUCUCUCCAAUCUGGCCGGAUCAACAGGGGCGAAAGGAUCAUAUAUUGCAAGAGAUGGUACACAGUUCUUCCUCAUACAUGUCAGCCCGUUCUAUCCAAUAAUAGGGAAAACAUGAGGAUUUGGCUGUGGCUCUAAUGCACUCCCAUCUUUAGCAAACUUCACAUUUGCUAACCUUAAGUCUUUAAUCCUUUCAUUCCUAAUCUUUUCUUCUUCAUCAACAUCAGAUUCAGGUAAUACGUUGAAGUUCUGGAAAGGAUUAUUGUCAGUGAUAUCCUCUAUUUCACUGUCUAUUUCACUGUCAGAAACUUUGUUGUCCCCUUUCUUAACCCCCUUGUUGUCCCCUUUUCUUUCCCCUUUCUUGUCCUCAACCUCAACCUUUGAGAGUUUGAAUUUGACAAGAGGAAUCUUUACAACAUCUUCAGCAAGUUCUUCCACCAGAUCAGAAGGGACACUUGGUUUCAGCUGCUGAACAGCUCUAGGCUUUCUACCUCUCUUCUUUGGCUGGUCUUUUUCCUCAUUCCCUUUCUUUCUUGCUUCAGCAUCAGCCCUCUUCUUUUCCUCUACUUCUUUUUUCUUCUGGGCAUCUGCUUCUCUUCUCUUCAGUGCAUCUUCUUUCUUUUUCAGUGCUUCCUCUUUCUUCUUUUGAGCCUCGGCCUCUUUCCUCUGCUGUGCUUCUAAAUUCCGCGUCACAGGCCGCGUUUUCUUAUUAGCAGGAGAGGGAGAUUUCUCAAUGAAAUCAAGAAGACCAUCUUUCUUAUUAGUGGCCUCAUCGAAAUCCUUAUUUAGAUUCUUGAUGCACCGAUUAAUGUCACUGUCCAAAACUGCUUCUUCUUCUUCUUCUUCCUGAAUUUUCUUCUCUUGUAACUCCAUAACACAAAACAACUCAGCAAUAACACAAAAUAACUCAGCCAUAACAUAAAACAACUCAGCCAUAACACAAAACAACCCUACCAUAACAGAGGUAUAACUCAGCCAUAACACAAAACAACUCUGCCAUAACAGAGGUAUAACUCAGCCAUAACAUAAAACAACUCAGCGAAAACAGAGAUAUAACUCAGCCAUAACAUAAAACAACUAAGCCAAAACAGAGAUAUAACUCAGCCAUAACAUACAACAACUCAGUCGUAAUGUAUCUGGUAACCCAGCCAUAACAUAAACAACUCAGCCGUAAUGUAUUUGAUAACUCAGCCAUAACAUAAACAACUAAUUAAAAAAAUCGAAUAACUCAGCCAUUACAUAAAAUUAAGAGAACUCAGCCAUUACAUAAAAUUAAGAGAACUCAACUUACCGGGGGACUAGUAACAGAGUAGUAUUGGCUUGACGGUUUCUUCUGAAUUUCAGGUGUCUGUUCUUUUUUUUUCCCAAAAGCAUCCCUGAUUCUUAUAUUGGAGAUGCUCUUGAGUGGUAAUGUGUUGUCAUUCUGAAUGUUUUUGCCUCCACUCAUGAGACUAGCUAGGCCUCCACUUCUGGCAACGAAGGAAAUUAGGCCUUUCAUCUUGACGAAUUCUUCAUCAACACGUGUGAACUUAUCAUCAAAGGUCUCAACCUUUGAUUUCAUGGUCUCAAUACUUGAUUUCAUUUCUGAAACCAUACCCACGAGUAAUUUAAGUGACGCCUUUCCACCAGCAUCGUCCUCUUCACUAUCAGCCUGCAAAACAUACACAAAAAUUUAUAAUCAAAACAUACACAAAGUUAUAUGACUAUAUAACAUAUAACUUACAUUUACCUCCUCACUCUUCUUCUUCUUAGUCUUCUGUUCAUGAGGCUUUACCUCCUCGUUUAUCUUCUUCUUCUUCUUCUUCUUCUUCUUCUGUGCAUCUUCUGCACCAGAAUCACCACCCUUUUCAACUUUCUGCUUCUUAGCAGUGGGAGAUUCAGACUCAACCGCUGCUCUAACUUUUCCACUCUUCUUCUUGUCCUCAUUCACUUUCACAUCCCAAAAACCUUUAACAAGCUUUUCUUCAUGUAUGUCAUUGACCAAGUUGACAAGUUCUGGGUCUUCUUCUGUCUGAUUUGGCCACGUGUGAAAAAGCUCACUUACAUCACCCUUCAUCACCAUUGUACUCACACGCAGCUACAUUAGAAGACAAACAUCAAUAAGUAUAACUCAUAAAGACAAAACAGAUACAUAACUCAGCCAUAACUAAACUAUAACUCAGCCAUUACUAAACUAUAACUCAGCCAUAACUUAAUUAUAACUCAGCCGUAACUAAACUAUAACUCAACCAUCACUAAUAUAUAACUCAGCCGUAACUAAAUUAUAACUCAGCCAUUACUAAUAUAUACAUCAGCCAUGACUAAAUCGUAACUCAGUCAUAACAUAAAACAGAGAUCAGACGGAUUUCAGUUACCUCACUAUACUUUUUGAUAUCUUCAGCAAUGGCCACAUCUAAUGCUGAACGUGUACGGGUCCCAGGCCAUCGAAACAACGGGAUCUCUUCAUUCUCGACUAAAUUCCCAAAUCGCUCUCCUAAGCAUUUGAUAGAGUCAUAUGCCCAAGCUUGUAACACGUAAACCGGCCCACCAAGGGUGUAGGAACUACCUCUAGUAUUCAAGCACUUCACAUUAUCAACCAUAGUCUCAAAUGCGACCCGACCCCAUGGAUAAGCCUUCACGGCUUUAUCAUCAGAAACUAUUUUUGCAGCUUCAAAUGGUAUCCGUGAGUUAUGAUGCACGCAGUAGAGUCCAAUGGCUAGAAAAUCAAUAGCCCCAACCACUUGCGCUUCUCAACAGACCAUGACCGGCACACUAAUAAUCCUUUAAGUAGCUCAUCAUAUGUUGGACCUUCCCCACCGGGAACUUUCAAUUCUUCUGUUAAGAACUGUUUGAAGUCAACUGAAGGUUCAAACUUCUCUGAUGGAGUUGGAUCUAUGUUUAACCCCGUGAGGUGAGCGAAUUCAUUCAAACCAAACCUUAUAGGCUGGCCACCAACUAAACACCAAAGCUCUUUGUGUUUAAUUCUCAACUGAUUACACAAUAGAUAGUGUACAGUCUUAGCAGACCAAACGAAUUUGCUUUCAACUAAUUUAGCAACUAUUCCAAGAAGUAAUUGCUUGAUUUCAUCCCACGCGUCUUGUCCAAUUGAUUCCCUAACCCCAGGGAAAUCUGCCAUCCUAAAAUAGGUACACAUGCUUUUUUUCUUGAGGCUAGACAUCCCUUCUUCGUAAAGUCUCGGUGGGUAACGCAUUGCUUGUUCUGCAGCCAUCUGAAAUAAGUAUAAACACAUCAUAACUUAGCCACAACAUAAACUAUAACUCAGCCACAACAUGAACUAUAACUCAGCCACAACAUAAACUAUAACUCAGCCACAACAUAAACUAUAACUCAGCCACAACAUAAACUAUAACUCAGCCACAACUUAAAACAAGUUACUAAGUGAGCCAUACCAAAUAUUAUAACUCAGCCGCAUCAAUGACAAAUUAAGACAACUCAGCCAUAACAUGAUAAGUAAAUCAGCCAUAACAUGAUAAGUAACUCAGUCGUCGAAUCUAUAGAUCUGACAAAUCAGCCGUCACGAAUACUGUAACACAGCCGUCGAAUGAAUAGAGCAAACGACGGCGACAAUCAACCAUAAUAAGCAAAAACAAACACGAUCGAGUAUAGUCGGAAAUACAGUUCAACACUUACCGGAAUACGAAAGGUCUCGAAUGCAGCAAAGAAACUACGACGAACUCACGGCGACUUCUUCUCUUCACAGCGACUAAACGCGAGUUUGAAUACCGAAACAGAGAGAGCGUCGGCGGCGAGUACUGUGUAAAAGGCGAGUAUUGUCUUCGUCGUCGGCGGCGAGGAAUUUCUCUGUCGCGAGAGAGAAACUUUUUUUUUUUUUUUUUUCAAUUGUAAACAGUGAAGAGAAAGAAACUGUUCAAUUUCGCUUUUGAUAAUUAAUGAAAGAAUAACUGUCGAUGAUGAUGUGGCAAUUUCGGAUAUGAUGUGGCAAUUUCGGAUCUGAUGUGGCAAUUUUAAGAGAAAACAGAUAAAGGGUGUUAAUUGUAAUUACACCCAUUUUGAAAGACAUCUAAGGAAUAAAAAAAAGAUUUGGCUGUUUAAGGAAUAUACAUACAAUUGUGGUAUAUCUAAGUAAUUCUCCCUUCAUAUAUAUAAAAGAAAAAAAAGUAACAAAAUAUUUAGAAGGAUAAGAUGGAGAUGAAAGGUUGUCGUUUUUAAGAGAUGAAAGGAUAAACUUAUGGUGUGUACUCUGGUCGAAAUUCAAGUGCGGCGUUUGUUGAAGGUUAUCCACUUAAGGGUGCGCUGCAAAAAUAAUUAUACAAAAUUUCCUUUUUUAGAUUUCGAAUUUGUAAUGCAACACCUUAAUAAUUUAUUUUAAUAUAAUUUAAAAAUGUGUGAUUUGUAAUAUAUUUUUAGUAGUCAAAUUUUAAAUAAUAUCUCAAUCUUUUUAAAUAUGUUAAACUAAAAACUUAUUUUACCAACUUCCUUAUUAAGCUUUCAAAAUUGUAAUAAUUUAUUACAAUAUGUUAAUAUAAUUUUUAUUUUGUACAGCUUUCAACCUUACUAUACAAUCUCUCAGUGAAUUAAUAUUUAUAUAAAAUAUUAAUAAUCGGAUUCUAUUUUUUUUUUUGAUUUACAUAUUUUUUUAAAAAUCAUGUUCUCUACAAAAUUUAAAAUUAAAAAGGGUAAAGGAUAGGAGUAUUCAUUAAGGACACUUAGUUAUUCAGCCAAUAUGAGAGCGAAUGUUUCACUUAAAGAUUGCAACAUGUAUACACUAGGCUUUAAAACAACAUAAAUACUAAUCACGUAGUUUCUACCUCCCAUCAACUGGAUCAUAUAGAGAGUUUUCUUGUUCGAUAUAUAUUUCAAGUUACUAUCACACUAUCUGGCGAGAGAGAAAUGGGAGGAGACACGGAAAACCUUUGAAGACGGCAAGCCAACUAAUCAAGUGGAUUGAUCAACAAGUUCGUAAUCAACUCAUAAUCAUUCAACGAAUAGGAGAUCGACGUUAUGAAAAAGGACUUCAGCUCUGGUUCGAUUCUAGGAGUUAUUUUUAUCUCUUCAUUUUUUUUUUUAUCAAUUUUGUUAAUUUUUCAAACUCUUAAAAGUAUCUGAUGCACUAGUUGUAACAACGCUAUUUUGUCUUUAAAUAUAAUUUAACAUUAAAUUCAAAUAAAAAGUUAAGGUAGACACUUUUGAAAUUGUCCAUGUUGAAAUUUGCUUUUUAUCCGUGACUUGGAGCCUUGGAGGCCAAGUGUUAUAAAACAUAAGAUCAAAUGGUAACAUCAAGAGAUGGAAAAUCAUUUUGAUGGAUUAUCCAUGUUUUGACCGUAACUAAAUAAAUUGAUUUAACAAUUUACAAUGACUAUAUAUACAACUUUUAACAUGUGCUUAAUUUCUCAAUUUUUGCGGAAAAAUGAGUUUUUUGCAGAGAUUUUAAUAUCUUUUUGUUAUUGUAUUAAAAAUUAUUUUAGAGUUUUACAAAAGAACAAACAUGAAAAAGAAAAAUAAUGUUAAAUUAUAAUUCAAAUGAGGGUAUUUUAGACUUUUGUAAAGUGAAACGGACUUGUGCUUCCAAACACUUGUUUUAAUCACAUCGAGAAUAUUCAAUUUUUUUUUCCUUCAGUUGCAUUCAAUUAUUGCAUCUAGAAACAUUUUAUAAUAUGAGAAAAAUGAACAAAAGUUGAUAAAUGCAUCUAGAUACUGCGUCUAGAUGAUGAAAAAAACAUCCCCAUAUACAACCAAAACAUUCCAGCUAUUAAAAGGAAAAGAAAGAGCGAACGAAAACAUUUCGUGGCAUUUAUGUCUCUCUUUUUAAAGGCUAAUGUUCGGAAGAAUCGACUAUGCAAUCGGUGGAAUCUCAAAAACUCUAUUUCGUGGACAAGCUUUAUACCAUAAGAAAUCAACAGCUGCUUGUCUUGUGUAGUGAUGAUAACAACACUCCCCGGACCAAAGUCUCUAAAAUGUGCUUUAAGAGCAUGUAACUGUUCAAGCGAAUCAACGUCGUCUGCCACGAGCAGAACCCUUUGUGUCUUGAGACUUUGAUAACUCGUCCAGUAUUUUCCUUGCAUACAUUUCUGAAACUCCACGUGUAUAUGGCGACCCUGAGAAAUCUUUCUCACGUUUCCCAAGAAACAAUGGCUUUCAAAGUGUUGACAAGUUGUCUGAUAAACAUAUUUAGCUAGAGCCGAUCUAGCAUUGCAUCCUCUUGCCCAAAUCCCAACCAUUCUCAAUCCUUUUUUGGAGUUCAAAUCCAUUAAACGGUUAAGAUCCUUCAUGUGUUUAUCAAUCUCCACUAUGUUCCUCCCAUUGCUUAUUGUUCUACUUGUCACAAUCAUCAGCUUAUUUGAUAUAUCUUCAGCAACUGCGUUGACUAUCUUUAAAUCAUCUUCACUAUAGAGAAAAAAAAAAUUGAAAUUGUAGCAUCGAUUUAAACCAGACUUAACAAUAAAAAUUAUAUCUAUCGAUUCGAUUCAGAUGUAACAAUAAAAAUUUAAUAUUUUGAUAUUCAAUUAAAUUUAACCAUACAAAUUCAAUAUAUAUCACCAAAUUACUAACUUAAAAAAAUAACUAAGAGGUUCUGAUCGAAACUCGUACAUCCUCUCAAACCUGAAAUAAAAGCAGGUUAUAUGGUCUCGUCCCAAACGCCACUAGAACCAACGAAUCUAUGGACUUUUGCGAGAGAUCUUUAAAGAUAGGUUUAGUCCUAAUAACAUGAUAAAUCUUUUAAGUUAGGAAAGUUUACCAUUUCCAUGAACAAGGGCUGGAGAUAUACGACAAAUCCCACAAUGCUCGCCUCCAUGAAAGCACUUUCUCAUGAUCUUCUCUAGCCUCGUGCUUCUCAAAAUGUUCAGCGACUUUCUUAAUCUGAAACCUCACAUCCAUCGGAUUCACGUCGUAGAAGAUGGGUAUCACCGUCAUCGAACCCUGGUUCUCGAAAUACAUGAUCUUCCUGAGCUCUUCUAGGCACCAAGAAGACGCAGUGUAGUUCUUAGAGACCACAACGACGGCGAAUCUCGACUCCCCGAUGGCGCGAUCAAGCUCCGGGGAAAUCCUCUGACCAAUCUCCAGCUCUUUGUCGUCUUUGAAAGUUCGUAUGUUCCUUCGAACCAAUUCCUUGUAGAGAAAGCUGCUGAAGGUGCGGCGAGUGUCGUCUCCUCUAAAACUUAGAAAGACAUCGUACUUAGAUGUAAGCGAAGUCAUUUUUAUUUUUUUAUUCUCUAUGACUAUGUGAGUAUGUGUAGAAUAGGGAUAAUAUAAAAAGUUAACUCGAGUGUAGUUUAUAUAAGCCACGUAGAGGAGACUUUUGAGUAGAGACUUUGAGUAUACACCCUUCAGUCUAGUGUAUCGUGACAUUAUUUUUUUGUCAGCUUCUGUUUCACUGAACUACUAGGAAAGAGGGGUUUAGUAAGAAGGAAAAGACCUGGCCUGCCAAAACAAAAGCUAUUAUUAACGAACGACAAUUGUAUAAUCUUAUCCUCUUUAUUGAAUUUUCUACACCAAAAAAAUAGUUCUCUUCAUUGAACAAAAAAACCAAACAAAAUCCUCUUACUUUUCAACGUUUUAAAUUUUUGAUUGGCUUUGAUUAGUAAACUAGUUUGAAUUAGUUAAAAAUAUUUAAACAUUUGUUUAGUUAGCGAUUGUACCAAUGAGAAAAGGGCUUAUACUUCAUACAUAAAAUCUAUGUUAGCAGUUUUUGAAAAAAUCUUUUGGGUUCAAAUUUAUUUACUAUGUCAUGCCACUGAUAUUAAUUAUUUAUUUAAAAUAUAGAAAUAAUAAGAUUUAACAAAAUUUCUAAAACCUCUCCAUAAAAAAUCAAAAUAUUAUUUUUUUAUUUUUAAAUUUUUAAAUUUAUUUCUCACAAAUAAUCUUAUUUAUUUUUAAAUUUAGUUUAUUACAUAAAAGAUAUGUCAAGAAGCCUUAGUAGUUGUAAAAGGGUUUCUUGUUUAUUACUUACGACGGCCGUAGUCUUUAUUUACAUCAAGAUACAACACAUAAUUAUGUAACCUAAUACAAUAGAUUAGACCGACUAACAGAGGCCCAACCCAACACUAACACAGCCCAUUACCCCCUCCGCCCCCUCAAGCUGGACUUAUUUAAAAUUACAUCUCGUGAUAUAGAAACAGUCCCGUCUCAAGAUUAUAAACUCUCCAACCCUUUUUGCCAAAAGAAUAGCCAAGAAAACUGAUUUGAUACUACGUGUUAGCAAAUUUAUCUCCGCCAUGUUUUUGAUUAUGAACAUAACAUAAACACCCAAAGACCCAUAUAUAAUUCAUGGGUGGUGGACGUUGAUAAAUAAGUUCAAAAGGAGUGUUACCAUUGAGCAACAGUGUGGGAGUACGGUUAAUAAGAUAACCAGCCGUGAGAGCACAGUAAUCCCAGAACUCUAGUGGAAGAUGAGCAUAAACCAUGAGAGCCCUCGCUACAUUUAAAAUGUGACAAUGUUUCCAUUCAACGCAUCUAUUUUGCUGGGGAGUCCCAAUACAUGACGUCUCAUGAAUAAUGCCUUGUUCGGUGAAAAGAUUUGAGAGACAAACAAAUUCAGAUCCGUUGUCAAUUCGAAUAGUUUUCACUGUAGUAAUAACUUACCUUUCAAUCAUGGUAAGAAAAUUCUUGAGAUGUUGUGGUGCCUCACGUUUAGAAGGAAUAAGAUAAAUUCACACAGCCCGAGAGUAGUCAUCAAGAAUUGUGAGAAAAUACCAAGACCCACAAAGAGCAGUAAUACGAUAAGGACCCCAAAGAUCGCAAUGUAUUAAUUCAAACAGAAAAUGCGUCUUAUUGAUACUUAAAGGAAAAGAUCCACGUGUUUGUUUUGGCAUGAAUACAAACUUCAACACCUUUAGAAUCAAAACCACUACUACGAAAAUCAGAAAACUGCAACAUCUCCAUUGCUUUAGACAAGGGAUGACCUAACCGACAAUGCCACACAUCCAUGGAAACUGAAUUGACCUUGUAAGCAGCAGCAACAUCCAAUCCUCUAAAGAAAUACAGCCCAUUAAGUUGUUCACCUCCGCCAAUCAGCAACCGACAAUGCCACACAAAGGUUAUCAGUGAUUUGUAAAACACAACCUCUGUCUCGAGUUAACUGUUAGACGGAAAUAAGAUGACAGUGAAGGCCAUUAACAAAGUAGACAACUUGAAGAACAAGAUCGGAGCCUAGAGAGACUCGCCCCUGUUUGGUAGCAGUAGUGAAGCGACCAUCGAGUAAUUUUAUUAAAGCUGGUGCCAUACCACAUAUAGCAAUUAAGAACUCCAAUGUUCCUGUCAUAUGAUUAGAGGCGCCGGUAUCGAUUAUCCAAGAUUCAAUAAAAAAAACUUACCAAAAAGUUUCUCUGAAGAAGGAGCCUUUCGUUCUUCAAGAAUCAGUUUCAAAAGUUUCCAUUGCUCAUCAUCAAGUCCACUUAUGCCAAUACGAUUUGCAACGGUAAGUAAUGCUUGUUGCACAGAGACAGUAGAAACAUGAACAACAUUUGGAACCGAGCUUUUCAUUGAACCAACAGAGGAAGUAUGAGCACCGCGACCUGCACCACUAUUUCCAGAAUUGAGUUUAGACUUAUCAGGCCACCAAUGCGGAUAGCCGAUGCGUUGAAAACAAUUUCCGGAGAGAUGCCCAACACAGCCACAAUCAGUACAUGUCACGGAGGUAACUCUGUUUUCGGACGAACUGGCGAUGAGUACGAGAUGAUGUUUGAACAGCAAAACUCAUUCCAUCCGUCCUCUCUUCAUUAAGACGACCCAAAAACUUUGAUUCCUCAUCUUGAGAAAGCGUAUUAUAAGCCUCUUCUAGGCUAGGAAGUGGUAACCGCGAGAGAAGCGAAGAUUUCACCGAUCCAUAUAUUGUUUCAUCCAAUCCCAUGAGAAAUUGGUGAAGCUUGUCCUCCUCUCGUUCUCGGCACACUUCCUUCAUUGUCUUGGCGCGUUGGUAGUCAGCCAAGUUUCUCCACAAUUGAGUAAGCUUACGGUAAUAUGCCUCGAUUGCAAGUCCUUUUUGGCGACAUUUGGCUAAGUUUGUCUUAAGAUGUUGAAUACGCUGUCCAUUUUUCACACCAAAUCGCUUUUGAAUGUGUGUCCAAAGCUCAUGUGAGUCAUCAGUGUGAGAUAAUGAAGAAGACAAACUCUCAUCAAUGGUAAGCUUGAUCCAUGAAACCACUAAAGCAUUAUUAGCAAUCCAAUCUUCGAAGUCCGAUGUGUUUUGUCAGGCUAACGUAUAGAGCCAUCAGCGAAGCCAAAUUUCUUACGUGCCUUAAGUGCAAAGCGAAGGUUGGUUGCCCAUUCAUCAUAGUUGUGACCACGCAAUAGUGGCUAGGAGAUCAAGGUACCAGGAUUAUCACCAAAGGAUAAAUUAUAUGGAGAAAUCGUAAGCCGACUUUUAACACGUGAAGGAGUCGUGAGUUCAGACAAAGCAGAGAUAGUAGAUGCUGAUGCUGAAGGUGAGGAAGCCAUAGUGAAGAAAAAAAUCACUAAGAGAGAUAGGUGAAUUUUUUAGGUCAAGAAUAAAAAAAGAGAAGAAACAAACAAAGAGAAAGAUCUCGUAGGCAGCGGAAGAAAUUUGAUACCAUGUCAAGAAGUUUUGGUAGUUGUAAAAGGGUUUCUUGUUUAUUACGUACUACGGCCGUAGCCUUUAUAUACAUCAAGAUACAACACAUAAUUAUGUGACCUAAUACAAAAUAUUAGACCGACUAACAUAGGCCCAACACUAACACAGCCCAAUAAAAUAUGUAUAAAAAAUACAAACUUUUUUUGCGUAUGUUGCAAUUUGAAUUUUCGAAAACGGAUAUAUUUGAAUGUUGAUUUGUAACAACUCCUGUUUCAUUCAUGCAAAUCUCAUACUUGAGCCACUUUUCAGUGCACAUUAAUACCUCUAUCAUGUAAUGAGUUAGACAACUCCUACAUGGAUCAAGGAUACGGUUACUUGUAGAGAAUGCAAACUCAGAUGCAACUGAGGACACUUGCAUAGCAAGAACAACUUUGGCUAUUGCGGCUAAGAUAGGAUACUUGGCAGCAUUGAUUCUCCACCGUCCUAUAACAUCAAAUGGUUUUCAAUAGGAUUACCUAUUGGUAUUUCAAUUGUUUCUUUCAAAUACAUCUCUAGCUCAGUACUAGAAUCUUGAUUCCCUAUCUCUUGCACCAUCUCUUUGUAUCUCAUAUGCAGCCUUUCAUAUCCAUCAACCUCUUAAUCCAUAUCUUUUGAGUUAUUGUGACUGUGAUGUUGACUCUGAGAUCGAGAUGACUGCAAAUUUGGUGACUGUGAUGAUGAAUUCACAGUCCUUGUUAAAGCUUCGUGGUACUCCUCAAAUAGCUGCUUCAAAUCAUCAGUCCUUAAAUUAUGCAUUGUUCUUGCCAUAAACAUAUCAAAACAAUACCCAGCAAACUUCAUCUUGUUUCUUGGAUAAAAAACACUAGCUAUGAUCAGAAACUUAUUCAUUUUCUUUAAGCCUCCCCAAUAUUUAUCAAACUUAUUCCUUAUAGCAUUGGCCUUUAACCUCAUUAUUGCAUAGUGAUUCCAGAUUCUUGUGAAUAGUCAUUAUCUCAUUGUAACACUUGUAGGAGCUCACAGUAGAAGAAGGAAAAACAACCAAAGUAGAAUUAUAGAAGAUAAUCAGAAACUUGACUAACCUCUCUACUUCAUCCCAAUCAUAGACACUAGGUGGCCCAAUUCUUUUGUUUCCUUCAACAGUCUCUAUAAAGUGAUCAUUGUACAACUUAUCCUCCAUAUUUAUUCUAUCAAAAGCCAGCCUGAACUUAAGAGCUCUAGUUAGCAUCAGGUAAGUUGAGCUCCAUAUGGUCUCAACUCUUUUGUUGGAACUCUCACAUAAAGAACCGCAUCCCAAAUUGCAGAGAUACUAUUAUCCACUUCUAGUAGCCCAUCUCUAACAACCACAUUAAUGAUAUGAGCACAACAACGCAUAUGCAUGUAAUCACCUUCAAGAACCAGCGCAUCAACUCCUUGUAAGCAAAAAACCUCCUCAAACUUCUUUAGUGCAUUGGUGUUGGCAGUUGCAUUGUCAUUGGUGUUGGCAGUUGCAUUGUCAACAAUGAUUGUAAAUAUCUUCUUGAUUCCCCAUUCAGCUAAAUACUCAAGAAGGACAAAGCAUAUUGUUGUACCAAUGUGAUCUGAGACGUGUUUGAAACCGUUGAUGAGCUUACUCAACUACCAACUUACAUCAAUGAAGUGUGUUGUGAUGACCAUAUAACUAGCUCCAGUUGUUGGAGUAACCCAAAUGUCCGUUGUAAAUGAAACCCUCUAAAAAGCUUCAUCAUAGUUGCUUUCUUCUUGACAUAUAUCUCCACGAUGUCUCUAGUGGCUGUUCUCCGAGAAUGAGGCUUGUAGAAGUUGACUUUGUUGCUAAAAUGCUUUCACGCCAAACUGUCAAUGAAUGAUAGAGGCAGUUCAUCUAAGAACAUCAUCUCAUUUGAUGUUUCCCUUAAAACAGCCUCAGAACACUUUGACAACUUCAAACUACAAGUCGCAUCAUCACGUUCUUCUGGAUGUAUAACGUGUUGAUGUCCCUGGUUGCUCUCAUUCCAAGCCUGAUACUCCUUACAAAUAAUCAGAUGCCUCUUCAAACAUUUAGUUCCAUUUGCUGUAGCACAAGGGAUCAAUCUAGCACAAUAGUGACAUGUACACUGAUUUUUGUCUUCUGGAAUACCUGUAAAAUGUAGCCAUACCCAAGACCUUGUACUUGGAUUCAUCUUAUUUGGCUUAGUAGCUUUGGCUGAAUUGUCUGCACUCUUAGGAAUAUCUUUCCUUUUGCUUCCAUGUUCAGGAGAUACAAAGUCAUCUGUUUCCACUCCUCACUAUAGCCAUACUCAUAAUCAUCUUCAACAUUCGGGUUAAAAGAGUCGAUAUGCAAAAAGGAAAUGAGAAAAAAUUAUCUAUACAUGAUAAUCCAUAAAAUCAGAUAUUCAAAAAUUCAGCAAAAAUAUAAAAAUUCCAUAAAACUUCUCCCUCUAAUUUUAAUUUGGAAGUUUAAUACCCAAUUUUAUUUGAUUGGAAACAAAAUGCAUGGUUUAUUAAUUUGUUUUCUAUUAAUACAUCAAGUAUAUAAAAAUUGUCGAAUCGAGGAAACCGCUUAACAAAAGAUAAUCGGAUUGACGGAAUCACUAAACCGGGGUUAAUGGAAUUACACUAAACUUAGGGUUUAUCGAUCCCAAUUCGAUUUGGGGUAAUAGCAAAGGACAAUGCAAUCUUUGGAUAACCCAAAACUACCCGUGUGUUUAGGGAUUAGAGAUUUCGUCAACCUCAGUUUAGUGAUUCCGUCAAUCCGAUUAAGUGGUUUAUUCAAUUCGACAAUUUUAUAUACUUAAUGUAUUAAUAGACCAAAAUUUAAUAAACCAUGCAUUUUAUUUCCAAUCAAAUAACAUUGGAUAUGACCCCAACUUGGAUUAGCAUAGGUGGCUGCGAUUUACUUCCACAUCUCUCUUGCAGAUUUGGUGAUGGAGAACAACGGCUGAAUAAACGGUGAGAGAGAUAGAAGAAGAGCCGCAUAUAUAGAUUAAUUUGUCUUGCCGUCUUUAUCUGUUGUAGGCUGGAUUUGGUAUAGUUUGAUUGUUUGUCUUGGUGGUCUAAUCUAGUUGGACUGUAGAGCCUUCGAGGUAUCCUGCUAGCUCGUAACCGUUGAGAAGGGCAUAAACUUGUAGAUUCCAAGUCAUGUAGUUGGUGGAGAUGAAUUUAGUCACAUUGCUCAUGUUGACAUGAAGAAUAGAUUGCGUGGCAUCAAAAAUUUCAGCAGCCAUGAGGAAACAGAAGAGGAUCAAGUGAAGAGAAAAACGACGAGGGAGACUGCUGAAAUUAUUUUUUAGGGUAUCGUUUAUGCUCUUGAUGUAUGUAGAGAACUAGAUUUUACCCUGUGGUAUACCACGUGUCUAGUAUUUUAUGUGUAUAUGUUAUGUAAAAGUUUAACCGUUAUGGUUUAUAUAUACGUAAUAUGUUGUAUGAUAGUGCAUGUAAAUGUGUGUCUAUCUUUACAUGGUUUUUUUGAAAAUAGUAUAUGAAAUUAAUAAAGGAUGAUUUAAUGAUAGUUUGCAGUUAUAGUGGCUAAUAAUAUCUGUAAUUAAUGAAAUAGUUUGUAAGAAAUGAUUUGAAUUUACACUUUCCUGAUGGGUUAAGUAGAAGUGUGUAGUUGUACCUCGUGGUUUUUGCAUAGCAAACUUAAUGGGCCCGAUGCAUAAUGUGUCUUUGGUUUACUGUAUCUAACAACGAAACGUACAUGCACAAAAUUAACAUUUUUACGUUUACACGAUCUAAAUCGUUGCCGAUCUAAAACGAUUGGGUCAUCAAAUUUUUCUUUCUUGUUGAACAAAAGAGUUUGUCCAAAAUAUAAAAGAUUUACCCCAUGGUACACCAAAAAUAUACUUUAAAAAAAAAUUUGUAUAUAAAUUUUGUGAUUUUGUAUUAUAAAAUGAUUGAGUAUGAUAUUCAAAUUUAUAAUGAACAAAAUACAUUUAUUUAGUAACUACCAAACAGUAAAAGUUGUCAUCUUGUAUCAAAUUCUAAUAUUUUUAAUAUAUUUUCAAAUAUGAAGUUUGACUAAUUUGAGAUAUAUAUAUAUAUAUAUAUAUAUAUAUAUAUAUAUAGUUAGUUGUAGUAUAUNNNNNNNNNNNNNNNNNNNNNNNNNNNNNNNNNNNNNNNNNNNNNNNNNNNNNNNNNNNNNNNNNNNNNNNNNNNNNNNNNNNNNNNNNNNNNNNNNNNNAUUAGUAGAUAUAUAUAUAUAUAUAUAUAUAUAUAUAUAUAUACAAUUGUUGUGAAUGAAUCAAACAUGAUAAUAAAUUAUAAUACUUUAAUUAUUCUUACUAUAUGAUGGUGUUAAUAAAAUAAUAAAAUGACGAUUUAACAUAACUCUAUGUUAUUUUAUAUUUAUACUAAUAACCGUGUUAUAUGAUAGGUUAAAUUUUCAAUAUAUUUAAAUAUUUAUAAUAUCCUAAAUUUUUAGUUAAGUGUAAAUUUAUCAGUUCAAAUAUUUAAAAACAUAAAAUUUUAUUAUAUCAUUUGAACUUAAAUUAUCUUGUGUAAAACAAUAUGUGACAUAACUACAUGUAUGUGUUGAAAUAUAUCCCGGACCAGACUAACAGAAUGUGAUUAUUAUAAUCUCAUAAAAGAUUUUAAAAUCUUCAAAAAUUCUAAGAAUAGUAAUAGAUGGUCAUGCUAUCUCAUUGUAGACGUAGUUUGUAGGAAUGUUUAAACGCAACGGUUGCGGUUGCGGGUGCGUGAGUUUGCAGAAGCGGGCGGUUGCGGUUUCAAGCGUUAUUAAGCGUUUUAAACGACUAGUUUAGCUUUUAAAAAUGGGUGCAUUUGCAGGAGUUUGAUGACUGGUUAACCAGCGGCUACAAUGGCGAUUACAUUAAAAAUUAGAAAAUUAAAUAUUAAUAUAAUUAUAAAAAUGUAUAAAUAUAUCAAUACUAUAUUAUUAUGAUAAAAUAUAUUAAAGAAAUGAAUAUGAUUAAUAACUAAAAACCAUAAAUAAAUGACUGAAUAAUUAUAUAAAACAAAUAUUCUUUUAGCAAUAUAAUUACCAAAUAAUUAUUACUAAAUAUAUAUACUAAAUAAUUAUAUAUUAAAUAUAUAUACACACCAUAAAUUAUUACUAAAUAUAUAUACUAAAUGGAAAUAUAACCCACGUCCAUAUUAGAGUGCACUCAAAUAUCAAAUUGGAUUAAAUGGAAAUAAGCUAUAAACGUGGAGUUGAAUUCAUUAAAGAAGAGGAAUGUAUUUGGUCCAAUAAUUCAGACACCUCUUGAUAUUAAACCAGUUGGACAUAAAUAGGUAUUUGUGAGGAAAAGAAAUGAACAUGGAGAUAUCGUGAGAUAUAAAGCACGGCUUGUUGCACAAGGAUUCUCACAAAGACCAUGAAUAGAUUAUGAGGAGAUAUACUCCCCUGUGGUGGAUGCUAAGACAUUUAAAUUUUUGAUAAGUCUGGCUAUAUAUAUAAAAGAGAAAGACUUGAUUUGCGGCUAAUGGAUGUAAUGCCUGCAUAUUUAUAUAAGUCCACUAGAUAAUAUAUGAGAUUAUCAGAGGGUAUUGAGCUCAAAGAUUAGAAAGGUUCUCGAGAACAUCACUGCAUAAGGCUGGACAAAUCCUUUCAUGGACUUUGACUAAAUGGGCGUAUGUAAGGUUAUAAAUGAUCCCAUCAGUCAAUGUAUUUUCAUAACGAGGUUUGCAAACAAAGGAUUUGUAAUCUUAGAAGUGUAUAUGAAUGAUUUAAACCUUUGGGUAAUCGACCAAACAGUUGAAUAUAUCUAAAGAAAGAAUCUGAAAUGAAAGACCUAGGCAAAAAUAAUUAAGUUCUGUUUGGGAUUAAAACUUGAGUACGUGAAUAACGGAAUCCUUGUGCAUCAAAUGACAUAUACUGAAAGAGUACUCAAGGAGAUUUAAUAAGGACCAGGCCCGCCCAUUGACCAGGCCCGCCCAUUGACCAGGCCCAAUGGUGGUGAGAAGCCUCAGAUUGGAUAGUGAUCCAUUCAGUCCAUAAAUGCCAUACCUCAGUGCCAUAAGAGCUUUAAUGUAUCUGGCGAGCCACACUAGGCCAAAUAUAUAUUUUUCCGUGAAUUUAUUAUCAAGAUUUAGCUCAUGUCCGACCCAAAGGCACUGGAACGGGAUUAAACAUAUUCUUCGUUACCUAGAAGGAACGAAAGAUUUGGGUCUAAUUUAUACUAACCAACCCAAAGAGGGAUUAGUUGGUUUUGCUGAUGCAGGUUAUCUCUCGGAUCCACAAAAUGAUCGAUCACAAACUGGUUAUGUUUUCACACACGAUGGUACGGCAAUAUCUUGGCGAUCUCAAAAGCAAACAAUUGUAGCCACAUCGUCCAACCAUGCUGAUAUUUUGGCGAUGCAUGAGGCCAGCUGUGAAUGUGUUUGGUUGAGAUCCAUGACUCAAGAUAUUAGGAUCGAUUGUGGGAUGACCGAAGGGAAGGCAGCACCAACAAUAAUGUAUGAAGAUAAUACUGCCUGCAUAGCUCAGCUUAGAGAUGGAUAUAUCAAAGGAUAUAGGACAAAGCAUAUUUUGCGAAAGUUCUUCUUUACUCAUGAAUUACAUAAAUCCGGAGAGGUCCAAGUGGAACAAGUUCAAUCAUGUGAUAAUUCGGCAGAUCUAUUCACCAAGUCGCUUCCAACCUCUACGUUCAAGAAACUAACACAUCAAAUUGGAAUGCGCCGGUUGAAAGAUCUUCAGUGAGCUUCAAAUCAGGGGGAGUAAUACGUGUUGUACUCUUUUUCCUUCUCGACGGUUUUAUCCCAAUGGGUUUUCCUGGUAAGGUUUUAAUGAGGCAACAUCCCAAAGCGUAUUACUAGCUCACAACGGUAAUGACAUCCAAGGGGGAGUGUUAUAAAUCAUAUGAUGGAUUGUCAUAACAAGUUCAGUCCGGCCCGGCCCAUAUCAAGCCCGGUCCGUCCAAUGUUGAGGAGGCUUAAUCUUUUCCUUAUUAUAUUAGGGUUUACUUAUCUCCCCUUGUAUCAAUCCUUAUAUAAAGGAGUCUAAGCUAAUGAAUAAAGCAUCUCGAAUUCCCGUCUUCUCUCUCUAGUUUACAACAAAAUGAUAUUUUACAUAAUAAUUUUUAAAGAUUGUUACUAAUUUCGACGAUUAUAUUUAUGGAGGAGCAUAUACAGCACAAUGAAAACUAUUUUUGCCUACUAUUAGGAAACUUAGUUAUUAAAUAGACUAAAUUAAGGACUGUAAUUACUAUGAUUGAUUCAAUUUUUUUAUUGUGUGAGUAUGUUAUUAGAAAUAUAGUUAUAAUGUUUUCCUAAAAUAUGGUUAGUAGUUAUUGGUUAGCUAAUUAUUUGGGAACUUUGAUUUCGUUUAUAUCCUCAAAUUAUGUAUUCGAUAACUAUUUUAUUUUCAAUAAGAGACAACAAAUCUUGUAAAUCUGUAAUUAAUAUCUUCCCUUAAUUAUAGCAAUUAAAUUUGGACAUUCUACACUAAAGAAGAAAAGAUCCAUCAUUUGGAAUUGGGUCAGAAAUUGAAAUCAUAAACCGACCCGAUAAUUAAAGUUACAUUAGUAAUCUUAAUGAGCAUUUAUAAAAUAAUUAGUAGUAAUAGUAAUUAGUGGAAAUCGAUUUUUUUGAAAGGGUGGCCAAAAAGUUGUACUUCAAAAAUGUUAUAAUAUAUAUAACGAUUCAUAUAUUGACAAGGUGUGUACAGAUGAUAUACAUAUAUAUACUUGUACAUAGGAGGACAGUUUAGGUUUAUACCCAUAUAUAGUGUUCCAUAAACAAUAAAAGAUAAUAUUUUGGUAGUAAAGAGAGACACUUCCUUUAGUUCCUUAACAUAUACUACUUAGAAAACCAAAAUAUUCCAACCGUUAAAAAUAGGAAAAAAGGAAGCCAACCAAAACAUUUCAUGGCAUAAAUGUCUCUCUUUUUAAAGGCUAAUGUUCGGAAGAAUCGACUGUGGAAUGGAUGGAAUCUCAAAAACUCUUCUUCGAAGACAAGCUUUAUACCAUAAGAAUGCAACAGCUGCUUGUCUUUUGUAGUGAUGAUAACAACACUCCCUGGACCAAAGCCGCUAAAGUCUGCUUCAAGAGCAUCUAACUGUUCAAGCUUAUCGACGUCGUCUGCCACGAGAAGAACCGUUUGGUUCUUGAGAGUUUCAUAGCUCGUCAAGUAUUUUCCUUCAAUAUUUUUCAGAAACUCUUCGUGUAAAUGGCUUUCACAGUCGCGACCCUGAGAAAUAUUUUUCAUGUUUCCCAUGAAACAAUAGCUUUCAAAGUGUUGACAGGUUGUCUGAUAAACAUAUCUAGCUAGAGCUGAUCUAGCACUGCAUUCUCUAGCCCAAAUCCCAACAAUUCUCAAUCCUUCUUUGGAAUUCAGAUCCAUUAGUCGGUUAAGAUCCUUCAUGUGUUUAUCAAUCCCCACUAUGUUCCUCCCGUUGCUUAUUGUUGUACUUGUAAUAAUAACCAACUUAUUUGAUAUAUCGUCCGCAAUUGCGUUGACCAACUUCAAGUCAUCUUCACUAUAUAGACAAAAAAAAAAUAGAAACUUUAGCAUCGAUUCAAACCAGACUUAACAAAAAUUCAAUCUUUCGAGCCAAAUUAAAUGUAACAGUACAAAUUCAAUCUUUUGAUAUUCAAUCAUAUCUAACCAUAAAAAUUUAAUCUUUAUCACUAAGUUACGAAAUUUUUUUUUCUAAAUAAUUAAGAGGUUCCCGAUGAAAGCUCGUACAUCCCCUCAAACCCAAAACUAGACCAUGUUAUAUAGUUUAGUCCCAAACGCCACUCAAAACCAAUGAUUUCUAGGCUUUUGCGAGAGAUCGUACAUGAUAGUUCUAGAGGUAAUAAGAUGAUAAAUCUUUUGAAGUUACGAAAGUUUACCAUUUCCAUGAACAAGGGCUGGAGAUAUACGACAAAUCUCUCAAUGCUCGCCUCCAUGAAAGCACUUUCUCAUCAUCUUCUCUAGCCUCGUGCUUCUUGAAAUGUUCAGCGACUUUCUUGAUCUGAAACCUCACAUCAAACGGAUCCACGCCAUAGAAGAUAGGGAUCACGGUCAUCAAACCCUGGUUCUCGAAAUCCAUGAUCUUCCUGAGCUCUUUCAGGCACCAAGAAGACGCAGCGUAGUUCUCAGAGACCACAACGACUGUGAAUCUUGACUCCCCGAUGGCGCGAUCGAGCUCCGGGGAAAUCCUCUGAUCAAUCUCCAGCUCUUUGUCGCCUUUGAAAGUUCGUAUGUUCCUUCGAACCAGUUCAUGGUAGAGAAAGCUGCUGAAGGUGCGGCUAGUGUCGUGCCCACUAAAACUUAGAAAGACAUCGUACUUAAAUGCAGUAAGAGAAGUCAUUUUGAUAUUUGAUUAUCUAUGACUAUGUGAAUGUGUAUAGAAUAUGAAUGAUAUAUAUAAUGAAGUUGAGUGUAGUUUAUAUAAGCCACGUAGAGGAGACUUUGAGCAAAGACUUAGAGUAUAGACCCUUCAGUCAAGUGUAUCGUGACAUUUUUUUUUUGUCAGCUUCUGUUUCACUGAACUACUCAGAAAGAGGGGUUUUGUAAUAAGAAGGAAACGACCUGGCCUGCCAAAAAAAAAAUAUUAUUAACAAACGACAAUUAUCAAUUUAUCAUCAUAUCCUCUUUGUUGAAUUUUCCACACCAUAAAAAAGAGUACAAGAAAAAACACAAUCCUCUUACUUUUCCACGAUUUAUAAAAUUUUAGUUGGUUUGAUUAGUAGACUAGUUUGUAUUAGUUCAAAAAUUUAAACAUUGGUUUAGUUAGCGAUUGGACCAAUGAGAAAAUGGCUUAUACUUCAUAGAUAUGAUUAGAAAUUUUUAUGGGUUCAUUCCUAGUAUAACCCUUUUAUUCUUUUUUUUUUUUUUUUUUUUUGGACCAACUAAAAUUGCAUUAGAACUUAACCAAGAGGAUUCGGAGGAUACAAGAGGCUACUCGGAGCCAAACAAACAACUUCUCUGAGCCACAACAUGGCCAAGUAGAAGGGGAAGUUAAAACAACAACCAUAGAACAAACAAAAACAUAUGGAUAAGUGGGGGGUGUAACCCUUUUAUUCAUCUUUUAAUUUCUAACCACUCAAAAUAUUAACCUUACUUUUUGUUUUAGAUUCUUCUAUGUAUAUAGAUUUAACUCACUCUUAUUUAAAUUCAUAGUUUUGACAACGAUUUUACGUUUAAGAUUUUUUUUUCGGUAGUUGACAAGGAGACAUUAACUAUGUCUCCUUGUUAUUUAUUCAAACUAAAACAAAAGAAAAUUACAACCGAAUCUGCCGUGGGAACGAAGUUCCACGGACAUCAUCUCUUAUUAUGGACUCCACAACAGUUGGAGCUUCCUCAAAAAUAUGCAAUCCUAAAGGUUUUUUAAAAACAAAGUUUGCUAAACCAUCCGCAAGGCGGUUAGCUUCUUGAUAAGUAUGCGUAACACGGACUAUCCAGUCCUUAGAAAUAACGCCAUGACGCAAACGCAUCAGGGGAGACAAAGGAUGAGAAUCACUAAUCCCCGUCUUAAGAAACCCAACAACAAUCUCCGAGUCCAUAUUAAGCUGAAUUCAUGUUACUCUCUUCCCCAAAGCAACAUAGAGACCAUAAUAAACCCCCCCCCCAAAGUUCGGCAAGAGGCGCCGAUCAUAUCCCGAUUUGCUGCGAAACCACCACACUUUGACCCGUCGAAUCUCUCAGAGCACCACCAGCCGUAGCUACCCCAGGGUUACCAUGAGAGGCCCCGUCAGUGUUUAGUUUAAACCAGCCCUCUGCCCUCCGGUGGCAGCUUCCACUGCACCAUGCGAGUAACUCUCUCCCCCACCAUACAGACACUCUCCAUGGUCUUGUGUGCUUGGCUCACUUCCAAGGCGAUGUCUUUAAUGAACUUUACUUUAUAUAUCGGCAUUUGCUUAUGUCCCCAAACACAUAGCUACAACGCCACUUCCAUUCCCACCACGAACACAUUGCAAACAAUAUAGCCCAAGAGCAUUCCGUCCCAUCAUCCGACGAACGUCGAUUGUUAUAAACCUAUUCGGUUAACGAACCAUCAAAGAAAACCCGUAGCCUAUUUGGCGGUACUAUCAUUUUACGUUUAAGAUGAUUUAAUUGUUUUAAUUUUUAAUUUUUAUUUAAUGAUAAUAUGAUAUAGUGUAAUUUCAUUCGCUAAAGAAAACAAAAAUGAUGGAAAAGUCGAGAACCAACGUUGUGCACGAAUCGGUCUCGUCGGUUCUCUCUCUUCUCUCUCUUGAAUUUUUCAGAGAGAGACCGACUCACUUUUGUUGCCGUCCGGAUCUUUUCCGGUUACCAAUCCCGUUUAGCGGGCUCUCUCCCAACAUGCACCAGUUCUUCUGCGGUGUUUGGUUGGCUUUUAUCCGAUAUCGAUUUGACUUUCAUAGUCAGUAUGAUCGGCGUGGCCGUCGGCAAUUCUUGCCGAUUUUCUCUUGUUGUUUAUGAAAAAAUAAAGUUUAUGUUGUGGUGGUCAGUGAUGUGCCCAAGCCACUGGCUCUUGAAAUCAAUUUUGAUCCCUAGUUUCAGAUUUAGCUUCUCUUCCCUAGGCCUUCAACCGAUUGAUCCCAGUAUCUCAUCGUUGAGAUGGGUGAUGAUGCGGUUAGGCGGCUCAUUCAGCUUCCUCCAACAAGAAUUCACAAUCAGAUUUGGGUCUACUUCUGCUUAUUCGGUACUCCGUCGAAUGAAUCUCGACUUUUCCGGUGUCAACAUGUGUUUGAUGGUUCCAAAGCUUCAUCUUCGAAGCCCCAUCAAGCUGGGUUUGUAAGUAGAUGUUUUAAUUUUUAAAGUCUAUCAAUUAGCAAAGUAGGACGAGUAGUUCAGAGUUUUCCGGUGCAAUUUUCAUCAUCAUCAACAAAAUUCAGUUCUCGGAAAAGAAGCAAUUGUGUUUCCAGAUGCUAUUCAAAGGAAUUAACUAGGGAUUAAUUUUUAGGUUUCAGUUGUUUGAUUGUGGUUUUGUGCCUUCAAUUGGCUUUUGUUGUAAUUUUAGUUUGUGUUUUUAGAUCCGGAGAAUUUUCGUUUCUGCCGGUUAAUAUCCAGAGGUUUACAUGUAUCCUCUGGCCUUGUAUCAUAUUUUUGUAUCGUUUGAAUAAACGUUCUUGUGAGAAAAAAAAAAAAAAAAAAAAAAAAGAAAACAAAAAAAGUGAACAAAAGGGUUAGCUCCUAUAUUGCUCUUAACUUUUCAAGAAAUCUUAAAUAAUAAUAAAAAUUUACGUGGUCGUUCGAUAUAUGGAAGUAAACAUUUGGAAGUAUACAAUCUUUCUAAAUUAAGAAUUUGAACUCAAGGUAUUUAAAAUCUAAACAGACUUGAAGAUACAAAAAUAGAUUCGAUGAGAAAGACUACAAAAGAGAGUAACUAAGGUUAGAAUCAAUGUUUGGAUCUCUUGGGAGUCUGUGCAUCGACGGCAUCCAAAGAAGCAACAUCCCCACCCUCUUUCUCCAUCUUCUUUCUCGUAAGUAUCUUAUUGAUCUUGUGAAGUUCGUUAUUGAGUUUCUGGUCACGGUCACGGUUCUGCUUCCUCGUCUUUCGACCAUCUUGCAUCUUUACCCCAAAUUGGAAUGCCGCUUUUGGCAUGGCUUCCUUCUGCUCGUUAUAUUUUUCCCAUUCCUCUUCCGUCUCAAAGUCCCAUCGAUGUAAACCUCCCUUUGCCUGUUUAGUGUUCAUCAACACCCAGAAAUUGUAAUGUUGUAGUUUUGGCCUUUCUACAAUUAAAAGAAGAGAAAAAAAGAAAGAUGUAAUUUAGCCAGUGCAUACCUUUCCACCCAUGUCCAUUUUAGACAAGUCAGCUUCUUCAUCGCUACCGACAAUCUCAUGGUUGUACUCUUGGUAACCCGGGUAACACUCUGAAUAGCUCUCUGAUACAAAAGUUGGAUCUUUCUCCCGUGCGUCACUUUCUCUCAACUGUUGAAGCCUUUGGUCGUCACGCUUGAACACUGAUCCUAAACCCCUAUCUUUCUCUUCCUGAGACAUGAGUUGGGGAUCUAGUAAAAUAUCUGUUUCUGGUUGGACAUCGUAACCCUCCAUUCCAGGCUGAAGGUACUGCUCUUGAUACCCAAUUUGCUCUGCAUAUUGGUAAUCCUGCCAAUCUCCAGGAUACCCGGUAGCCACUCCUUGAAUUGGCAUUGCACCAUAUCCACUCUGCAAAAAAUACAAAAGAAAGAAACCUGACUAUGAGAAUAAUGGACAGAUAAUAAGUACAAACUAAAAUGCAAAAGUUGCUUCGGGAAUCAAGGUUUGUGAAUACAUGCAACCAAGGAUUAGUUAGGGGAAAACUGACCAUAUCUUGCCAUUCUUGACCAGCAGAUGGCUGCACCGGACCAUAAGCAGGCUCAUCGAAGUAAGGUACUUUCUCCUUAUCCCUGGGAGAUUCUUCCAUGUCCUCAGAAAUAGGACUCUGUGUCACAUCUUUACCAGGAACUGUAUAGUCGACGCCUUCACCAACAAAUAUGUCAUCAUCUUCUGUUCUGGCAACAGGUGGUUCUUCUUGUUUCUUACUCAAAACCAGAUGGUUGGUCACAGGCGGUAAUGGCGGAGGAGGUGGUAGUUCUUCUCUUUCACUUAUGUUCACAGAAGAUCCAUUCUCAAUCUUAGAUUGAUUAUUGUCUUCAUCGUAAUUAGCAAUAGUUGAGAUCUUUCCUGCAUUAGAAAAAUUGCAGUCAACGUGAGAUAGAACAGAAAUAGCAAAUUAUAUUGCUAAAGAAUCAGAAACCAGCCAAUUUCUUAGCUUAACUCAAAAUGUAUGCUGAUGUGAAAAAAGAACGACAACAUGUACUGGCACCACAUAGGCAUAAUAAUAACAGGAUACAAAACCAUGCCUACAUCCAGAGACCGCGCAAAUUAAAACCACAAAGUGAACACAAGAAGACAUAAUAAGAUACUACUAGUACGGUUGUUGAAGACUAGACAUACUCUUUAUAUUCUUGGCUUCAAAUAGUAAACGCAGACAAUUUGGGGAUAGGCAGAAAAACAACAAUUUCAGGAAGCUUAUCUAACCAGUGUAUGUGAAUCAGUACUGCUAAUACUUAAAGUCAUUGUCACAAUGCAAGUGCAGUUAGAAAGUACACCAAAAGUAUGCUCUUACAUUAUGAAAACUACCUUUACUGUCUUUUUCUUUCUUCUUCUUCUUCAGAACUUUCCCUGAUGAUCCAAGGCGAAGGUAUGACAUGAUUUUAGCAAUUCGAUCUAGUACAGAACCAUCAACAUUUACUGUGACCAGUUCCUGUGAAAGAGAUAAGGCAGGACAAUCGUGCGUGUUAAUGAAACAAUUCUCGCAAAAACUGGAGUAGUGAUGUCAAGUAUAACUUAAAAAUAUGUUCAGUACAGAAACAUGUUUAGCAAUGCCAAUUUUGGUUCCAGAUUAGUAGAAACGAAAGAUAAAUUUAAUCUUAAAGAAGAAAUAUGCUACCAAAUCCUGUUACAUAUAAUCAAAAUAAUAGCAGUAUUCAUUACAUCAUCCCCUGACAUAGAAGAGGUUGCAGAGACCAACAAAAUGGGCUUAUAUCAUUCGAAUCACAACAAUCAUUACAUAUCAACCCAUAACAGCAUGCUGUCCUAAGAAAUUUCCAGGAUAAAGAAGACUAUUACAACACGGAUUCUAAGUUUACAUACCUCAGGCACGGGGCAGUCAGCUUUACUCCUAUAUAACGUGGUUGGUAUGUCAUGGGUAUAGCCACCCUCCUGAAAAGCAUCAUACAGAAUUAAAACUAAAGGGAUAACAUUAAUAUUUAACCUCAGAUAAUGGGUGUUAACAUCACAAGUGAGGCCUUCAAAGGGGAUACUAAAAUCAUACUGUAAGGUUAGCUAGCUUAACUGAGACUAUAUAUCUCAAAGGAAGCUUCAUUCAUAACCAAAUUAUGAUCAUAUAUUCAACUGACUUUUUUGUAGAAUCGUGUCUCUAUUUGCUAAAAAAAAUAUAAGAAUAUGCUUUGACAUGAUGGUUGAACUAAAAAACCAUCCGCUCCUGCUGAUAAGAUUUCUAACAAAUAGUUUAAACCAUGAUUAUAUCAUUAACAGGGCAAUGCAAAGCAGCUUAAGCAACCUUCUUAAAGUUUUCCUUGGGCCCAUGUAUUAUAUCUAAAAGAGAAGAUUUAAGCAACUAAAGACUCGGAGAAGAAUUGUUGAAGCCGUAUACACAUGUAUGAACUACUUCCUCAGACAAAAAAAAAUGAUGUAAGAAUAUCGAAUCUGCCUGAAAAUAAAUAGUUAAAGAACAUUACCAUAUCAUAGACAAAUGUCAUUCUACCAGGAAGGAACAUCUCAUUAGACUUGAUGAUAGUCUGAGGCUUAACAAUCCACUGGUAAACUGACUGAAAAAAGAUCAAAAGACACAAGAAACAACAAACUUUAAGCGUUAUCGACAUCCACAAACUUUCCCCUUAUCUACACAAAUUCGAAACGAAAGUCCCCAUACCUUUGCAGCUAUGGUACGGAAAGUAACUCGUUGAUCUUCUUUAGGCGCACUGUCAAAGAAAAGAAAUAUAUGUAGCAAUUGAACCAACAAAUCAGAUGAGUCAAUUAAUAUAAACCAAAACCUACCUAGUCUUGCCAUCAUCAUCUUCACCAUCAGGUUUCUUAACUAUUUCGCUUCGUACUUUAUUCAAUAAAGCAUAAUCCAACCCCUUAACCAAAUGGGUAUGCUCAACAUCACCUAACCAAUAUAUUAAACACACAAACAUAAGCACUUCAAGAGAAAAACCAAAUCAAGAUUUGUAAGAACCUAACACUAACCUCCAAGAUACUUGCUGUUCUCAAUAGAUAGCUUUAAUGCAUCAGCAGCACUACAAACACACAAAAAAACAGAACUUUAGAGAAACCCAAUUACAAUUAUAACAUAGUUAAUCAGAAACACCACGGAGAGUUACCGGAGAUCGACAGCUCCGGGAGGAGCAACGGCAUGGAAAGAACCAAGCUCUGAAGGAUCAUAAUCAGGAUUUUGAUUCUCUCUUCGUUCUUUAGCACGGUCUCUGUACUUUGGGUUAUCGAUUUCUUCUGAUUUCUCCUCCCUUUAGAUCAAAAAGGUCACAACUUUAACAUCUCCUCAUGUAUAAACCCUAAGAUUGAGGAAAAAGACAAAACAGCCAAGAUUACUUACCUCCGACGAGCAAUCUUCUCUUUGUAAUGAGAUUUUGAGGAACUCAUUAGGUUGUUGUCCUGAAGAAUCAGAUGAUUUCAAUAUUGUUCUGAAUCUCUGGAUUUUAGUGUGUUCUCCGAUAUGAGGACGACGACGUUGGCUGAGGUAGAGGGGAGUAUAUUUUUAAUUUUUAAGUUUUAACCCACAAAUGUCUAAAUCUGGUAAAUUACAUUGAAAAAGGGGAAUUUUAUUGGGUAUGACAUUUUGGAAACUCAAUUUUGUAAAAUUGCCAUUAUUGAAAAUGUCUUUCAAAUCAUGACACAAAUCAUAAAACUUGGACGAUUUUGCCCUGGACAUUGCAGAGAGAAACUUUGUUUUUUCUGUUGGCAGCAGUAGUCAUUAAUUGCUGGGAUUUAACCUAAUAUCUUGUGGGUAAUGAACCAUACAUAUCAAAAAUAGCGGACGAGUAAGUAAUAUAUGAUGGACAAAAUAUGUAAAGUAUAUGUGGUCCAUCGAAAACUCACUUUGACAGAUUUCAAGAGACAACUCCGAUGUGUGUUCUCUGACAUGUCGUUAGUAAGAUUUGUAGUCCAACAAGGUUUGUCUAUGCUUUCUUAAACCGGUGAAAGACAAAUACAAAAAGAUGAGUUAGAAGAAAAUAUGGACAACUGUGUUGAUGGACAUAUUAGAUGCAGUAGAUCUGGUCUAUCAAAACUUACAUUGAGAAGUUUUGAGAGACAACUCUUGUUUGGGUACUACGACCAGGAGUUUGGUCCUCCACCACAGACGUUCUAUAGAAGGACACAAAUAAAGUUUUGAUUUAUUUAAAGGCAUAAUGUAAAUCAGAUCUGUACAAAUUGGUGGGUGCUAAUGGAGGACAAGUAGAGAGAUUUUGUGAAAGUUGUGGGUGGUGAAGGAGCAGAGACAAAAAACGAUAGACAAAAUAGAAAAAACAAAAAAGAGAUCUGGUCCACAAGAUCUGGUCCACUACAUUGGUUCGCCGAAUUUUGUCCAUCUACAGAAUAAUGUAUUGUCCAUAGUGUAAUAAUCGCAUCACUUGUUUCAUCGUCUGGUUGGUCCGCCGAAUCAGGUCACCAGAACUGGUCCGCCGGUGGUCUGCCAGAACUCGUCCGCCGAAUAUGGUCUGUCGGAAUUGGUCAAUUGAAUCUGGUCUGCCGAAUUUGGACUAGAAUUGACUAUGGUCUGCUGGAUCUGGUCCGCCGGAUCUGGUCCGCCGGAUCUGGUCCGCCGGAUCUGGUCUGUCAGAUCUAGUCUGUCUGAUUUGGACCGUCGGAAUUCGUCCGCAUGAUUUGGUCCGCCGGAGUUCGUCCAUCGGAUAUGGUCUGCUGAAAUUGUUUGUUGUUGAAAGAAGAAAAAAGAAAAUGAAGAAGAGAAAAAGAUAAUGAAAAAACACAGAAACAGAAAAGUCAAUUCGUCUAGGGAUACGUUGGUCCUUUUACAUGCUCCUUGUGGCAGGCGUGACAAGAGGUUUUUGUAAAUGGCAGGCGAGAGAAAUUUUGUUACUGUACAUGGCAGAGUUAACAAUUUUCUCUUGAAAAAGUAUUCAAAUUACCAUUUUAAGAGAUUUGAGUUUUAUUAAGAUUUUGAUGAUUUUAGGGAACUUCAUAUUAUUUAUGUAAAAUCCUUUUAAAUCCCACCUAAAACUAUGAGAUUUGGAUUCUUAUAUUUUUAACUAAGAAAGUUCUCUAAAAUCCUCUGAAAUCAUUUAAAAUCAAAUCCACAAAAUGUUUUCAAUAACAGUGGAUUUUAGAGUGGAUUUUAAAAUGAUUAGUUCAAUAACACUGGAUUUCAUGAGACUUUUUAAAAUCCCUGAUUGAAUAACACAAGAUUUGUAAACUUUUUACAAAUCACUUGAAAUUCCACUUUGAAUACACCCCCUAAAAUAUGUGGUGACUUCGACCCAUAUUGCUGUUAUUGUAAGGAUUUGAUUAAAAGAAAAAAAAAAUUUAACUAAAAAAAUUGAAAAUGGGUGUAAUUAAAUACAUACUCAUUUUUAAUAAAAUCUAAAAAUUAUAGAUCCAACCACACUAAAUCCGAAAACCUAUUCCACUAUUGGAUACCUAUCAGAUCUUUCACCAUUUUGUUUUCCUCCUCAUCGUUUGAAAAAAUUAGAAGUCCUCCAAACCCCAAGUAUUUGAAAAAUCCGAAUAUCACAAACAGUUCGUCGAGUACAACUAAGGACAACCCGAGAUUGGGUAAGUCAAAAUCGAUGAUUUUCUGGGUAUUUUAUGUUAGAUACACUUGAAUGUUGUUGAUUUUAGGUGUUUCGAUUUGUUAAUCUUAAUUUGAAGUUGUUGAUUUCGUUUAUUACUCGAGUAUGUUGUUAAUUUGCGGUUGUUGGCUUUGUGUGAAGGAGAAGAGAAUGGUGCGUACAAAGAACGCAAGCUUUAACAAAUAAACAGAUCCAGUAUGUGAAGUCGAAAAGGCAACAGAUGCAAUCGUAGAAGAAGAUGGGACUUGUGGAGAUGAUUUAGAAGAAACAGAGUCAAAUCCGGAAUCAAAUUCUCGGGAUUCAACGGUAUGUACAACUUGGAUAGAAUAGUACAACUUGUGCGAACUCGGUAUAACUAGUUUUUUUUUACUAAAAAUUUGAAACGGUACAACUUAGGAGAACUUGGUAUAACUAGUUUAAUUUCAAUUCAAAAUUCAAAAGGUACAACUUGGGAAAACUUAGUAUAACUAAGUUUUCUUGCAUGAAUCCGAGGAGGGAACAUAAGUAAUGCAACCGCUGAACAUGUACUUCAAUCACUCCGAGUAUAUGAAGCCAUUCAAGCUAUCUGCAAAGUGUUAUAUCACAAAGGUAGUGAACUUCUUGAGAGCUCACCUUAAGUCCCAUGAGUUGGAUGGUUCCUAGGACACCCAUAGUUCAAACAUUUCUUCCAUAUGGCAAAGGAUGCCAAUCACAAAUUGAUGGGUAUGUGGAUGUUGUUUCUCCUGACGGCGUAUUUAGAGAAGAAAGAGGAAUGUUGGUUCUUAGUAAAUUGUAUUCCCAUAAGGUAUUCUCUUAGAGAAAUGGUACUGAUUUGUGGCUUAUACUGCCAUUAGUAUCCCCGGCACAUGGAAUCAUUGGGCAGUACAGAGUUUGUUGGAAAGCAUUUUGGUGUUGGUACAACAAUAAGAUAUGAUGAUGUCAAAGCAAAGCUUUUAUAGAUGAAGAGAGCUUCUACAACUCGAGUGAAGAUGGCGGUCCUCCACAUCUUGUGUAGCGUCCUCAUAGGGAAGAAGAAGACAAUGAAGCAAGCACCAUCUGUAGAGCCAUUCUUUCUUAGGGCUGUUGAUGAUUUGGACAUGUGUAAAACGUUCCCUUGGGGUCGUUUGGCUUUUGAUGAGAACAUGAAGGACAUCUUUCAUUGUAUGAACCACUUUAGUGGAGUUUUGAGGACACAACAACAUGUCUUUCCUAGUUUUGUCAUUCCGUUGGAGGUAAUUCUUGAUUUUUGAAAAUGUGUAACUUAGUAUAACUUAGUAUAACUGAGUUUUAAGUGCAUGAUUUUGUGUUGUGUGUAGGUUCUUGCUUUUGAGGCAAUUUCUGUUCUGAAGGAAAAUUUUUGAGAAUGUGUUAGUAAUGCACAUGCACACCGUCAUUGUCCUCAGAUGUGCAAGAUGAAAUUUAAAGCAAGUAAAAUGAAAAGGGUUUUCAUUGAAGGAAAUUUAUGACAAAUUGGUACAACUAAGGUUAGAAAUAAUCAUACUUAUCUUAUUCAUUUAUUUUUGGUAUUAUUAGGUUGGUUUGACAUUAUAUUUUUUUUUUUUUCAUAGGAUAUUGAGAGUAUCUUGACUCCAUCAUCACGUUAGAUACGUCUUUUAUGUCGUAACAUGGAUGAAGAGAUUCGAUGUAAUGAUGUAGAUGAUCCGGUUGUUGUUGGUUGGAGCAAGCGUUUAGUUGAGGAAGAGAAGUCAAUAUGGUUUGAAGAGCUUUACAACCAAGAUUUGGCCACCUGGGGAAUCGAGACAAAUCAGGAUCCUGAAGAUGUGAAUCCGGAAAAUGUGAUUCUGGAAUAUGUGAAUCUGGAAAAUGUGAUUCCAAAAGAAGUGAAUCUGGAAGAUGUGAACCCAGAGAAUGUGGCUUCAGUUACAGUGGCUCUGGGGAAUUUGGCUCAGCUAAGAGAUAGAUUGGUUCAGCUAGAAGAACAAGUGAAGCAAAGGUUUAAGGAAAUCAUUGAGAAAGUUGAAGGUCUGGAUAACAGAGUCAAAUCUGUGGAAACAUAUGUCAAAUGGGCCUCAAGUGAAGACCAAUAUUAUACGAAUAAAGGUGGUGAUGGAGAUACGAAUGAAGGUGGCAAUGGAGAUACAAAUGAAAAGGAGCAAUAUGAGAAGGAUAAGGCCGAGAUGGAGCAAACCGAGAAUGAUAAGGCCGAGAUGGAGUAGGCCGAGAAGGAGCAAGCUGAGAAGGAGAAGGCCGAGAAGGAUCAGGGUGAGAAGGAACAGGCUGAGAGGGGUCAGGCUGAGAAGGAGCAGGCUGAGAAGGAGAAAGCUGAGAAGAAUAAGGCCAAGAAGGAUAAGACCGAGAAGGAUAAGGCUAACAAUGAGCAAGCUGAUAAGAACAAAGCUGAGAAGGAGCAGUCACAAAAAGAACAAACUGAGAAGGAAAAUGCUGAGAAAUCCGAAACCGAGAAAAAGAAGGUUGAUGAAGAGAAAGAACAACUUGGUACAACUGAUGAAGAGAAAGAACAACUUGGUACAAUUGAAGAAGAGAAAGAACAACUUGGGAAAACUGAAGAAGGCCAAAAGGAAGAUGUUGAGAUGGAACAUGACGAGAAGGAACAUGGCGAGAAGGAACAUGGCGAGAAGGAACUGUUAGACAAGAUAUAUGUAAAUAUAUUAUUUCUUACAUUAGUUAAAGUAUCAAGUGUGGAUACUCUCGUACACGUUCUCGUACGUUACACUAUGUAAUCUCUAUAUAUAUUCUAGUCAAUAAGACAUCUAGGGCAUCAAGCUCUAUUCAAGCUUACAUGGUAUCAGAGCGCUUUUGGCUUUUCCUUCGACCUCUGACCUUCUCUCUCUCAAAUCUUUUUUUGUUUUCUUUCAUCUAGUUCCUCUUCUUCUUCUUCUGUUUCUUCAUCCUCUGUUCUAUCUCUUCUAUUAGACAAGAUAUAUGUAAAUAUAUUAUUUCUUAUAUUAGUUAUAGUAUCAAGUGUGAAUAAUUUCAAAGGGUUUCGAAAGAAGAGAAGUAGAAGUAGAAAAUGGAAGGCGAACACUUUUGCCAAGUUGACACGCAUGACACAAGGUUGUCAUGUCAUUUUUAUUGAAUUCUAAAACCCUCUCAGGCGCAAGAGUGAAACGCUAAGCAAAUAUAUUCACUUCUCUGCUUUUGUUCGUAACCAAUUUGGCUGCCCCAUUCAGUCUCUUCAAUGUGACAACGGCGGUGAAUACAAUAAUCGCCAAUUCCUAUCAUAUCUUACAGCUGAAGGCACAAAAUGCCGUUUUUCAUGUCCGUAUACCUCCCAGCAAAAUGGUCGCGCAGAACGAAUGCUACGUACUCUCAACAACAUUGUACGCACUAUUCUGUUCCAAGCUCAUAUGCCACCAGAAUUUUGGGUGGAGGCCCUUCAUACAGCUGCUCAUCUUCUCAACAUACUUCCAUCGUCAUCCAUUUCCAAUGCCGCCCCAUUCACCAAAUUUUUUCACAAACCCGCACCAUACAAUCAUCUUCGCGUUUUUGGCUGUUUGUGUUAUCCUAACCUUCUUCCUCAAUCUCCGCACAAACUUGCUCCUCGAUCAACAUCAUGUGUUUUCCUCGGAUACCCUACUGAUCAUCGCGGGUAUCGUUGUUUGACUUAAAUACUCGUAAGAUUAUUUUCCCACGACAUGUUUAUUUCGAUGAAAACACAUUUCCGUUUCUUAAACCUACUCCUACUUCAGUUUCUUCUUCUCACUCUUCACUCAUGUCUCCUCCUCCUAUCUCUGUUUCCACUCCGUCUCCUCUGCCAGCUACUGAAAACAUCCUUCCGCCCACAUCUCCUCUUCCACCUAACGAGGCCCCUCCUCCGCCUCCUCCAGCAUUACCCACGCAUCCAAUGGUAACUCGGAGUAAAAAUGGCAUUGUCAAACCACGACAACGCCUUUGUCUCCAUACGUCUGUUGUGUCUCCCCUUCCUUUGACACACGUACAGGCUGCUAAGGAUCCUAACUGGAAUGCUGCCAUGGGAGAUGAACAUAGCGCUCUUAUUAAAAGUGGAACGUGGGACUUGGUUCCGCGACCAGUUGCUACUAAUAUUGUUCGAUCUUUGUGGCUUUUCAGGCAUAAAUUUAAUGCGGAUGGGCAACUCGUGAGGUACAAGGCGCGUCUCGUAGCUAACGGCAAAUCUCAACAGCUUGGAGUCGAUUGUGAUGAGACUUUUAGUCCUGUUGUAAAACCAGCAACUAUCCGUUCAGUUCUCCAUGUUGCCGUUGCAAAAGAUUGGCCACUUCAUCAACUAGACGUCAAAAACGCAUUCUUAAAUGGUGAUCUUGAAGAAACUGUCUACAUGCACCAACCACCCGGUUUUGUUGAUAAAACCAAACCAGAUCAUGUGUGCCUCCUGAAGCGGUCUCUUUAUGGGCUCAAACAAGCCCCACGGGCCUGGUAUAAUCGAUUUGCGAUUUUUGCCAAGAAAAUUGGCUUCACUCAAAGUGUGAGCGACCCCUCUCUCUUUAUCUACUGUCACAAUAACCAGCUUGCCUACAUUCUGCUCUAUGUUGAUGACAUAGUUCUCACCGCUUCCACCACGACUCUUUUUCGGUCCAUCCUUGCCUCACUACACAAGGAGUUUGACAUGACUGAUCUUGGUCGUCUACAUUACUUCCUUGGGAUUUCUGUCACUCGUACUGCGGCAGGCGUGCUUCUACAACAACAGAACUACGCGGCUGACAUUCUUCACCGUGCCAACAUGACGAACUGCAAUCCUUGCUCCACUCCGGUUGACUUGAAGUCUAAGCUCUCUUCCGACGGUAAACCGGUCUCCGAUCCCACAUUGUAUCGUAGUCUCGCUGGUGCUCUCCAAUAUCUCACCUUUACUCGCCCAGACAUUUCUUUUGCUGUCCAACAGAUAUGUCUUUUUAUGCAUGAUCCUAGGGAGCCUCAUUUCACAGCUCUUAAACGCAUUCUUCGCUACAUCAAAGGUACCAUCUCUCACGGACUGCAAAUUCACAAAUCCUCUAUCCAUCAACUUACCGCUUACACAGAUGCUGAUUGGGCCGGGUGCCCGUCUACACGACGUUCUACGUCUGGUUACGGUAUUUUUCUUGGUGAUAGCCUUGUUUCUUGGUCCUCUAAACGACAAGUCACAGUCUCCCGUUCAAGUGCAGAAGCUGAAUAUCGCGGUGUAGCCAAUGCUGUGGCUGAAGCAACAUGGCUUCGAAAAUUACUCCUUGAGAUGAAAUGCCCGCUGUCCAAAGCUACUAUCGUUUAUUGUGAUAACAUCAGUGCCGUGUACUUAUCCUCAAAUCCUGUCAAGCAUCAACGAACAAAGCAUGUCGAGAUUGAUAUUCACUUUGUUCGAGAACGUGUAGCACUUGGUCAAGUUCGUGUUCUCCAUGUUCCCACAAGCCUCCAAUAUGCUGACAUAUUCACCAAAGGGCUUCCAACACAACUUUUCUCUGAUUUCAGGACCAGUCUCAACGUCCAGAAGCCUCCCGAUGCGACUGCAGGGGCGUGUUAGACAAGAUAUAUGUAAAUAUAUUAUUUCUUAUAUUAGUUAUAGUAUCAAGUGUGAAUACUCUCAUACACGUUCUCGUACGUUACACUAUGUAAUCUCUAUAUAUAUUCUUGUCAAUAAGACAUCUAGGGCAUCAAGCUCUUUUCAAGCUUACAGGAACAAGCUAAGGAGAAAGGAGAAAAGAGAAGAAGUUGUUAAUGCUCACCAAGGUAAAAGGGUGAAGAUCAUAAGCAAGAAGAAGUGAUCUAGUGUGAUAAUAAGGAGUUCUAUUCUGACAAGACAGAAUGCGAAGAAUGGUAAUUGAUGAACUAUUUUGGUUAAGUUGUGAACUCUUCAUAUUGGUUUGUUUAGCGUUGUGUUUUUGAGUCAUUUUGUAGGUGAACUCUUGGAUUGGUUUAUAGAUUGUUGUGUUUUUGGAUUGGUAUAAUUUUAAUGUGUUUUGAACUAUUCUAGUUAAGUUCAAUGUUGUUUGUUAAGUUUAUGAGUUCCCCAUUUUAUAUGAUAAACUAGGUACAACUGGAUUCAAUAGAUCAACUUGGUAAAACUACUAUACAAAAUAUUAGUUUUACAACCAUACAUUACAACCAUACAUUACAACCCGAAUACACAAAGUAAGUUCAAAGUUACCAAAAAAGUUAGGCCAAUAAGGAAAGGGAAAAGUUACAAUCAUAUCAAGGACAUCAACCAACUAGUUUUAUACUUAGUUGUACCAUUACAAAAAACAAAUUAUACUUAGUUGUACAACUACGAAAAACAAGUUACACUUGGUUAUACCAUAUUCCCAACCCUAUCACAAGAAUACAACCACAUAAAACGAGUAUCCACGUUUUCUUAAUUUUCUUCAUAUUCUCAUCAUUUCCAUCUUUAUGAGAGUAACUUCUUCUUCUAAAACCAACUUGAAAAUCCAAUUGUUCUACCUCAUCCACCAAUGCUUUAUCAACCCACUUAAAGACAUGUCCAUCGUUCACAAGCUACAUAAAAAUUCAAAAAUUAGAAGGAAAAGUUGGUAACUAAAUCGCAAACACAAUAGUAAUCAAAUAUCUUUACCCUUCUAUCAUAUGCAUAUACACAACGAUAGUAGCGACGGCAUGGAUUUGGUAUGGAUCGAGAGAUUAUGUCAACUAUUGGUGACCCACAAUGGCACUUUUUCGGAAUUCCAGGGAACCUUCGUCAGUUUGAAGAAUUCCCACAUAAGAUUCCCUAUGCUCCAGAUUCGCAGCUCAUUCUCAGAAAUCGCAAACCCAAAAAAAGGAAAGAACGAAAUCACAAACAAACCCAGAAAGAAGGAGAAUCGAUGAAGAGUAAAACAUGACAGUCUACCCAAAACCCUAGCUAUGGACAAGAUCCUAAAGUAUAGGAAAAAAAAAUAUAUAUAUAUAAAUGGACCAAACAACAAUCACGUGAUCCACAUUAGACACGUGUGGCCGUCAAAAUGCACAAGUGUAGCUGCUAAAAGACACAUGUGUAGCCGCCAAAAUGCACUAGUUGUAUCAAGUUACAAGUUGUACUUUUUUGGCAAGUUGUACAUUUCAUUUUUUUGUUGUAAUUAGUUAUACCAUGUUUAAAAGAAAUAUUUUUAGUUGUACACAUGAUUUUAAUUAAUUGAGGUACAUAUACUACAUGUACAUGCCUAAAUAGUUUUGAAAACAUUUAUUUCUUAGCUUAUCUAAUUAUAUGUUGUUUGAAAUGAAAAAGUGACCCUUAAUGUUUAAGGUAUUUCAUGGUAAACUUAGAAUAUGAUGAUAAUUAUAGUGAAGUAUAAUAAUAGCCACACUACUAUCGGCAAUGACGAUGUCAUCACCUAACAAAGCGUAGUCGAGAAAUGGUCUCGUCUGAUGAGGAUAUGCUCUAUUCCUUAUAUAUAUUAGAUAACAUGAUGACAUUUUAAUUCAGUUCAUGUUUAUAUUUAUUUAGUUUUCUCUAUUUUUUUUUCCAAUUCAUGUUUAUAAAAAAUUCAAAUAAAUCCUAAUUUUUUUUAUUUUUAAAUAAAUCCUUAUUUUUGAGUUUUUAAAUUUUUUUUUAUUUAUAACAAUAUUUUUUACUAUAAUAAUUUUAUUUAAAAUAUAUAUCAAUUUAAAUAUCAUUAAAAGAAGUUGACUUAAGAAAGUCCAAAAAUCAAAUUCAAAUUAUUCAAGUUGUACCAUAACAAAAUCAAGUUGUACCUAAUUGUUCCAAUAGGAUAUUACAUAAAAAUACAAUCAAUCAACUUCGGGAACCUGACUUUCAAACCAGCUCGCGAUGGUAGAUUUCUUCUUCCUGCCUCCAUGUUGAUCAUGUUGAUUUAAUCCUCUUUGUUGGAUUUUUUCCUCUUUUUAUCACAUAAAACUUAGGAAAGACAACCAAAUCACGCACAUCGUCCGGAACAAUCCACAUAGACAUGAUAGAAACUGGAUAUAUCGUCCUGGAAUAUCCCAAUGCCACUGCUCCAUCUAAUAAUACUUACUGUACAGCUCAUGCAAUUGGAUCUCAUUACCAGCGUUUUUUGCUGCUUUCAUAGCCGCAGCAAUAGCGUGCACACACGAAUAUCUUUCAAUAUCAAAUUGUUUGCAGUAGCAAGUUUUUUUUCCCAGAUCAACCACAUAACUACUACCAUCACCUCCAAUCAUAAUGUAUUCCAUAAAAUAGACGUUUAGUUCAAUCACCGGUAAGAGCUUUGCGUCAGAAUAUCUAUCAUGCAUCAUCUUCUUAACAAAAGGGACUAACUUUUGCUCUAUUAGUGUCUCUAAGGUUACUUUCCUAUUUAUAUUAAACCAUUCAGCUAGUUUAGCAACAGUCGCAUCUAUCAUUGGUAGUAACGCAUAUGCCCUUAAGAAUCUAAAGACACCAUUAUAGAUUCAACUGUAUUAGUUGUAUCAAUGUUGUAUAUAGCUCUUGAGAAAAAAUAUCGCGCCCAUUUAUGUUGUCCUACGUGUUGAUCAAGAUAAGUACCUGUGGCAGGAAACCUUUUUAAAGAAAUCAGCAUAGAGUUUCUCAAACUCAGAUUCGGUGUAAGCCUUCGCAACUAAAUCUUUGUUCACGUUUUUACAGCUCAGGUUAACAUUCUCAAACAAGUGAUAAAUACAAUACCCAUGGUGAGACAACGGGUACACCGUACUUAUUGACAUGAUCAAGCUUUGAUGUCUAUCAGAAAAGAAUACCAACUCAGUACAAUCUGGUAUAACUGAUUUCAAUUUACUGAAAAACCAAGUCCAACUUGCAUUAUUCUUACUAUCAACUACACCAAAUGCAAUCAGAUAAUGGUGGUGAUCCGGAUCUUGAGCUGAAGCCACGAUUAGUACUCCACCAUAUACAUUUUUAAUAAUGGUUGCAUCCACAAUGAUCACCUUUCUCAUGGAAUUGAAGCAUUCAAUGCACGCCCCCAAGGCGAAGAACAAAUACUUAAACCUUUGGGCUUCAUCUAAUUCAACAUAUGAAACUGUACAUGAUUCAUCUUCUCAAACAUUUGCAUAUAAUAAUAAACCAACUUAUAAUUAUCCUCCGCGGUACCGCAAAGGUCAACUGUAGCUAGCCUUUUCCCUCUAUUUACGGUUGAGUAUGACAAUUUGAUACUAACUUUUGAUUGAACCAAAGGGAUGAGAUUUUUUGGAGUCGGAGUGUCUAUCAGACAUGGGAAAUCUUCACGCAAAACAGAUGCAACUAAAUGAGAUGUGCCUCUCCUUUUUUACUCAUUGUACUUGUUUCUGACCGUACGCAUGUAUGUAUCUUAGUGUAAGUUCUGACCGAGAAACUGUCUGCAAUCCCAUUCCUUGCUGCUCGUAAAACUCACUUGCAACCCUUUCUAAAUUUUGAGCAUUUAAGCACAAACAACAUAGGACCUGACUUCAGUAUAACAAACUCAAACAGUUCUUAUGCGCAGCUUUGUCAACUAAAUCUUUAAUUGCUUGCUUGCUUUCAAAUUCUUGCUGGAUAGUCACAUCCAAACCAUCUUCCCAUUCACGAUUUACAACCGGUGUGAUCUCAGCAGCAGGUGUGAUCUCAACAACAUGUGUGCUAUCUUCUUCUAUUGCUCGUUCUUCGGACUGUUCUUCAUAACGAAUCAUGUUCUCAUCUCUCCCAUCACUAUUUUCCACCAUCUCAUGACAUUCAAACGGCUCGCUUUCAUCAAGGAACAUGGUCCCAUUUGUCGCUUUACUACUUGAAAUAUGCUCCUCAUUGAGUGAGCAACCUACACUUCCUCGACUUUUCUCAUACCCCUGAAUUACGACUUCGACAUGUAAAACUUCGAAAUGAUCUUCAUUCAUAUCCAUAUAACACAUAAUAUCAUCAUCAUCAAAUAUAUAUAUUGGUCUCUUGGGCUCCACUGAUUUUAGAAUGUAACUCAAUUUCAGCUCAGUCGUUGUUUCAUCAACAUUCGCCUUCCUGCACAUCUUGUUCACUACUGCAAAAUAAAUGACCUUCUCUGUCUCCAUUCUAAGAGAUUGAUGAACUUUAUCUCUUGAAUUCCAUCUUUGUUCAUUUUCCCUUGUUGCAUAGUAUCCCCCAUAAUCAUAUAGUAUGUUUUUCGAUGGUUUUUAUUCAUUGUGGCCUGAAAUAGAAUAGGAAAACUCACAUUAUAAUCUCUGUCGUGUUCAUAGUUAUACCAAGUUCUACCAAAAAGUACCAUUUGUACUACCAGGUGUACCCGAAUAGUUAUAAUAAGUUAUACCAACCAGUACCAUUUGUACUACUAGUUUUACCAAUAUAGUAAUACAAGUUGUACCCGAAUAGUUAAACCAAGUUUUACUAGUUGUACUACAACCACUACUAAUUUUCGGAUUACAUUACGAUUCAAUUCGAUUGAACUGUUACAAUGCACACAUUAUGAACAAUAGUCGACCCAAUUCGACUCAAAUCCCUAAUUUCCAAUAAGGAUAAGAAAAAUCGGAUCAAAUCCAAAUCUACAAUAUCUCUAAUUGCAUUGUUAAUAGUUCAAUAGGGAUGAACAAAUACAAUCUACAACAAUUCCAAUUUAUGCCAACGAGUUAUAAAUUUAAGAAUAUGCAUGAAUAAGUAUAUUACCUCAAUUGUUGUGUUCACGUGUUAAUAAAUAAGACGAUGGUGAGUUUAAUCGAGGAGGAGCUCGUCGAUGGAGAGAAGAUGAAGAUCGGACCAGAUCUUGAUUGAAGGAAAGAGAAGAUGAAGACUUUUGGGUGGGGUUUAAGUAUUUUUUUUUAACUUAAAUUAAAUCAAUAAUAGAAAGUGAAAAAUAUGGGACUAAAAUAUAUGGUGCCCUUUGACUCACAUUCCUAUUCUUGUAAGUGUAACGACCAAAUGAAAAAAAAAAAUUUAAUUAAAAAAUCGAAAAUGGGUGAAACUACAUAUCCACCCUUACUAAAAUCUAAAAAUUACAAAUCCAACCACACUAAAUCUGAAAACACAUUCCACUAUUGGAUACCCAUCGGACCCUUCACCCUUUUGUCUUCCUCCUCAUCGUUUAAAAUAUCAGAAGUCCUCCAAAACCUAAGUGUUUUGAAAAAUCCAAAAAUCACAAGCAGUUCGUCGAGUACAACUAAAGACAACCCGAGAUUGGGUAAGACAAAAUCGAUAAUUCUCUUGGUAUUUUAUGCUUGAUCCGCUUGAAUGUUGUCGAUUUUAGGUGUUUUCGAUUUAUUAAACUUAAUUUGGGGUUGUUGGAUUUCGUUGAUUACUCGAAUAUGUUGUUAAUUUGCGGUUAUUGGUUUUGUGUGAAGGAGAAGAGAAUGGUGCGUACAAAGAACACAAGCUUUAACAAAUAAAAAAAUCCAGUAGGUGAAGUCGAAAAGGCAACAGAUGCAAUCAUAGAAGAAGAUGGGAGUCGUGGAGAUGAUUCAGAAGAAAUAGAGUCAAAUAUGGAAUCAAAAUUCUGGGGAUUCAACGGAAUGUACAACUUGGAUAGAAUAGUACAACUUGUGUGAACUCGGUAUAACUAGUUUUUUUACUAAGAAACUGAAACGGUACAACGAGAGAUCGAGCUUCUGUUCAAUUACAUGCACACAAGGUCUAAGGUAUGACAGACUUCCUAAAGCUUUGAGAAAGCAGAGAGAUCAGUUAAGAAAGGAAACAACAGUUGUUGAGAUGGAACCUCAAUAGAAUGCGAAUCUAAGGUGUGCAACAUGCAUAGGUGCAGGAGAUGCUCCUAAUUGCCAUUUACAGAGGUCAAAUAUACUACCAUUGACUGUUCAGAAUAAUAAUUUUGAAAUCAAGAAUAGCCUCAUAUCCAUGGUACAAAUCAAUAAGUUUAACGGUUUACUAAUGGAAGACCCGUUAGACCACUUGAACGAGUUCGACUGCCUUUGUGGGUUAACCAAGAUCAACAUAAUAAGUGAAGACGGAUUCAAGCUUCGCCUCUUUCCUUUCUCACUCGGAAACAAGGCUCACCAAUGGGAAAAGUGUUUGCCUGCUGGUUCUAUAACCACUUGGGAGGAGUGUAAGUGAUAUUUCCUGUACAAGUUCUUUUCUAAUUCUCGCACAGCCCGUCUUAGGAAUGAAAUCUCAAGCUUCGCCUAGAAGAACAGCGAGACGUUGUGUGAAGUAUGGGAACAGUUCAAGGGAUAUCAAUCUCAAUGCCCACACCAUGGGUUCACUAAGGAGUCCCUUCUCACCACACUAUAUAGGGGAGUGCUUCCAAAGAUCUACAUGUUGCUCGACACCGCAAGACAUAGAAACUUCUUAACCACAUAUGUGGAUGAGGGAUGGGAGCUGAUUGACAAACUUGCCCAAUUUAAUGGGAAUUACCAUGAAGAGAAGUAUAAGAUGGACUUCAAGUCUUUGAGUGAUAGAAUUGAUAGGUACUCAUGGCACAACAAAUUGUUCACUGCAUCUUCGACAAAGACCAAGAUGGGGAAUGUGUACCACUUCAAUUCAAUAACACGUUUCAGAAAGGAUUUUCUCCUGCACCACAACUCCAGCCUAUCUCUUCUAUCCCAUCGGUACCAAUUCCCAACCUUGAGUUAAGGACAAUUUCAACCAAAGUCUAGCAAACAGCCAAUAGGACAUUCUUCAAUCUCUAGACAACCUUCAGCAUCAACUUAACUCUUCCUAUUCUUCCAGUACCACUCUACUUGAUGAUUCGAAUCAAAGGGUAUGUGUUGUUGCGAAAAGUUCUGUAUUACUAACACUUCAAAUAAAGGAGUUUGCAAACGCAUUUACAUUGCGAAGCCGUCGUGAAUUACAUACUCGAUAACAUCAUUCUAUUACUGAGGACAGUAAUGACCAAGAUAAAGAAGAUUUAAGCGCACUUGAAGCAGUAAUCGAUCAACUAGAAUGACUAAGCAAUCGAGUGCGAGAUCGAGUCCAGAACAACAAAAGUGUUUUACCACAACUCGAUCAAGCAAUCGACCAAAGCACCCGACCACUCGAUCGUGUGCGUGAUCAUUCACCUAAUUCAAUGGAUCCACCGGCUAUGCAAAAACCUUCUGACAUUAGAACAGUAUCCUGUUUCGUUCCCCCACCUUAUAAACCUCAAUUACACUUCCCAGAAAGAUUCAAGAAAGAGAUAAUGGAGAAAUACGAGGAGAUGUUCAGGAAACUAUUCGAAGGAGUUGAAUUGACUAUGCCAUUGAUUGACGUUUUUGCCUUGAUACCACCCUACCAUAAAUUCUUGAAAGACAUUUUCAUAGAACGGAUGUAAGAAGUACAAGGCAUGAUAGUGUUGAGCCAUGAGUAUAGCACAAUCAUUAAGAAUAAAUUAAUUCCGGCAAAACUAGGUAUUCCUGGAUCCUUUACUCUACCCUGCUCUUUAGGACCUCUAGUCUUUGACAAAUGUCUCUGUGAUUUGGGAGCUUCAGUCAGUCUAAUAUCCCUCUCAAUUUCUAAGAAAUUGGGAUGUGAAUGAUUCAAGCCCUACAAUAUAUCGCUUAUUCUUGCAGAUAUAUCAGUUCGGGUUCCCCAUGGAAUGUUAGAAGAUCUAACAGUUUGUAUUGGGAUAGUAGAAGUACCUAUAGACUUUAUAGUCUUGGAAAUGGAUCAUGAACCUAAAGACCCCUUGAUACUUGGAAAGUCAUUCUUGGCAACUGCAGGAGCUUUGAUAGACGUUCGUAAUGACAAGAUUAAUUUAAAUAUGGGCAAAUAUCUCGGAACAUGGGCUUUUUCAUACCUGGACUAUCUAGGUAUGUUAAUUUCAUAUAGUUGACUUGUCAUUGUGCUAGAUCAUAACUGGACUUAUUGUAAAUUUGAAUUUAGUAACUCGAGAUCUCAUUUCGUGCUGAAUAAUACAAAAACGUGUUAAAUGUGUAACGCUGUUUAACUCUCCGUCGACGUAGAUUCCACGUCAGAUGACACGUAAAUACAUCGCUUAAUGACGUGGCAAAACGACGUCGUUUUGGUCGCUUAGAUGGUAAUUAAAAAUAUGUCGAUAGCAAAGCUCGAACCUCCAACCAAUCACUUAUAUACUGACUACAUAACCGCUAGGCCAUCAACACUUAAUCGAUAUAAAUGAACAACGCAUUAAUAUAUAGUGUUUCGUAUUUCUAUAUAACUAAUAUAUAGUGUUUCCUAUUUUUAUAUAGUGUUUCCUAUCUAAGCGGACAUAAGGAUGCCGAGAGGGACAUCUUAUAGGAGGCACCGAAGUUUUAGGUGCAGCUCGAGAGGAGGAGGCAGACAGAGAGUGUUUAUUUCUCUGGGUAGUGUUAAUUGCCUUUCAUUUGGUCUUCUUCGAGACUGUGAGACCUGGUUUGAUUUUCGGAGUGAUGCGAGGAAGACGAGGCAGAGGUGCUAACAUACAUAGAGUUGCAGCGGAAAAAACAGCACCACGAGCAGAGCCAUACGACAUUUCUGGAGCAGAACCCGUAGACCCAGACGAGAGAGAAAGUUUGAGCAAAGUAUGAUGAUUGAGAACCAAAGUGAAAGAGAGCAAAAGCAUAUCUGAGAGGUUUGAAUCUUCAGGAAAGUGAAAGGUCCAGUCGUUUAAAGGGAAGAACUUGCGUGUUGAGCUUGCUUUCGUAGCUUGUAGGUGUGUUUUCUGAGAAACAACUGUAACACUCAACACACACAUUAAAACUAAACAGGGCCAAAUAGAAUACACAAACAAUUGGCCCGUUAAACUCAUGAAAGCCUCAUUCCAUAUGUGAGACCCCAAUUUGCGGAGAUGUUUAAAUGAAUUUAUUUGGCCACCUAUGUCACCAAAGUCGACUUAUCUUUUCGGUCGAGGGUGAUGAGAGAACUCCACAGUUAAGCGUGCUUAUGCUGGAGUAGUCAAAGGAAGGGUGACCUUCCGGGAAGUGAUUUUCAGAACUACGUGAGUGAGGCCAAAACACAUGGAAAGAUCAUGUGGUGAUUUGUAGGGUCGGUAAACAAGUAUUUAAGCUUCCCGGACAAAGCAAACCGACCGUCGGAUAUUGAUGGGAUCAUGGGACUAGUGGGAGAACGUGAGGCCCAUUAGGAGAGGUGGGCCCAUGGGCUGGUGGUGAACAUGGGGCCCUCUUGAGAGAUGGCAGUCGCGGCGUUACAAGUGGUAUCAGAGCCGAACCCAGAAAAGUGUGGAGUGGUGGACUCACACUGUUAGGGAGUGACCAUCGUCCUGCGCAACGUCCUGAGAGAACUCUACAGUUAAGCGUGCUUAUGCUGCAGUAGUCAAAGAAUGGGUGACCUGCCCGGAAGUGGUUGUUGGAACUGUGUGAGUGAGGUCAAAGCACAUGAAAAGAUCAUGUGGUGAUUUGAAGGGUCGGUUAACAAGUAUUUAAGCCUCCCGAACGUAGCAAACCGGCCGUUGGAUAUUGAUGGGCUCAUGGGCCUAGUGAGAGAACUUAAGGCCCAUUAAGAGAUGUGAGCCCAUGGCUGGAGGUGAUCAUGGGGUCCACUGGAGAGAUGGCGGUCGGGGCAUUACACCAUAUCUCUAGUUAACACAAGCCCACAAUUUUAACAAGUUUCGCCCACUUAUCAGAUGAAAAACAAACCUUCCCCUUUUUUUAAAUAUUUAAACUAAGUGAUCAACACAAUCAACAGAGAACACCCCCUCAAUAGACAAUGAACUUUUCUUUUGUCAAACUGGAAAUUGACACCACAGUUUCCACUUGAGACAUAUAGCUUUGGCUGAGAAUUUAGCAACGAGUUUACCUUACAGACGUACCAAAAAGGCAAGUGAGCACCGCUGUGGUUUCAGGAGAAGUAAAAGCAAUAGAUUCUAGGUAACGAAGAGCAAAAAUCUGUUAUUUUUUGAACCAAAACAUAUACAUACUUCUUACCGGCUCGUGAGAUUUAUUUCAAUCUAAUACACCUCUCAGGUUAACUACACUACAUCAAGAGUUCCCUUGUGUAGAGAUCCGUAAGGUGUGGAGGGACCGCUUAGGCGAGGGGGAUUGAUGGAAGAUUGUACAGAAGAGAUUUUGAAGGAAGAUGUACAUAAGGAUUGUGCACUUCAUAGAUGAGAUAGAACACCAAUCCCUUUCCUGGAAAGAACACUUUGUUAUGUUUCUGUUACAUGAGGUUUUUUUUUUCUUUUCCUUUUCUUUUCCCUUUGGUUUUUUCACACCUUUUUGAACCUUUUCCAUUUCGAACUCGAGAGAGAUAUUUGAUCACCUAAAAGAUUAGCUAGCAAGGGUUUUAAGAUUAAUAGAAGUAAAAGAUUGAAGUUCUCCUCUUCUAUACAAAGAAAUCUGUUGUAAACACUUCUAAUAAAACAACACAUUCCUGUUCACAUAAACCAAUGUACUUUUAUACAUGCACAAAAGUGUCCAAAUCGAAGGGUUUAGUGUAGAUAUCAGCUAGUUGUUGUUCAGAGGUAACAUGGAUGAUUUCCAUAGUUUUAUAUUCAACAAGCUCAUGAAUGAAAUGGUGCCGUAUGUCAAUAUGCUUCGUAUGAGUAUGUUGAAUUGGAUUAUUUGAUUUAUUAAUGGCACUAGUGUUAUCACAGUAGAUAUCAAAGGUUUCAGAAUCCAUACCAUAUUCAGCUAGCAUACGUUUCAUCCAUAGAAGUUGAGUACAACAGAUUCCCAUUGCGAUAUACUCAACUUCAACAGUUGAAAGAGUACAUAGGCUUGUUUCUUGAUGUGCCAUGAGAUCAUGGUGUUUCCUAGGAAGAAACACCCACCAUAUGUAGUUUGUCGAUCAUCAAGGUUAUCUGCCCAAUCUGAAUAACAAAAACCAGUUAGAUUCUGAUUAGUUUGGCUAGUGUAAAAUAACCCUUUAUAAGUUGUACAUUUGAAAUACUUCAAAAUCCAUUUACUGCAUUUAAGUGAAAUUUCUUUGGAUUUGCUUGGUAACUAGCAUAUACACUAACACUGAAGCAUAUAUCAGAUCUACUCGUUCUAGAGAUGUUGAGAUAUUUUUAGGUUCUAUUGUUGACACAAAGCAGAAAUGUUGCAGCAUUUCUUUGAAGCUGAUCUAAACUCCCCUGGUGGUUCUUCCAUCUUUCACGUUCCCAAUGACAUCAGAUUCUGAGUGAUUCUUAUGUAUCUUGAUAGAUGUUUCAAUAUCUUGAGUUUCUCCUUCAGGCCUCUUCUUGUCAUAUGUGUAUUUACCAUGAGAAGUUCCAGUCUCAUUCUCAGCUUUAGUCUUUUGAACAUUCUUAUCAUCUUGAGCCAUAGGAAACAAUUUAGUAAGGCUCUUGUCAGAAAACACAACAUUCACCGAUUCUUAAACUCUCUUCAGCUUUUUGAUAUAAACUCUAUAUGCCAUAUUGUUUGUUGCAUAUCCCAAGAAAAUCCCUUCAUCACUUCUUGCAUCAAACUUUCCCAAAUGAUCCUUGUCGUUCAAAAUGUAACAGAUGUAACCAAAUGUGUGAAAGUAGCACAUAUUUGAUGUCUUAUCUUUCCAUAUCUCAUAUGGUGUGGUAUUGGUACCCCAUUUCACAUAAACACGGUUGAUGAUGUAGCAAGCAGUGUUUAUGGCUUCAGCCCAAAAUCUUGGUGACACAGUGUUCCCAUGAAUCAUAGCUCUUCCCAUUUCCUAAAGAGUCCUGUUUUUUCUUUCAACAAUGCCAUUAUGUUGAGGUGUUCUAGGAGCAGAGAACUGAUGUCUGAUUCCUUAAAUGCUGCAGAAUUUUGUGAACUCUUCAUUCUAGAAUUCUCCUCCAUGGUCACUUCGAAUAUGAACAAUGGUACUUUUUCAGUUUGAAGUUGCAGGGCAAUGAACUGAACCCAAGUGAACUUUGAAAAAUCAUCCACCAAGACAAACGUGUAUCUCUUACCAUUUAAGCUUUAAGUUUGGAUUGGUCCCAUGAGAUCCAUGUGUACAAGCUCCAGAAUUCUCUUUGAGGUUAUUUCAGCUACCCUUUUGUGUUGAACUUUAAUCUGUUUUCCUUUGCUGCAAGCUCCACACAAAUUCUGUUUUUCCUUGCAGCUUUGGUAUCGCUCUGACUACUUUAUCAUUAACAAUCUUGAUCAAACUUUACAUGUUGACAUGUCCAAGACGUUGAUCCCACAUAUCCACUUUUGAGACAGUAGCUGACAUGCACACCUCUAAGUUGUCCCACAUGUAGAAUUUAUUGUUGGAUCUCAUUCCCUUAAGAACUUUGUUUCCUACUUCAUUAGAGGCAUUGUAGUCUCUCUUAGUGAAGGUAACACUCAAAUCAUCAUCCUACAGUUGGCUUAUGCUGAUGAGAUUAGCCUUUAGCCCUUCUACUAGAUAAACAUUUGACAGAUUUUGUUGAUUUGUUCUAUCAAUUCUCCCUUUCCCCUUGAUGAUUUCUUUUGCACCAUCUUCAAAGGUCACUCUUCCUACAGAGAUAACAGAGAAAUCUUUUACCGAAGCAUCACCUGUCAUAUGACGAGAGAAACCACUGUUAAAGUACCAUGAAGAUUCUUCAGUUAGAGAAGUUGAGGUGAGAGCAACUUGAGCAACUUCAGUAAUCAAUUUUGGAUCAGUAACAGACCAAUUGCAUCUUAAGUUCAUAUCCAUUGAGUUUUCCUUUCUGAGCUGAGCAAGAUCAUAAAAUCUACCAUACAACCCUUCUUCUACUUUAGAAAUUUCUACAAUUGUUAAGUCUGAAACUGUGUGAUGUUUUCUUGAUCCAGAUAGAGCAAGGUCAUUUUUCUUGAUCCAGAUAGAGCAAAUUGUGUGGGUUCGAUAUAACAGCAAUUCAGUUUCCAGAGAUUUUGACAUUUUCUCUGAACUUGUAGCAGUGAUCUCUCCUUUGGAAGUUCCUUAAAUAGUACCCACACCAGUUAGUGCCUAUAUAAGCUCUUGUCUGUCUCGUGUUCUUUUGUCUUGAUUCUUGCUGAUUACCCCGUUUCUUCUCGUCUUAUUUUCAGAAGAUAGACCCGAAGAUGAUGUUUCUUUUAGGUGGCCACCACUAACAAAGUUGAUGUUCUUUGUAUCUUUCUGCUCACCAUUGCAGUUGUUACCGUGAUAUCCCAACCAAAAAUUUUGAAAGUCUGUCCUUCCCAUUGACAAAAUCUUAUCCAGAUUCUCAGAUCCUAUGUUCAGCAUUAUAAUAUGUUUAUACUUUUCAUUCAAUUCCACAGCUUUAUCCUUUUCUUUCAGAUAUUCAUCUUCAAUAAACUCCAACUUCCUCCGAAGUUUCUUAGUAACUGGAUCUGAGCUCAUGAGAAGUAUUCGAUCUUCUUCUUCAGCUUCACUCUUUAGAGCUUCAAGUUUUGCCUCCAAGGUGAUAUUUUCUUUUAUGAGUUCUAGUUUAUCACUUCUCAGCUUCACCCAACUGUCAUACAGAGUUUUGUACUCUUCUUUGGGGUUGAUUUCCUCAUCACUUUCCAAAUCUGUGUUAGGAUGAACAUUGCAGACUCUGUAUCAGCUAUGAAAGCAACAAAGUUUAGAAGUUUUUUAGGUUCCACAUCAGACUCUAAGUCACUGCAACUUAAUAGAAAAUUUUCUUUUGUUUAAUUCUUGUUUGGACACUCAAACUUUGUAUCCCCCACUCCUCUACAUUCUUGACACUGGAUUUCUUUUCUUUUUGUAAGAGGACACUCAGGCUUUCUGUGACCAUAUCCACCGCAUUCAAAGCUUUGUUCCUUCCACCGUUGUCAUUUUCAGACCUGAACUGUCUUCCUCCAGACUUAUCUUUGUCACUGUUAUUCCAUCUUCUUGAAUCAGAUGCUUGACUUCUUUCCACUCUUUUUAGUGCCUUGCCAAAAUUUCUGGCCAACAAAGACAUAUUGUCUUUGAUAUCUUGAAACUUGCUAGUCGCCUGUUCAGUUUGAAAGGCAAUAAUCUUGGAUUUCUUUAUUUUGUCGGCAUCAGCUUCCAUCUCUUCACAUUUCAGGAUCCCCACUAGUUCAGCAAACGUAAUAGAAUCGGUGUUUCCAGCCACCCUCAUAACUGCUUUAUGAGCUGCAUACUUAGCUGGAAGAUAUCUAAGUAGCUUCAUUACCAUUUUCUGAUCCUUGUAAGUUUUACCUAAGACAUCUGCUUCAUAAGCGAUAGCUUUGACCUUUCAGCUAAACUUAACUAUAGAUUCAUCAGUUUCCAUCUUAAGAUACUCAAACUGAGUUGCCAAUUUGUCUAACCUUGUUCUUUUUACAAUCGAUGUUCCUUCAUGAGAUUGUUGGAGAAUAUCCCAUGCUUGUUUAGCCGACUUGCAAGCUUGAAUGAUUUUAAACUCAUCUUCAUCCACUCCACUGAAGAUAGCGUUCAUACCCGUAGCAUUGAAUUUGGACAAAUUCUUCUCAUAAGUUGUCCAUCUGGCUUUAUGUUUAGUUAUCUUUGCUCAUUCUUUAGUCAUCUCGUAAGGAGGCUCCAAUCCUUCUUCAGUAGCAGUCCAUGCAUCUUCACCUUGUCCUCUAAUGAGUUGUGUCAUUCUAACUUUCCGGUAGCCAUAUCUCUUAGUAUCAAGUAUGAUGCUCUUACUUGAGCCAACACCAUCUAUAUAUGGUUUCAUUCCCAAGACCUAAUCGGUUUUUAUUACACCUCAGAUCGGUAUAUGGCUCUCAUACCAAUUGUGCACAGUAAAGAAGUAAGAACAACAAACACUAAAAGAUAGUAUAUUAGUGUCUUCUUAAACACUCUUGAACACAAGAUGAUUGAGCCAAGUAACUACAAACUCACUACCAAUGAUUUAUACUUGGCCAAAUUCUAAGUUACCCAACUUACUGUACAUCAACAGCUGCACACACUCUUUAUUCACUCACUAAUGUAACCCACAAGAACUUCAAAUUGUUCUUCUUACAAACAUACAACACUGUUGCAAAACCUAAAAGUGCUAACCCUAAAACGAAAAAAGUAUCUUCUUCUUUUAUACUGAUGUUCCUUGUCCUGAGACCUUCUAUUGUCUAACAGACCUACAGAAGCUCCUUUUACAUCGUUUGAAUUCUAAGCAUUGCUCCCUUUCUGACACACACGACCUCUCGACUGUGCAUGCUUGUCUACCCUCAAAAUCCGCUUCCUUGUAAUAACCAGACAAGGCGUGCAUAUCACGUGCUCUUCUAGAUUGUUUCCUCAUCUCCUGUUAUGCUUCAGGUUCCUUGUGAUGCACUUCACCUUCUUUGUUUCCUCAGAUUCGUCACGUCAUGGUAAAAGAGGGCUACAAUGUAUCAAAUCUGAUCAAAAGGUAGAGACAUUUAAUAGGCUUGUUCUUAAGGCGUGUACGCUGAUUCUCCUUUUUACAGAAGUGAAUUCAGAUUAAAACUCAAAGAGUUAUAUGCAGUUUAGUAAGACGUGUCUUCUCUGUUGUGAACUGGGAUCAGCAGAUUUUGUAAGUGAGAUCGUGGUUUCAUCAUUUAUCUGAUCGGCACCAAAUUUUAUGGGGAGCGUCGUGACAUCUAGGGUUUGCUUUUCACCUAAUGGAUAUGAAUGUUCACAAUUUUGUUUGUCUAUGGCUGUUUGUUUAUGCUGUUUUUGUCCAGUUUGGUUCAUGGGAAAUUUUGUUUUUGUGGCUUUUUGUAGAGCGUUGCUGGGUUGAUGCAGUCGUAAGGAGAGUCUUUCAUGGUUGUAUUUGUUAUUCAAAUCACCUUGUUAAGGUGAGUGCGUGACCACUUUCUGAUGUGUGUUGUGAUUUUGUAAAUGGAUGAGAUCUAUGUUUGUAUCUUUGUUAUCUUGUGUGUUUUAGUGUUGUUUGAUGCACGAUUGUUGGUUAGGGUUCAAUGUGGUCGAGUUGGGUGUUGGGAUUCGUUGUCAGAGAGUGACAAGAGGCGAUUCCAGGGCUUUUGCAGAGGCAAUGCGGAACAGUGCGCUAAUUAAUUUUGUUUAUAUCUGGUUUUUACUUGUGUUUAUGCAUGUUGGUUGGGUUGCUAAGCUUAUGUGUAUAGUCUAGUAGAUGGGAGGAUCGUCUCCCUGAGUAUUUAUGAUAAUACUCACGCAUCUGAUUUUGUUUGUGGUGCAAGUAAAGAUAAAAUGUGAUCAUGGAAUCAAGGCGAGGAAGAGGGCGAUGAUAUAGAGUCGCUGGUUGUUUUCUGCUGAUGGUUUGCGUGUUAGUUUAAUUUGUCAGUUUAAUAUUAAUUUAUGGGGUUAAUAUUGAUGAAUUAAAAGAGUAUGAAAAUGGGUUGGGUCGUUUAAUUUGGUAUCAGAGCCUAACCCAGUUUUUUGCGGGAUAGCAACGACUGGGGGUGACAGUCUUGGUACGCAACGAGGACGUUGCAUUCUUAAAAGCGGGUGAAUGUGAUAAUACCCUAGGAUGUUAGAAUUUAAUUUAUGUGAGUUAAAUUGAAUUCUAUGUUGUGUGAUUAAGCAUUGCUAGAGCAUGUGUGCUAUGUCUGAAAUUAAUUGAUUAUGAAUAGUUAGUCAAUUAAUUGAGCAUGUCUAUCUAAUUGUUGUAUGUUAAUUAAUUGAUUAUGAAUAGUUAGUGUAAGACCCCGGUUGCCGACAACAUGAUCGGCUCAAAUUUAGCCUGAGCUACUCUCUCAAUUAAGAGAUCACUGUAGUACUUAGGGAUCGAAUCCACAAAGACUCAACGAUUACACAAUAAAUAAUUGGUAUUAAAUUAAGCUAAACAAGUAGGUUUUAAAUUAAAUAAAACAGCAAAUUAAAAUAAAGAUUGAUUUUUAAACAGUAAUGAGGAAACGCUGUGCCUAGGGAUAUUCUCAGGAAAUUCAGAAUUGCAAAUAAAGAAUUGUGAGGAUUUAUAAAGCACCGUUCUUGAACUCAAAUCACAAAAAUAUAAUCAAUCAACUUUCGUUGCAAAUACUAUCUAUGUCUAGAACCCUAAAUUCCAAAUCUCUUUGCAAAUUUAUAAGUUUAAGACAUGCAUUUAAUUCAGGUUUGAUAAGUUCACAAAAUCCCUAAACCAAAUCUCUUUGGGAAUAUGUAUGCUCAUCUAGAUUAUUUUCAGAAAUCAAUAACACUUUCAUGUCGACCAAUUAACCUGAGAUCAUAUUCUAGGUUGCUUUCACUCCUUUAGAACAAAUUAACCACAAUCUAGAUGAAGAACUCUAUUGAUUAAAUUUUAACAAUCUAAAAACCUAACAUUUGAUGAAUUAAUUUGAAAACCCUAAACCUAACAAGAAAUCUACUCAGACAUGGUGAUUGAAACAAACAUCAUGAAUAAAAUAGAUAUCAUUAAGGAAAUCAAUAGAAGAAGUAAAUGAGUUCUGAAUCUUCUCUGAAAAAGGUUUUGAUUCUUCUCUCCAGGCUCUCUACAAACCUCUUUCUCCAAAAAAUAAAGCUUGAGUCUUAACAAAACCCUAAAAACUCAAUAUAUAUAUCUUAACCACGAACUGGAAUUAAUUUCAAAUAAGGAAAACUUCUGGGCCGAAUCUGCAAAUCUUCUGAACUUCAAUUAAGCGUGAAAUUCAUUGCCGUCAGAUAUUGGUGUCGAUCGCCACCGAAGUUGUGACGCUCGACACUCACACCAAAUAUGCUCUCCUGGUACGUUUCUUCGGCAAUCUUCUCCAAAUGCUCCCAAAUGCUGCAAAAAGCUCCAAUCCAUGCCAAAUAGCUCAUAAUCCUGAAAUGACUCAAAAAGAUUUGAAAACACUAUAAAACUCUAUAAAUAAGAAUUAUAGCAUGGCCAAAACCCCGUAAAAACAAUGAUAUAUCACAACAUCAGUCGUGGUUCUCUGGCCAAUGGAACAACACCUCUGACGCCAACCUGACCUCUCUUGCGACCCUGACCACGACCCCGAACACCAGUACCUUUACCUCUAACCAUUUGUACUAACCUGACAGAGGCUUACAACACAUGGGAAAAAUAAAUUUCACCAUCACUCCAUAGGCCCACCUCUCUUAAUGGACCUCACGUCCUCUCACUUGGCCCAUGAGCCCAUCAAUAUCCGACGGUCGGUUUGCUAUGUCCUGAAGGCUUAAAGACUUGUUUACCGAUCCUACAAAUCACCACAUGAUCUUUCCCUGUGUUUUGACCUCACUCACAAAGUUCUGACAAUCACUUCCCGGAAGCUCACUCAUCUUGAGACUAGUCCAGCAUAAACACGUUUAACUGUAGAGUUGUCUCAGGACCCAUGACAGAAAAGAUAAGUGCACUUUGGUGACACAGGCUUAUCAAGAGGGGCCGUUGGGCGAGGCUAGUGUGAGUUUCGUGGCGUCAGGUUUGGUCGGAGGUGGUACUGGUUUGGUUGGGAACCAAGUUGGGGAUGUUCCAGUAGGUGUAGCCUAGGGUGGAGAUGAUCGUCUAGCGCACUUGUUGAUAUAGUUACUGGAGCGGUUACCGGGUGCGAUGCCAGUGCAGGCUCCAGUGGGAACACCAAGGGUUGCGGGUAUGCAAAUAGGUGUUGUAGGAGUGCAACCAAGGGUUGCAGGAGUGCAGCGAGGGUUGCAGGAGUACAGCCGAGGCUUGCAAAAGUGCAGCUAGUUAGAGUGGGUGUGUAGCCAGCGGUUAGGGCAGUGUAGGCGGAUACUGCGGAUUUGUAGCAUGGGGUAGGUGCGACGGUUAAGCUGCCGUACUACCUGAGGAUGUUGGAGCAGUUGCUUAGGCUCGGGAUCUUUCUGCAGCAGAUGAGUAGAGAUUGAAGUUGGAGGGCUUCUUUCGUUCUUUGAAGUGCUCGGAGGCGUAUCGGGUGGAUCUGGGAGUCCACUACCAGGUGGGUGCGGCUCACCUUUGGCAGAGGGGUGUAACGGCCAUGAUGGAGAAGGGCCUGAUGGGCUGGGGAGAUGCAGAGGCGCUUGAUGUAAAGAGGUUCCUAAACGAUCUGCAGCCAGACUUCAGGGUCUGUCGCAAGUUUAGGCCAUACGCCAUGUGGGCAGAGUUAGUUGAUACGGUAGCUAGGAUUGAGGAUGACCUUAUUGGUUAGCUGGCGGUUGCUAGUCUGAGAGUUCAGUCGAUGCAGACUCAGAAACAAAUGGUUUCCGAGCAAGGGUGGUAAGCUCGUGUAGGGACCCUGGCCGUGAGAGGGGUGUUAUCUCACGUGCAUUUUGACUACAGAGCGUCGCAUAGUUUUGUGUCACCAGAGGUAGCAAAGAAGGGGAAGUUAUGUGGGUUUUCCAGCAGGCAGCGCAAGGCUGUUCGGGUUUCUACAGCUGGUCUUCUAACUAUCUAUGGUCGGGUCAGAGAUGUGGAUAUUCAGGUGGAGGAUGAGUCUAUGCCGAUAUGGAUUGGGUGGUUAAGUACAGAGUGCACUUGGAUUGUUGUAGGGGUUGCAUCAUGUUCGAGCGAGAAAAACGGUGAGUUGGUGUAUUAUGGUGUGUGACCGAAUUCUGGGAGUCUUGUAAUAUCGACCAUGCAUGCAGAGAGGUUGAUCGGGAAGGGUUAUAAGGCCUAUUUGGUGACGAUUAGCACGACGGAAAAAGUUUGAGAGGUGGUGGUCGAGCGGAUUCAGGUCGUUCAGGAGUUUGGUGAUGUAUUCGAUAAUAUUUAUGAUUUGUAUUGUGUAGAAAUUUUACCGGAGAAAACCUUGCAUUUGCAAACAAAGCUUGUAUAGCCAGUGGAGAAUUAGCAUACGAGGUAACACAAUUAUGCUAUUUAUUCUCAAUGUAUACUUGAAGUUUCUGGUUAAGUAAAAACUCCUUAAUGAUAAGGAAUCAAUUUACAUUUCAGUUUGGUCCUGAAGUCUCACCAAUUAAGACCGAUGUUGUCUCUUCCUUGGGCUCAAUUAUUCAAUACGAAGAGAUGACUCUAGUAGUCUUAUAAAUGAAGAAAUGUUUUAUUGGUCGUGCAUGUCUAGACAUGGCCGGUAAAAUGUUGGAUUUAUUAGGCUGCUAGAGUCACAUCUCCAUAUUGAAUAGUCCAGCCUAAGGAAGAGAUACAUUGCACAAUUGGUAAGACUUCCUAAACAAACUGAAAGAUAUAUUUAUCUCUUGUUAUUAACGAGUUUGUACUUAACCAAAAACUUCAAGCAUACAUCAAGAGUAAACAAGCAUACUGGUGUUACCUCGAAUGCUAAUUCUCCCAUGGCUAUAUAAGCAUUGUUUGUAGAAGCAAGGUUUCCCUCCGUAAAAUUUCCAAUCUAUACAAAUCAUAAAUACAAUCAAAUACAAUAGUUAAGCCUAACGUAUGUAAAAAACCUUAAACCAAAACCAUAUUGAGCUAAUCCACUUUUGAUUUUGUUUCAACAAGUAUUAACACUACUAGCAACUACACAAAGCAGUUCAUAUGCGAGUGAAAUCACCACAUAAUAGUCUUUUGAUUCUGAAGCCUUACCAAAGCGCACACAACUAGAGUUGUUCAAUGAAGACGAAUCAGCUUCGGGUUGUGAAAUGUUUAUCCUCAUUUUUUUCCUUCUCGUACUUACUAUGUCAACAAAAAAACAACACAAGUCAAAACCAGCUUCAGAUACCUUAAUCUAUAACUCAUUAAACUAAUAUGAUGUUAUCGAACUUAUCUCGUUCAACACUUUUUUCUGUCCUUGUAUGCUUUUUCUCCAAGCAUGUUUUACAAAUUACAAGAAAGGUGACUCUUUGUUAGAUUUUUUCCCUCAUAAUUAAAAAAAAAUUAUGACUAAAAAAUAUGGAAAAACUCAUAAUAUAUAUAAAUCAUAUCCAUCAACUCAAAUAAAAAUCUCUAUUUGCUAAGUCAUCUUCACUAUAUAACCAAAUUAUUACUGUGAAGUUUCUUAUGGUUAUUCAUGAUACAGCAAAUUAUUUACAACACAAUUUCUGGCCGCAGUAAAACCAAAUACUUACAGUUAUAUAUAACCAUAAGACUGUAUGAAUUCUAAUAACUUGUGGAAUCGUUUUUCUUUACAAAUAAUCGAAACACUUUGGUUAAUAAUUGUAAAUGUCAGGCCUCUUUGGAUUUAAAACAAUAGGCCCAGUAUAUAGUGGUAGACAAUUUUAUAAACCGUAGAGGCUCACAAACAGAAAAUUAAACAAAGUUUGAUAAUUAACAUAACCUGCGAUGAAUCAUAAAAUUUUGCAGUUUGGUAAUAAUUAUUUAGUAAAUAGUUUGGAAAAAAGCCAAAAAUCUUGGUAUCUGGAAUUUUGAUUGUAUUUCGUUUUCUUUUUUAAGUUCAGAUUAAAGUGUUUAUUGGAGAUAAUACUCGAUGCAAACUGGAUUCAGGUUAUGAUUUUGUUCACUCCAAUAUGAUUUUGCAAUUCUGAAUUCAUGAAUUUUUUUUUCCAAUGGUGAAUUAAUGUUAAUCGUUUAUUCAUGGAUGUGAUCUUGUUGAAUUCUGUUGAACUUGAGGUCUAUAAGAACGCAACGUUGGUUUUAAGAGGUGAUGGUCGUUACUUAAACGAAGAAGCUUCACAUGUUUAUUUCAUUCUUUGUGUCUUUAUACUUGUCUGCUGAAGUACUUUCAUUUGUUGAAAUAGUAUUUCUUUAUUUGUAAAUAAUUAUUUAGUAUAAUUAUAAAAAAAACAGAACGUUGGUGAUUUUAUAAAUUUAGAACACUUGAAACAUGAUUACUUAACAGGAGAAAGAUCUAAUCGACAGUGCAUGUCUACACCAAAUUCAGAAAGACUUAUUUGAAAACCACAUUCAUUGUUUGUGCUUGUGGUUUCCCUUCUUUAUCAAUAAUCAGCACUCUCAAUCAUUUCUUUGAGGUCACCCUAGACAGCGCAACAUAUAAUUGGCCAUGAGAAAAAAUAGGUCGAGGUAGAUAAAGACCUACUUCUUCUAAAGAUUUCCCUUGGCUCUUAUUUAUGUUCAUUGCGAAAGCCACCGCUAAUGGAAAUUGUCGUCUUCGCAUCCGGAAUGGCAAUUUAGUAUCAGAUGGCUUGAUAAACACUUUUGGGAUCAACACUCUAUCUCCCACUCUAUCACCAGUAAUGACUCUUGCUUCUAAGACAUUAUUACCCAUUUGGGUAAUUUGCAAUCUAGUGUCGUUGCAUAACCCUCCUUUAGGAUCUAUAUUCCUGAGUAACAUAACCGGUACUCCUAUCUUCAAAGUUAAACUGUGAUUUGGUAAGCUAGAAAGUCUAACACUGUUAAGAAAGUCUGAAGUGAAGACUGGAUUGCUCAAAGAAUCAACAUCUUGAGGGUCGAUGUUGUCUGCAGUCAAGUAGACCAUAGCUUCACCUAGAAACAUACAAAAGAUAGGUUAUAAGUACUCUUAACGACAAUAUGUUUUAUGUAGCUAAUAUGUAUACCAUUAUAAAGCUAGUUACAUGUAUAUUAUGUUUUUUUACCUUCGAUUUUUUCAAGAAGCCUUUCGUUGAUGGUGUUGACAUCAUUAUUCGUUGGACAAAGUAUUGCUCUCUGUUGAAAAUUUUUUGGAUCUGUUUUAUGUUGCAACUCAGACAAAUCUCCGUAAUCUGCUCUGCUUAUUGCGUCUAUGGGCUCACCAUCAUAUCUGAUAAUUAAGACCUCAGGAAUAUCAAUAAGAGCUUCUCCAUCAUUAGGUUCAGAUACCUUACCAUCACCAACAGCUAGAAUCCAUUUUGAAAAUUCUCUAAUCUCUUUUGCAUCAUCUUCAGAAAGAUCGUUUGACAAUAGACGCAUGUUUUUUGUCAACGUUAAAAAUUUGCAGUGUUCCCAUAGGUAAGAUGAAUUCAAUGCUGCUAGCACUAUUUCAGCCCUACCAGCACCAUUGAUUACAGGGAGUAUUUGCCGGAAAUCACCACCAAACACAACCGUCUUUCCACCAAAAGGCUUAUUAUCCUCAUCUCUCAUAAUAUCUGACAAACUUCUAUCAAGAGAUUCGAAACAGUACCUACUCAUCAUAGGUGCUUCAUCCCAUAUAAUCAAUGAAGCUUCUCUAAGCAUCUUUGCAAGAUCUGAGGCCGGAUUAAUAUUACACAUGGUGAAAUCAUCAAGAUGAAUAGGAAUGGCAAACCUGGAGUGGGUUGUCCUACCACCUUCUAAUAACAAAGAUGCAAUACCACUCGAUGCAACAUUAAUAGCAAUUAAACCUCGAGACCUCACAGCGGCAUAAAGAGUUUUCCACAUAAAUGUUUUGCCUGUGCCGCCAAAACCGUAGACAAAGAAUAUGCCUCCUUUUUUCCCCAAAACUGCACCCAUAAUCUUAUCAUAAAUUGAUCUUUGAUCAGUAGUCAUCUUCUGAAUCCACUCAUCAUGCUUACCCCUCAAGUACUCACGAUCAUAGGUUAACUCCUCUGUUAUAAACCUGUUGGAAUGAUCUACUCUCAUGUUUGUAGGCUGCGGCAUGUCCGUAAUGGAUUUAAGAGUACUACCAUUGCAUAGCACCAGUUCUUUGAUUAAUUGUAGGAUUUAAUUCUUCUUCUCUUCGUCAGUUAGUGUUAAGUAUGCAAUUUUUCAAAAAAAAGCCGUAAAUUAAAAAAAUUUUGAAUUAACAAAAUCGAAAUUUUCAAUAAAUCAGUAAACAUAUAAGGUAAACUUUUAGUUUUAAAACAACCCAAACCUGGAUUACUGAGAUCCUCACGCAUCUGCGUCUCGAUAUCUUCUGACAAAACAACCCACGUCUGUUCCCAAACAUUAUCGGGUCUCGAUAAACAACCAUCUAGAAGCAUCAUUGUGAAGUAGUUGCGUAGCUGUUUUCCAAAAAACCAAAUGCUUCCUUCAAGAAGACUGUCAAUAUAAGCUUGAUCAUCUUCAACGAUCCCACGAGCGAAACAUGCCUUCUUGUAUGUCUCGUAGACAAAUCGUUUAUAUGUUCUGAUAUCAUCGUCAGAUGUCGGUCCAGGUACUAUGCCAAGCAAAAUCCUCAUGUAGUAUUCAUCUUCCAUUUUAUGAGGAACGUAAUUAAUCCUUCCAAUGGAGAAGCCUCUUUCCCUUUGUUUAUAUUGUUUAAGCUUCCCAUCCCAAGUAAAAUACUUUGGUAUUUCUCCAUAAGUAAAAUUCCUGGCGAAUGCGUUCACUUUAUUGAGAUUAAGAUAGGCCAUAAACAUAGAAUCAACAUUUGCUCUUCUGUCCAAAACAUCUUGGAUACUUUCCUUCUCUUUGUAAAACACUGGCUGUUUUCCUGGCGGGUGAAAUGGCAGUUUAAUAACUGGUAUACUCGUAUAUUGAAUCGGGAACUUGAAAAGUCUCCAUGCUGAUUCUCAUGCAGAUACAUAUCUACGGAAAAGGUUAAAAGCAAUGAAAUCAAUGUUUUAAAAAAAAUGCAAAAAUGAUUAUUUAUAAAAAAGAAGACAGACCUGUAGUCGAAGUAGUCUUUGAUUUCAUUUUUUUUCUUUGCUUCUGCAUUAGUAUCUGCUGAGCUCACCCCUUGAUCAGUUCUUGUGACACUUUCGGGAAUAGACCCGAAAGGCUGUUGAGUAGACUCUACCACCAAUCUUGUCCUUUUUUAUGUACUUAAAUAAGUACUUUAUAGAACCCGACUGGUUGCACCACUCCACAUUUAUGUGAGCUCGAUAACGCAAGGAAAGUAAACGGUUAUAAGGUACCACGUAUCUAUUAUCACACUUGAACCUAGACUUCUCCACAUAGUGUGGUGAUUCUCGCCUUCUAUAGAUAGGGUAUCCAUCUUUACCAACUGUGGUGAUAUCGUAAAACUCCUUUGGAUAAAACUUGGAACAUUUACCGUCAACCAAACAUGGUGAACUCGUAUUUGCCGGGCCGCAAGGUCUGUGAAUCAUGCAGUCCUUAACAACGUCAUACAGCUCUGGAUCUACUGUUUGAUCUGGAAUCUCUGCUGAUAUUUUUUAUCAAUAUCAUCAGCAGUUGGUAAUUUACAACUCGGAUCCAUGAAUAAGAGUAUAUGGGCAUGUGGGAGUCCUCUCUUCUGGAAUUCAAUGGUGUACAUCGUUGCAUUAGGAAGACAAACAUAUUAAUCAUUAUGAGGAGUAUAACACAUAAAUUAAUGCAAACAUAUUUUAAAAAUACUCACCAGCAAUAGUCUUCCCUAGUAUGUCGCCUUCAGUUAGGUCUAACAUAAGUGAAUCUAACUUCAUCUUAAAAAUUCGACACAUAAUGUCAGGUCUGUCAUCGGAAGACAAUUUUAUCUUCUUCAAAUACCUUGCAAUAUUGGGCGAUCGCGGGUUACAUGUAAAUGUAAUGAAUAGGUCCGAGAACCCGUACAGUUUACAUAUUGCCAUUGCAUCGUAAUAGUUUUGCAACAUAUAGCGAGGCCCACCAGUAAAAGAGGCUGCUAUUCUAACAUGUGUACCUUGCUCGUCAAGAUUCUUAUUCCCAGCUUCUGAAGCAGCUUGUAGAGAGGAAUAAUUAUCACAUCUGAUGUUAGAUAGAUUGUACUUAAUGUAUGAUAACCGGUUUGACUCGAGAGUAGUGUAUGCAUCAACCAAAAACUGUUGGAAUAAAUGUUUAGACUGUAGGAGAGUGUGAGCCUCAUCUUCUCGUUCUUGAAGUCUAAAAGCGAACCACUGCCUCAUACUUAUGAAUUUGUUCUCUUUAUCUUGUUUGCCAGCCUGGUAACCUUUUUCUAUACCCACACGGAACCCAUCUUCACCGUUUGGGAAUAAGAGAGGAUACUGUAAUGCCAAAUAUGAUACAUGUACUUCACUGAUCCUUUGUAGCUUUCCAGUAGAUUUUUCUUCAACAACUAUAUCACGGCCAGGCAUCUCAGGUCUAAAAUCACCGGGGAUCAAUGCUGCAACUUCUGCCGCGGUUGGCAUGCAAUAUGUUCUCCCAUCUAUCCCUACACGAUCACUCAAUAUUCUCAUAGGAAAUGUCUCAUUAUCAGUAGAUUUGAACUUAUCUUUUGCUUGCCUAAAUUACUCAACGUACGGUUUACUUCGUCUAGGAUUUGUAUGAGUUUUGCAAUAAGCUCCUUUCUUGUACUUUUCUUUCCUUAAGACUUCCCAACAUUUUUCCCUUUGUUGUAAACCAUGUUGGAAGAAAACACAUGUUAUGAACAUUAACUUUUUUAGCAAAUUAACAAUGCUAAUUACGGAAAACGCUACCAGAUUAAGAUUUCACCUCAUCACUGAAGCUCUAUAAUCCACCUCGUUCUCGGUAUCGACGAUGUAUAGCUGGCUAAAUUUAGCAUAAUCACCAUCGUUUGGCUUCAUACUACCAAUCUUAUGGCAAUUCUGUCCAUGCAGCAUUAAUUGUUUUGGUCCUUUACCUUUCUCAACUGUCCGGUCCACUUGCUCACCAAGUGAAGUAAAUGCAAAGAGCAUGUUGUAAACUCUAAUAUUUUCACGGAAAUGCCUGCUAAGUGCAUCAUCUUUACUCAUUAACUCCCUUAUUAGAUCUGGUGGUUGUUGGAGAUACGGCAAUUUUACAGCCCCUUUUGUAAAAAGCACAUAGAGAAUUUAGGCUUUCUUGUGUUCCUAGGCUUGUUAAUAUGUUCUUCAUACCACAUCAAAGCUCCACAGUAAGUACACUUGUAUGUGGGAUCACCAUGAUCCAAAUACUCUUCAGACUUAAACCGAGCUUCUGUGCAAUAACAAUAAUAUAGAUUCAGUUAAGAAAAAGUAAAUUUUUAAUUUAAUUAUAACCAGUUACGGGGUUUUAUUACCUUUGUUGUUCACUCUCGCUUUACCUCUCCCUCUUCGUCUCUCUGAAGUUAUAUUUGACUUACUUUUUUUAAAAAAAUUCACUCCCAUACGACCAUUUUUUCCGUGCAUUCAAUGUUAGUUUCUCGGUUCAUCAAGUAGACACUGAAACAUAUCUUCAUUGACACUGAAAUAUAAGGCAAUUAGUUGUUUCUGGAAAAAACAGCUUACAAAAUUAUUGAAAUUUCUAUUUCUACAUUCGAAUAAUUUGUAUUUAUUAGUUUAUCAUUACAUAAUUCGUUUGAGCCAUUAACGCAAUUAAUAGUCACACACACACGUAAAUAAUUGUGUAUUUGUCUCCGUGCGUCAAUGGGCCUUACAGACCAAUAAUUCAAAGGCCAGGUAUAUAUAACAAACACUUAAAUGAGUCAGCCUAUACAAAAAUCAAAUAUUGUUAAAUGGCCAGGCCUUAAGUAAACAAUAAUAUAUGAACUCACGAUGGUUGUCAGUACAAAUAGAACGCUAGGUGUGUGUUAAACAAAUAAUCAUGUUGAUGGAUGUGGGUUACGUUAUAGAUGGUCGGAGCAUUUUGGAUUUUACCCAGAAAUGACGAAAAUUACCCUCCUCAAUUGAUAAAAUUAUUUUCCCUUAAGACUAAUCAAGGGUAAUUUAACGAAUUGAAAACAUUUUCUGAACCAUGAUUAUAUAUGUACUUCUCUUUUAAUUGUAGUAAGAUUUGUCUCAUUUAUAUAUAAGUGAUCAAAAUUACUAUCAUGUAGUUUUGUGAUGCAACUUAAGUGAUUUAAAUUACUAUCAUGUGUUUAAACUUCUGGCUAUUGAUCACUAAUUUUCACGUCUAUGUUAACAGGGCACUAAAAUACAUGCUUCAGUGAAAAAGGAAUUGAUGAAUCGAUUCCAAAACAAGGUAAAAAUAUUAAAUAUACUCGGCUGCUUAUAGUUAUAUGCAUUUCGACUAUAUAUGUCUUAUAUGUUUGUUUCAUUGUCUGUUUAGGUGAAAAUUUACACAACAACAAAUAGAGGAGGUGGACUUUAUUUUGACAAUAACAGAAGACCUGCUUCGUAUUUAAUAGUUACAAAACUGAACGUUAUUGAAAAUACAGCUUGCAACUCUUUUUAUGUUUGAAUCAGAUUCAGGUUAUUCAAGCAACUAUUCAAUCAUAAGAUAAAGGGAAGAACAUUGUAUAUUAGAUUAGAUUAGAUUAAUCUAGGAACUAACAAUUAAUGUAGUUCCAAGAAAGAGUACAUGGAAAGAGUAAGAUGAAUUGCCCACUCCAUCCCACAUUAUUAAAAAUCUGCAAAUAGUGAAUACAUUCAGGAUCAACGAAUGUAUCGAUUUAUAGAUUGCAAAAAGAAUAANNNNNNNNNNNNNNNNNNNNNNNNNNNNNNNNNNNNNNNNNNNNNNNNNNNNNNNNNNNNNNNNNNNNNNNNNNNNNNNNNNNNNNNNNNNNNNNNNNNNCAACAACAAUAUGUUAAAACUAGUACUGAGUGUUGAAGAUAGAGUUGAUUUAAUACCAACAAAUUCGUAAUGAAGAAGGUCCAUCUUCUUACAAUUACAAAGAAGAUACUAAUGUUAGAUUCAAUAAACUAAAUACUAACAAUGAAGUUCACUUAAUAACCAGGCCAAAUUUGGGAGAACUUAGCAGUUAUAUCAAUAAUUAUGCUGGUAUUUAAGAAAACUCUAACUUCUUCACAACAUAAAACCAAAUGAGAUUAAAUCUGGUUUUGAGCGGUUUCCAUUUUACUCAGGAUAUACUUUGAAUAGGUACUUCAUUAACGAAUGAAGCUACAUGGAAAUAAAUAAAUCCAAGAGUAACUAACCUGAAACACCAAACAAACUUCAUUUCCUACAUGGGUGGCCAUCAUUUGACAUCCCUUAGAGGUUUGCAAAUCUGGAAAAUGAUUCUGAAACCUUGGAUUUACAUGUCCGAAUUGGAUCUCACUUGUAACGAUAAGAGUAGAUUCUUAUGAGAAUUAUAGAGAUAAAUUUGGGAAAAGCUAAAAAUCUGAGUGUUUCAUAAAUUUCAAGGAGAUAUGAUCUGGUCCUAACGUUGAACACCAUUUCUUACCGUAAAUAUCACCAACGAUUGAAGUCCAUAACUAUAGAAAUUUAUUGUUAUUGUAUUAUUGAAUAAAAUGAUACAACUUAUAUAUAAGCACAUAUCAUAAUCAAAUGACAUAAUUAAAGGGAUUACAUAGAAUAAUAUAAUUAAUAUAUAUUAGAGUAAUAUAUGAGAUUUGAGUAAUCGUAGGUGUUAUGAUGAUACUCUUUCCUUAAUAGCUCCCUUAAUCUCAAGGCGGUGAUGAAGUGUACGUAGACAGCGGAAGCAACGUCUUGAGAUUGACAUCGUUGAGGAAUAUAUGGGAAUGAAGAAGCAUAGAAUUUUUUUUUUUAUGUGUUUGGAUGAAUUUACCGUAAGCGGAGCACACUUUGUGUGGAGGUUGGAACGAUAUUAAUCGUUUGAAAGCAUAUAGCUUAGGAUAAAUUGAAAGAAGUAUAUAGCUUAGAACGAAAAAAAAAUUGUGAGUAAGUUUUUUUUUUGUUUAAAAAAAUCAAAAGAAUCAACUUUGCCUUAGAUUCAAAGGCUUAAGAUAAGCCUGAAUGAAUGACGCACUUUUGAUAUUAGAAAAAAAAAAAAGAAGCGCCGUCAAAAAAAAAAAAAAAAGCAUUUGGCUUAAAGCACAUGGCUUAAAAAACUUCAUUUUUAAAAACAGUAAAUAAUAACAGAAAGUUUAAAAAAAAAUAAAAAAAAAUAAAGAAGCAUUUGUAGCUUAAAACAUGCUCUGAUACCAUAUAAAAAUGUAUUGUUAUUGUAUUACUGAAUGGAAUGUACAACUUAUAUAUAAGCACAUACCAUAAUCAAAUGACAUAAUUAAAAGGAUUACAUUGAAUAAUGUAAUUAAUAUAUAUAUUAGAGGAAUAUAUGGGAUUGGAGUAAUCAUAGGUGGUAUGAUGAUACUCUUUCUUUAAUAAUAAUUUUGGAUCUCUGAUCGGAUCAUAGACAGCUUCAGCGCGGGUUGUUGCGUCAACGAAGGCUUUUCGGGCUGCCAAGCAUGUCCAAAUCAAAAUUGAAUCCAUAACUUGGCUCUAAAAACCUUAAGAUGUACAAAACCAAAAUUUAUUACAGAGGAUCAAACAGAGAAAUACUUCAUGGAUCAGAGAUUAUACUUGAAUGAAGAUUAUGGGAGAAAAUUACAGCUUGAUUCGUCAUCACGAACCAACCGACCGUGAAAGAUUUUGGUUAAUCGGUAGAGAGCCAUUGAGAGGCAGAAAAUUGCUCUCCCCUCUCUCCCCACAUUUGCUCCUCUCCCUCCCCCACACCCUUUAAUUUUUUCUGUCCUUACUUGCGGCAAGCUGAGUUCUUGGUUCAGCGGUUAGGGUUAGCCAUGUUUCUAUGGUGGUCUUGUGGAGUGGUAGAUCCCCUCUCGAUGCUCUUUGUAUCUGAAACCGAUGUUAGGAGCUGCCUUGCCGUUUCGCGAUUACUGAAGACUCAAUGGGUGGUUUAAGGUGGCUCGGCUCGCAAUGUUAGUUUCAGAUCUGCAGAGAGUGGCGGAAGUCAAAAGCGGAUAGGAAGGUAUUCACCUUUGUUGGAUCGAUUAACGACUAGAUCUUUCAGAUCUGUGUUGGCUAACUCGGAGUUGUUUGGCAGUUAUGGUGAUGUUGAACAGAGAAUCUAAUUGCUUCCGAGUUUAGUUUUUGAUCCGCCCGGGUUGAAACAAGUGCUAGCUAGGAUAAGAGGUUGGUUAGUUUGCGCAUGAAGUGAUGGUUUGAGUCGAUGCCUCUUGUUGCUAGGUAUGGGACAUGAUGUGGUGGGCACGGUUAUAUUCGAUUUGGUCCAGUCCGGNNNNNNNNNNNNNNNNNNNNNNNNNNNNNNNNNNNNNNNNNNNNNNNNNNNNNNNNNNNNNNNNNNNNNNNNNNNNNNNNNNNNNNNNNNNNNNNNNNNNAUCAAAUAACUGGAGCCGCCGAAGUCGAUGUGUUCCACUGUCAAACCAGGCUCCGACCUUAUCUCCGGAAAUGUUUCUAAUCUGCUUUCCUUUGUAAACCGUUUGAUUCGUUUUGUUUUAAGCACAUUCUAUAAAUUCGUUUUAGGGGGAAAAACAUGAACACAAAGAGACGAAAAAAUCAAAAAGACACACAAUCAAACUGUUGCGAAGAGAUGUAAUUUUUGUUGAUCCAAUGAUCGAUUUUAUCAGCUGCUUCAGAGGUAAUUGAAUUUUGUUUCCAAUUUUUUAGAUUUAGAGGUUUCAGAUACGCGAUUUAGUAUAAUCAUCCUGUUUGUUGAUGUAUCUGGGCUAAGUUAUCAUUGUCUAAUUAAUCAAUGAAAUUUGGUUUCCCGGAGUUUCAAUUACUAAUAUCAUAUGCACUCGUUUCUCCAGGUUAUAACAGUUGCAGAUAACAAUCAAAGUCAGAUAAGUUGUGGAAACUCCUUCUAACCCGAAUUUAACACCAACGAAUACAUUCUUUAACUUGGCUAAUUGCUAUAUUAUUGUUCAUCGACAACAGAUGGAUGUUGUUGUUGUACGACAAUAAUUGAUGUUUGUUGCGAGCGGGUUAUUCUUCAAUGAUUAUAUUUGAUUCAAGGUUAGUUAAUUCCUCUACCUGGAACUCAAUUUUCAGUCCUAGUUAUCAUGUUAUUAUAUUAUUUAAUCGGUAUAAAUUAGUUUGGUCUUAAGAAAUAUGGUAGAUUGAGGCACAAUUACUAAUUUCAAAGAUUUGGAUUGUGAAGUGUUAAAUGUAAUUCCACACAUUCCACAAACUGAACAUUUGAAUCCUUUAAUGAUAUGAAGAGUGGUUCAUUCACUGUAGUAUUCUGACUGAUUGAGAAGCAGUGCACUUUUCAAUUUAGACAGAGGAGUCUCAUAUGUUCUAGUCAUAAUAGUUGUGAAAUAUAAAAAAGCUUAUACUUUCAUAGCUAAACAUAUUGUAAAUUUGGUAAACUUAUUGAAAGGAAAUCUACAAAACAAUAUAGGUUUUGGGAAAUAUAGAUUCUAAUUAAUGCAAAGAAAAAUAAUCAAACUGCUGAAGAAGUUUUAAUCAUAUAACAUUAUUAUUCUUCGAAAACUAUAGCCUGUUAUAUAUACCUUCUAAGAUCCAUAGCUCACAUAAUUGGUGAAACGUUAUUCUUGUGUAUGAAUUGGCACCUUAAGGAACAUGAAUAGUAGUUUAAUAUUCUUGCUGGAUUCAAACUUGGUAAAUUCAUAGAACACCCUUCCUUUAUUGAAAGUUUGCACUCUUGACUUGAAGACUCUCUCAUUAGGAUCCCAAAUAAACAUCUCUUGAAUAUCUUCGUAAUCUAUUGCUCUGAUGUAACGGUAGUUCUUGUUAAGAUCCAACCAAUUAGAGAAUAAUCGAUUUUCGUGUACAUUUGAGUAUGUGCUCUAUAGCCAUAUCAGAAAUGGAGUUACUCUGAACAAAUUUAGCUUUUUAGUUUUUAUCUUAUUGUUUUUGUGGUAAUUUCAUUGAUGUAGUAACAUGGAUUAUUUAUAGAGGUGAGGUAUGUUUAGGGUUUGGUUUCCUAAAUCUAUUUACUGUUGAGAUACAUGAUUACUAGUUUGCGAUUAUUAAGGAAGUCGAAUAUUUGAUACCAUAAGAAGUUUCAUUUAUGAUUUACAUUGCGAUGAAAUUACUGGAUUUACUACCACAUAUGUUUAGUUUAUCAAGAUUCACUUAAUAUAAAUGUUGUUCUUGAUUUAUUUCACCUUGUGUAGGCCAUAUUUCACGUUAAGGCAGAGGUAGCUUUUGGGAAGAACAUUUCCUUAAGGAUACAAAGUCAUAAUAGGAGAUUACACAUUUUUCACCUAUUCGCAAUAACAACAAUGAUUAAGAUAUUUCAUAUACUGGUUGUUCUGAUGAAUUUAGUGGAGACAAUAUUAUUAAGUAAGCGUGAGUAAAACCUUCUAACUCUAAAAGCCUCCAGAAUCAUAAAAAAUAUAUAAUUGGGUCAUUGUCAUAAUCUGGCUUUUGAGCAAUAUUAUCCCAUUUUCUAACAAAUUCUUUUGCGGAUUUGCCCACCGCGGCACACUCUAUGUCUUUUUGGCUUUGAAUUACACAUAAAUUAGUAUUGUCAAGGAGGGACAUUGUUAAGAUAAAGUUAUAUGCCAGCAAGAUUGGGAAAAUAAAAUUAAUGGUGAAGGUCACAACACAUUCUCAAAAAUGUCAAUGGUAAAGAUUUUUCUCAUAGACUCUAGAAAAUGCCAAUGAAGAAUGGUGAGAAACAAGAUAGAUGUUGGCUGGUCUAUUCAAAAAAAAUAGCGAAAAUCUAUUGUUUCCGUUGCAAGCUGUUCAGAGAUGAAAAGGAUACAACUCAAUUGACAAGCACGUGAUUCAAGGAUUGGAACAAUGUCAGAGUAAGGCUUGUCCAACAUGAAAGCAGUCAUGGUCACAUUGUGUGCAUGAGAAAAUGAAUGGAAUUAGAGUUAAGAUUGCAAAAGGAUAUAACAAUUGAUAAGUGUGCCCAAGAAGAAAUCAAGAAAGAGAAAAAUCAUUGGAGAGAAGUUCUUCUGAGAUUAUUUACACUAGUGAAGACUUUGGCUAAAUGAAUAAUUCUUUCCGUGGAAGCAAUGAAAAGUUUGCGAGAAUAAUAAUGAGAAUUUUCUUAGNNNNNNNNNNNNNNNNNNNNNNNNNNNNNNNNNNNNNNNNNNNNNNNNNNNNNNNNNNNNNNNNNNNNNNNNNNNNNNNNNNNNNNNNNNNNNNNNNNNNNNNNNNNNNNNNNNNNNNNNNNNNNNNNNNNNNNNNNNNNNNNNNNNNNNNNNNNNNNNNNNNNNNNNNNNNNNNNNNNNNNNNNNNNNNNNNNNNNNNNNNNNNNNNNNNNNNNNNNNNNAAAUGACUCUUAUCAUUCGAUGUGUGGACGUUUAGUGGAUUCAACUCAAGUAUCCGAAUAUUUCAUUCACUUUUGGAAGUUGUUGAUAAAUCAUGAAAAGAGUUGAUUGAUCUUCUUUGUGAUACAUUGGCUGAUCUUAACUUGGACAUCGAUGAUGUGCGAGGAAAAGGCUACGACAAUGGCUCAAAUAUGAAAGGGAAAAAUAAAAGAGUACAAAAAGAAUGUUUGAUGUUAAUCCACGCGCAUUUUAUACGCAUGUGGUUGUCAUAGUCUGAAUUUGGCACUUUGUGAUAUGGCUAAAUCAUCUCCAAAAGCGACUGAUUUUUUGGAUCAUCCAAUGUUUGUAUUGUUUGUAGUUGCCUUCUACGACUAGGUGGGAUAUAUACAAGAAAAUGGUUGGAGGUUACACACUUAAACCCUUAUCAGAUACUCGUUGGGAAAGUCAUCUUGAAAGUGUUGAAGCCAUACGUUUUCAAGAUCCAGAAAUCCGUGAUGCUCUGUUUUUCUUGGUUGAGAACACUGAUGAUCCUAAAGCUCGGAGUGAUAUUGAGUGUCUUGCGAUUAGUGAAACUCAUGGAAUCAAAAGAUUUGAGUUUUUGUUUGGUAUUGUUAUAUGGUAUGAGAUCUUGGCUGCCGUGAAUAUUGUGAGCAAGACUUUGCAAAAUGAAGAUACAAAUAUUGAUGCAGCGAUUAUUCAACUAAAUGGGUUUGUUUCGUUUUUUCAAAAGUAUAGAGAAACAUGUUUUGAAGCAGAAAAAGUUGAAGCCACAAAAAAUGUUGUUGUUAUGGAUAUCGAACCCAUCUUUCAUGUGAAAAAAAGCGUAUUAUUAAACGAAUAACUCAUUUUGAUGAAGAGCCAAGACAAUCUUAACUUGAUUUGGUAGAUCUUUCGGAUUAUCAAUCUGAAGGAUAUUAAAAAUAAUUAAGCACAUUUGUCAUUCACUUAGAGGACAUAAUGUUACAACAAAGUAAGAGAGUAUAUGUACCUCAUGAAGUGAUACACCAAGAAAAUUAGUAGAUGAUGCACCAAUUAUAUCUGAUGCACAUUGGUCAAAAAGCAAACAUUUAGUCUCACCAGUACUAUCCAUAACCUUGGCAUAAAGGAAGUACCUGCAAUGUAGUGUAAUUAUAUUUAGUGUCAAAUUCUACUUAUAUCAAACAUUGAAGAGAUUAUAUGUUCCACGUUGGUAUUACUUUGCAACUACUCUUGUGACAACAAUCUUGCAAAUGUCACACCAAAAUUUAGGUUUGGAUUUGCUAGCAUCUUUAUUCACACCUCCCUGAUGUAUGGGGGUCACCUUCUUGUUGCAGUUACAACAACUGAAGUAAUGUGAUGUCCAAUCUGUAUCAAUAGCAUAGAUUGUACACAAAAAUCUAACUUUCUCAACAUGUUAUUCAUAUAAAUCUCUUAGUAAACCAAGAGGCAAGUAUUACAACUUAGCAGAAAAUGUAUAUAGGUUUUAUAUAUUAUAGUACCUCAAAGCAACCUAACAUUUCGGCUAUGAUUCUUCUUGGAUGCUCUAGGCAACUAUCAUCUUUGCCCACGUUGACAAAGUCUAACCUUGGGACAGUAUCACAAACAGUAAGAGCAAGUCCAUCUUCGGGUAGUCUAGAUGUUGAUUGUAAAAUAAUCCAAGUUAAUAUUUGGAAUAAUCAAAUCUUAAAAACAUUUGUAAUUACAUUGCUAAAUUUAGGUUACAUACGAUUGAGUGAACACAUCAACUUCUGGAAAUGAUGGAUUAAUCCAAAGCUGAGAAGCAUCAAAUGAGUUGGAAACACUCUUCAUACCUGCAGUUUUUUACAUAUAUNNNNNNNNNNNNNNNNNNNNNNNNNNNNNNNNNNNNNNNNNNNNNNNNNNNNNNNNNNNNNNNNNNNNNNNNNNNNNNNNNNNNNNNNNNNNNNNNNNNNGAUUUGCAGAGUACUGAUAUACCAUUGUAUGUCUUGAUUUUGACAAAUUUAAGAAUACAAACAACCAUGACUCAAUCGGAAUUGACACAGGUUGUUUGAAGUUGGGCUGCAAAUGCUCCCCACAAGGUACAUGACAACCUAUCAUCACUGAAAAUCAAAUAUUCAAUAUAUAUCAUUAAACAUAUANNNNNNNNNNNNNNNNNNNNNNNNNNNNNNNNNNNNNNNNNNNNNNNNNNNNNNNNNNNNNNNNNNNNNNNNNNNNNNNNNNNNNNNNNNNNNNNNNNNNAUGUCUCAAUUUGAAAUCAAUCUUAGUAGUAGUCUUGUUGUUAGCUUCCAGAGUUUCAAUCUCCCCAAUGUUGACUAUCUGGCACAUUACAUCUAGGAAGGAAACAAUAUAAAAUGAUAGUAUUAAAACAUUAUCAGUAUAAGAUAGAUUAAUAAUAUUAUGUAUGUUGAGAACAUACCAAUUAGCAUACAAGGAUUAAAGUCGCCACUCUGAAUUUUAGCAAACUUUGCGAACUUAAAUAGUUUGAAUCAGAGCCAGGAUCACUGAUGGUUACAGUUGUAACGUUGAUGAAAGCCAUCUUCUAAAGAUGGUUUGUAGGUCUAAAUUGACCAGUAGCAUGAGUGAGUUGGAAAUUCUCAAUUAACCUCCAAUCACCAACUAGAAGGUUAUUGAUUACUCGAGUAUUUAACCCGAUAACUUAGCCGAAGUAAAGUAUAUGCGGGAUCGAUCACAGGGAGGAAGGGUACACUAAAGACUUGUGAGACUUGUUCGUAGCUAAAGCGGAAAAGAUUUGUUGUUUGGUUUUUCAGCUUGUAAAUAAAAAUGCAAAUAAAAGAGAGAUUUAAACUUAUAAAUUAAACACAUUGGGCAUCAGGGUAUUUUCAGAGAAUCAAUAAAUAACAAAUAGAAGCAAUAAGGAAUUCAACAUGAAGAACCGUUCUUAAACAUGAACACAAGUUUAGACUAACUCUCUCUCAAGACAUUAAUCACUAAAUUUGACUAUUCAAUUACUAAACUCUCAUUUGUAAUUUCCUAGCCAAAUUCGCAUUAUCAAUCAAGUUCAUUAUGUUCACAAGGCAUUCUAACAUCAACUCUCGCAGGUUAGAAAUACAAUGCUCAAUUUACAUUCAUUCAGGCAUUUUAUCGAACAUCUCUGAAACAAAUAAAAGCCUAAGUUCUAAAACAGGGUGAUCAAUCCUAUUCUAUUAUUGAGAACAUGUAAAUUGAAGAACCUAAAGAUCAAGAAUUCCCUAAAACAUCUAAUCCAUCAAAUCAUUGAAUCUCCUACUUAGAACCCUAAAACCCAAUAGAAGAACUACUCACACAUAUUGUAGAGAAUAACACAAAAGGAUAUGAAAGAAAACAUGAUUAAAUAGAUAAAAUAAGAAUAGAGUUUAGAAAUCUUCUCCAAAUUGUCAAAGAGGAUGGAUUCUUCUCCCCAAAAUUGUUUAGAAAGCAAAGAACAAUGUUUUUAACUGAAAAAUAUGAAAGAUAACUGCUAAAAAGUCGAACGUAGGGUAAAUAAACAAUAGAAGACGAUUUGGGUAUGUUCUGAAAUGUUUCGGAUCGAAUAUGGGCCAAAAAAAUGCGUCAGAGGUAAGGGAACGAUCGAUCCAAAUGUAGACCGAUCGGUCUUAUGCUCCCAGGUUUUACUUCUACAUCAGCUUCAACAACUCGUCAGAAUGACCUGUCUUCACAAAUUCGAGUGUACCUCGUGAAUGCACCGUUAGAUUUCUUUGAAAUCACUUGAAAAUGAAAGCUAACAUCUUUCUUCAUCAUGUGUCAAAAUAUGAAAAAGAUCUAACGGUGGAAAGUUGUUCAUCUGAUCCCAAACAUCUGACACUUCUACAUGAAUCUGCAUCUCCAGAUGUGUGUUUGCUUCCCAAAACAGCUCGUUUUAUUCCAAAGCAACCUAAAACCUGUAAAAAAUCUAUAAUGGACUAAAAGACUCUAAAAACACACUUUGACUCAAUAAAAGUUAUAAAAUGAAAAAGACACUUUGACACACCUGCGAUGAAUCAUAAAAUUUUGCAGUUUGGUAAUAAUUAUUUAGNNNNNNNNNNNNNNNNNNNNNNNNNNNNNNNNNNNNNNNNNNNNNNNNNNNNNNNNNNNNNNNNNNNNNNNNNNNNNNNNNNNNNNNNNNNNNNNNNNNNAAAAAAGCCAAAAAUCUUGGUAUCUGGAAUUUUGAUUGUAUUUCGUUUUCUUUUUUAAGUUCAGAUUAAAGUGUUCAUUGGAGAUAAUACUCGAUGCAAACUGGAUUCAGGUUAUGAUUUUGUUCACUCCAAUAUGAUUUUGCAAUUCUGAAUUCAUGAAUUUUUUUUUCCAAUGGUGAAUUAAUGUUAAUCGUUUAUUCAUGGAUGUGAUCUUGUUGAAUUCUGUUGAACUUGAGGUCUAUAAGAACGCAACGUUGGUUUUAAGAGGUGAUGGUCGUUACUUAAACGAAGAAGCUUCACAUGUUUAUUUCAUUCUUUGUGUCUUUAUACUUGUCUGCUGAAGUACUUUCAUUUGUUGAAAUAGUAUUUCUUUAUUUGUAAAUAAUUAUUUAGUAUAAUUAUAAAAAAAACAGAACGUUGGUGAUUUUAUAAAUUUAGAACACUUGAAACAUGAUUACUUAACAGGAGAAAGAUCUAAUCGACAGUGCAUGUCUACACCAAAUUCAGAAAGACUUAUUUGAAAACCACAUUCAUUGUUUGUGCUUGUGGUUUCCCUUCUUUAUCAAUAAUCAUCACUCUCAAUCCUUUCUUUGAGGUCACCCUAGACAGCGCAACAUAUAAUUGGCCAUGAGAAAAAAUAGGUCGAGGUAGAUAAAGACCUACUUCUUCUAAAGAUUUCCCUUGGCUCUUAUUUAUGUUCAUUGUGAAAGCCACCGCUAAUGGAAAUUGUCGUCUUCGCAUCCGGAAUGGCAAUUUAGUAUCAGAUGGCUUGAUAAACACUUUUGGGAUCAACACUCUAUCUCCCACUAUAUCACCAGUAAUGACUCUUGCUUCUAAGACAUUAUUACCCAUUUGGGUAAUUUGCAAUCUAGUGUCGUUGCAUAACCCNNNNNNNNNNNNNNNNNNNNNNNNNNNNNNNNNNNNNNNNNNNNNNNNNNNNNNNNNNNNNNNNNNNNNNNNNNNNNNNNNNNNNNNNNNNNNNNNNNNNGCUCUCUGUUGAAAAUUUUUUGAAUCUGUUUUAUGUUGCAACUCAGAUAAAUCUCCGUAAUCUGCUCUGCUUAUUGCGUCUAUGGGCUCACCAUCAUAUCUGAUAAUUAAGACCUCAGGAAUAUCAAUGAGAGCUUCUCCAUCAUUAGGUUCAGAUACCUUACCAUCACCAACAGCUAGAAUCCAUUUUGAAAAUUCUCUAAUCUCUUUUGCAUCAUCUUCAGAAAGAUCGUUUGACAAUAGACGCAUGUUUUUGUCAACGUUAAAAAUUUGCAGUGUUCUCAUAGGUAAGAUGAAUUCAAUGCUGCUAACACUAUUUCAGCCCUACUAGCACCAUUGAUUACAGGGAGUAUUUGCCGGAAAUCACCACCAAACACAACCGUCUUUCCACCAAAAGGCUUAUUAUCCUCAUCUCUCAUAAUAUCUGACAAACUUCUAUCAAGAGAUUCGAAACAGUACCUACUCAUCAUAGGUGCUUCAUCCCAUAUAAUCAAUGAAGCUUCUCUAAGCAUCUUUGCAAGAUCUGAGGCCGGAUUAAUAUUACACAUGGUGAAAUCAUCAAGAUGAAUAGGAAUGGCAAACCUGGAGUGGGUUGUCCUACCACCUUCUAAUAACAAAGAUGCAAUACCACUCGAUGCAACAUUAAUAGCAAUUAAACCUCGAGACCUCACAGCGGCAUAAAGAGUUUUCCACAUAAAUGUUUUGCCUGUGCCGCCAAAACCGUAGACAAAGAAUAUGCCUCCUUUUUUCCCCAAAACUGCACCCAUAAUCUUAUCAUAAAUUGAUCUUUGAUUAGUAGUCAUCUUCUGAAUCCACUCAUCAUGCUUACCCCUCAAGUACUCACGAUCAUAGGUUAACUCCUCUGUUAUAAACCUGUUGGAAUGAUCUACUCUCAUGUUUGUAGGCUGCGGCAUGUCCGUAAUGGAUUUAAGAGUACUACCAUUGCAUAGCACCAGUUCUUUGAUUAAUUGUAGGAUUUAAUUCUUCUUCUCUUCGUCAGUUAGUGUUAAGUAUGCAAUUUUUCAAAAAAAAGCCGUAAAUUAAAAAAAUUUUGAAUUAACAAAAUCGAAAUUUUCAAUAAAUCAGUAAACAUAUAAGGUAAACUUUUAGUUUUAAAACAACCCAAACCUGGAUUACUGAGAUCCUCACGCAUCUGCGUCUCGAUAUCUUCUGACAAAACAACCCACGUCUGUUCCCAAACAUUAUCGGGUCUCGAUAAACAACCAUCUAGAAGCAUCAUUGUGAAGUAGUUGCGUAGCUGUUUUCCAAAAAACCAAAUGCUUCCUUCAAGAAGACUGUCAAUAUAAGCUUGAUCAUCUUCAACGAUCCCACGAGCGAAACAUGCCUUCUUGUAUGUCUCGUAGACAAAUCGUUUAUAUGUUCUGAUAUCAUCGUCAGAUGUCGGUCCAGGUACUAUGCCAAGCAAAAUCCUCAUGUAGUAUUCAUCUUCCAUUUUAUGAGGAACGUAAUUAAUCCUUCCAAUGGAGAAGCCUCUUUCCCUUUGUUUAUAUUGUUUAAGCUUCCCAUCCCAAGUAAAAUACUUUGGUAUUUCUCCAUAAGUAAAAUUCCUGGCGAAUGCGUUCACUUUAUUGAGAUUAAGAUAGGCCAUAAACAUAGAAUCAACAUUUGCUCUUCUGUCCAAAACAUCUUGGAUACUUUCCUUCUCUUUGUAAAACACUGGCUGUUUUCCUGGCGGGUGAAAUGGCAGUUUCAUAACUGGUAUACUCCUAUAUUGAAUCGGGAACUUGAAAAGUCUCCAUGCUGAUUCUCAUGUAGAUACAUAUCUACGGAAAAGGUUAAAAGCAAUGAAAUCAAUGUUUAAAAAAAAAUGCAAAAAUGAUUAUUUAUAAAAAAGAAGACAGACCUGCAGUCGAAGUAGUCUUUGAUUUCAUUUUUUUCUUUGCUUCUGCAUUAGUAUCUGCUGAGCUCACCCCUUGACCAGUUCUUGUGACACUUUCGGGAAUAGACCCGAAAGGCUGUUGAGUAGACUCUACCACCAAUCUUGUCCUUUUUUUAUGUACUUAAAUAAGUACUUUAUAGAACCCGACUGGUUGCACCACUCCACAUUUAUGUGAGCUCGAUAACGCAAGGAAAGUAAACGGUUAUAAGGUACCACGUAUCUAUUAUCACACUUGAACCUAGACUUCUCCACAUAGUGUGGUGAUUCUCGCCUUCUAUAGAUAGGGUAUCCAUCUUUACCAACUGUGGUGAUAUCGUAAAACUCCUUUGGAUAAAACUUGGAACAUUUACCGUCAACCAAACAUGGUGAACUCGUAUUUGCCGGGCCGCAAGGUCUGUGAAUCAUGCAGUCCUUAACAACGUCAUACAGCUCUGGAUCUACUGUUUGAUCUGGAAUCUCUGCUGAUAUUUUUUAUCAAUAUCAUCAGCAGUUGGUAAUUUACAACUCGGAUCCAUGAAUAAGAGUAUAUGGGCAUGUGGGAGUCCUCUCUUCUGGAAUUCAAUGGUGUACAUCGUUGCAUUAGGAAGACAAACAUAUUAAUCAUUAUGAGGAGUAUAACACAUAAAUUAAUGCAAACAUAUUUUAAAAAUACUCACCAGCAAUAGUCUUCCCUAGUAUGUCGCCUUCAAUUAGGUCUAACAUAAGUGAAUCUAACUUCAUCNNNNNNNNNNNNNNNNNNNNNNNNNNNNNNNNNNNNNNNNNNNNNNNNNNNNNNNNNNNNNNNNNNNNNNNNNNNNNNNNNNNNNNNNNNNNNNNNNNNNAUUCGACACAUAAUGUCAGGUCUGUCAUCGGAAGACAAUUUUAUCUUCUUCAAAUACCUUGCAAUAUUGGGCGAUCACGGGUUACAUGUAAAUGUAAUGAAUAGGUCCGAGAACCCGUACAGUUUACAUGUUGCCAUUGCAUCGUAGUAGUUUUGCAACAUAUAGCGAGGCCCACCAGUAAAAGAGGCUGCUAUUCUAACAUGUGUACCUNNNNNNNNNNNNNNNNNNNNNNNNNNNNNNNNNNNNNNNNNNNNNNNNNNNNNNNNNNNNNNNNNNNNNNNNNNNNNNNNNNNNNNNNNNNNNNNNNNNNAUUCCCAGCUUCUGAAGCAGCUUGCAGAGAGGAAUAAUUAUCACAUCUGAUGUUAGACAGAUUGUACUUAAUGUAUGAUAACGGGUUUGAUUCGAGAGUAGUGUAUGCAUCAACCAAAAACUGUUGGAAUAAAUGUUUAGACUGUAGGAGAGUGUGAGCCUCAUCUUCUCGUUCUUGAAGUCUAAAAGCGAACCACUGCCUCAUACUUAUGAAUUUGUUCUCUUUAUCUUGUUUGCCAGCCUGGUAACCUUUUUCUAUACCCACACGGAACCCAUCUUCACCGUUUGGGAAUAAGAGAGGAUACUGUAAUGCCAAAUAUGAUACAUGUACUUCACUGAUCCUUUGUAGCUUUCCAGUAGAUUUUUCUUCAACAACUAUAUCACGGCCAGGCAUCUCAGGUCUAAAAUCACCGGGGAUCAAUGCUGCAACUUCUGCCGCGGUUGGCAUGCAAUAUGUUCUCCCAUCUAUCCCUACACGAUCACUCAAUAUUCUCAUAGGAAAUGUCUCAUUAUCAGUAGAUUUGAACUUAUCUUUUGCUUGCCUAAAUUACUCAACGUACGGUUUACUUCGUCUAGGAUUUGUAUGAGUUUUGCAAUAAGCUCCUUUCUUGUACUUUUCUUUCCUUAAGAUUUCCCAACAUUUUUCCCUUUGCUGUAAACCAUGUUGGAAGAAAACACAUGUUAUGAACAUUAACUUUUUUAGCAAAUUAACAAUGCUAAUUACGGAAAACGCUACCAGAUUAAGAUUUCACUUCAUCAUUGAAGCUCUAUAAUCCACCUCGUUCUCGGUAUCGACGAUUUAUAGCUGGCUAAAUUUUGCAUAAUCACCAUCGUUUGGCUUCAUACUACCAAUCUUAUGGCAAUUCUGUCCAUGCAGCAUUAAUUGUUUUGGUCCUUUACCUUUCUCAACUGUCCGGUCCACUUGCGGGAAAACGGGGAAAAUCAACCCAAACUAUUUCCCGAAGGUAUUUUCAUACCCAAACUCGCGUCAUCUGAAUUUUACAACGCAAACCAGCUUUCAAUUCAAAUAACCAACCUGAACUAUAUCAAAUUUUGUCGAUUUCAACCUCGACGUUAACAGUAUACCUGCCCAUCUUGAAGAUUUGGACAAUUAAGCUUAAGUUUAAGCUUAAUUUCUCUUGGUUUUUACAGAAGCUUAAGCUUGAUUGUCCAAAUUUUCAAGAUGGACAGGAAUAUUGUUAACGUCGAGGUUGAAAUCGACAAAAUUUGAUAUAAUUCAGGUGGGUUAUUUGAAUUGAAAGCUGGUUUGGGUUGUAAAAUUCAGAGUACGCGAGUUUGGGUAUUAAAAUACCUUCGGCAAAUAGUUUGGGUUGAUUAUCCCCGUUUUCCCGUCCACUUGCUCACCAAGUGAAGUAAAUGCAAAGAGCAUGUUGUAAACUCUAAUAUUUUCACGGAAAUGCCUGCUAAGUGCAUCAUCUUUACUCAUUAACUCCCUUAUUAGAUCUGGUGGUUGUUGGAGAUACGGCAAUUUUACAGCCCCUUUUGUAAACAGCACAUAGAGAAUUUAGGCUUUCUUGUGUUCCUAGGCUUGUUAAUAUGUUCUUCAUACCACAUCAAAGCUCCACAGUAAGUACACUUGUAUGUGGGAUCACCAUGAUCCAAAUACUCUUCAGACUUAAACCGAGCUUCUGUGCAAUAACAAUAAUAUAGAUUCAGUUAAGAAAAAGUAAAAUUUUAAUUUAAUUAUAACCAGUUACGGGGUUUUAUUACCUUUGUUGUUCACUCUCGCUUUACCUCUCCCUCUUCGUCUCUCUGAAGUAAUAUUUGACUUACUUUUUAAAAAAAAAUUCACUCUCGUACGACCAUUUUUUCCGUGCAUUCAAUGUUAGUUUCUCGGUUCAUCAAGUAGACACUGAAACAUAUCUUCAUUGACACUGAAAUAUAAGGCAAUUAGUUGUUUCUGGAAAAAACAGCUUACAAAAUUAUUGAAAUUUCUAUUUCUACAUUCGAAUAAUUUGCAUUUAUUAGUUUAUCAUUACAUAAUCCGUUUGUGCCAUUAACGCAAUUAAUAGUCACACACACACACGUAAAUAAUUGUGUAUUUGUCUCCGUGCGUCAAUGGGCCUUACAGACCAAUAAUUCAAAGGCCAGGUGUAUAUAACAAACACUUAAAUGAGUCAGCCCAUACAAAAAUCAAAUAUUGUUAAAUGGCCAGUCCUUAAGUAAACAAUAAUAUAUGAACUCACGAUGGUUGUCAGUACAAAUAGAACGCUAGGUUUGUGUUAAACAAAUAAUCAUGUUGAUGGAUGUGGGUUACGUUAUAGAUGGUCGGAGCAUUUUGGAUUUUACCCAGAAAUGACGAAAAUUACCCUCCUCAAUUGAUAAAAUUAUUUUCCCUUAAGACUAAUCAAGGGUAAUUUAACGAAUUGAAAACAUUUUCUGAACCAUGAUUAUAUAUGUACUUCUCUUUUAAUUGUAGUAAGAUUUGUGUCAUUUAUAUAUAAGUGAUCAAAAUUACUAUCAUGUAGUUUUGUGAUGCAACUUAAGUGAUUUAAAUUACUAUCAUGUGUUUAAACUUCUGGCUAUUGAUCACUAAUUUUCACGUCUAUGUUAACAGGGCACUAAAAUACAUGCUUCAGUGAAAAAGGAAUUGAUGAAUCGAUUCCAAAACAAGGUAAAAAUAUUAAAUAUACUCGGCUGCUUAUAGUUAUAUGCAUUUCGACUAUAUAUGUCUUAUAUGUUUGUUUCAUUUUCUGUUUAGGUGAAAAUUUACACAACAACAAAUAGAGGAGGUGGACUUUAUUUUGACAAUAACAGAAGACCUGCUUCGUAUUUAAUAGUUACAAAAACUGAACGUUAUUGAAAAUACAGCUUGCAACUCUUUUUAUGUUUGAAUCAGAUUCAGGUUAUCCAAGCAACUAUUCAAUCAUAAGAUAAAGGGAAGAACAUUGUAUAUUAGAUUAGAUUAGAUUAAUCUAGGAACUAACAAUUAAUGUAGUUCCAAGAAAGAGUGCAUGGAAAGAGUAAGAUGAAUUGCCCACUCCAUCCCACAUUAUUAAAAAUCUGCAAAUAGUGAAUACAUUCAGGAUCAACGAAUGUAUCGAUUUAUAGAUUGCAAAAAGAAUAAACACCAACAAGUUCAACAACAAUAUGUUAAAACUAGUAUUGAGUGUUGAAGAUAGAGUUGAUUUAAUACCAACAAAUUCGUAAUGAAGAAGGUCCAUCUUCUUACAAUUACAAAGAAGAUACUAAUGUUAGAUUCAAUAAACUAAAUACUAACAAUGAAGUUCACUUAAUAACCAGGCCAAAUUUGGGAGAACUUAGCAGUUAUAUCAAUAAUUAUGCUGGUAUUUAAGAAAACUCUAACUUCUUCACAACAUAAAACCAAAUGAGAUUAAAUCUGGUUUUGAGCGGUUUCCAUUUUACUCAGGAUAUACUUUGAAUAGGUACUUCAUUAACGAAUGAAGCUACAUGGAAAUAAAUAAAUCCAAGAGUAAUUAACCUGAAAAACCAAACAAACUUCAUUUCCUACAUGGGUGGCCAUCAUUUGACAGCCCUUAGAGGUUUGCAAAUCUGGAAAAUGAUUCUGAAACCUUGGAUUUACAUGUCCGAAUUGGAUCUCACUUGUAACGAUAAGAGUAGAUUCUUAUGAGAAUUAUAGAGAUAAAGUUGGGAAAAGCUAAAAAUCUGAGUGUUUCAUAAAUUUCAAGGAGAUAUGAUCUGGUCCUAAAGUUGAACACCAUUUCUUACCGUAAAUAUCACCAACGAUUGAAGUACAUAACUAUAGAAAUUUAUUGUUAUUGUAUUAUUGAAUAAAAUGAUACAACUUAUAUAUAAGCACAUAUCAUAAUCAAAUGACAUAAUUAAAGGGAUUACAUAGAAUAAUAUAAUUAAUAUAUAUUAGAGUAAUAUAUGAGAUUUGAGUAAUCGUAGGUGUUAUGAUGAUACUCUUUCCUUAAUAGCUCCCUUAAUCUCAAGGCGGUGAUGAAGUGUACGUAGACAGCGGAAGCAACGUCUUGAGAUUGACAUCGUUGAGGAAUAUAUGGGAAUGAAGAAGCAUAGAAUUUUUUUUUUUAUGUGUUUGGAUGAAUUUACCGUAAGCGGAACACACUUUGUGUGGAGGUUGGAACGAUAUUAAUCGUUUGAAAGCAUAUAGCUUAGGAUAAAUUGAAAGAAGUAUUUAGCUUAGAACGAAAAAAAAAUUGUGAGUAAGUUUUUUUUUUGUUUAAAAAAAUCAAAAGAAUCAACUUUGCCUUAGAUUCAAAGGCUUAAGAUAAGCCUGAAUGAAUGACGCACUUUUGAUAUUAGAAAAAAAAAAAGAAGCGCCGUCAAAAAAAAAAAAAAAGCAUUUGGCUUAAAGCACAUGGCUUAAAAAACUUCAUUUUUAAAAACAGUAAAUAAUAACAGAAAGUUUAAAAAAAAUAAAAAAAAAAUAAAGAAGCAUUUGUAGCUUAAAACAUGCUCUGAUACCAUAUAAAAAUGUAUUGUUAUUGUAUUACUGAAUGGAAUGUACAACUUAUAUAUAAGCACAUACCAUAAUCAAAUGACAUAAUUAAAAGGAUUACAUAGAAUAAUAUAAUUAAUAUAUAUAUUAGAGGAAUAUAUGGGAUUGGAGUAAUCAUAGGUGGUAUGAUGAUACUCUUUCUUUAAUAAUAAUUUUGGAUCUCUGAUCGGAUCAUAGACAGCUUCAGCGCGGGUUGUUGCGUCAACGAAGGCUUUUCGGGCUGCCAAGCAUGUCCAAAUCAAAAUCGAAUCCAUAACUUGGCUCUAAAAACCUUAAGAUGUACAAAACCAAAAUUUAUUCUAGAGGAUCAAACAGAGAAAUACUUCAUGGAUCAGAGAUUAUACUUGAAUGAAGAUUAUGGGAGAAAAUUACAGCUUGAUUCGUCAUCACGAACCAACCGACCGUGAUAGAUUUUGGUUAAUCGGUAGAGAGCCAUUGAGAGGCAGAAAAUUGCUCUCCCCUCUCUCCCCACAUUUGCUCAUCUCCCUCCCCCACACCCUUUAAUUUUUUCUGUCCUUACUUGCGGCAAGCUGAGUUCUUGGUUCAGCGGUUAGGGUUAGCCAUGUUUCUAUGGUGGUCUUGUGGAGUGGUAGAUCCCCUCUCGAUACUCUUUGUAUCUGAAACCGAUGUUAGGAGCUGCCUUGCCGUUUCGCGAUUACUGAAGACUCAAUGGGUGGUUUAAGGUGGCUCGGCUCGCAAUGUUAGUUUCAGAUCUGCAGAGAGUGGCGGAAGUCAAAAGCGGAUAGGAAGGUAUUCACCUUUGUUGGAUCGAUUAACGACUAGAUCUUUCAGAUCUGUGUUGGCUAACUCGGAGUUGUUUGGCAGUUAUGGUGAUGUUGAACAGAGAAUCUAAUUGCUUCCGAGUUUAGUUUUUGAUCCGCCCGGGUUGAAACAAGUGCUAGCUAGGAUAAGAGGUUGGUUAGUUUGCGCAUGAAGUGAUGGUUUGAGUCGAUGCCUCUUGUUGCUAGGUAUGGGACAUGAUGUGGUGGGCACGGUUAUAUUCGAUUUGGUCCAGUCCGGAAAGCGUGUUGCAGGUAAGAUUCUACAGUGGUAAUAGGGUUUUGGUCCGAAAUCGUUAGCUUCGAUCAAAUAACUGGAGCCGCCGAAGUCGAUGUGUUCCACUGUCAAACCAGGCUCCGACCUUAUCUCCGGAAAUGUUUCUAAUCUGCUUUCCUUUGUAAACCGUUUGAUUCGUUUUGUUUUAAGCACAUUCUAUAAAUUCGUUUUAGGGGGAAAAACAUGAACAUAAAGAGACGAAAAAAUCAAAAAGACACACAAUCAAACUGUUGCGAAGAGAUGUAAUUUUUGUUGAUCCAAUGAUCGAUUUUAUCAGCUGCUUCAGAGGUAAUUGAAUUUUGUUUCCAAUUUUUUAGAUUUAGAGGUUUCAGAUACGCGAUUUAGUAUAAUCAUCCUGUUUGUUGAUGUAUCUGGGCUAAGUUAUCAUUGUCUAAUUAAUCAAUGAAAUUUGGUUUCCCGGAGUUUCAAUUACUAAUAUCAUAUGCACUCGUUUCUCCAGGUUAUAACAGUUGCAGAUAACAAUCAAAGUCAGAUAAGUUGUGGAAACUCCUUCUAACCCGAAUUUAACACCAACGAAUACAUUCUUUAACUUGGCUAAUUGCUAUAUUAUUGUUCAUCGACAACAGAUGGAUGUUGUUGUUGUACGACAAUAAUUGAUGUUUGUUGCGAGCGGGUUAUUCUUCAAUGAUUAUAUUUGAUUCAAGGUUAGUUAAUUCCUCUACCUGGAACUCAAUUUUCAGUCCUAGUUAUCAUGUUAUUAUAUUAUUUAAUCGGUAUAAAUUAGUUUGGUCUUAAGAAAUAUGGUAGAUUGAGGCACAAUUACUAAUUUCAAAGAUUUGGAUUGUGAAGUGUUAAAUGUAAUUCCACACAUUCCACAAACUGAACAUUUGAAUCCUUUAAUGAUAUGAAGAGUGGUUCAUUCACUGUAGUAUUCUGACUGAUUGAGAAGCAGUGCACUUUUCAAUUUAGACAGAGGAGUCUCAUAUGUUCUAGUCAUAAUAGUUGUGAAAUAUAAAAAAGCUUAUACUUUCAUAGCUAAACAUAUUGUAAAUUUGGUAAACUUAUUGAAAGGAAAUCUACAAAACAAUAUAGGUUUUGGGAAAUAUAGAUUCUAAUUAAUGCAAAGAAAAAUAAUCAAACUGCUGAAGAAGUUUUAAUCAUAUAACAUUAUUAUUCUUCGAAAACUAUAGCCUGUUAUAUAUACCUUCUAAGAUCCAUAGCUCACAUAAUUGGUGAAACGUUAUUCUUGUGUAUGAAUUGGCACCUUAAGGAACAUGAAUAGUAGUUUAAUAUUCUUGAUGGAUUCAAACUUGGUAAAUUCAUAGAACACCCUUCCUUUAUUGAAAGUUUGCACUCUUGACUUGAAGACUCUCUCAUUAGGAUCCCAAAUAAACAUCUCUUGAAUAUCUUCGUAAUCUAUUGCUCUGAUGUAACGGUAGUUCUUGUUAAGAUCCAACCAAUUAGAGAAUAAUCGAUUUUCGUGUACAUUUGAGUAUGUGCUCUAUAGCCAUAUCAGAAAUGGAGUUACUCUGAACAAAUUUAGCUUUUUAGUUUUUAUCUUAUUGUUUUUGUGGUAAUUUCAUUGAUGUAGUAACAUGGAUUAUUUAUAGAGGUGAGGUAUGUUUAGGGUUUGGUUUCCUAAAUCUAUUUACUGUUGAGAUACAUGAUUACUAGUUUGCGAUUAUUAAGGAAGUCGAAUAUUUGAUACCAUAAGAAGUUUCAUUUAUGAUUUACAUUGCGAUGAAAUUACUGGAUUUACUACCACAUAUGUUUAGUUUAUCAAGAUUCACUUAAUAUAAAUGUUGUUCUUAAUUUAUUUCACCUUGUGUAGGCCAUAUUUCACGUUAAGGCAGAGGUAGCUUUUGGGAAGGACAUUUCCUUAAGGAUACAAAGUCAUAAUAGGAGAUUACACAUUUUUCACCUAUUCGCAAUAACAACAAUGAUUAAGAUAUUUCAUAUACUGGUUGUUCUGAUGAAUUUAGUGGAGACAAUAUUAUUAAGUAAGCGUGAGUAAAACCUUCUAACUCUAAAAGCCUCCAGAAUCAUAAAAAAUAUAUAAUUGGGUCAUUGUCAUGAUCUGGCUUUUGAGCAAUAUUAUCCCAUUUUCUAACAAAUUCUUUUGCGGAUUUGCCCACCGCGGCACACUCUAUGUCUUUUUGGCUUUGAAUUACACAUAAAUUAGUAUUGUCAAGGAGGGACAUUGUUAAGAUAAAGUUAUAUGCCAGCAAGAUUGGGAAAAUAAAAUUAAUGGUGAAGGUCACAACACAUUCUCAAAAAUGUCAAUGGUAAAGAUUUUUCUCAUAGACUCUAGAAAAUGCCAAUGAAGAAUGGUGAGAAACAAGAUAGAUGUUGGCUGGUCUAUUCAAAAAAAAUUAGCGAAAAUCUAUUGUUUCCGUUGCAAGCUGUUCAGAGAUGAAAAGGAUACAACUCAAUUGACAAGCACGUGAUUCAAGGAUUGGAACAAUGUCAGAGUAAGGCUUGUCCAACAUGAAAGCAGUCAUGGUCACAUUGUGUGCAUGAGAAAAUGAAUGGAAUUAGAGUUAAGAUUGCAAAAGGAUAUAACAAUUGAUAAGUGUGCCCAAGAAGAAAUCAAGAAAGAGAAAAAUCAUUGGAGAGAAGUUCUUCUGAGAUUAUUUGCACUAGUGAAGACUUUGGCUAAAUGAAUAAUUCUUUCCGUGGAAGCAAUGAAAAGUUUGCGAGAAUAAUAAUGAGAAUUUUCUUAGCUUUAUUGAAAUGUUUGAAGAUUUUGAUCCAGUGAUCCUGGAGCACAUCAGGCGUAUCAAAGAACAAAAAACUCAAUACCAUUUUCUCAGCCACAAAAUUCAAAAUGAAUUGAUAGCAAUGUUGGGAUCAGAAGUGAAGUUUAAGAUCAUUAAGAAUAUUCAAGAGGCAAAAUAUUUUUCACUUAUUUUGGAUUGUACUCCAGAUGUUAGUCACAAAGAGCAAAUGACUCUUAUCAUUCGAUGUGUGGACGUUUAGUGGAUUCAACUCAAGUAUCCGAAUAUUUCAUUCACUUUUGGAAGUUGUUGAUAAAUCAUGAAAAGAGUUGUUUGAUCUUCUUUGUGAUACAUUGGCUGAUCUUAACUUGGACAUCGAUGAUGUGCGAGGAAAAGCCUACGACAAUGGCUCAAAUAUGAAAGGGAAAAAUAAAAGAGUACAAAAAGAAUGUUUGAUGUUAAUCCACGCGCAUUUUAUACGCAUGUGGUUGUCAUAGUCUGAAUUUGGCACUUUGUGAUAUGGCUAAAUCAUUUCCAAAAGCGAUUGAUUUUUUGUAUCAUCAAAUGUUUGUAUUGUUUGUAGUUGCCUUCUACGACUAGGUGGGAUAUAUACAAGAAAAUGGUUGGAGGUUACACACUUAAACCCUUAUCAGAUACUCGUUGGGAAAGUCAUCUUGAAAGUGUUGAAGCCAUACGUUUUCAAGAUCCAGAAAUCCGUGAUGCUCUGUUUUUCUUGGUUGAGAACACUGAUGAUCCUAAAGCUCGGAGUGAUAUUGAGUAUCUUGCGAUUAGUGAAACUCAUGGAAUCAAAAGAUUUGAGUUUUUGUUUGGUAUUGUUAUAUGGUAUGAGAUCUUGGCUGCCGUGAAUAUUGUGAGCAAGACUUUGCAAAAUGAAGAUACAAAUAUUGAUGCAGCGAUUAUUCAACUAAAUGGGUUUGUUUCGUUUUUUCAAAAGUAUAGAGAAACAUGUUUUGAAGCAGAAAAAGUUGAAGCCACAAAAAAUGUUGUUGUUAUGGAUAUCGAACCCAUCUUUCAUGUGAAAAAAGCGUAUUAUUAAACGAAUAACUCAUUUUGAUGAAGAGCCAAGACAAUCUUAACUUGAUUUGGUAGAUCUUUCGGAUUAUCAAUCUGAAGGAUAUUAAAAAUAAUUAAGCACAUUUGUCAUUCACUUAGAGGACAUAAUGUUACAACAAAGUAAGAGAGUAUAUGUACCUCAUGAAGUGAUACACCAAGAAAAUUAGUAGAUGAUGCACCAAUUAUAUCUGAUGCACAUUGGUCAAAAAGCAAACAUUUAGUCUCACCAGUACUAUCCAUAACCUUGGCAUAAAGCAAGUACCUACAAUGUAGUGUAAUUAUAUUUAGUGUCAAAUUCUACUUAUAUCAAACAUUGAAGAGAUUAUAUGUUCCACGUUGGUAUUACUUUGCAACUACUCUUGUGACAACAAUCUUGCAAAUGUCACACCAAAAUUUAGGUUUGGAUUUGCUAGCAUCUUUAUUCACACCUCCCUGAUGUAUGGGGGUCACCUUCUUGUUGCAGUUACAACAACUGAAGUAAUGUGAUGUCCAAUCUGUAUCAAUAGCAUAGAUUGUACACAAAAAUCUAACUUUCUCAACAUGUUAUUCAUAUAAAUCUCUUAGUAAACCAAGAGGCAAGUAUUACAACUUAGCAGAAAAUGUAUAUAUGUUUUAUAUAUUAUAGUACCUCAAAGCAACCUAACAGUUCGGCUAUGAUUCUUCUUGGAUGCUCUAGGCAACUAUCAUCUUUGCCCACGUUGACAAAGUCUAACCUUGGGACAGUAUCACAAACAGUAAGAGCAAGUCCAUCUUCGGGUAGUCUAGAUGUUGAUUGUAAAAUAAUCCAAGUUAAUAUUUGGAAUAAUCAAAUCUUAAAAACAUUUGUAAUUACAUUGCUAAAUUUAGGUUACAUACGAUUGAGUGAACACAUCAACUUCUGGAAAUGAUGGAUUAAUCCAAAGCUGAGAAGCAUCAAAUGAGUUGGAAACACUCUUCAUACCUGCAGUUUUUUACAUAUAUAAUUUAUGUGAUUUGUAUAUAACCGAUUUAAUCUUAGAUUUGCAGAGUACUGAUAUACCAUUGUAUGUCUUGAUUUUGACAAAUUUAAGAAUACAAACAACCAUGACUCAAUCGGAAUUGACACAGGUUGUUUGAAGUUGGGCUGCAAAUGCUCCCCACAAGGUACAUGACAACCUAUCAUCACUGAAAAUCAAAUAUUCAAUAUAUAUCAUUAAACAUAUAUAUAACCAAUUUCUAUAAACGUUUAGUAAACACAUAUGGAAUUAAAUUUCAUCUCAUGUCUCAAUUUGAAAUCAAUCUUAGUAGUAGUCUUGUUGUUAGCUUCCAGAGUUUCAAUCUCCCCAAUGUUGACUAUCUGGCACAUUACAUCUAGGAAGGAAACAAUAUAAAAUGAUAGUAUUAAAACAUUAUCAGUAUAAGAUAGAUUAAUAAUAUUAUGUAUGUUGAGAACAUACCAAUUAGCAUACAAGGAUUAAAGUCGCCACUCUGAAUUUUAGCAAACUUUGCGAACUUAAAUAGUUUGAAUCAGAGCCAGGAUCACUGAUGGUUACAGUUGUAACGUUGAUGAAAGCCAUCUUCUAAAGAUGGUUUGUAGGUCUAAAUUGACCAGUAGCAUGAGUGAGUUGGAAAUUCUCAAUUAACCUCCAAUCACCAACUAGAAGGUUAUUGAUUACUCGAGUAUUUAACCCGAUAACUUAGCCGAAGUAAAGUAUAUGCGGGAUCGAUCACAGGGAGGAAGGGUACACUAAAGACUUGUGAGACUUGUUCGUAGCUAAAGCGGAAAAGAUUUGUUGUUUGGUUUUUCAGCUUGUAAAUAAAAAUGCAAAUAAAAGAGAGAUUUAAACUUAUAAAUUAAACACAUUGGGCAUCAGGGUAUUUUCAGAGAAUCAAUAAAUAACAAAUAGAAGCAAUAAGGAAUUCAACAUGAAGAACCGUUCUUAAACAUGAACACAAGUUUAGACUAACUCUCUCUCAAGACAUUAAUCACUAAAUUUGACUAUUCAAUUACUAAAAUCUCAUUUGUAAUUUCCUAGCCAAAUUCGCAUUAUCAAUCAAGUUCAUUAUGUUCACAAGGCAUUCUAACAUCAACUCUCGCAGGUUAGAAAUACAAUGCUCAAUUUACAUUCAUUCAGGCAUUUUAUCGAACAUCUCUGAAACAAAUAAAAGCCUAAGUUCUAAAACAGGGUGAUCAAUCCUAUUCUAGCAUUGAGAACAUGUAAAUUGAAGAACCUAAAGAUCAAGAAUUCCCUAAAACAUCUAAUCCAUCAAAUCAUUGAAUCUCCUACUUAGAACCCUAAAACCCAAUAGAAGAACUACUCACACAUAUUGUAGAGAAUAACACAAAAAAUAUGAAAGAAAACAUGAUUCAAUAGAUUAAAAUAAGAAUAGAGUUUAGAAAUCUUCUCCAAAUUGUCAAAGAGGAUGGAUUCUUCUCCCCAAAAUUGUUUAGAAAGCAAAUAACAAUGUUUUUAACUGAAAAAUAUGAAGGAUAACUGCUAAAAAGUCGAACCUAUGGUAAAUAAACAAUAGAAGACGAUUUGGGUAUGUUCUGAAAUGUUUCGGAUCGAAUAUGGGCCAAAAAAAUGCGUCAGAGGUAAGGGAACGAUCGAUCCAAAUGUAGACCGAUCGGUCUUAUGCUCCCAGGUUUUACUUUUACAUCAGCUUCAACAACUCGUCAGAAUGACCUGUCUUCACAAAAUCAAGUGUACCUAGUGAAUGCACCGUUAGAUUUCCUUGAAAUCACUUGAAAAUGAAAGCUAACAUCUUUCUUCAUCUUGUGUCAAAAUAUGAAAAAGAUCUAACGGUGGAAAGUUGUUUAUCUGAUCCCAAACAUCUGACACUUCUACAUGAAUCUGCAUCUCCAGAUGUGUGUUUGCUUCCCAAAACAGCUCGUUUUAUUCCAAAGCAACCUAAAACCUGUAAAAAAUCUAUAAUGUACUAAAAGACUCUAAAAACACACUUUGACUCAAUAAAAGUUAUAAAAUGAAAAAGAAAAUAAAGACUUAAAACCGAUAAAAACACAAUAUAUCAACUCCCCCCGACUUAGAUUCUUGCUUGUCCUCAAGCAAAACAAAAAUCUUAAUCAUGAGAAGAGGUUUGAAAACGUGAGAACUCAUAUAUUCUUUUGGGAUCAUGCUCUUAAUCAAUUGCUUGCAAACCACUAUUACAAAGUUUAUAUCAAACCGUACAAUAAUGUACUUCACCAUGACAUCAUGAGACCCCUAAAUCACAAAGAACUUUAGAAUCAAAUAACUUAACCUUUUAACAUUCAUUAACAGUUGCAUACACUCUCACAAAGGGGAUAAAGAACACGUUAUGGUCUAGGUGUAAAGGCAGUUUUAGGUGGCUCAAGUGUUUAAGGUUCAGCAAUAAUAUAAGAACGGAUGCAAAUCAUUAUGCAAAAUAACAGUGAGACACAGACCAAUUGGGAGGUACAUAACUUCCCUCUAACUCGGAUCACCUUAACCAAGUCAAACCCCAAACAAAUCAUAAGUAUUAUAGAUGCUUUUCAAAUACAACCAAAGACAUAUCGACUUUUCCGGUUCCAUUCUUUCUCCUUUCCCGUUCUUUUCUCUUUUCUUUUCUUUUUUUUUGUUAGCAUUUUUUUCAUUUUUUUUACGGGUGAGUGGAACCGGUUCUCGUCUCACAAACUGCAUCAACAAAACUCAAUCAUGAUCGCUCACAGCACAUGCUCAUAAAUAUGACAAUAUAACCACAAGAACUCAAUGUCAAUCAUCCCAAACAACUACAAUUACAAUCCUAACUAAAGGAAAGUUAUGUCGGUCUGUAUACUCCGUAGUUUUUGCACAUGAAUGCACAUGAUGACAAUGACACAAGAAUGAAUGUAGUAUGAAGCAUGGAUAGGGCUAAAGGUGUGGUACUAGACUAAAGAUGAGUCUACCCAUUCAGAUUUUACAAAGAGUGGUAAAACAAUGCGGAUUAAACUCUGAAUGUAUUAUCCAUUACAUGAUUACCAACCCGCUAAGUGAGAUAUAAUAAGUCCAUAUUAAGUUCAAAUAAGCAAGGUUAAGCUCAAAUCAUCCAAAUUUUUUAGUGAGGGAUUAUACGAGUGAUCUAGUCAUAAAUUUUCCUGAAGUUUCAAAUUAUCCUUAAACAAUGCUAAAUGGUCCCAAGUCAAUGAAAUCAAGCAAGGUGCAGUUCCCUAAGAAAAGCUCAUAGUUCUCAAACAAAAUUUUGACUCAAUAAAACAAACUAACUGACUCAAGAAAACAUCAAAAUGAAACAUAAGAAAAAGCAAAUUGCAUCAGUAGACUAGUGACAUCAUCCCUCAGACUUGCUUCACACCGUCUCGGUGUGAGAACAAUUCCAAAAGAAAACGUCACAACCAAAAAGCAAAAAUAAAUAAAGAUGCAAAAAAGAAGAAUAAAAAUAAGAAAACUUACCUGGGACUUCUAGUGGGUUGCCUCCCACAAAGCGCUUAUUUUUGGUCUUUAGCUUGACCGCUCAACACAAAAUAUUAAUCAAAAGAAUCAAAAGGUUGAGCCAAUGCACCUUUAGUAUUUCUCCUGUUACGGCACACAACAAUAUGCACAAAGUAACACACAAUUAUCCAUGAUAAGGAGGCAAAAUAACCAUAAACUAAAUUUACUACAAGUGUAGCAUAUAUCUUGAAAUCUUCUUUGAUGGUAUAAUGCUCAUGAGGAUCAAAUGCAUUUGGUGGAAAUAUAAAAUCAAUUAAUGAGGUUUUAACAAAAUAGUCAACUUCAUCCCCAUUAAUUUCAUAUAGCACAAUAUUUCCAUCCAUAUAAUCAACCUCAAGAUCCUCAGUCUCAUCCAAGAUGUUAUCAAUAUCAAGCACAACUCCUAAAUAAGAUUCUGCUAGAAGAGAUCUAGAUAUUUCAGGCAUUGAAAACUUAAACUCGAGAUCAUGAACAUUCAAAGCACAAUGAUAUUCAAUAUCAAAACAUAUCUCAUGGUAAUCUCUAGCAAGUUUUUCUGCUCUUAAAGUAUCUAGUUGUUGAGACUCACCUAUGAAAUCAUAACAUUCACUGAUAAUCUUGGGAGUAUGCAAACUAGAAGCAACAUCUUCAAUGCAAGGCAUAGAAAAAUCCUCAAAAUCAUGAAUUUCAAAGGUUGAAACGCAUGUACCUUCUAUGUCGCUCGGUGGAACCCAAUAUAUUACCUUUUCAAGAUUAUGGGCUUCUUUGAUCUCAUAGCCUGUGAGUUGCCUUCCUUCAUAUGCUGCCCGCAGCGAUAUGAGGUACAACCGGAUCAUAGUCGCUAAGUCACUCCUUGUCAAUGUUGGAUUCUCCACGUAAAGUUUAUCCAACUUCACUUUUUGUUCCGGUGUAAGAACACUCUCAUCAAAUAGUAUUCCAUAAGAUUUUAUCUCCAAUAUUAGUAUUAUCAUAAUCAUCAAAUAACUGUAAGCGUAUUUAACCGAAACCAUGAUUAACCGUAACCGUAUAUAACUGUAGUCGUUUUAACCGUAUAUAUAAUGGUUGAGGUUAUGGUUAAAGAAAAUUAUAACCGUUCACCCGUGGUUAAUUAACCAUAACUGCAUUAACCGUAACCGUGGUCAUGCCUAUAAAGAUGCAUGCCUUCUAUAUAUUCUCGGGGCAUUCUUUUUACGGAUUAAAUUGAAACAUGUUAUGGAACGGGACUAUUCAGAGUGUGAACUAUUAAACUAGCUGUCCAAUACUAAACGAUUAACUUAAUUUAAAUAUUAAAGUUUAGUAAUCAUAGUUUAGACUUAACUAAUUUAAAAUUAUAUCUAUAUUUAUUAUAUGCACUACGAAUUAUUGCACAUUAUUAUAUACAUCAAACAAACGUAAAUAACCUACUAUAUCUUACACUCAUUGUAUUUUUAAUUUGAGAACCCUAAACUCACGAAACGGCUUCGUUUUUCUCAACUCUGAUGUCCCGUUAUUGCCACAAUAUCGGCUGACUAAUCGUCAUUAAGUGGUUCACUAACAUCGUUUUGGUAUAUGUUGAUUUUGGCUGAUUUCAUAUAAUUUAGGUUGCUUAUUUGCUGGGUAUCGUAGUUUGAGUAUAAAAAUACCGCCAACAAAUAGUCUGGGUUGAUUUUCGCUAUUUUCCCUAUAACCAUAGUAAUUGAUAUUCAUUACCAUUAAAAUUAACUAUUCAGACUUUGAAUAACUAAAAAUUCUAACUAGACUAUUGAUAAACCAACCCAUUCUAACACGACACAAUAAACAUUCGAAAUGAACCCACACUUUUUGAAAGAACCCAUCCCAUUUUUUUCUUUUAAACAUGCAAACCGGAUUAACCCAAUUAAUUCGAACCAGCUAAACCGGCCAUAAUAAUUUAAAUCAAUUAAAACCAGCAAUCUCAUUAAAGUAAACCAACAAUAUUAUCCAGCGGAAGACUUAAUCAAAAAUCCAAUAAAACAAUUCCAUUAAACCAACAAGUUCAACCAAACAUUAUUCCAAAACAUGAUCAUCCUAACAUGUUUCUAAAUUCCAUUCUAACACCCUAACAAAUCCAACAAUAAUCUAAAACACCAAUGAGUGCCUAGAUCAUCCUCCUCUCCUCGCCAUGAUUCCAUUGAUCACACUUUGCUUUUACAUGCAUCAAAGAAAGAGAUGCAUAAGUAUUUCAUAAAUACUUAGUAAGGGCGAUCCUCCCAUCUACGAGCUAUACACACAAGCAAUGAGAUAACACCCACAUAUAUAACAAUAACAAACCAUCCAGCAAGCUAAACAUCCAAUAACACAUCCAGUUCACAUACAAAUCAUCACACAACAAGUCACUCAAUCCCAAUCGCUUAGAUAAGCUCAUGGUCACGCACUCACCUUAACAAGGUGAUUUGAAUUACAAAAACAACCAGGAAAUACUCUCUUCGUGACUGCAACAGCCAAACAACGCCCUACAACAAACCACACAAACACAAAUCUCUAAGAACCAAAAGGACAGAAACAGCGAAAAAACUACAGCCGCAAAAACGAAGCUCUUAAACAUAAACUAACCGUUAAUUUCUUAAUCCCUACGGUGAAAAGCAAGAUCCCGACGUCACGAAGCCCCCCACAAAAUUUGGUGCCGAUCGGAGAAACGAUGAAACCACGAUCGCACUUAUAAACUCCGCUGAUCCCAAUUCGCAACAGAGAAAACGCGUCUCACCAAACUGCAUAUAACUCACUGAGUAUUAAUCCGAAUUCACUUCUGUAAAAAGGAGAAUCAACGUACACGCCUUAAGAACAAACCUACCAAAAUUCAUUACCUUUCGAUAAGAUUUGAUACGUCGUAACUCUAUUCUACCAGGACGUGACGAAUCUGCUUCUCUUGCCUUAAACACCAAAGCAAAGCUAACACUCUCUUUUUCACAAGUAAACUUCUCCUUCUCCUUUUCUCAACUCAACUCUCAGAAACAAGAGCCACACAACAAAAGAGAGAAGAAGCGUUCUUUAUAAAAAUAGGGUUUUUGGUUUAAUUCUGAUUAAACCAGAAUUUACCUAAACCGACUUUAAUUAAACCUCCUUUGGUUCAAUUAAACAAAUCGACCAGUUUAGCAAAUCAACCGGAAUUAAACCGACUCCACCCUAAUUAAACCGGAAUUAAGGUUUAGGGGUUAAGAUGUUUGUUUGAUAAUUAUUUAUGAUUUUUAUACCAAAUCACAAAUUUUUCAUGAAAUAGGUUUUAGUAUGUUUUUAUAUUAUUAAACACAUAGUAAUUAUAAAUACAAAUAGAAAAAACAUAAACAAUACUAUGACUGAUCAUCCACUUAUCAUUGAACAUAUGUUCAACUACAAAUGUAUAGUGUAUAAUAUCAAUUAAUUAGAUAACUUACUUAUAUGAUUAAACCUAGUAAAUAUCUAUAAAUUAUAGUGCAAUUGACUAUUAAUGUAUCAGUAGACAAAUGUUCAACUACAAAUGGAUAGUGUAUAAUAUAAAACUUAUCAAAAAUAUAGCAAUAUGCAUCUCAAAAUGUAAAGAAAAUAUAAUCAUAACUUAUUAUAUAAAAAUAAAUAGAUAAUUUUUGAUAAUAAAUACAUAAAAUGAUACUCUAAAAUGAUAACAACAAAAAAUAGUACAAGAAAAAGAAAGAAAUGAGAGAAGAAGAGUAAGUUCUUAGAAGGAAAAAAACAAGUAAAAGGGUAUUUUCGUCUGAAAAAAUGACACCUCAAUACAAAAGAAGGGAAUCAGUACACCUUCCCUUAAAAGUGUGUUUUCUUUUAAACAAGUUUACACAAAGUAGGUUAUUGUGUAAUUCACUCUUUGAAAAAUUCACCAAUUUUCUAUCCAUUUUUUAAAAAAAUUCCUUUUCAAAUAUGAAAAAUUGUAAACUUUUAUAUAGUUUAUAGAAAAAAUUGCACAAAAACCUACUUUCUCCACAAUUCAUUUCAACAUAACACACUUUCUACUAUCCCUAUACUUUUACUACCUGAAAUUACUAAACAAUCCUCUAACUGUCUAACUGUCUAACUCUAACUCUACAAUUCGUUCGGUUACUUUUCUUCUCCCUCUUUUACACUUUCUUUUUUACACUGUUUACGAAAGUAAAACUAAUUUAUUCACUCCAAUCCCUAAUUUUUCAACUCCUCCGAUCCCCAAUUUACCAACCACCGUCAUUGCCGAACCUCUUGAUUUUCUCCGGCUUGCCUAACCCUUUAAUUUUCUCACACUUCCGAUUCUCACACCCUCUGUUUUGCUCCGGUUGUCUCCAUUCCCCUAGUUACCAGACGCCGCCGCUUCCAUCGUUUUAACCCAACGCCGCCGCAUCCAUCUAUUUAACCGCCGCAUCCAUCUAUUUAACCCGCCGCAUCCAUCUAUUCCCCCGUUUUGUUAUUCCGCCGAAGAUGCCAUCUAACCGUCGCAUAACUAGAUUUUUCAAACCUAGCUCCGAUGCUCCUUCUUCUUCAAGCCAGCCCCCUCCAUGUUCUCCCUCUCCUGACGUUUCUGCAGACUGGGAUAAGUUUCUUCCCCCUCGUGUUUUUGCUACAGACCGUUAUCCCGAUGCUAGGCUUAAUGUUUAUUCCCGUCCCGACAUCCUGACAGUUAUAUGCGAUGUUCUUAGGGGAAGCAAAGAGUUGGAUAAGAUUUUGAGUUCCCGUUUGGGGUCCAUUUUUAGGCUUCGCAUAAGUGAAUGUCCCAUUUCGGGCAAAUUAAUACAUGCUCUCCUUUGCAGGCAAUUACUAUCCAAGAAUAAAUACGAGAUGUGGACGGUCUUUGGUGGAUACCCAAUGCGUUUUUCUCUGUUUGAGUUUGGUGCGGUAACUGGGUUGUCAUGCGGUGAAUUUCCUGAAGACUACGACCCUGAAUCCACCUACGAAGCUGCAGAUGAAUGUUAUGAGUUGAUUGGGGCAGAUCGUAAGUCCACCCUAGCUGAUCUUGGGAAAAUCGGCCAUUUCAUACCUUACCUAUAGUACUAUGUUCAAUUCAUACCUCAUAUUUUAUGGUGUGCACAAUCAUACCUGGAGUAAGCUAAACAUCUAAUAAACAACCUAAACUCGUUAAUUUGUGCUAAUCUAUACCUUAAUCGAAACGGUACGUGGAUGCCACGUGUGAACGACGUCGUUUUCAAUUUCGGGAGAAACCAAAAAAAUGAGUUAAACGUCGUCGUUUGUCUCAUCUUCUCCCUUCUUCCUUCUUUCUUCUUUGUCGAGAAAGAACCCAAGAGUCACGAUUCUUUUUUCAAUUGGAAUUCGCAUUCAACUAGCAACAAGUGUCGAUUCUGAAGAGUUUAUGACAGUAGAGUAAUCGUUUACGAAAACUGGAAGAAUGAGGUAAGCUUAAUCAAAUUUAGGGUUUUCAAAUUUAGGGAUUUUAGUAAAUUGACUGUAAUUGAUUGUGUCUACAUGUAAAACGUGAAGGAUUUCGUGUCUAUUUGUUUACUUUGGAUGAUAUUGAUCCGUAUUCUAAAGGAUUUCGUGUUUAUUUAUUCUUCAUGUUCUUUCUUUUUUCAGUUCUGAGGAAGACGCAGUAUUCCAGUGCUACAAUGGUGGAAAUUUUCAAGUUGUUAAUGGGAAUAAAGUAGCAUAUAUUGGAGGAGGGAUUCUCAGCCUUAAAAGCAAACCACAAGCUGUUAUGGGCAAUCUGAUGGAGGCACUGAGCGAUUCUCUUUGUGGGGUAAAGAUUUGGUAUAAGUUUCCAUAUGAGGAUUUUGCAGAGCUUAAGUUAUUGAGUGAAGAUCAAAAUUUUCAGAAAAUGUGUCUUGCCUCAGUUUGGAUAAAAUCGAUUGAAUUGUUUUUGGAGAAAGAAAACAAUGUCGAAGUUGGAGAUGGGUCUCAUAGUGAUAGAGAUGUUAGUGACGUUGAAGGUGAUAGGGCUGUUAGUGAUGAUGAAGGUGAUAGGGUUGUUGGAGAUGGUGAUAGAGCUGUUAGUGAUGGUGAAGGUGAUAGGGCGUUUGGAGAUGGUGAUAGAGGUGAUAGGGCUGUGAAUCGGGAAUUUGUUGACAUGGAUGCUAGAGUGGAGGAAAACUUAGCAGGUUUUGUUGAUGAAGAAGAGCAUGAUAAUUGUGAGGAUACUCCUCCUAACUCAGAUUGCGAGGAUGCUCCAAGAAGGUAUGUAAGGUGCAAGAAAGGUAGUGGAGAUAUUAGAUUAGAGCAAGUAUUUGACAGUAUAUCUGAUUUUAAAGAAGCUGUAAUUGACUAUGCUCUUAAAAAGGGAGAGAAUAUAAAGUUUACAAGAUGGGGAUCAGAGAAAAGUGAAGUGAGGUGUUCUAUUGGAGGGAAUUGCAAAUUCAGAAUUUACUGUGCGUAUGAUGAUGAAAUUGGAAAGUACAUGGUGAAGACAUUCAAUGAUGUCCAUGCUUGUACGACAGACGGGUUUUGCAAAGUACUCAAGAGUGGAAUCAUUGCUCAACUUUUCUUGAAUGACAUUAGGAGAGAUCCAACCUUGAAGCCAAAGGCAAUGCAACAAGCAAUUGAGGAGAGGUACACAAUCGUUUCCACCCCUGACCAGUGCCGGAAAGCUAAAGGAAAAGCAUUGAAAAUUAUUCAAGAUGAAUAUGAUGAACAAUUUGCUCGAAUACAUGAUUACAUGGAACAGCUUUUAGAGUAAGUGAAAUAUAUACACUUUGAUUUAUAUAGUUGUAAGUAUAACAGUUUGGUAAUAUGACUUGAAGCUUUUUGUGUUUGUAGAUCAAAUCCAAGGUCAACAGUGGAUGUUCAAACAGUUACUGACGAGUCUGGUGUAGUAAAGUUUGACAGGUUUUAUGUCUGCUUUGAAGCUAUUCGGACAACCGAUCCAGACAAGAAGCUUCGUCUUGCUCUUCUGCUCAUUGUUGAUGGAGUUCUCAUUGCUUCCAGCCAGACUCAUAGGCCAACUCCCAUAUAUGUUGGUACGCUUCAUGACAUUGACUCUUUUCUUGAUUUCCCAUGGGGCAGAGAAUCUUUUUUGAAGACCAUAUCAUCGAUGAUCCCCGAGUUAAAGACGUCAAUAAAACCAAUUGUCAAAAGACCAAGGAUUCAGGGGAAGGUCAGUAGCCCAUUAGAGAUUUUUACAGAACAAUUGCAGCAGAAGUCCCUUCGAUUGCAAGGAUUCCCUCUCUCACUUCAGUUGGUAGCUUAUCGCAACAUUCCCGCUUUACUCGACAAGAUCCCGGGGUCAGCUGAUCCUCGCACAUUCUUGGAUUGGCAUUCAAUUGGUAUUCCCAAGAACAACCUCCCAUUAACUGAUGUUCUGGCUAUUGAACGUUCACCUAAUGUAAGUAAAUUGUCCCCCCUUUAUACUCAUAUGGUUUUUUUUUAAAUUUUUUAUAGAGUUUUCUUUUUUAUACUACCAGUUUAUGUUCUAAAUCUGUUUUUGCAGUUAUCUGUUUCUCCAGUAAUCUAUAUUGAUCCGCCUGAGGAUGGUUGGGGAGAGUUGGACGAUGAAGUGAAGGACAAAAAAGUUUCUCAUUUACUUUCGCUCAUUGAGGAAGGCCAUGUUUUCACCAAAAAGGAGUGGCCUGAUGGCGAUUCUUCACUGCCCUACAUUUCCUUUGAUGACAAGAAGGAUAACGUUGUCCACCGGAAGCAUAUUGUGCCUAUGCGUAAGCAAGUGUCUGGGAAACUUAGAGUUAAACAAUCCCCAUCCAAACAUUGUAGAUCUUCUUCUUCAAGUUGCCUCCCUUCUGACAACACUGCUUUUGAGGAUUUCAAAUUGUAUGUGGACAAAGAGUUGGUUUCAAUGAGGGAAGAGUAUGACAAGAUGUUCAGAAAAUUAACCGCGCAGAACAAGAAACUUCGUAACAAGCUCAAAUCCCUUCGGUUUCAUCGUCACCGGAGACUACACCUUCCUCAUCGUCUUAAAAAGGUUGCUCCAUUUUUUGUAGAGCCUAAGAGUACAGAAGAAGUAACAACCAUGGUUCCCCCAGCUCAUCUUUCUCCUCGGAUUACAGAAGAAGAAACAAUCAUAGUCCCCCAGCUCAUGUUUCUCCUCGGGCCCCCCCCUACACUACAAUUAAUUCUCCUGAUAUAGAUGUUCGAUCUCCUGAAGACAUUUUUGAAUUAGACACAACUAGAAUCAAUAUGCGUCUCCCUCACCCAGCAAUGAAGGGAACAAGGUCAGCUUUUCAUACUUUUGUUAUAUGUCCACCUAUAUCCAUAUCUCUCUCCUCAAAAUUGUUUUCCUCUUAAUUCAUUUACUGAUUGACAGUUGGGUGUUCUUGGGGAUGUUAUUGGGGAAGAGGUAUCUGGCGUUUCUGGCUGCCAUCCUAUUUAUGACACUGAGAAUAAGAGUUCAUAUCCUCAUUCACCCCGAUAUGACACUGUCACAAAAUCUGGCUGUGGUGUUGGUUCACAGGUUUCAAAUUCUUUUGCAAUCCCCUGGUGUAACUGAUAUUUGUCUGAUAUAUUGUACAGUCUACUCAUUUUUUCUUACUUUUUUCUGAUGAACAUUGAAUGUGAUCCAUCAUCUGUCCAGGGAUUCAUUCCUUACACUACUUUGUUACAGGGGAUUAUGGAUAUUGGGAAGGUUAUCCAUAUUAUCUGUCUACAUUCCUUUAAAUUUUUUUAUUCUAACUACCUUCUACCUUUACAUUUUAAUUGUUUUUUUUUUCAGGGCAAUGGUGAAUCAGGAUCCACGACAUUUCAUCAAGCUCCUGUUGAUGUUAAUGUGGAAAGAAGACUUAUUCAAACUGCGGUAAAUCACUAUUUUAAAAUACUGCAUCCAUGAUAUCUUGUACACAUGGAUUUCGCGUUUUCCUUUUAUGCUUUCUUUCUAAAAAUUUUUUUAUUUUUAAUCAAGGCUGAAUCAGGAUCAGCUAUUCAUCAAGGUCAUACUGAUGUUAGUCCUAAAACUAGACAUCCCCAACCAGAAGUUUCCUUUUCUCAUUUAUUUCUGUUUCCACGUCCAUCUGACCACAUGGAAAUGUAAUUUCCUUUUUUGUUUGUUUCACCUUGCCCUCUUUUAUUCAAUCAUAAGGUUGAAUCCGGCACCAUAACCAUUGAGAACAGACUUCCACCUGAGACAACAAAAGAAGAUGUCCCUCAAACAGAGGUUUACACCAUACUUCUUUAUCCACUUGUACAUAUUGUUUCUGCGAACAAUCUUUCACCAUGAACAUAUGCUUCAGGAAACGCAUGAUAAUGAAGCUCAACUCCGCGUUGAUGGAUCCAGCUUUCCACGUGAGACAACAGAAGAUGAUGCCCCUCAGACAGAGGUUUGCAUCGAAUAUACCAUCCACAUCUUACUAUCCACAUGGAUCUGAUUUUUAUUUACAAAUUUACUUUGCUAGUUAAUUUCUUUAACCAUUCGAUGAAUGUUUUUUACUAUCCACCCAUCAAUGUACAUUUGUUUAUCCCUAAACACUCAUUCACCAUCAACAUAUUCUGCAGCUCAACAAUGCUGAAGCCCAGAUCAGUAUGCAGAAAACGCAUGAUAAGGAAGCUCCACUCACACUUCCUCCUGAGAUAACAGAAGAUGAUGCUCCUGCUCCUCCUUAAACAGAGGUUUACAUCAUUUUUUCAUUGCAAUACGUAUUACAUGUGCUUCUUUUAUUACCAUUACAUUUCAUGUACAACUUAUGCUACAGGUUAUCAAUAGUGAAGCACCUAUCAGUCAGGAAACAAGAGUACUUUCCACAUAUUAUUAACUCUAUCCAUGACAACCUAUCCACACGGAUUCAUCCCAUUCUCACUCAUGUAUGUUAUAUGACAAAUGUUUCAGGUAGAUGAGACAUUAUCUUCACAGUCACGCACACUGGUUAUCUUUGAGGUACUACCAUUACGUUUUUGUAAAUUUCAUUUGCUUCUUCAUUUUUUUAACAUGUCAUCACCACAUUUAUAUGACCCUCCUCUGAGCAGGACCCAACUCGUAAUUCCCAACCACCUAGCGAGUCUCUAGGCCGUGAUUCCGAGGUCUUCCAGCCUACUGUAUUAUCAACAAACCUUACAUCCAUUACAUUUUUUCAGACUAUAAUUUCCCUUCCUUCCUAGGUAUCCGGAGAGGUCAGUGAAGACAAUGAAUCCGAAGAGGGUACUGAAGGAGACGAUAACAAAUCUGAAGAGGGUACUGAAGGAGACAAUGAAUCUGAUAAGGUCAUCCAGUUUCCAUAUUUUUACACACAUUACAUCAUGUAUAUGUACAGGAACUUACACAUUUUCUUACUUCCCAGGAACAUAUUGAUGUCAGCGAUUCUUCUCCUGCCAGACCUAGGGAGAGGGGUGUAUUAUCAGCUUCUGAAGCAGAACUUAUGUGUCUUGUAUUGAAUACGCGUACUCCCUCCAUCUCAUAUCAACCCGACUUGUUACCUCGCGUGGACAGAGAGGUCUUAAAAACUUUCAUGAAAACUUUAAAAGCAGUCCCCAAUACGUAAUUCACUUUAUACUUAUUUCUUCUCAUACAUUUACUAUAUAAAGAAUAGUUGGUUACUAAAUAACUCAAUACAGGGCACACCUAACCAAAUGUGGGUUCCCACUUGACAACAAUUUCCUAUAUGCCCUUGCGAAACCAACCAAUUGGGUGAAUCAUUUGGUUUGUUUUCCUUACUUUCAGCUAUAACUUAACCACAUUCCAUAAUAUUUGUUGUUUAUUUUUUGUCUAUACCGAUUUCUAAAACCUUUUCACCUUUUUUCAGCACAUGAAAGUUUUAGUUUCUUAUUUGCAGAGGAGGCAUGAACAAGUUCUCUCCAUUGAGCGAUCACGUUUCAUGUCCCCUUGGCUCGCUAAUUAUCUACAGGGCAAGUACAAGACUUUCAGUGUUGCUAAAAUGAAGACUCGUGUUCGUUGGGACGACCAACUCAAACGUUCUUUGAAUGGCUCUCCAUCACAGUGGUUUGAUUUAUGGGACAUGUUGUACAUUCCUAUGAUUUGGGGUGACUCUCAUUGGGUCGAAUUAGCUAUUAGCCUUCCUAAUUGGUCUAUAGACAUUCUCGAUCCGAAUGUGCUUCUCAACAGCGACUCAAAUGUUGGUAAUUACAUAGCUCCCGUUGUUGAGAUGCUCCCAUACAUCAUUCAAAAAUUCUGCAACCCCCCUGCGACUCAAAGUCAUGGCUUAGCACCUUUCAAGUGGUCUCGACUAAAAGAUGUCUAUGUCAAUGAGAGAUGCGGAGACUGCGGCCCGGUUGCCAUGAAGUUCUUGGAGAUUUAUGCAACCGGUUCUGGUGCAGAGACAAUGUCUCUAAUUACUGAUGAGAUUGUUGAUGACUUUAGAGGACAAUAUGCUUUGGACAUAUACAGGGAUCUCGUUGCACCGAUUUACACGUAGUAUAUCAUGUCCACACCCCACCUAUCCAUUUUGUACAAACGUGUAUCUUCUUGUAUCACCGAUCCAUUUGUACAAACUUGUAUCUUUCUGUUUUUUCUGUUAAAACACUUAUUGUCUUUUGUUGUAAUACUCUGUAUUAUAAACUGUUUAGGAUUUAAUUUUGUGCUAACCUAUCUUUUUUUAUUAUUUCACAUGAUCAAUAUAGCCUUCUUAUCUGCACAAACUUGUAUCUUCUUAUUUAUAGCCUUCUUAUCUGCUAUUGUAAUUACAAGUUCCGUCAAAGUUGCCUUCAAUAACUAACCACAUGUUCAAUAGUUUGUGGAUAGGUCAUUAUUACUUGCUAAUUAUUAUAUAGCAUGUUUUAUUUAACUUCUACAUAUUAUAACUUUUAUCUAUAUAUACUAUAAAAAUGCUUAUUUUGCAUCAACAGUAUGGCCUUCGACCUAAUCAACAAUUUCUAAAUUUAUAUUUACGAACCGAACAUCCACAUGGAUAUCUAUAGAUGGAUAGAUGACAACCUCGAGAGAAGCACUAUAUUUUAUUUUAUUUUUAUUUUUUUUCAUCUAUAUAGGAACACCAAUCUGCUUUUGGGUAUAUAUACUGAAUCCACUAUAUACUGAAUCCUCAACAAUCUAACCAGAAGAAUUACAUAUUAAUAGAAGAGUAACCUUAGACAUUUGUCAACCCAAUUAGGACCCGGAGCAAAGGUUUCCUACGACUGGAUCGCCGCUGUAAUGGAAUUCGCGAAGGGGGAGAGUAGCACGGAUCUGACUCUGCCGAUGUGUAGUUGUGGAUUGCCUGCUAAGAUCUUCACAUCGAAGACAGAACGGAAUCCUGGUAAAAGGUUUUACGGCUGUCAAUUGUACAAGAUGAGUGUUGAUUAUUCCUGAUUUGAAAUAGAAUAUCCUACUGUUUGGUGUUCAACAGUUCAGCUUUUUAAUGUAGGUCGCUGGUACUCAACACUGCAAAUUUUUUAGGUGGAUGGAUAUAGCAAAUUAUAGAGGCAGCACUGAAGAAAAUGUUGUCGAAAUCGAUGAGAAGGAGAACCUAAUUCAUCAACUUGGAAUAGAUAACAUGGAAAUUCGUAGACAUUUCGAAUAUCAGCUGGAAACAGCGGAGAGAGUCAUACACAGGCAACGAUUGGUCAUAGAUGGGUUAUCUGGAAUGCUUGUGUGUGCCUUUGGUGUUAUUGUAUUUGGUUGAUUUUUGUCGUUUAGUAGACAUAUGUAACUCGGGUAUUGUUACGAUUCUGGGUUUUUUGCGUUAAUUUCCAUGUUUCUGAACAUGUUUAGCAUUAUUAUGAAGUUUAAAAUUGGUAUCUUUUUGAUUCCGAGUUUACAAUUUAUGAAGUUUAUGUUUGUGCUUAUAUCGUAAAUAUGUAUCCAUAUUGAGCCCUCCAUGUGGAUUAUUCCUUAUUAAUAUCCCUUACAUCUUGCAAAAGCUUAUAACCCAAAUUAUUUCCAUCUUUUUGUUUAUGUCUUGGCGUUUUAUGAAGUUUCAAAUCUCCUUACAUUGGUUCUAUGUAUCCAUAAUGGUUUACCCCCUUACUAUGUCCCUUAUAACAUUGGGAGAGAUUGAUGGGCUAACCCUUCAACACCCACAUACAUACCUCAAUUGUAAAAGUUGGUUACAGCUAAUACCUUUUUCAUUUUGGAUGCUGUUUUAAUGGUUACCUAAUGUUGUCAUACAACAUGACAAUCCCAAAACUGCUAUUUUCCAUAGGUUAAUAGUGUGUUGCAUACGUGUUAAAGCAACUCUACUAAUCCCUACUAAAUUCACAUAAAACUAGGAGAUCAUUGUAUUUUUCUUUUAUUUAAAGUUAAAGAAGUCCCAAAACUAGGAGAUCAUUGUAUUGAUAUUAUGGCGUCCCCAACCCGCUCCAUUGGGGCUGUUCCUAAAGAUGGUGGUGUAGAGGUAUUUUUUUGUACUCCGAUUAUUGUGUUUCUAUACAAUGUGUUUUAUUGUUAUUUAGUUUGUAGAUAAUGUUUUUUGCAGGGUUGUCCACCUAACAAUAUCCACAUACCAGCUGCGUUGCUUGCCAAAAUCGUCUCGUUAGUUGGAGAGGAUGGUGUUGACUCGUUGAAAAACUGGAUUAAAGCAAGCCCAGAGGGCAAGGAAGCUGUAUUUUCAAAGGAAACACAAUCAACUGUUCGGCUAGACAAAUCUGAAGAUUUCCUGUGGUGCACAAUGCCGAACUCGAUAUACCAUAACUUCUACAGCAAAUGCCUAGCUGAAAACAAUAUGUAUGCAAACUGGGCAUAUCUAAACAAAGUAUUUGCCUUUGAAACUUUAAUGGAAAUCUACCUCAAGAAGGGUCGGUGGUCACCAUACCCUGAGAUUUCACCCCUCCUUCAGACUGCAUCCCUCCCUGAACUAGAGCAUGAAAACGAUGAUAGGUUGGAAGCACCACCGCGUCUAAUGAGAGUAGGAAGACCUAUGUGUCCUCGUUGCAGAAGAACUGCCCACCAUCCCUCAAGAUGUCAGCCUUUGACCCAAUAAGUUCUAAAACAAAACUCGCUGUUUUUGUUAUCAUGUUUAUCUUGUGUUAUGCAUUACCCUUCUAAGCCUGUAAUGUUUUUUUCACCUAUGUUAUAUGCAGUAGGGUUUUUAAUGUAUUAGUUCAUUUUCAGUUCUCCGUUUACUUAAUUCCAGAUACCUGGAGAUGUAAUGUAAUGGAGUUUGAUGCGGAUUGAGGAUAUUAUAUAUCCACAAUUUGUGUUUUUGUUACUCCCCCCAUAUGGAUUAUAACACUUUUUGUGGAUUGAGUGAUGUGGGUCGGUUAUGCUUUAGUGUAUAUGAAUCCACUAUCCUUUCUUUUUUGUGGAUACUUCAAUUUUCUUCGUAUUUUUAAGGGUAUAGUUAUUUUUUAGGAUAUAUUGUAUCCACUAAGCAAGUUUAAUAUUGUUUGAUUUUAAACUUUACGGUUUUAUAUAAGUAAUCCGAGUGUACUCGAUGCUUUAGGGUAUAGAAAGUACCGUUGAUGUUUGUGAGUUAUCAUUUCAUCCAUACAUUAUAUAAUCUGUAGACUAUAUAUAUCAUAGGAAGCUUACAUUUGUGUAUUAUAUCCUCAAAGCAAGUUUAUUAUGGGUUUUUUUUUAACUUUACGUUUUCUAUGUUUUAUAUAAGUCACCCCUUCUUGGAUAAAUACCCUUUUUCUUAUUUUCGAUUGUUUGCUGUCUGCUGUGGAUACUAUCUGCUUCCGCUGUCUGUUUACUCAGUUUAGGGUAUAGUCAAGUAUUAAAUAAUUUUGAAUCAACGAUGUAGUUUGUUUUUGGAUACCUCAUAGUACAGAGGGUAUAGUUAGAUUGCAAUAGAAUAUAUAUAUCAUAGCAAGCAAACAUUUGUGUAUUAUAUCCUUUAAUGAAGUUGAAUAUGUAAUUAUUUUGAACUUUACGUUGUAUACGUUUUAUAAGUUCGAUUAAUAAACUAUCCCCUGCUUCGUGUAUACUCUAUACUUUAGGUUAUAGAUUCCUCAGUUUAGGGUAUAGUAGAGUAUUACAAAUUUUUGUAUCCACGAUAUAGUAAGUUUUUGGAUACUUCAUAUGACAGAGGGUAUAGUUAGAUUGCUAUAGACUAUACAUAUCAUAGCAAGCAUACAUUUGUGUAUUAUAUCCUCUAAGGAACUUUAAUAUGUAAUUUUUAUUAACUUUACGUUUUAUACGUUUUAUACAUUAAUUAUUAAAUUUGUGGAUACUCUACGCUUUAGGUUAUAGGUUCCUCAGUUUAGUCCAGAAACCAAACUCGGUGAUUUAGGGUAUAGUUAUAGUGCUUUUGUGGAUACUAAUUAUAUCUUACGAUGAUUUAGGGUAUAGUUACCUCGAUAGUCUUUAUAUAUUGAAUCCACGAAUUCUUGCAACGUUUGGAUUAGUAAAAAAAAACUACAUUCAAGAAUUAAUAGAUACUCUACGCUUAAUUAUUAAAUUUGUGGAUACUCUAUGCUUUAGGUUAUAGGAUCCUCAGUUUAGUCCAGAAAUCAAACUCGGUGAAUCUACGAUAUAGUGCUUUUGUGGAUACUAAUUAUAUCUUACGAUGAUUUAAGGUAUAGUUACCUCGAUAGUCUUUAUAUAUUGAAUCCACGAAUUCUUGCAACGUUUGGAUUAGUAAAAAAAAACUACAUUCAGGAAUUGAUAGAUACUCUAUGCUUAAUUAUUAAAUCUGUGGAUACUCUACGCUUUAGGUUAUAGGUUCUUCAGUUUAGUCCAGAAACCAAACACGGUGAAUCUACGAUAUAGUGAUUUUGUGGAUACUAAUUCUAUCUUACGAUGAUUUAGGGUAUAGUUACCUCGAUAGUCUUUAUAUAUUGAAUCCACGAAUUCUUGCAACGUUUGGAUUAGUAAAAAAAAACUACAUUCAGGAAUUGAUAGAACUCAUCCCACCCAAAGACACACUUUCAUGUUUCUAACUGUGGAAAGCAUGGGGACACUCUGGAAUGCGAGUCUGGGGGUCACGCCAGGUGGUAAAUCUUGCGCAACGUGGGCAACGAGGUCGUCCAAUAGUCCGAAGUAGUCUCUUAACUUCCCUCUCUGCAUUAGGAGCAUUCCCUAAAUAUGUAAGAGACCAACUACCUCCCAUGUAACCUUCGCUGGCUAACGCCCCGAAAGUAUCACUUGAUUGUCUAUAGCCGCCCUAGCAUAAGGAUUGCCCGCUUCAACACAUUUGUUGAAGAAGGAGAAGUACUUCGAGUGUGGCAUGCACCACCAAAUGAAAUGUUCUGAUUUGUCCAGUCGAACGGUAGAGAGACAUUCUUUUGACAAAACAGCCUCCAUCCCUUCUCUACCAUUCCUUAGUAAGUUUCCUAAAGCUUCGGCACCAUCUGCACCGAGAGACGCUGCUACUUGUGCUAAAACUGCUGCCGGUAUGUGGAACUCAAAGCGUGAAACAUUGCUGGUAAGAUGAACUAAAAUCAGUUACAAAACAACAUCAUUAAGUGGUUGGCAAUUUUACAAAAUUUCUUUACCUUAUGGGAUUCAUUUUCCGUCGGCGGUGUUAGCGUCUUAACCAUUUCUUGAAUGUUAGACUGUUUGUUUUGGGAAAUAUUAUUUAUGAACUUCGUAUAUAUUUAUACACUAGUGUUAACUAUCCAUGUCAUGGUAUCCACAUGGAAAGGUCUACUGCAAAUACUGAUGCUGACCUUUCAACAAUACGUAAAACUAGGGAAGCAUCUAAUUUUGGUUAGUAAAACGUAGUAUGGUCUAGCGGUCCGUUUAGUACUCCAUUAAAGGGUAAUGUACUUCUCUUCCCCAGAACUUACUCCCGAAAGUAUAUGUACUUAUUAGAGCAAAUUUGUACUUACUGCAGCACGAAACCUACAUUGGGAGACAGCUAAGUUGACAAGACCUGCUGCCUUUCAAUGAACCAAAAACAUUUACAUGUGGUUAAACGAUUCAUGGAUAGUAAAGAAGAAUAAAACUGAACUUUAUGGUUAAACUAACUAAACAACUACUACUUUGCUUCAAAACACACAUAGGUGCAUCCCCGGGUAAUUUUUCAAUAGAUCCAGAAUUCAUAAACAGAACUGAUAAUGUUUAAGAACAAGAGUUCAAGUUCUACAAAUUUGCUUUCAAAUGAAGAUUACAGAUUUUAGGAUAAAAGCAAAAUGUCUCUUGAAAGAUAAUAGUAAAUGCAAUCCAUACACCUCUGGCAGUUAUUCUCCCGAAGUGCAUCGUGGUGCUCCCAACACCAUGGAAAAUCGUUAAACCAAGUAUUGGAGUAUGUACUCAAACGGCGCGGACCAAUUGAAUAAAUGUGAAACAUUAAAGCAUCUCCCAUCCUAGAUAUGUCUUCGUAAGGAUACUUGCUCUUCAGCUUACAGAGGUCGUUUGUUUUUAGGCAACCAGCGCAACUUUGGAGCAUGUAGUAAGCUACUUCCGAAACUGGGUAGAUGUCUUUGAUGGAUCCGAGGACUUCAAUGGACUCCUGGAUGUUACACGCUUUAAAAGCAAGAUACAAUCCUCUAACAUAGACCGCAUACGGAUUUUUCACAUGUAAACACGCACUGAAAAAAUUGUAAUACGGAAUACUAUGUCUGCACCACCGAACAAAAUCACUACUCUUGUCUAACCUAACUGCAGCCAAAGUCUCCGGUGAUAAAACAGCUAUUUUCCCUUCCUUUCCAGUUUUGAUCCAAUUCUUAAGAUCUUCUACGCCAUUUGCGGCCACAUUGCUGAUAACCUUGGCUAAUACCGGUCGAGGUAAGUAGAGAUUCGGCAGCGGUGUCCCCUGUAUAGAAACAUUUUUUCUUUUUAAGCGUUCGUUUUCUGGGAAAAUUUUGAAGUAAGGAUUGUGAUAAGGAUUAUACCAACAGUUGGAGGAGGGGUUUCAUAUCGAAAACCAUUGCUAUGUCUGCUUCGCGUGGCCUAAGAUUUAGCUUACUACGAGGGUAGAACUUCGUUUCUGCCGUUAUCCUUCUCGGUAGCGAAUUAUCUUCUGGCUCGUCGCUCGAGUAUCCAUAUUCAGAUUCCAUUCCUGUUAAAGGUGAGCAGUAACUUUAUUGGAAAACCAUGUAGUCUAUAUAUAGUGUAAAAGGCAGAAUAAAUUUGGUUUUAAGUUAACUUUUCCAUGUUCCUGUUAUCCAGGAAAUGUCGUCCAUGAUGGAUACCUUUAAGAGGUUGAUUUACAAGGAACUGAGACCACAUUGACAUCCUAUCUCAAAAAUCUCUACAUGACAUCCUAUCCAUCAUUUUAAUGUCCAUCUGAGACCAAGUUUAUAGUCCCCUAUUCAAUUGAAUGUGUAUGCAAUUUGAUCUGACUAAUGACUACAUGACAAACUACCUAUGUAUACAAUGUCCAUGUGGAUACCCUAACGUUUUAACCAAAAUCUAUACUUGUUAUUCUAUCCAUCUUUACACUAUCCAUGUGGAUAUUAUUUUAUGGUACAUUUUUCAUCUUGAUGGAAAUAAAAGGAACUGGGAUGUCAUGAAAGAUCGUGAAACUUCGAGAUGGUACCCUAUUCAACUAUAUAUGUCCGUGUGGAUGUUACUUUUAUGUGUAUGCAAUUUCAAUGGAUCAAUAUAAAAGAAAAGGUUUCCAAAUGGAUUCAUAUAGGUUUGAUUUUUGUGGAAACAAACUUCCCUUAGAAUAUAGACCCUGUUUCUUGUCAACCAAAAAUCAUACAAGCUUACAAAUAUAUAAAGAAAUACCGAUAAGAUUCCACAUUUCAACUUGUGAUUUACAAAAAAUAUUAUCGGACACAACCCGCACACAAAUAACCUCCCCAAAAAAUUUCAGCUCGCUAGACACCUAACAUCUCACGGCAAUGGGUUCGAGCAACUAGCUCUGUUAUGCCCUGUUCCUCUGCAUCGGCCACACUUAUUAGCUUUUGGUUUUCCAGUUACAUUCUUCUGCCAAAACAAUUAUUUGUUUUCGUUUCAAUCUGACGUUAAUAUAGUUCCAUGAAAAUUGUUGACAAAUAUUUAUACUAACCAGAACUUCACCAGUUGAAGGGAUCCUUAGCUUUGGUGGACGCCCUGAAGGUCUUCUUGCUUUAGGCGGGUACAAUAAAUGUGUUCGAAUUUCUUCCGGGACGUUAACAUCAGUCAUUUCCGGGUUUAUUAUCCCUUCGUAUGUAGAUCUCCAAUCUUCUGUUUUGUAGAAGUCACCAACCAAAGAUGAAAAUGGUAUCCUUUGGCUGUUAGCGGCCAACAAAGCGUGCCCACACGGUAUUUUAAACCUGUCAUACUCCCUGCAUGUGCACUGUUUCAUGUCUAACAAAUUCUUACCGUUAAGCAUUCCAACCACUUCAUAACUCCAACUUGAAAUCAUUCCAAUUUGGCUUCCUUUCACAGUCAACAAUUUUUUUGUCAUUUGCUUGUCCACCUCAGGAGUUGUUAACCCAAUGUGCCUACCAGCCUUUUUUCUCCUAGCACUGAACCACCUCGUCAACAUUGCUCGUAUAAACUUAAGCAACUCAACUAUUGGUGAACCUCUCCCCUUCCCUAAAGCUUUGUUCAGUGACUCAGCUAUGUUCGAUGUCAUCAAAUUAUACCUAUCACCUUGGAAAUAAGCUCUCGUCCAAUGAGCUGCCCCUAUUUUAUCCAAAUAGGCGGCACAGUUGCUGUUUUUUACUUUAAUCAUAUUAUAUGUUUCCCGGUAUGAAGCAAUCUUAUACGAGAACGCAGCUUUUGUAACAAGUUUUGCUAGUCCUUUGUUAUGGAACCUAGCGUUCACAUUCCUUGCUAGAUGAACUAUGCAAGCUCUAUGAUGUGUCAGUGGGAACACCCUUUUCUUCGCAGUUUAAAUCGACCCGUUCCUAUGAGAUAUGAUUGUCAGCGUCUUGCUGUCAGCUAUAAUCUUUUCCAACUUUUCAAAGAACCAUGUCUAAGAAUCGUCAUUCUCACUAUCCACCACAGCAAAGGCUAGUGGAAAUACCUGAAAGUUAGCAUCUUGUCCACUUGCUGUUAGCAGCACCCCUUUAUACUUCUCAGUCAGAUGAGUCCCAUCAACCACAAUCACUAGUCUAAGCUUCCUAAAACCUUGGAUAGAUGCACCGAAUGCCAGGAACAAAUACAAGAACCUUUCACUGCCAUCUUCCUCAAGUUGAGUCUUCAUAUCUGUAAUAGUCCCUGGAUUUGCAUGUUUUAGAACAUACAAAUAUUCUAACAGCUGGUCAUACGACUCAUCUUCUGGACCAAAUAUGUCCUCAACAGCUUUCCCUUUUGCUCUCCAACAUUUGAUGUAUGAUGCCGAUACCCUAAGAUCCUCCAGUACUAAUUGCUGUAGAUCCUUUGGCACAGGGCCUUUCGUGGGAUCAUUGUACUUUGAUCUGUAUACUGCAGCAAUCACCCUAGAUGUUGCUUUCUUCAAAUAAUUGUUCCUUGUUUCUAUAGGGCAAGUUUGUUCCAAAGUAGCUUUCCUUAUCUCAUAGUAACCACAUCCCUUCAAUUCACAUGCUAGUAUCCUCCACUGGCAACGUUCACCGCUACAUUCCAAUACGAAAGAACCUUUCUUGGUAGUAGUCUGGGUGAAGUGGAACAUAUUCUGUAUGGCAUAUAUAGCUAUACCAAUCUGGCACUCUUCCUUACUUGCAAAAAUUUUCCCUUUAUAGAUCCCUUUGCCAUCUUCAUCUAUAUCUAGGUCUGGUAUAUCAUCCCUCUCAUACUCUAUGUCAUUAAACAGAGGAGGUAUAUCAAACUCCUCAUCAUCGAUAUCCUCUAGUUUACGUUCCUCUGAAGUCUGCUGCCCACCCAUAGCUGCCGCCAUAUAUCCAUGUUGCUCUGUCCAUGUGGAUGGUAUAGAGCCAUUAUUCCUCGUCGCUGUUUCAUGUUGAUUUGUCCAUGUGGAUGCUCCAGACCCAUCAACCAUGUUAGGCGCCUGCCCUGUUAAAAUUGGAGGCUCUUGCUCGACUUUCAUAUGAACUCCUCCAAACUCUUGUCCUGUAACACUAUCUGAAUUACACAUCACCUCAACCACAUUGACCCGUCCAUAAUUAUCUCCUAUGAAAUUGCCCCAAAAAUCUGUAUCGUACGCCUUUGGUGUCACAAAAAUAUCACUUUCGCCAUCUAGGUCAUCUACUCCGAAAUCUUCAUGCGCCUCUGUUUGUGUAUCAUCCUCAGUUUGUGUACCAUCCUCAGUUUGUGUACCAUCCUCAGUUUGUGUACCAUCCGCUGUUUCAUUUGCCUUUCUCUGGUCCUCUGCUUCUGCAACUCCUGCAAGGAAGGCCUCGUCUUCCUGCGUUACAUCAAUCACAACAUUCUUUGACCCGGCUGUUGAAGCUUCUCCAACAACAUCUGCAUCCUCACUUAUGUUCAGCCCCGCGGGAGAACCACAACUCCGUUUUCUACCACAUUCACCAUAGCUAAUUUUCUUUUCUUCCUCUAAACCUACUUCGUUUUGUCCCCUCUUCCUUAGUUCCUCAAAUGUCACAAACAAAUUUAAGUGCCUAUCCCCCCGUAACAUCCGAAUAUAAAAAUCCAAAGCAACAUUUGUCGUAACCAUUACUGGAGGCGCCCUUAAACCUGAAGCCAAAUGCAAGUCAGUAGGUAGACAAUAUCUCAAAUAGCUUUUUUAUGGACUAGACCGAACUCCUCCACCACAGCUUCUUCUAAUUCUUGCAAUGUUGUACCAGGCGACAAUGGCACCACUCUCGUCAACAGGACCUGGUCAACAGUGUAGUCGCACACAUUUAAAGUGGUAAAUUCCCACUUCCCCGACACCACUACACAGAAAGCCGGAUAAUCAUCCUGCACAUAAUCAAAUGAAACGUUAAUCAUUGUUUCCGAAUCCACAUUUCCGAAAGCAAAAAACCUUAUCCACAAAAGCAUACCUACGCAGCCAUGCUCCCCAGAAUGAAACCCCAAAAACCUAAAAGCAGCUUAGUGUUUUUAAGUUUUUAAUUGUCUCGCGUGGGUUACUAAAGAGUAACUAAACGACAUCAUCCAAAACUAAUUCAAUUACAACUUAUCUUUCAAAUCAGCAGGAGGGUAUUUUCGUCAUAUAAAUUGACACCUAAGUAGAAAAGAUGUGUAGAAGUUCACCUUCCACCGGAAGUGUGUUGUCUUGCAAACAAAAUCUAGCAAAGUAGGUUAUUCAACAAUUCACUCUAGUUUAUAAGGUAUAUCUAGAUCAUCAUUACUAUUGGAAGUCUCAAUACAAAUAUUUAUAAAGUUUUAAAAAGGUUCUAAUCGGCAUUUAUAAGACUUUUAUAAGGUUUACAAAGUUUUUAUAUGUUUUUUAAGUAAUUUUAAAAAGGGUUUCAAAAGGUAUUUAUAUGGUAUUUAAAUUUACACACAUAGAAAGAUAAUUUGUGUCUAAAUAUAUAAGCUUACACAUUUUUUUUUAUAAAUAUCAAGUUUUUUACUUUUUAAUUAUCAAAAGUACCCUUUUUUCAUACCACUUUUUAAAAAUACCCCUAUUUCAAAUUUUAUUUAAAAAACCACUUUAAAUGUUGAAAUUUAUCAAAAUAUGUGUGAAAACUUGUAAAUAUACACACAAAUUACCUUUAUAUAUGUUUAAAUUUUUAUAUAUCUUUCAUAAUAGCGUAAAAUAGGUUAUAAAUAUCUCUUUAAAACCUGUUAAACCCUUUUAAAAACCACUUAAAAACCUUAUAAAACUUGUAAAAACGAUUUAAAACCUUUUAAAAUAUUAUAAAAUAUUUGUAUCAAAUUUCCAAGUAGUAGUUAUUAUAUAGAAGUACCUUAUAAACCAUAUAAACAUGGAUAUUUUUGAAAAUGGAUAGAUGAAUGAGGUAUUUUUGAAAAGGGGUACACCAAAAGGGGUAUUUCUCAAAAAUUCUCUUUAUUUUUUUAUAAUUAUUUUUUAAUGUUGUUUAAAAAUUCUAUUUGUAUCUUAAUAUUAACAAAAUUAGAUAUAACAUGUUGCGACAUCUUAUGUUUUUACUUGACACUUAUCAUGAUCACGUGAGUUAGUAAAUUUAUAAACCAAGUUUCGACAUAUAAUCUCGUUUAACUGUUAAACUUAAACCAUAAUUUUAAUUUAUAAAGAUAAACCAUAAUUCUUAUUUAUCAUUAUAUACCCAAACCAAAAAAUAACCUGAUUUAAUUGUAAAAUUAAAGUUUAAACCUUAAUCAUCUUCUAUAAACAAAAACCGCCAUAUAUUCUUGUUAAUUAUAAAUUUUAAAUCCCUAUAUUAUUAUUAAACCAAAUUGACAUAACUGAAAUUAGGUUAUUUGUUUAAUUUUAUUAAUAUUUUUAAUAUAUAAUUCUUUAUAAUAUUUAUUUUAUAUAUUUCCUUUUUCGAUAGGGUUAAUAAUAUUUCUAUUUUAUCCAAAUAUUAACAAAAUUACGACACGUGUCAACAUUUUAUCGUUUAUAUGUGUCACGAUCUUGUUAAUGGCUUACUUUGAAAACCAAGGUUUAUAUAAUAAGAUAUAUGUUUUUAGGUUUUUUUAAAAUUAUAUUUUAGUUGCAUCGAAUCAAAUAAUUCGCUAAUAUCACAAAAAAAAAAUCGAAUAUUUGAAAAUGUUUGAAUCGAAACAAAUCCUAAAUUAUAUAUUCUCAGUCGAGAGAAGCAAAUCACAUAUACCGCGGGGUUUACCAAAUUUUCGCUUCGUGUGUAUGCAUAGCGUGUUGACCCAAAAAAAAAAAAUAUGCGUUGAAUUUUCAGGAAAGAGUUUUGGCCCGUCACUUAUUUAUGAUACCUCUGGAUCAUUGAGACAAGAGAACCCAUCAAUCCCCCCCCCCCUCCUAACAGAAAAACAAGAGAACCAAUCAAAUGUCUCAAAAGUUCGAUGUCUUUCUAAGUUUUAGAGGGUCCGACACUCGCCGCACCUUCAGCAGCUUUCUCUACCGUGAUUUGGUUCGAAUGAACAUACGAACUUUCAAAGACGACAAAGAGCUGGAGAUUGGUCAGAUGAUUUCGGCGGAGCUUGAUCGUGCCAUCGAGACCUCGAGAUUCGCGGUCGUUGUGGUCUCUGUGAACUACGCUGAGUCUCCUUGGUGCCUCGAAGAGCUCAGGAAGAUCAUGGAUUUAGUAAGAAACGGUUGGAUCACCGUGAUGCCCGUCUUCUACGGCGUGGAUCCGUGUCAUGUAAGGAGGCAGAGCGGAGUAUUUGUCGAACACUUUCAGAAGCACGAGACUAGAGAAGAUCAGGAGAAAGUGCUUUCAUGGAGGCAAGCACUGACCGAUUUGGCCAAUAUCUCCGGCAUUUGUUCAUCUCUUUGGUAAAAUUUCAGAACAUUUUACAAGUUUUACUAUCAGCAGCAUAAAAUUAUCUUUGAACGUUACGCACAAUACAUAUAUCAAAGUCUUCCCGAUGAUAAAGUUUUACUGUAAAAUUUUAUUAAAUUGAUUGUGAAGUUACAAUUUUUUAUAUUUCUUCUUGUCUCUAGUGAAGAUGACUCGAAGAUAGUAGACAAAAUUACGGAGCUAAUAUCAAAAAAUCUGAUGAUUAAUACAACAAGAAUCAAUGGGAGUGACCUUCGGGGGAUUUAUGCACACAUGAAAGCUUUUAACCGAUUAUUGAAUUUGAGCUCUAAGAAAAGUGUGAGAGUGAUUGGGAUUUGGGAGAGAGGCAGCACGAGAAGAUCGGUUUUAUCUAAAUUCGUUUAUGAGAACAUUUCUCAACACUUCGAAAGCCAUUUUUUCCUGGAAAGUGAUAAAAUGGUUUACAAGGAUCGUCACAUGUCGCAUCCCUUUGAAGAGUGGAUGAGUCAAAUAAGGCACAAGGACAAAAAGGUUUUACUUGUGGUUGAAAAUAUCAAAAAGCUUGAACAGUUCAAUGCUCUUGAAGAGCAUAUUGACAGUUUUGGUCCGGGCAGUAUAGUUAUCAUCACUACACAAGACAAGCAGGUGCUUUUCUCUUCUCGCAUAAAACUCGUUUAUGAAAUAGAGUGUCAGAUAUUGGAGGAAUCAACAAAUCAUGCAAAGGAAUGGUUUGGUCAUUUACGUGGUAAAAUCAGUUCGCAAAAUCCCAUUUUUCAUAGACAUUCAAUGCGUGGCUCCACUCAACAUCGAUUCGUUCUGAGACACAAAGCGUAAUACAGAGUAGGCGGUUGGCUGGUUUGGACGGAAUCCCAGUGGUAGCUACUUAUUUUCAAUUAUUUAGUAUAACUAGGUUUUAACUCGCGGUACACCACGUGAUUAAAUAUUAUUUAUUUAUUUAUUAAUUUAUAUAUUUGUAAAUUUAUUAAUUUUGUUGGAGUCUGUUUGAUAAUUAUUGAGAUUGCAUAACACAAAUUUUAAUUAGUGGGACAGUUUUAAAAAUACCAGAUCACCUUUUUUAUAAAUGCCCAAGUGGGGAGAAUAUAUAACAUUUAUUACAACAAGUUAAAGAAUUAUUAUUAUUGCAUUAAAUAAUAAAAUAAACUAUUGAAAUUUUUAUUAGAAAUUUUUUAAAAUAGUUUAGCUUUAUAUUUUUACAGAACAUGAGAAAUAAUUAAUGUAUUAAACAAUACAAAUUACAAAAUACGUUAAUUUGAUUUUUCUAAUAAAUAUUUUUAAAAUAAUUAUAGCAGACGAUUAGUUAACUAUAAUGAGUAAUAUGAUGAAAUGAAUUAUAAUUUUUAGAUGAUGGAAUGAAAAUAAUAUAUCAAAAUUAUAUGCUGAGUAACAUAUCAGAACUUUUAAUUAUAAAAAACAAUACAAAAUUUUGUAACCUUACUGCUCUUGAGAGUGAACUACAAGCCUUAAUUAUUGCUAUGCAACAUGCUUGGAGCAGAGGGUUUCAGAAAGUAAUCUUUGAAGCUGAUAAUAAGAAGGUUUCAGAGUUAAUGAAUGGUAUAUGUCUCAAUUUUGGGUGUUUCAACUGGAUUGGAGAGCCAAGAUCUUGGAAGGAAAGGUUUGAUGAUGUACAUCCCUUUAUUGAUUCAAAAUGCUAUAUUUUGUAACCUUACUUGAUCAAUUAAUAUAAGUUUGUCGUUAAAAAAAAUACAAAAUUUUAUAUAAAAUAAACUUCAAUCCGUUAUGUAGCACGGAGAAUGAUCUAAUCUACGAGUCUAAGCCAUUUUCUCAAUGAUCCGGUUAGACCACCAUUAUUGGUGGUCUCUUAAGCAUCUCUAAGUUUAAGAUUUGUUAGUAGUAAGGUUACAAAAGUUUAAGACUUUUUAAGAUUUGGUAAGAAAUAUCUUUUAUAUCUUAAAAGCAUAUCUUCGUUAGCAUCUCUUAGCGAUGCUUAAAAGACCACCAAUAAUGGUGGUCUAACUAAACAAAUGUUUCAAAUUUUAACUAAUUUAAAUCAGUCUACUAAUCAAAGCCAACUAAUUUCGUUUUUCUUUUAUCUAACGAAGAGUGCAUUUUUUUUUGGUAUGGAAAAUUCAACCUAGAGGAUAAGAUGAUAAUUGUCGUUCGUUAAUAAUAUUUUUUCUGUUUUGGCUGGCCAGGUCUUUUCCUUCUACAAACCCCCUCUUUCUGAGUAGUUCAGUGAAACAGAAGCUGACAAAAACUGAUGUUACAAUACACUAAACUGAAGAGUCUCUACACAAAUUAAGUCUCUACUAAAAGUCUCCUCUACCUGGCGUAUAUGAAGCACACUUAAUUUUAUAUUAGGAAAAAUUACUUAGAUAGAGUACAUUUUAGGUGUAUUGAUCAGAAUGUACCAAAACCUUUUUUUAUCCUUAAAUAUUUUUUAAUUAUCAGUGUGCCCUUUUUACAUGUUAUCGAAAAAAACUAAUUACAAAAAAUGUCAUCGCCACGUCAGACAAAAUGGCGUGUGUCUCCAAUAACUCAGCCAUAAUGUACGUUACGGCUGAUUAAUGUCACGUUACGGCUGAGUUCUGAACAACGGCUGAGUUUCGGGCUAACGGCUGACUUACGAUCAUAACUUAGCCAACAUUUAUUGCUGACUUAUAAAAAUCUGGUUGUGUUAUGAGAAAACUGCUAAUAACUCAGCCGCCGUUACGGUUCUUGAUGACUACGAAUUGGAUGAGUUGAGCCAUAAGGCAACGAUGAGCUACAUGAUCUCGUACAAAGCUAUGAAAAAUAUGUCCCAUGAUACUCGACGAGUAGUCGCUCAUUAUUAAAAGAUGGGAACUUGAGCCCAGAAAUUAAAGACAACUCCAGAAAUUGCAGGCAAACCCAUAAAUCGAAAGAACCCUAAAUCCCCAGUCUGAUUUCUCGAUUAUGUGUAUAAGAAAGAAGAAACAAUAAACGACGCCGUAUGGGUUAAUAUCGGCCAACCCACAAAAUUAAUUUACGAUAAGUCAUCCAAACCUCAAAAUCUGUCGAAGUAAUAAUUUGGCCAAACCUCAAAUCUCAAUAUCAUAACCAUAACUCAGGCGUAACAUUUACAUAACUCAGCUGUAAAGAUGUUAAAUAACUCAGCUGUUACACUUCAAUAACUCAGCCAAACCUCGAAUUUGAAAUAUAAGAUUAUACAUACAUUCAUGUUAUUACACCACUUAGAUGAGAUGUAAUUAACAUUUUUAUUCACUUUAACAAUGAAUAUAAUUAAAUUAGCUCGUGUUUAUACCUUUUAAGACUUAGGUUUACUACAAAGAGAUAAAUCCCUAAAAUGCUUGUCCAUUACUAGGCAGACAAUGUAAUACACUAACGUAAUACAAUUUACUCUCUCAUAUUAGUGUUAAUUUUAUCUUUUAUAUUACAAAGCUACAUUAAAUAUAUAUUCUAAUACCCUAAUGUUAAGUUUGUUGUUGAAUUUAAAAUGCUUGUUUAUUGUUGAAUUUAAUAUGUUUUUCGUAACUCAGCCACAUCUCCGAUUGUUAAUUUCGAUAACUCAGCCCGAUAAGUUUAUUGAUAACUCAGCCGUGACGCGACCUUUCGUCUUCUUCCCGUGUAUGAUAACUCAGCCGUAACAUAAAAACAUACCGCGAAAACCUAAGUAGAUUGAUAACUCAUCCGUAACGCGACCUUUCGUAUUCUUCUUAUGUAUGACGUGGCAAUUUCGGGUAUGACGUGGCAUGUCGGAUCUGACAUGGCAAUUUUUAAGUGAAAUAUGACCAAGGGUGUUUAUUGUAAUCACACCCAUCUCACUAAACAUCUAAGGAAUAAAAAAAGAUUUGUUUGUUUAAGAAGUAAACAUACAAUUGUGCUCUAUCUAAGUAUUUUUUUCUUUAUAUUAUCCAUACACACUCACAUAGUUAUAGAAAAUCAAAAUGACUUCUCCUACUGCAUCUAAGUACGAUGUCUUUCUAAGUUUUAGUGGGCAGGACACUCGCCGCACCUUCAGCAGCUUUCUCUACCAUGAAUUGGUUCAAAGCAACAUACGAACUUUCAAAGACGACAAAGACCUGGAGAUCGGUCAGAUGAUCUCACCGGAGCUUGAACGUGCCAUAGGGGACUCGAGAAUCGCGGUUGUUGUGGUCUCUGAGAACUACGUUGCGUCUCAUUGGUGCCUCGAAGAGCUCAGGAUGAUCAUGGAUUUCGAGGACCAGGGUUUGAUCACUAUGAAGCCCAUAUUCUACGGCGUGGAUCCAUUCAAUCUGGUAGUAGCUGAACAGAUUAAGAAGCACGAGGCAAGAGAAGAUCAUGAGAAAGUGCUUUCAUGGAAGCGAGCAUUGACCGAUUUGUGGUAUAUCUCCGGCCCUUGUUCAUGGAAAUGGUAAACAUUCCUAACUUAAAAUGAUUUAUCAUGUUAGUACCAUAACUACCACUAGACCUAUAAGGUAAGAUCUCUGGCAAAAGUUUAGAAAUUGAAGGUUUGAAUGGUGUUUCGGACGAAACCAUAUAAUCUGUUCUGGCUUUGAGUUUGAGGAGAUGUACAUACUUUGGUUUGGAACCUUUUAGUUAUUGAAAAAAAAAGAUUAAAAUUUUAUGGUUAGAUCUGAUUUAAUAUCAAGGAUUGAAUUUUUAUUUUUACACUUGAUUUGAAUCGAAAGAUUGAAUUUUCUUGUUAAAUCUGGUUUAAAUCGAUGCUUAAAGUUUCUAUUUUUUUUCUCGGUAGCGAAGAUGACGAGAAGCUGGUCAAAAAAAUUGCUGACGAUAUAUCAAAUAAGUUGAUGACUGUUACAAGUAAAACAAUACAAAAUGGGAGGGACAUAGUGGGGAUUGAUUAACACAUGAAGGAUCUUGACCGAUUAAUGGAUUUGAAUUCCAAGAAAGGAUUGACUGUGAUUAGGAUUUGGGCAAGAGGAUGCAAUGCUAGAUCAGCUCUAGCUAAAUAUGUUUACCAGAAAACAUAUCAACAUUUUGAAAGUCAUGGUUUCUUAGCAAAAGUGAGAACGAUUUCUCAAAGUUCCCACAUUGAAGGCCAUCUAUAUGAAGAGUUUCUGAAAAAUAUUAAAGGAGAAUACUCGACGAGCAAACAUAGUCCCAAGAACCAACGGGUUUUGCUCGUGGCAGACGACGUCGAUAAGCUUGAACAGUUACAUGCUCUUGCAGAACAUUUUGAAGAUGCAGUCUGAACAACGGAGUGUAUUAGUUCAGAGACUAGUUCAGACGUCUUAGCAAAAAUAGAACAACAAAUGAGGAAAGUGAAGAAAGGCGGUUUUACAUGGACACAAGACAACGAAGAAGUGUCUAGAAGCAUGAAGACUUUACUUUUAUAGGGAUAAAAGUAAAACAAGAAGAGUUGGAUAAUUUCCUAAUCCAUAAAGAAAAAGGAAAUUAUCCUAAAACCUAUUUAGAAGUAGAAUGGGAAUUUCCUGUUGUAUGGAGAUGUCCUAGUUCUAUUAAUAGGGAGCUGAGGCUUGAGAAAAGCUUAGCACAUUAAGAGAAAGAGAAUCUAGCAUUAAGAUUUAACUUGAGAGAAAAGAUAGUUAAGAGCUUAGAAAGUGCAAAGGGUUUCCUUGAGAGUUUUCUAAGAUUGUGUGUAUAUCUUAGAAAAAGAGCUUUGAGAAAUUAGAAAAUUGUUUAGGGAAAAACCCAUUGUAAACAGAUUUUCUAUUUAUCAAAGAAGAGUUUGAGAAACCAUGUUUUAAUGUUCUGAUCUAGAUCAAUCCGUGUGGCUCUUGCACUUACACAUUUUGGCACCUUUGGUCCGGGGAGUGUUGUUAUCAUCACUACAUAAGACAAGCAGUUGUUGAAUUCUGACGAUAUAAAGAAUGUCCACGAAGUAGAGUUUUUGAAGUUCCAUCCAGUUCACCAUCAAUUCUUCUGAACAUUAGCUUUUAAAAAGAGAGACAUUUAUGCCAGAAAAUGUUUUGGUUGGCUCUUUUUUUUUACUUUUCGUAACAGCUGGAAUGUUUUGGUUGGCCCUUUUUGUUCUUUUUUUAACAGCUGGAAUACGAGUAGUAGUAUAUAUGCUCACUGGAAAUUGUUACAAGCAUUUUAUUAAGUUUAUCUAUAAAAAUGAUUAUGCAUCUUUUGAUUGUACCAUUUAAUCUUAUCUUUUACAAUACUUGCCUUCGAGGUCCAUUGAUAAAUGGGAAAAAUGUCAGUUAAAUAAUAAACUUUUCCAAAAACGUCAUUUAAACUAUAAACUCUCCCUAAAAUCAUUUAAAAGAACAUGUUCUAUUGACUGUCUGUUUUAAACAUCAAAUGUUGUUGACGAAGCCUAAAUAGCAUCUAACAUUUGUUUACUCCGUCGUUAACUAAUAUGUUUCUUUAAUUUCUUUAUGUCUUAUCAUUGCAUCCCUGAGAUUUCGUGAUUUCCCUUCUUUUCAUGUGUCAAAUUAUACCCAAUGAUUCUACUAUUUUCACCUUUAAAAGCAAAAGUGCCUCUUAUGUUUCCAACUACCCUUCUAAACAGUAUUCCAAAGUAAGAAACUUUCUCUCCCUCUUCAACAGCCGAUUUUGAUUCAACUUGCUCAUCGUGCAUACCAAAACUUUCUACGUUUCUCAACCGUCGAUCAUGUUUUCCAUCGCUGCUGCCCUGACGUCUAAUGUUAACAAAGCCUCUUCUUCUAUUUCCCACUACUUAAACAGUUUCUCAAAGGAAAAAGCUUCCUCUCCACUUCCAAUCGCCAUUUUUUACUCAAAUUUCUCAUCACGUAAACGUUCUUCAUAUCCCAGCCGUCGAACAUAUCUUCAACCACAACUGCCUUGAUGUCUAACGUUACAAAAGCUUCAAUCAGUACUCCGUUAACUCUUCAUAUGUGGAGUUUGGGUAUGUACUCGACCGAAUGACCAAUUCGGCCCCUAAUUAUUCAUCGCAUAUAGUGACUUGCGCCCUCCAAAAGCAGAUCCUUGGAAAGUAUUCUAGCACUCUAUCGAAUCCAUUCCUAAUGCAUAGGCAGAGGCGGAUCAAGGGAUCUAUCGAACUAAACAAACAAAAGAUAAUGAGGGUCCUCCUCUUUCUUAUCAUUUCAAGCUUUUCUUCUUUCUGCUGUUGCUUUACUCCAAGGUCAGCUAAUGUUGUGGCAGAUACCCUUGCAAAACAUUGCCUAAGCUUGUAUGGUCAAAACAUUGGUUGAACUUGACACUAGCUUGACACAAGCUCUUUGGACAAUUAACAUUGCCUCUUUUCUUGCUUUUCUUUUAUAAAUCUCAUCAAAACUGCCUCGAUAAUAAGAUUCGGCCAAGCUUUUAAAGUUUAAUUCCAGCAUCUCCAAUGGUUUGUACAGUGAGAGAUUCUAAAAAUAAAAAAUAAUAAUAUUUUAAUCAGAUAACUAGGUAGCAACCCGUGCCACGGCACGGGCGAUUCGGUUAAAUACAUCUCAAUGUUUAUAGUGAAGAUUUAUACGAUUUACAUAACUCGGUAGGGUAAAGGAUAAAUGGUCCAGAUAAAUGUGAUUGGAAUACUAAGAAUGGCCGUAGAACACAGCAAAGAUUUAUCUAACUCGGUCGGUUGGUCACAAAAUCUCCAGCAGUUUUGUUCCACGGAUUGUAUUGCUCGUGAUGUAUAAUUAGGAGACUGGUAAUUUAUAUAAAGGUCCGGUGAUUCUAUAUAUCUUAUAGUUAUGCAUCAGGCCGAAUAAUUGUUACUCCUGAAAUUAAUUAGCUGAAACAUUCCUAAAUUUAUUAGGUUUCAGUUGAUUUAGAUUAUGAUAUAUUUGAACUUUAUAAAUGACACAAUUAUAUAAAAAAAAAUUUAAACGAAAUUCAAACAAACGUAGUUAAUUUUUAAAAAAGUCCACAACAUAAAAAUAAAGUUUUACAAAACAUGGGAUAAAAUAAAAGAAAUAUAUAUACUACUACAUCUGAAGUAGUAUUAAUCAGAAUCCUGAUCGCUAGGUAGUCGCCAAGUAUACUCAGCCAAUCCUUCAGGUCCCCUAUAUUUCCAGAAAAGAUAAUUAGUAAAGAAUGGAUUCUCUAUUAGGUUUGUUUCAAUGAGACUAUAAAAACAUAAAUAAACUUACAGUAGAUGGCCUAGAUUCAUUUCGUCAUACUCUUUGUCCAAAAACAUUCUAGAAUAUCCAUAUUCAGACAUAAUAUACGGAUUACCUAUUGAAUAAAGAAAACGAUGAUGUGAAGAUUUAAUUAUUCAGUUAUUACUAUUGCAUACAUUUCGUAUAAAAUUUGUGAAUGAAGUUUACUUACCUUCAAAUUCAAAAAUUCUCCAGAAACGAAGAACACACAUUAUCGGUCUAUCCACAGGGUGUUCGAACACAAUAUUUGUCGACUCGUUCAGGAUUUUUCUAGCAAGUUUUCCUACGGCCACACAAAGGAUAUCUUUCCUCCUGUAAAAUUUUGUAAAUAUUAGGUGACACAUUAUCAAAAAUUAAUUGUUGUAUAUAUAUGAUGAAGAAAUUUAAAAAUUUAAUCAAGUAUACGUUUCAUCUGUCAAGGUAAAUGUGACAACACUCUUAGCAUUUGCAUAACCAUAUUCUCCAUCAACGAAAUUAAUUUUGCGCAUGUCAGAAACUUCUUUCAAAACACCGCUUGCAUCUGAAUUGAGAUAGUUAACACAUAAUUAAACGGCAAUCCAAUUAUAAUGGAAUAUUAUUUUAGCAAAACAGUAUUUUUAUAUCAUAAAAUAUCAAAAUACAUACCAACACAGUAUUUGCGGUCCUCUUCAUGUGCAAAGUCAAUUUUUAUCGCAGUGGUGACUUUGAAAUAUUCACUAUCGAUGUACGAAGUCACUUCAUGCAUAGUUGUGCCGUGCACCAUUGUUAUUGUGAGAUGAUUGUGUGAGUUUUUAAUUGGUAAGCGAUUUUCAAUUACCUGGAAGUUAGUCAAUUGGUACCAUGAAUCCUCACGAAUUCGAUUAUGGAAAGGAGAUGCGUAUCUGAUGUAGGGUAUUGUAGCAUCAAUCUUACAACCCUGAAAUAAACAUGAUAGAUAAAGAAAGAUUUAAGGAGGAUGAAUAUACUAAAACAAAGCAAUAAUUUUGUGGGAAAGAGAAUUAACAACUUUGGUCUGACCUUCUCAUCAACCAAAAUCAUCUCUCUUUCCUCUUUCCGUUUGAAUCAGGUUUAGGCUUUCAUAUUGAUAGAACUUUAACAUUCACACUCCAAUUAGUUUAUUUGGUAGUAAGAUCUGAGAAGAAGUUUGUGGUUGCCAUGACUUGUUUACAGAAGAUUGUGUACUGAAUAGGCGUUCUUGUGUUUUGAGAUUUUUGUAGAUGCCGUUUAUAUCUAUGAUAAUAUUAGAUCUACUGUCUUGUAGUUUAUUUUUUGAAUUAAAUAAAUAGAUAUAGAUGUGUUUUUUAAUAUUAUAUAAGUUUACUAUUUUCCGAAAUUACCAGGAGACAAAAGCUGUCAUCGAAGCUUUUUUUAUAUAUAUUAAUCUGGAAUAUGUUAUAUGCAUUGUGGUUAUAUCAUUAUCAUUUUUCAAUGUAUACAGUAUUAAUACUUUUGACUGAACUAAUCUAUAUAAUACUGUUUUUUUGCUGGCCCUAUAAGACAUAUAAAACGAAUAGAAUAAGAUUUAAAAUAGAGGGCUUAUUUGAAAAGUAGUAUAUCUAUCUUAACAUUUUUGAAGUACAUUUUGUACAAAAAUCUAUUUUGGCUUAUGACCUUUUAUUUUUUAAUAUUUACAAAAUCAAACCCUUGCCAUUUGAAUAAAUAACAAAACUUAAAAGUAAAUUUUGUAAUUAAAUCAUAAGCAAAUCGCAAAAUUGGAAACAAAUAUUUAUUAGAUCAAAAAAUUUCCUAAAAUCUCUCUCUAAUAAACUGAAUAUCUGUUCAAUAUAUUUAUAUACUCUUAUUUGUUUUAAAUUUAUAUUAUUGCAUAAAACAUAUUUAUAAUAAAAAUACAAACUUUUUUCCACACAUUUUGCAAUUUAAAAUUUUGAAAACGGACGUAUUUAACUCAAUCAAUAAAGGAAAAAUAUAUGUACAACGUCUACAUAAGAUAGGAAAUUUUAGAUAAUAGUUCAAAACCUUUAUAAAUAAGACUAAUAUGUUUACAACUACAAAUGAGCAUGAACUUUGAUUUCUCAAGUAUCCAAAUUAAAAAAUUUAUUAGUUUAAUACGGUUCUUUAUUUAAGAAAAAUAAUAUUUUAAAAAAGUUUCAAAAUAUUAUAAAUUUUAAUUUUUUUAACAAGUUUAAAAUAGGAUAAAUAUUAAAACUUUUAAAAGCUGAAAAUUAUGAUAUUUUAUUUAAGUUUUAUAGAAUAUUAAAAUAAUGAAAAUAUUUAAAUUCUACAAAAAUUAAUAGUAUUAUUAAUAUUUUAGUUCUACAAAUAUUUAAAAUAUAAUAAUAUUGUACAUAAAUAUGAUUGAACGGGUUUGAAUUUACAUAAAUAUGAUAUAUUUUUCUGCGGAUUGUCUAUAUUUAAAAUAUUUUACGGGUUAAGUUAAAAUAUAUUUUUUUUAUUUACAACAAAAUCGUCUGGUGAUGUACCGUCGGUUUAGCACAUAUAUCUAUGAAUCUACUUAUAAUACAAAUUAAUGAAAUUAUAUUAAAUUAAAUGAAAUAAACAUGUAUAAAACUAAACUAUAUAAACCAAAUACGAAAAUGAUCAACCAAAGAAAUAUAUUAAACUAUGGACCCGUGGUGUACCACGGGUUAAAUCCUAGUAAAUGAAGUACUAAUGUUUUAAAAAACUGAAAAUCUUACAAUUAUUGAUGCUAACAAAACUUAUUGUUUUACCUGGAGCAAUCUUCCGGAUUUAUUAAAGGUUCUGAAAGACUUCUUUGACUUUGAAGACAACAUUCCUUGUUUUUGUUUGCGGUUUUCCUUUUGUAUAUGUUAUCAGAACUUUCAAGCCAGAUUUUGAACUUACACGGGACAUUGCAACAUAUAGUUGGCCAUGUGAAAAACCGGCCUUGGUAAAUAUAUACCGACUUUAGAAAGUGAUUGUUCUUGGCUCUUGUUGAUGGUCAUUGCAAAGGCAACAGAUACUGGAAAUUGUCUCUGCCUCAUUUUGAAAGGUAAUCUUGACUCUGAUGGUGUUAAAACUAUUCUUGGCAACAAAACUAAUUUCCUAACUCUUGUACCAGUUAGGAUUCGUGCUUGCAAAACAUGAUCUGCCAUUUGUAUAAUCUGAAGUCUUGUACCAUUCAUCAGACCUCCAUGGGCAUCAAUGUUGUGCAAUAACAUUACAGGGCAACCUACUUUCAAACGAAGAGCAUGGUUUGGUACACCAGAAACCCUGAUUGAAAUUAAAAAAUCAGGACUAUACGUAGGAUUGUCUUUGUUUCGUUUAUCGGAGGGAUCGAGACUAUCCAAACUUAAAUAAAUCCUCUCUUCACCUGUUAAGCGAUAUACAAAAAUCGAGUUAUAAUGAGUAAUUGUCAUUUUGAUACAGAUAUUAUAAGAUAUAAGGUAAAUAUACUACUAACCGUCUAUUCUUGAUAGCAUGUGGUCAUUAAUUGAAUUGACAUCAUCAUUCGUUGGACAUAAUAUAGCUCGGCUUUGGAAAUAUGAAGGAUCCUUCUCGGUGGCGAAUGAAUUCCCGUAUAUUUCUCUAAUGAUCGAUUCAAUAGGGUUGUCUACUUCUGUGAUAAGCAACUCUUCAGUGAUAUCAAUAUUAGCAACUCCAUCAUUUGGCUCGUUUAGUCUGCCUUCUCCUACAUAAAGUAUCCAUUUAGAGAAUUCUUCAAUUUCAUGGGCCUCAGUGGAACUAAUGUUUUGAAACAACCUCAUAUUCUUUGUCAACUUAAAAAAUUUACAAUGCUCCCAAAGGUAUGAUGCAUUCAAUGAUGAGUUUACUAUAUGUUCUCUACCAGCACCAGCUAUCACAGAAAGUAUCUGACGGAAAUCACCACCGAAAAGCAUAACUUUGCCUGCAAACGGUUUAUCUUCUGCACCUUGUAUUAUAUCUUGAAGACUUCUAUCCAAUGUUUCAAAACAGUAUUUACUCAUCAUCUGAGCUUCAUCCCAAAUGAUCAACUUCGCUAAUUGGAUUAAUUCACCCAGAUCGGACGACCUUGACAUGGUGCACAUUGAAGUUACAUGGACAUGUAUAGGAAUACCAAACCUCGAAUGAGCAGUUCUUCCACCUUCUAACAGAAGUGAUGCUACACCGCUAGAUGCAACGUUUAACACAUUGUCUCCUUUUGAGCUUAUAGCUGCCGAUAAAACUUUCCAGAGUAAUGUUUUGCCAGUUCCUCCAAAACCGUAUAAGAAAAACACACCACCUCUAUCGUUUAGCACAGCGUCUAUAAUCUCAUCAAAUACCUUCUUCUGCUCUUCUGUUAGCAUUUUAACCCAUUUGUCAUGUUUUACUUUAGACCAUCUUGAUUGCAAAACCUUCUUUCAUCUGCUAUUAACUGGUUCAAGACUGGUAGAUCAUCAGUAGGUAGUUGUGGUAACAUCUUAAAAGCUUUAAGAGAAGUCCCAUUCCUUUUCAAAUGCUUGUUUAUUUCUAUCAGAUAGUAUAUUUUCCUUUCAUCAUCCGUGAGAAUAAGUUCUGUGAAAUUGACAGAGUAACAAAAUUAAAUAUUAGUAAUCAUUAUUUAACCGUGACAUUUAUUUAAUAGAUUACUAACUAACCUGGUCGUUUUAAUUCAACUUGUUUCCUCCUUAAGAUAUAUUCAGAUAACAACUCACAUGUAGCUUCCCAUACAAUAUGAGGGGUACUCAAUACAGCAGCAAGUAACAUAAAAACAAACAUUUUCCGAACAAACUUUGGAGAACACAUAAAAUGCGCUUCUUUGAGUCCUUCAAUAUAUUCAUUUUCAUCAUCCAACAACUCCCGAGCAUGGCAAGCUUCCUUGUAUGAUUCGUGUACGACUCCAUCUACAGUUUUAAUAUGGUCAAAACUUCUAGGACCUCAAACAAAAUUAAGUAGAAUCCUCAAAUGAUAAGCAUCAUCUAUAACUGGAGGUACGUAAUUGAUUCUCCCUAUUGCAAACGCUUUGGUCUUCCUUCGGUGAAAGAUUUUGUUUUUUCAAUCCCAAAUGAACUUACUUGGUAUUUCUUCAUAUAACAGUUGUUGAGCUUCGGUAUUAUGCUGAUUCAGUUGAAAUAGAGCAAGAAACUGAGACUCGUCAAGAGUGUCGCGAUCCAGUACAUCGUUAGGAGAUUCAUUAUCUCGGAAAUAAAUAGGCUGCUUUCCUUCUUCGUGGAAAGUAAGAGGCUCAACUGCAGUUUGUCUAUAAUGGAUGUUAUAUUUAUAAAUCCUCCACAUAGUUUCACAUGCAGAUACAUAUCUGAAAUAGGUUGAAUAGAUAAUUCUCAGUAUUUCUUCUGUUAGGUUUAUUUUAAAGCAAGCUAUUAAAGUUCAAUACAUUUAAUGAAUAAUGAUUUAAGGUGAAGAUAAUAAUAUACCUGAAGUCGAAGAAAUCUUGAAUUUCGUUCUUUUGAGCCGGAGUUGUUUCAUUUGAAGAUUUAUUCUGAGUAUCUUUAACAACUUCUUUUGCAACAGGAGAUACAACAACAGUUAUUCUAUCAAGACCUUUGUGGACAUACUUAAAUAAGUAUUUGACAAAGCCAGUUUGGUUGCACCACUCGACGUUAAUAUGAGCAUGAUAUUUUAACGACAGUUGACGAUUGUAAGGCACCACGUAUCUAUUAUCACAUUUAAAACCCUUCUUAUCGAUAAAACGCCCAUCGUUUCUUCUUCUAUAAACCGGGUAACCUUCUUUGUCAAUUUUUUUUGUCUUCUCAAAUGGUUUAGGGAAAAAUUUGGUACAUGAUCCCUCUUCCAUGCAUGGAGAAAACGGAUUUACACUUCCACUUGGACCAUGAAUCAUAUAGUCUGAUAUGAUAUUGUAUAGUUUUGGAUCUGUAUCCUUAUCAGGGAUUUCAGCACAAAUAAUCUUAUCAGUUUCAUCAGUGGUUGGGAACUUACUUUUUGGAUCCAUCCAGAGCAUGUCGAAGGCCCCUUUUUUGAAACUCAACUGUAUACAUCGCUGAAACAAAGACACAUUAGAUAUUCGCAUAAGUAAUGUCAUAUAGAUACAAACAAAGAAAUUAUAAAAUAGUUAACGUAUUGUAGGACUAAAAUAAUGACCUGAUACUGUUUUCCCGAAAUGAUUCCUUUAACUGAUGUCAUCAAGUAGAUUUUCAAGUUUGAUCUUGAAAAUCUUACAAAUAACGUCAGGUCUAUCUUCAGGCUUUAACUUCAUUGCUUUUACAAAUCUAGUGAUUUCUGGCCAUUUAGGAUUACAUGUGAAUGUUAUAAAAAGAUCAGGAAAAUCGAAUUUCUUACAGGUUGCCAUUGCAUCAAGGUAGCUUUGGCGCAUAUAACGCAGACCACCGACAAAAGACGUGGGAAGUAUAAUGGAGUUUCCCCGAAGGGUUAGGUCAUCAUCUCCAGCAUUAAAUGAUUUCCUCAAAUCUGCUUUAUUUGUUCUUCGCAGUUUUUUCUGAUUUCUGUUUGUUUCGAUCAUUGUAUAUGCACCGACAACAAACUGUUGUAGCAACCGUUUUGAUCUCAGAAGAACAUGCUUCUCCUCUUUCCUUUCUUGAAGCAUGUAUGCAAACCAUUGACGCAUACUCAUAUCCUUUUGUUUUUUUGCUUUUGAACCCUUUUUAUGUUUUGUUUUAAGACCAAGUCUGAAGCCAUCUUCUCCUCGUGGAAAAAGCAAAGGAUACUGCAAAGCUAUAUAUGCUACAUGAGAUUCAUGUAUCCUUUUCAAGUUACAAUUACUUUUUUGUAGAACAAUGUCACGCUUAUCCAUUGUUGCAUCAAAAUCACCAGGUAUCAAGGCGGCUACUUCAGAUGCAGUAGGGAUGUUGUAUAAUGUACCAUCUGUCUUUUGAUUGGAAACAAUACGCAUGUGAAAAGUGGACUCUUCUUUUUCCAUCUGAAAACGGUCCCUUGCCAUUCUAAAAGCUUGUACAUGAGGGUUGUAUUUGUCAAGCAAGCUGAUUAUGCGUUUUAUGAGAUCUUCGCGGAAUUUCUUCUUCACAUUGUGAUAAUCCUGUCCAUUAUUUGAGUCCCUUGCAUUUUAAAAUAUUAACUAGGCUUAAGAACAGUAGGGUCGAAAAAAAGACAGCGUAAACAUAAACAUAUUGGAUUGAAUUAAAUUACCUCAUAACAUUCAAUAUGAUUGGUAUACUAAUAUAUUACCGCUAUCUGAGUCGUAAAGAGAAUUUUCAUUUAUGUCAAGAACAUCUAAAUUAGACAUUUUUGGAACAUUGGCAAUGUUCCUCCUCUUGCAGAUUGUUUUUGAUGACACUAUGUUGACUUUCUCUGUGUUUAAGAUUUAAAAAUAAAGAUGUCAGAUUAAAUUAACAGAAGCGAAUAUGAGGCCAAUAAUCUAUACUAUAAUAGUAAAUAAAAUCAGCCGAGAAAGUGUGAAAUACAUGUAGAAACAUCAACCGUUAAUGUAUUUGCGCUAGGUGGACAAAAUGGAGCCUCCUCUAGGAUAUGUAUAGUACUAUUUGUAAUAUUAGUAAUAUCUGAUGAUAUUUGGUCGGAUGUAGGAGAGUAGUAAUUUUCAUGAAGUUGAUCUACAAAGAAAUCUGAACAAAAUAUAAUGUACAUAAUAAAAAUGAAUCAAGGCUAGUUUAAAAUGUACCGCUGCUGAUGUGGAUUUGUCUGGCUAAUUUUUUUAUAUGUGUUAGUCUUGUAAAGGAACGGGAUAAAGAUUAAACAUGAGCAGAUAAUCUGUGAUCAGCUGUUGUAACGGAUUCUGUAUAUGAUUACAAAAACACAUUAAGAGUUAUAUAUGAUUACAAUAUUGAAACAGUAUGAGAUGCUUAAAAUGAGUGAUUAUUCACCAUUAGUUAAAAAAGGAACGUUUUCCUUCUCCUUGAUAUAGUGGUGGUCAAUAGGUAUGGAGAUAGUUGGUGUUCGAUUAUCAAUACCUAUUUGACAGAGAAAUAUGUAUAGUAGUUUCAGUAAAUGAAUAUAAAUUGAAAUUACUUAAUAACAGUAAUAAAAUACAUUUUUAGUUAACACUUGUAUUAGAAGGAGGAGAGACAACAGAAUGAUGGGGAUUGGUAAUAUCAUUCAGAACUCUUCCGAAUACUGAUUUAACGGUGACAACAGAAUUGGGUAAGUUUGAACAUAAUGGCCUUGGCGACCGUAAUGUUUCUCCACAUCCUUUUCUUCGAAUAGUUGUGUUGUCAUGAUCCUUUCUUUGAAGGUGGUUAUUAAGGAAGGUAGGACUUGGUGUCUUAUAACCAAGAACUAUUGACAUCAAAAUAAGGGUUAAUAUGUUACGAAAAUAUAUCAACAUAAUUGAAUUGUUAUACGUUUCUAAAUACACUUGAUACAUGUUCUAGGAUGAGAAGAGCUAACCAAAGAUUGAUGAAUAGUAAUAUCAUUUAGAACUCUUCGAGAAUCAGGUUUCACAUUGCCUCCGGAAGUGGUUAUGUUUGAGCACAAAGGGCUAGGAAUUAUAUCCUUAUUAGCAGAAAGUUUUGUAGACAACUUCCUGUUUUUGGGUUGUUUAGAAAUGUUAUUUGAAAGAUUUUCAUCGGCAAAUUCUUUUCUCUUCUUCAUAGGGAGAACUUGGUAGGGUUUAAGAAAAUAUUGUCGACUGGGGUAAUGCAAAUUUUAUUUAAACGGCUGCUACCUUCAAAUUUGGAAUAUAAUAAUAACGACUAAGAUUUGAUUGAAGAUUAUUUCCAGACCUUGACCAAUUAAAUAUUUUGAAACAAAAAUUACGGAAGCUAUCAAAUUUGAAAAACAAUGAUGCGGGAAAAACGAAUUUGUAAAGACAUGAUUUUGUGGCUUUGUUAAGGCCCAACAAAUUUACGUUCCCUAAUUAUUCUAUGAUUACAUAUAAAUUAAACGGUUAUGAUUAAAAGCUUUCCCUUACAACGAAUGACCGAGAUUAAAAGUUAUGAUUUUCGGCGGAAUUAUUAAACCGUCAGGAUUAACAGCUACCACUUAUAAACGGAUGGCGAAAAUUAGAACAUAAAAUUUUCAGGUUUGGUAAGCGGGUAUAAAAGAUCCGCGCGUUUAUCCGUAUUUUGAUUUGUUUGGCAACAGUUUUAUGAUUUCUUAUACUAUAGUAUUAAUACGAAAAUUUAAUGAUUUUGUUUGGCUACAGGGUUAAAUCGCAUUUACUUUAAUAGUAUAGAUUAUAUUUUAGUUUUUAAAUAGGGAUAUACCAACUAAUACAAGCCUAUGUGUGAAAACAUUAAGAGACCGUAUCUAAAAAAAAUUAUUUAUAACUUUUUUAUGUUCUCUUUCUUACAAUUUGAAAAAAAAAUACAUUAACCCAAAUUUAGAAAUUAAUUACUAAACUAACUCAUAAAAUAUAUGGGUUAAUUGAGUUCUUUUCAUGACUAGAAUAUCUUUUUUGCUUUGUUAGCAAAAAAAAUAAAAGUCAAUUUUACCUUUAAAAAAUUCCAGCGAUUUUGAAAAAAUUGAAAAAUAAUUUUAAAAGACCGUCGGACUAGUUAUGACAGAUUUAUUUAUGAACGAAAUGUUUUUUUUGGCAUGAUAGAUUUUUCGGCAGAUUUAUUUUGGACGACAAAUUAUUUAGAAAUAAGUACGAUAAAUUUAUAAUUAGUGAUAGAUUUGUUUUUUACGACAGAUUUAUUAAUAAACACACCUUAGACUAUCAUAAUAUAUCAUAAUAUAUGACAGAUUUGUUAUAAUAUUUGGCAGAAUUAUUUUUUUACAGUAAUUUCAGACUUAUUUUUUCAUUAAAAAUCAGUCAUAUUAUGACAGUUUUUUUAACAAAAAUAUAAAUACUAGUUUAUCGUCUAGUGAUAACCGAUUUGUUCAAAGUUACAACAGAGUUUAAAAUUUAACCAAAAAUAUGUUGUCUGAUAACAGAUUUGUUUAAGUUUUUCUAAAAUUGCUAGAAUGACCUACGUUGAGACCAUUUUUAUGCAUGUUAUGACAGAUUUAUUAAUCUAGUGACAGAUUUGUUAAAGUUUUAUUUAAAAAAAAAUCUGUUGUUUGAUAACAAAUUUAUAGAUGUAGGUAUAGUGAUAUCAUAUUUUUUUUAUGUUACGACAGAUUUCUAUAUUAAAUAUAGAGAAAUUGAUACCAAUAACCUUUUGUAUGAUACCCUCUUUUAAAAAUACCCUCUUUUUCUGCCAUUUUCAUUUUUGCCCUCUCUUAAAUUUUAAUGGUCAUUUUUACCCCUAUUUGAAAGAAUAUUCUUUCCUAAAUGAAGAAAUAUUCCUUCCAAAAAUUUUCCCCCCAAAAUUUUUCGCCAAAAUUUUUCCCGCCAAAAUUUUCCCGCCAAGAAAUUUUCCCAAAAAAAUUUCCGCAAAAAAAAAAAUUUACAAAAUUUUCCUGCCAAAUUUUUCAAAGGGUAUACAAGAUUUUUUAAAGGGUCUUUCAAAGGGUUUACAAGGGUUUUAAAAGGGUUCACAAGGGUUUUUAAAGGGACUUACAAGAGUUUUUAAAUGGUUUUUAAAAGUUUUUAUAAGUUUAUAACAGUUUUAAAAGGAUUUACAAGGAUUUUUAAAUGAUUUUAAAAAUUUAAAAGAAUUUUUAAAGGUUUUUUUAAAGGAUUUACAAGUGUUUUAAAAAGGAUUUACAAGUGUAUUUAAAGGCAUACAAGGAUUUAAAAAUGGUUUUAAAAGGAUUUACAAGAUAUUUGAAAAAUAUUUACAAAGAUUUAAAAAUAGUUUUAAAGGAUUUACAUGGGGUUUUAAAGGGUUUUAGAAGUUUACAAAGUUUUUUAAAGGGUUUACAAAAGUUUUUAAAGGUAUUACAAGUUCUUUAAAAUGGUUUUUAAGGAUUUACAAGGGUUUUAAAGGGUUUUAGAAGUUUACAAAAGUUUUUAUUAAAUGAUUUAUCACAGUUAUAAAGGGGUUAAAGGGAUUUACAAGUGUUUAUAGAUGUUAUAAAAUGAUUUACAAUGUUUUUAAAAGGUUUACUCAAGUUUUGAAAGGUUUUGGAUGACUUAUAAAAGAUUUACAAGGGGUUUCAAAGGAUUUUUAAGGGAUUGAAAAAUAUUUACAAGGUUUUUUAAGGAAUUGCGGAAAUUUUUUGGAUGAAAAUUUUUGGCGGGAAAAUUUUUGUCGGAAAUUUUUGGCGGGAAAUUUUUCAGAAGGAAUAUUCUUUUUGUUGGAAGGAAUAUUCUUUUUGUUUGAAAGAAUAUUUCUUUCUUCAUCAUGGGUUAUAAUAAAGGAGGGUAAUUUAGUCAUUUUAUACAUUGAAGAUGGUAUUUUUGAAAAUUAACACCUAGAUAGGGUAGUUGUAGAAAAAGGGUAUCAUAAAAAGGUUAAUUAUGCAAAUCUCUCUUAAAUAUAAUCAUGACAGCUUUUAGUUUCUCUUUAUUUUCUUGCUUUUUAAAAUAUUAAAUUUAUAAAAAAUAACCGUUAAAAAAUAAUUAUUUUUAAAUGGUGACUAAAUUGAAGAAUAACGAAGUUAGUGAGACUAAUAAUGAUUAAUUAUUAUUUUUAAAUAAUUUUUUAUUUUUAAGUUCUUAAAUUUUUUUUUUUGUCAACAUCAAUAAUAUAGAUGACUCAAACGAGCCAGGAGGUAGGAACAUUGUUUACAUACAAACAACUCAGCGGUUCGACACGUGCCCGACGUGCUAACAAAUCCGCUUUAAUAUUAGAUCGACGAGAAACUUUUACUAAAAGAAAAGAAGAAAAAAAUACUUCCCUAUCCGCGUAAAUUUCCUCUAAAUAUGUGACAAACGCCGGCCAUUCUUUUGGGGAAGACACCAUCUCCACCAGGUCUGAACAGUCUGUAAUGAAAGUCACUUCACGUCUCUCUGCUGCAAUCAUACAUUUCAUUGCCCACACUAGGGCCUCGACUUCGGUAUGUAACGGCGAUAGACUCCUUCGAAGGUUACCUGCACCCAUCGUGUGUUCACCAGUUGUAGACGUACAAUACCUGCCUAAACCUGCAAAAGUGUCACUAUCCUUCCAAGAUCCAUCCACAAAACAUGUGUAGCCUGGAUAAUCAAUCCUAGGAACGUCGUAAGCGUGAGAUAAAGCACGCGGUAUCCCAGGUUCAUUCUCGGCAUUCUCCCCAGACUGCGCAGCAAACCAUGAUGUUGCCUCGCUCUCUGCCAGUUCUUAAAUUUUAAAUUUAUAUAUUUUAAUAUUUAUUAUAAUUUUGAAAUUUAUUACUCUUUUAUUUUAUUUAGGAAAAAAAAUUAUUUAGAUUUAUUCUUAUUUUAUUUUAUAAAUUUAAGAAAAACAUUUAUAAAUAAAAAAAAUUAUAUUUUGUUUAAUUUUAUAUUAUGUAUUUUUGGAAAUGUCUAUAAACUUUUUAUUUCUAUAUAUCUUAUUUUUUAUUUGAUGUUUUUCGUUUGUUUUUGUAUAAAUUUGAUUAGGUUAUUAUGACAGACUUAAUAUAAGUGUGACAGAUUUCUCUAUUAAUUUCCAUUUUUGAAGUUUAGGUUUUUUGGUCUUUUUACAUUAAUAUUGUGUCAUUCUAGUAAUGAUCAAUAUUAGAGGAUUAAUUAAGUUAAAUUUCACUAUGUUUUUAUCUUUAUUAAAGUAAAAAUCCAAACGUAUUAAGGAAAAUAAAAGACACAACACCUAUGUUGGUUGCUUAAAGCCCAAGAAAGCAAACGACCAAGCCCACAAGUAAGGAUGCGCUGCAUCACUUCCGGAGUCAAGCUCAUCCUUCAUGACCAGCUUUCGAAGUAUAAUUCAGUGGUUGCGGAUUAUACUUCCUUCUUUCUCGAGUUUUAUUCACGAUAAAGAUUAAUAAUUAACAUAAUUUUUAACAAGUUUUGACCAAGAUUCACGUCGGUAUUUAUAUAUAUAUAUCAUAUAUGUAUCAUAUAUAUAUGCGCUUAGGUUAUUUUGGCUAUACAUACUUCAGUAACUCGAUUACUAACCGAAACCGAAACCAAACUGAUUCCUAAAAGAUUUAAUAGAUCUAAUCGGUUAAUUGGUUUCCUGCUUUUUUCCCAAGCCUAGGAUCUACUAUGAGAGGGUACAGUUUGGGCGUUACAAAAUCCCAUGUAGACGGGUCUCACAAGCUUAUGGCUUUGAGUUUUAUAUAGAGUAUACUAGGUUUUUAACUCAUGCUACGCGUAGGUAUAUUCAAUAUAUUUAGGUAAAAAUUAUUUAUGAUUGACGAUUAAUCAAUUAACUACUCGGAACAACGUCGUCCAUCUAUAUUCCUAAACUCGAAGUUAGAUGCCUUUCUACCAUAACUUAGUUUUAUGUUUCCAGAAUACUCAUACCAAAUUUCAUAAACAAACUAACUAACUAAUCAAGAUAUCAAUAAAUAAUAAACAAAGAAAAAAACAAAAAAAAUAAAGAUAUCGAAUUAUAGGUUUUACCUUAGCAUCCUCUGCCUAACAUUAUCUCUAGUUACUUCAUUAAAAGACUUUCCGGAUCAAAGAUCCCUAUCUAGAAAAUACUCUUAUCACAUAAACAAAACAAAAACAAAAAAAAAUUAGAAUUGAACUAAACAAUAACUUUUCACAACUUAGUAAUACUCCUACUACAUUAAAAUAAUCCUAUUACAUACCCUAAAUCAUUUCAUUGACUUUCACAACUUAGUAAUAUCUAUUUUUUAAAAUAUAGAUUAACUUUCACAAUUUAGUAAUAUCUAUUUUUUGCACUUAGCGUGCGGGUUAGAAUACUAUAAUUGUGUAAGUUAUUAACAAAACACUCGAGCCAUCAAGUUAGAAUCUAUAUGAACAUUUUUGAAGUGCCUUUUGGAAAGUAACCUUUUAUUUUGUAUUAUUUGCAAUCAUAAACCAUUGCCAUUUGAAUGAAUAACAAAAGUUUAAAGUAAAAUUUAAAAUUACAUUAUAAUAAAAAUUGCAAAACUGGAAAUCAGUAUUUAUUACAUUCAAUAGAAUUUUCUAAAAUCUCACCCUAAUAAAUCAAAUUAUUCUCUACUAUAUUUAUAUUAUCUUAUUUUCUUUAAAAUUUAUAUUAUUACAUAAAGCAUAUGUAUAAUAAAAAUAUAUUUUUCCGCACAUAUUACAAUUUGAAUUUUUUAAAACGGACGUAUAUUACUCAAUCGAUACAAAACAAUUUUUAUUUACUAAACUAUUGUUGAUAAUGUGUAGCACGGGUCAUGUGAUGGAACGUGUUAUAAUUUACAUAAUUAUGAUUUUAGCUGUUUUUAUGGGUUGUCUGUUAUAGUAAAACUCACAAAAUAAUUUAAUCUGACACUAGACUAUUUAAACGAAAUAUGUUAUGCCAACAUUAUUUCAUUAUUUUGAAUAUUAGAUUUAUUUAAUUAAGUUGAUNNNNNNNNNNNNNNNNNNNNNNNNNNNNNNNNNNNNNNNNNNNNNNNNNNNNNNNNNNNNNNNNNNNNNNNNNNNNNNNNNNNNNNNNNNNNNNNNNNNNAGCCAUUUUUUCCUGGAAAGUGAAAAAAUAGAAUAGGAAGAAAAUGCGAGGAACUUAACCGGAAAGAGUUUUGGGCAAGGCUACACCACUCCUAACAAGACCACUUAUUUAUGUUACCUCUCGAUCAUCAAGACAAGAGAACCAAACCAAUCAAAUGUCUGAAACUGAAGUUACCCUUCAAAAGUUCGAUGUCUUUCUGAGUUUCAAUGGAGACGAUACUGGUCGUAACUUCAUCAGUUUUCUCUUCACAGAAUUGAUAAAAAAGAAUGUUAAAAUUCCACCCUUCAAAUAUGACCGGCAGAUAUCUCCGGAGCUCGAACGCAUAUCGCCUGAGCUCGAACGGGCCAUUGGGGGUUCUAGAUUCGCCGUCGUUGUCGUCUCUGAGAAUUACUCUGCUUCUCCUUGGUGUCUGGAAGAGCUUGUGAAGGUUAUGGAAUUCGUAAGAGAGGGUUCGAUCACCGUGAUACCCGUCUUUUACGACGUGGAUCCGUGCCAUGUGAGGAGGCAGAUUGGGAAAGUCGCUGAACACUUCAAGAUGCAUGAGGGUAGAGAAGACCAUGAGAAGGUGCUUUUUUGGAGGCAAGCAUUGAAAGAUUUGGGGAAUGUCUCCGGCAUCUGUUCAUCUAAAUGGUAAAAUUUCAGAACUUUUUACAAGUUUUACUAUUACAUAAAGUUAUAUUGAACUCGUGAACUAUCAGCAGCAUAAAUUUAUAUUUGAACUUGUUUAUCUACGAAUUAAUAUUAUAUCUUUGAAAGUAACGGCUCUAUACAUAUAUCAAAAUCUUCGAUGAUAAAAUUCGAGUUUUACUAAAAAAAAAUUAUUAAUUCGAUUCUAAAGUUUCGAUUUUUUUUUUUUUUUGGGUCUUUAGGGAAGAUGACUCAAAGAUAGUAGACAAAAUUACUGAGCUGAUAUCAAAAAAUCUGAUGAUUGAUACAACAAGAAUUAAUGGGAGUGACCUUCAGGGGAUUUAUGCACACAUGAAAGCUUUUAACCGAUUAUUGAAUUUGAGCUCUAAGAAAAGUGUAAGAGUGAUUGGGAUUUGGGAGAGAGGAAGCAAGAAAAGAUCGGUUUUAGCUAAAUUUGUUUAUCAGAACAUUCAUCAACACUUUGAAAGCCAUUUUUUCCUGGAAAGUGAGAAAAUGGUUUAUAAGGAUCGUCACAUGUUGCAUCUCUUUGAAGAGAGGAUGAGUCAAUUAAGAGUCAAGAACAAAAAGGUUUUGCUUGUGGCUGACGACAUCAAAAAGCUUGAACAGUUCGAUGCUCUUGCAGAUAAUUUCAACAAUUUUGGUCCGGGGAGUAUAGUUAUCAUCACUACACAAGACAAGCAGGUGCUUUCCUCUUCAGGCAUAAAUCUUGUUUAUGAAGUAGAGUUUCAGAGAUUCUUGGAAGUUCAUGGACAUUUCAGGCAAUUAGCCUUCAAAGAGAAAGACAUUUCUGCUGCGUUCGAUUUGUCUUUGUAUAGGGCAACAAAUCUUGCAAAUGAAUGUUUUGGUUAUCUACGUGGUGGAUCACAAGAUCUGGUUCGCCGGAAUCAGUUUAUAAAGCAAAGUCCCAUUAUUUUUUCAGCAGUAGCUACUUGUUUUUUCUCUCCUUCAUGUUUUGGGUACUUUUAUUUUGCUUCCCUUUUGUGUACUAAGGCUCUUUUGUAAUUGGUUUCAGUUCUUGGUAAUAUAAAAUGGUCUCUCUUUUGAAAAGAAACAAAAGAGGUUAAAGAAUGACAAAGAAAAGUAUAAGACUUCAAAUUUCGAACCUAAAAUGACUUCUUUUUUUUGUUAACAAACUUCAAUAAGAUUGGCUUAAAUAAGCCAACUGGAGGGACAAUUGUUUACAAACUUGACCAAAUACGGAAGGGCACGCACAUUGCGGGCCAAACUAUACGUUUUUACAUUUGCAUUUCUUGCAAUAAGAGAUAGAGAAAAAAAUGAGAACCUAAAAUGACUAACAUGGGAAAAGCAUGAAAUCUCUGAUCUUCUUUUCCUCACUGUCACUGAGUUUGAGAGUUUUGCGUCCACUUAGCUUAGAUCAAAGAUCGAAUACAACAUAUAUACAAGCAACAUUUCCAAAACAACUGGUACAUAUGUAUAUACAAGCAACAUUUCCAAAAUAACCGGUACAUAUCUAACGUUAUCUACAACCAAAGUAGCCCAACAUAGUCCUCAUAGAUGUUACGCAGACACAAACUAACUAUUUCUCAUCGAAAAAGAAAUGUAAAGUAGACUGCGUCUCUUUAGGUUUCUUAACGUUAGACUUUCCCUUUCCUUGCUUCCUUCCGCAUCUCCCACUGCUUGUAACAUCUUGCAACCUCUCACAAUGUUUCAGUGGCUUUUCUUGAGCUGAGAAUACAUCAUAGUCUCGCUUUGUCCCCGUCUUUUUUGCAGACUUCUCGCAAAACUCUAAGCCACCUAGCAUCGUGUUUGCCCCGGUCUUUUCUGCAGACUUCUCGCUAAACUCUAAGCCACCUUGCAUCGUGUUUGCCCCAGUCUUUUCUGCAGACUUCUCGAUAAACUCUAAGCCACCUAGCAUCGUGUUUGGCCCAGUAUUUUCUGCAGACUUCUCGCUAAACUCUAAGCCACCUUCCUUUGUGGUCUCGUCACUUAAAGCUGCUUUCUGGUUUUCAUUUCCUGGUUUAUUAUCUUCAACAGCCUCGUGUGGCUGAUUCAAUUCCUCAUUUGUGGUAAACUGAUGAUGGCCUUGCGUCUCGGGUUCCUCUUUCGGGAUUAUAGGGAGAUCAAGGUUGUGGGAUCCAACUGGUAGGUUGUCAUUGCUUGCACUUGUUUCUUUAGUAAGACCAGUCUUUAUGGAUUUCUUUUCUCCAUUUCUAUCCUCCUCAACUUCAUCCUUUACACGUCCGGGAUGAAAUGCAACAAAUGGUUCUGCUUUCACAGUCUUUGGAAAAUCCAGAUUUCUGGUUUCAUUCGAUACAUCUUUCUCCUCGCCUAAUUCUUCAAUUUUCUUAAUGCUGUCAGGAAAUACAGCCCCAUCAUGACCUUCAACCGUAGGUUCCUCUUUCAAACCACCUGUGAUAUCUGUUGAUGCGGUUUCUUUGUCUGUUUUGGGAUGCUUUGUUGAGAAAAACUUCGAGAUCAAGCUAUUUUGUGAAGCCUUAAGCGUUAUCUGCAAGUGGCAUAAUCCGUAUUUAUAAAUGACGAUAAGCGUACAGAUUGAAACAAUACAGAAUGGAGAGAGUUCCAAGAUAUGAUCCUGACAAUAACAUGACUUGAAAUGCAAUUAUCGACCUUUAGUUGUACACUAACAAAGGGAAUCUGGUUAACAGUACCUGUUGAAUACAUUCUGGUCCAUCAAACGUUGGUUUACCAAUUGCAGAGGUUACUGGAUACCAUACCUGAAAGUUCAUCUUAAGUAUGUGAAAAAGGAAAGAACAUUAUAACAUAGAAGCCAGAAACAAAGUAAACUCACCAAAUCCGAUUUCUCAUAUGGUGAAAGUAACGGCUGCAGUUUUGUCGUCGAUGGAUCAUCUAGCCAUGUGUCGACAGAAUCCUUGUCACCAAGAAUUACUGGCAUUCUGUCUUACGUGAAAAAUAAACGAAUCUCACAUGUCAACUAAAUUAACAAAACUUUCUCCAACAGAAUCUUAUAAUGUGAACUUUGAAUAAGAAACGCAACAGUCCUUAUUAGUCUAAGACCAACUAUUAUUACAUUGAAUCAGGAUUGAUCCAACUAUUAUUAAUACAUUGCAUAAACAGCCUUUACUUAUUUUUCCUUUUAUACCAGUCCCUUUAGCAGUUUAGCAGCAGUUCAAGAUUCUUUUGCAGCAAGACUCGUAACUACAAAAGUAUCUUUUCUAAAGAAGCUUAUCAAAUUAGACGUAACAAGAAAACAGAAACAAUUCAAUACUAGUAUGAUACUUGAAGUUCAUAUCUUUCUUAAUAUACGAACACAAGUUUCAGAGGUUCCACGGAGGAUAAAUAAUUCCCAACUUCAUAUGCUAUGUGCUACUGAGAAUCUUUAGUGGAUAUGAAUUAAGAAAUAUAUCUCAUUUAAGAAAAAGCCUUCCAAGAUAGCUAGUGUAUUCAUUACUUACCAUGGAGCCAAUGGAGGGAUGAAGAGGAAGCAGUUGUCAAAAUCGUGAAGGUGUAAAGUGUCUCACCUGCAACAAAAAUAGUAACAUUUACUUAGAGUCAAAGCAUCUGAGAAAUUUUAGCUACCAAAAAGGGCCUUAACCAAAGAAGAUCAAACCAACAGGUCUUUAAAGUGCUACUUCACUUUUCUAAUACACAUAACUCAAAACUUUUCAAACAUCUGUGAAAAAAAAGGAUAUUGAAAGUCUAAGAAAUGUUUCAGGAUCAGCUUCAAAAAGAAUAGCAACAGAGUUUGGAAUAAAACAAGAUAGAAUGCUUCACCUCCCGAGUUCUGCCAAGAAUCAAAAAGAGCAGCAAAUACGAGUGGCCUCCCGUCCUCGAAAUGGAUAUAGUAGGGUUGCUUUUUUGAACCUUCCUUUUUCCACUCAUAGAACCUUCAAAAUGAAUCUAACUCUAAGUUCUUUUGAAUACUUUAAAUACACAUCGAAAGAUAGUAACAGAACAAUUGCUUUUGAAAGAAUGCUCACAAAAAACAGAACUCAAUAACAAAACAUUAACCUUAAAGAUUGAUUACACAAAGUCAAACAUUGCUGAUCAGAAUUAAAACAUUUCUUUUUGUAAUUUGGGAAUUAAGACAUAGAUUGAACAUAAAUGAUAGAAUACUGAAAAGAGAAGAUAAUAGAUACCCAUCAACUGCAACAAGGCACCUAUUCUUGGGAAGCAAUCGACGAAAAGAAGCUUUCUCCGCUACCGAUUCAGACCGAGCAUUAAACUACAAAUUCACAUAAACAAGCACAUCUUCACUAUAUAGUCAUCAAUCAAAGAAGCAGGUGCAAUAAACUUCUUUGACAAUCAAAUUUUGCAACUCAAAACAAAACCCACCAAAGAAGUAAAAGUGAUACCAUUUUGAAAAAGUCAGGCUUAUCAGUUUUCUUAGUGAAACCUGGGACUAAUCCCCACUUCAUACAAUGAACAACAACACCAUCACCAACUACUUCAUUGUCUCUUCUUAAAACAGGCAUAUAGGAACCAGGGGCAACAUUGUAAGAUGGACGAUAACUGAUUAACAACAAAAAGGAACGAUUUUUAGAGAGUUCAGAGGCUUAAAAAUUGAAACUUGUAACUGAGAAAAGAGAAAAGACCGGUCGGUGUGAAGGAAUCGGGUUUGAACGCCGUGGCGGUGAGAAGCUCUUGGGACAUCGUCUGGUCUUAAAGUACAGCGAGUCCUACCGCACAUCUUUACUGGUUUUGGUCGGAAGAUGUAAAACCCUAAUAUGACCGCUUGAGUGAAAGUGUGAAACUGAAGGAUUUGGUUAAAAGAUCACCGGAGAGAAGAUUAAGUCUUUCACUGUGGUUAACCGACCGAUGAUGACUCGACCUUCGUGUGUUUUUUUGUUUUUUUACUUCUGAAACGUAAUUAAACCAAACCGAACCAAAUUUUUGGUUUUUGAUUUGGUUUCGGUUACUAAAGGUAAACCGAUCGGAAGCUUUGUAACUGAAAUCGGUUAUCAGUGAAUUUUUGGUUCGGUUUACGCGAACCGGACAAUUAACUGAAGAAAAACAAAAUCCCUGUGUAAUUAGUCGCUGUCAAUUUUUUUUUUUUUUUUGUAAAAGGGUUUUCAAUUAAAAACUUAUGCCAUAUGGGCUUACAUAUUUCCGGAUUAUGCCCAUACUAAAACCUAAUAAGGCCCAAUCCAUUACAUUAAACCAAACUAAACCAAACUAAAUACAAAACCGAUCCGGUUUCACAAAACCGAAAUUACCGGUAUCUGUCAAAACCCUAAUCUACAAUCGCAAAACACGAUGUAGACGCCGUCCAAAGACUGCAGAUGCACGCCGGAACAUGACCUCCGAUGUGCUUGGACGACGCGGAUUGAACGGAGUAGGUGAUCCAGGAUCAGUAUGCCUCUCCACCACCGUAGAGAAGAUUUGAGGAAGAGGAAGAAAUCGAUCUGUUUUUCCGUCGAGAAGGCUUCGGGCUCCGUCGUGAUAUUGAAGGCGGUAGGGAGUAGAUCUAGGUUCCAUCGACAGUGGCUUAGCUUCAUGCGGCCGGAGUCAAUCUCCCCCAUCAAGCGGCGGCCACAAGAAACCUCCAGGAUCGCUAGAUCCUAGAUCUAACCGUCUUCUCUCUCAGUCUUCACCGUGAAGUCUUCCUCUUCCACUCUGCGCCGCUACACCAUCGAAGAGCUCGUCGACGGUGACUCGCAGAAGCUUUCCCUCUCCCCUUCUCCCUUGAUUUUGUUUAGUUUGUGAAGCCGAGAAGAAGCAAUAGAUUGCGGAUGAAGCGCCAUGGACCAUGGGUUCCUCAUCGACGCCGGAAUCGCCAGAGGAACCUUUCACUUGGUGCAAGAGAUUUUGAUCAGAAGAAGAGAAAUGGAGGAGAGAGCAGCGAGUAGAUCUCACGCGUCCUUCUCUCUCUAAAAAGUUUUUUCUUCGUGAGGCAUCAUGCUAUCAUUUUUUUUGGAUCUUCACUCAAUUCAUCUUCCUUGCAUUUCUUCUUUUUCUUCGAUGGUCGGAUCUCCUCUUCGCAUCAGCCAUCGUUUAACUUUUUCUGGAUUUAGGAUUACUCGCGUGGCUAUGUUGAAGUUUUCAUUCAUACAAAAACGUUUACGAAUUUAUUUAAAAUGGGCUUGACAUGUUACUAGGCUUCUAUUAUUUUCCAGCGGCACAAAAACCAAAUUAACCUCUUUCAGAACAAUUUUUAAAUUCCGAAUUAACCAAUUAACCGAUCCGAACCGAGUCGAUUAACCAAAUAAACUCUCGAUUAACCAAACUAAGAGGCUAGUGGAAAUAGAGUAUUUUUAUAUACACCUUUGAAGUACAUUUUUUCUAAAAAUCUAUUUUGGGUUAUAACCUUUUAUUAUUUGGUGAAUUAGCUCAAUAUUCAUUAUCAAAAAAACAAUUAAGAAUAUAGCACCAUAACAUUGAAAAUAAAGAGAAUAACCAUUUCACGAUGUGAAAUGACCAAAUGGGGUAAAUCGUGAACUACACACACAACUACAAAAGAGUGUUAUUAUUUUUUAAUUAUUUAAUUUUAUUUAUUUAAAUAAAUAACUCUUACCCCAUUACCUUUUUAUUGUGAUAUAUCUUUUCAUCAAAAUUAACUUUUAAUUUGAAAUUUAUCUUAAAAAGUUAGUAAUAUUUUUUCUGCAUUCGACAUAGCUUAAAUUUUUAAAAUCGGAUGUUGAAAACUAUAAAUGGUGAAUAGUGUUAAUAAUAAGAACAUGUUAUACUAUAUAUGAUUACUAUACUAUUUUCGAUACUAUACUAUUUAUGUACUAUAGUAGUGGCGGUUGCGGUGGAGGUGAGAAUGAUGAUGGCGAUGAGGGUGGCGGUUGAUAGUGAUAAUGACAGUAUUGGCGACGCUGGCAAUAACGAUAAUAGUAGUGAUACUUAUACGUCAUGGUGGUGGUUACAAUGAUGAAUAGUACUGGUAACAAAGAAAACAAUGUUCUAUAUAGAAACACAUCAUAUAAAAUUAUAUGAUUAUAAACUAUUUUUACUAAUAUAAUGGUAGUGAUGGAUGUAGUUGUAACCGUGGUUGUAGCAAUGGUGGUGAUGUGAUGGUGAUGAAUAUUAUUGUGAUGACCAUGGUGACAUUAGUUGUGGUUACGGUAACAUAGACAACAUGACCGAUCGAAUUAAAGGCACACCGAAAAACUGCUACACCCUAAAAGAUACAACACAUGCAACUUAACAAUCGAAUUAAGCGUACACCAAAAAAAAUUAUUAUACCCUAAUGGAUGCAAUAUUGGCAACCCAAGCAACUAAAUUAAACGCACACACAAAAAGAAAAAAUGCUAUACCCUAAUGGAUACAACAUAGGCAACCCAAGCAACCGAGUUAAUUGCAGAAAACAUAAAUAUAUAACAUAUAAGUAUUUCUAAUUAUAAUAUAUUUUUGUAAACAUGUAAUAUACAUAAAUUUGAAAUUUAAAAUGCUAGUAAAAAAUGGAAUAGAAGCGGAAUAGAAGGUGAUUAAAUUGUUUCGCCGUUUAUCACUCAUUGAAGUCUUUAAUGAGUAACGGGGGUAAAGAGAAAUAGAAGUGAGAUAUAAAGAAAAAUAUAGUUUUAAUAUUUUUUAUAAAUAGGAAAACUUAGGUUCAUGCAGCAAGUGGGUUAAGCAAAAGAAAUUGGGGAGAGUGGGCAAUACACACAUAUGAAAGGAGGGUAAUUUUGUAUAUAAUAUAGAAAAUACACAGAAUAUUACCUUUUAGAUGUUAGUAUGGUCAUUGGGUGAAUUAUAAUUUUUUUUGAAGGUUAUAGAUGCCAAAAUCAUUUUAUUUUAUAAUAUUUGCAUAAUUAAACACUUACUAAUUGAAUAAAUAACAAAACUUACAAGUAAAUUUAGUAACUAAAUAUCAAGUAAAUAUAAAUAUUAUAUAUAUUAAAACUUUUAAUAGCUUUAAAUAUUAUAAUAUUUAAUUUAAUCUUUAUAGAAUGUUUAAAAUAUUAAAAAAACUUAAAAUCUACAAAAAAAAUAAAGUAUUAUUAAUAUUCUAACUUUAAAAUAUUGAAAAUAUAAUAAUAUUGUACGUAAAUAUGAUUGAACGGUUUUGAGUUUACAAAAAUAUGAUUAUAGAUUUCUUACGAGUUAUCUAUAUUUAAAUUCUUUUAACGGUUAAGUUAAAAUAUAAUUUUUUACUUACAACAAAAUUAUCAUGCGGUGUACCGCGGGUUGACCACAUAUAUCUUUGAAUAUAUUUAUAAUACAAAUUUAUAGAAUUAUAUAAAAUAAAAAAGAAAUAAACACAUAUAAUAACUAGACUAUAUAAACCAAUUAAGAAAAUGACCAAUCAAACAAAUAUAUUAAAUUAUUGACUUGUUGUGUACUACCGGGUAAAUCCUAGUUUUAAUUUUGUUUUGCAUAAAAUUUAUGGAAAAAGCUUAAAAAAUUCGCCAACUAUUUAAUUUAAGACAACAAAAAGAAACAAUUUUGGGUGAAUUAAAUGAAAAUACACAAAGGACUUGUUAAUUGAGCGUGCAUCAAAUAACAACAAGAAUAAUUAAAUUUGGAGAAAAUAACACGCAGACCCACUUUGUGAGAAAGUCUUUGCGAGCAGACCCACUUUGAAGUUAUAGUGUACUUUUGUUCUUCUUAAGUUGUGUUGGCCUCAAAAUAAAUGACAAUUCUGCCCUCUGUCUUAGUUUUAGUAGAGUUGAAUUGUAACUAAAUCAAAAAUAACAAGGGCCGUAGGAUGGAAACUAGAUGAUUAGAUCCUAUGGCUUAUAUUAAGUUUUGUUUUAAUCGGGACUUCAUGGAUUUAAAGCAAUUUUCAAGUUAACAAUUCGUUUAUUUGUGGAUAAGGAAAUGCUAAACUGAGUUUAGGGUUUUGGACAGUCUUCUAUAAACAUGGAUGCGCAGGUAAGGGUUUGUGGAUAGUUCUUUGUGUUUUGAAACUUGUGGGUUGAUAAUUGUUGCUGAUAAAUUUUGUUGCUGUCGCGCAGGAUGAACUCCCUCGUUAUUGUGUGGUUGUUUCAGGGAAGUGGUGUUUUACCGACAAACACGUUUACGCAGAAGGAUGAAGCUUUCCUUGAUGAAAUAGCAGCAGCAGAGCAUGGUAGGAAAAAUGAAGCAGAGGUAAAGGGGAGGGUAACCGAAGAUGAAACAGAUAUGGGUGAAAACCAAGAGAAUGAUAAAUGCGAGAAAGAAGAAGAUAGUUGGAUUGAAGACAUGUUGAACGAAGUGAAUGUUGAAGAAAAGGAUGUUUAUGUGACACCAAGACAGUAUGACACUUAAUUCUGGGGAAAUUUCAUAAGUGAUAACUAUGGGCGAGUAGAUGUUGUGGAGGUAAUGUGUAAUACACAUUCUUGUUUUGACCAUACUGUGAUAUUGAAUGGUGGAGUCCCAGUAAAGUCUGAGGAUAAGCCGCCAGUAGUUGGUGGAGACCACAAUGGUGUGAAUGAAGGGGGAGUAAUGAAUGGGUAUGUGCCUAGAGUUUAUUCUCAAAGCGCCACUGGACAACCAGGUGUAUCUAGGUGGACAAAUGAGCAUGGGUACAAUGGAAUCAAUGCAGCAUGUGGAAGCAGGUCAGUUCCAAAUGUUGAUGAACGGAAGCUUGAAGAUAUUGACGACGAGGAGUUCGAUAUACCUCCUUUGUUUGAUGAUACUGAGUAUGAAAGGGAAGAUAUACCAGAUCUUGAUCAUCUCUCUCUCUUCUUCUCUCAUCUUCUCUUUAUUUAUCUAACAACAAAUAAAACUCUUCACAAUUUUAAAAAAUAUUAGGAUCAGAGAUUUUUUUCACCCGCGCCUACUCCGGUAAAGAAGUCGAUCGGUUUCAAUUGGCGGAAUUAUGUGUUGCAUCUCUGAUAGACAAAAUCUGAUGGACCAAAUUCGUUGGACCAGAUCUGGCGGACCAGUUUCGAUGGACCAAACCUUUCCAUUUUGAUUAAUUAAUCUUGUCCAUCAUCCAAAUCUUUUGAAACCACAAGUGAUUCACCAGAUGAUGAAACUGGCAUUUUUGAGAAGGUUUUGGUCAAAGUGGCAGAAACAUAAUUUUGAUUUAUGAAAGUGGCAUAACAAACAAUAUUCCCUUACGAAUAUGUUCCAUUUUACAUAGACAACCACAAAGAAGGAAUCGUUUUUUCUACAAUGUUUGGGCCAACGUUGUGACUAGAGGAUUCUUGCAUGUGAAUUAAAGGGUUGUGGAUACUGCAAGAUUAGGAGAGCAAACUUGGAGCACACAUACCCUAUAGAAACAAGGAACAAUUAUUUGAAGAAAACAAACUCCAAGGCCAUUGCAUCUGUGUACAAAAUCAAAGUAUUGUGACCCAACCAAAGGCCCUGCAUCUUUGGAUUUGUAGCAGAUGGUUCUUGAGGAUCUGAGGAUGUCAGCAUCUUAUAGUAAGUGCUGGAGAACUAAAGGGAACGCUGAGGAAGAUUUAUUUGGACUGGAAGACGACUCUUAUGACAGUUGGCUAAAUAUUUGUAAACCAAUCAAGAACAACCUUGACUAUUCUCUUCUCAGUCGCAGCAAGCUUCUCAUCUAGCAAGCGAGACAAAACCCCCAAAUCAACAUUAGAGGAUGACGGAGGCUGUGGGUUGUUGUGUGGUUGGUGAUCCUUUGUCUUUGUAUCUAUUUCUUUUGUGCUUGGAUAGACUAUGCCAUAAAAUUGAGCUAGUGAUUGCUUCAAAGGAGUGGAAAACAAUUAGCUUGUCUCGCGGAGGUCCCAAGUUGUCUCACAACUGUUUCGUAGAUGACCUCAUUUUGUUUGUAAAAGCUUCUGUUGAAAGAGUAAGGAUAAUUCGGAAGGUGUUGGAGAAGUUUUGCGCGGCUUUAGGCCAGAAAGUGGGCUUGGAGAAGUCGAAUUUUUUUUUCUCUCACAAUAUUCAUAGGGAUCUGGCCAAGAUUAUAAGUGAAUAGAGUUGGAUACAAGUAAUCUAGGAUCUUGGUAAGUACUUGGGACUGCCAAUCUUAUAGAGAAGAAUUAGUAAGGAUACUUUUGGAGAGAUCAUCCAGAGGGUUAAUUCACGGUUAUCAGGUUGGAAAGGUCCCUUUCUAUGUCUCGCAAGGAGACUAACUCUUCCCAAAGCAAUGAUGUCAUCUCUUUCAGUUCACUCUAUGAGCACGAUUAGGUUACAGUCCUCACGUUAGAGACUUUGGAUCGGAUUUCACGGUCGUUUCUUUGGGGUAGUACAGUUGAAAAACAUAAACAACACUUGGUUGCCUGGGAUCGGGUGUUCGCGCCUAAGAUGAAGGGGGGAGGGGUUUGGGCAUUAGAUCAGCACGAUGUAUGAAUAAGGCUCUUCUAGGAAAAGUGGGAUGGCGUUUACUUAAUGAUAAGUAGAACCUUUGGGCUCGAGUCUUGCGGCACAAGUAUAAGGUGGGGGAGGUUAAGGACCGAUCUUGAUUACAAGUCAAGAGCAAUUGGUCCUCGACUUGACGGAUUAUAGGUAUGGGUUUGAGGAAAAUGUUUUACAUGGGCUGAGUUGGGUCAUAGGCAAUGGUAAAGUGGUUAAAUUGUGGAAGGAUAAGUGGUUACUGAACAAGCUUUUGGUAGAUAUAUGCAUCGGUGAUAUUCCGGAUCUUUAGGUCGACCUUUAUACUCCUGAUUUAUGGAGGGAGGGUAAAGGUUGGGAAUUGAUUCGCGUUAGCCUUUUCCUUUUGCUGAAUACGCGUUUGCAUCUUAGGGAAGUGAUUCUUGAUACGGUGACUGAUCCUGCGGAUAGGCUGUCUUGGAAUGAGACAUCGGAUGGCGAUCAGGUGGUGCAUCAGGUGAUCAUGACGGAUGUUGAGAGACAUCGGCGUCACCUUACAAAUACAUGCUGGUGAAGAGUUUGUAAGAGUGGUGAGGAGACGAUUGUUCAUGUGCUUAGAGAUUUCUCGGGGGAGUGUGGCGCCGCCUAGUCCUAAGAAGGAAUAUCUGGCUGUUUUUUGUACAACCCUUAUUGGAAUGGCUCUAUUUCAACUUAGGGCACGAGUCUGGUUUGCUUGGUAACGUGGGCCAUAAAUUUUGCAAUGGCUGUUUAGUGAGGGUGGAAGUGGAGGUGUGGUAAUUUUUUUUAUACUAAUUGUAAAUGUAGAGAUUGUGUGCGUUUUCUCCAAGAGCUAGCCAAAGAAAGAUGCAAGGGAUUGCAAGAAAAGAAGGAUUGGUUAAGUGGAUCCCUCCUGGUGAUGCUUGGAUAAAACUCAACACGGAUGGAGCUUCACAUGGUAAUCCUAGGCUGGCUAAUUUAGUUGGAGCUCUACAGGAUAGUAAUGUGAUUCGGAAAGGAGGCUUUGCCCUAAACAUAGGUAUUUGUUUGGUUUCGUUGGCGAAACUAUGGAGAGUCUACUAUGGACUUGUUAUUGCUUGGGAGCGGAGGUUUAGGCGCCUUGAGUUGGAAAUAGAUUCGGAAAUGGUGUUUGGGUUCUUAACGACAGGGAUUAAGGAUGUGCAUCCCUUUUCUUUCCUAGUACGUUUGUGCUACGGCUUUCUAUCAAAAGAAUGGAUAGUCCAAAUCUCUCACGUGUAUAGGGAAGCUAACUGUCUUGCCGAUGGAUUAGCUAACUAUGCCUUUUCUCUUCCGUUCGGUCUUCAUACUUUCGACACCCGGCCGGAGUUCGUGAAUCAGAUAGUUUUAGAUGAUAUCAGCGGGGUUGGAAGGUCCGUGCAUGUUCGCUUGUAGUUUUUAUUUUAUUUUUAGUUUGUAAUUCUUUGAGGGUCUCCCACAAAAAAAAGUAGUGAAAGUGUGAAACUAGAGGAUUUGAUUAAUCGAUCGCCGGAGAGAAGACAAGUCUUUCCAUGCGGUUUUGCCCAAAAUGGUUACCCUAAUGAUGUCUCAAAGUUAAUGCUUUUCUCUCGAGAAAAAACUAGAAAAUGCUUAAUUUAUACUUUUUUGAAUGUUUACACCUGUAUUUUUUUUUUGAAGAAAAAUAUAUAUACUAAUUAACAUUUGUAAUUUAAUUCUUAAAAAAAAAUUAUUUUUAUAUUCAUACUCACAUUGGCAAAACAAAAAUAAAAUUCUAAUUUUAUCUUUACCAUCUGAAUUAAUUAUUGAUGUUUAAAUCAUGUGACAAUAAUUUCUAAUUUUAUUUGAUGAAAACUAAAUUUGAAGUCAAAAGUAAAAUUUGGCUCCCACUCGUAACAUGAGCUAUCAAACUUGAGUUGAAGUAAAUAUUCUGAUUUGAUGUAAUAUGAUAUAUUAAUCUUACCAAAAUCAUUGACUAAUGAAAAUUUUGUAGUAGAUGUUGCAGUAUGAUGUCCAUUAAGUAAAUUUUAAUUUAAUAUAAUUGAUAACUAUAAUUAUUAGUGAUUAUAUUUAAUUAAAUUAUGGAAAUAUAUAUACAAUAUAUCAACACACAUUCUUGAUCUUCACUCUCUUGAUCACUCUCGAAGGUUAAACUUGUUUCGCUCAACUCUUGUAACACCAAUGUCUUCUCUUGGCUUCUAGAGUCUUCUUGACCUGCCAAAGGAGAAUUCGUACCUAGGGAAAUAGUACGUUCAAGACUCAUUUUGGUGAAAGCUUUAGCAAGCUCUUCCUCGGCAAUGAGUUCAUAUCCGUUGUGAUGGAGUAAGGGGUAGUACAGACCAGUUGACGAUAUUUAGCUCUAGUGAACUCACAAUAUCCUGUAUAGCUAAGUUAAAUCUCUUUCUAAAUUAUUUAGACAUUGAACGUCUCAUGGGACCUUCUGGGACGACUGGUACAUGAUCUGGUUCAGCGGGUUGGACAGUUGAAUCAAUGAGCGCAUCAAAGCUCAUAAUUUUAAGAAAAUAAUCAUCUCUUAUGUCCUUAAGACCAUCUCCAAUGCACAAUUCUAUUUUUAACUCUAAAAUAAAGUAGAGAUUCUAUCCAUGGACUUUAAAACCAUGGUCCCUCGAAUCCUUGCCAUUUCACUACUCUGGCGAGAACCAUGGCUUUGGUUAUUUCUUUAAUGUCUCAGAGUCUCAUGAACGUGUCAACUUUUUCAUCCAUGUACUUCUUCGAAGGUGAUAGGUCGAGCAAUCUUGAUCUCACAUGUGCAAAUCGCUUCUUAGCGUUUGUUUGAAAGCUCUCAUAGGUCUUUUCUCGAUGUUUCUUUCCAUCCAUUAAUACAUUGGGGAAUGCUUUUGUUUGUAAUCCUUUAAAUUUUGGGGUCUGUUAAUCCUUAUCCUUGUACUCGAUUUGAUUUGAAUGAAUGAAAUCAUGUGUUUGUCCUGAGAAAGAAAAAGAUUCUCUCCAAUUCCCAGCUCUAGUUUUUACUCUAAAAAUUAUUAUUCUUAAAUGGAUUCUAUUUUUAAUUAAUUAUUUUAUUUAUAAAACUUACAAUUAUGCCCCAUAUCUUUUAUUCUUUUUGCAAACUUUCAUAAAUCAUUAAUAUUAUUUAAACUGAACAUUCAUUAAAUUAAACUACAUUAUAUCAUUUUAAAUAUUAGAUUUUAGUUUAAACAUCACCAUUAGUAAAUCUUUCUCACAAAUGAUCAAUUAACGCAUUUCAAAGUAAGAAAUGAGCUUCUUUAUCUUCGAUUUUUCUAAAUCGACCAAAUAAAUUUUGGAACAAGAUAUUAUCAUUAUCUGUAGUCUCAAUUUGUAGACGUGGAGCUUCUCUUCCAACUUCAUUUGGUGCACUGAGAUCACAUUUAUUAUCUAAACGGUAGGCCAACUUUUCUACUUCCAAUGCAUGCAAUCUAAGCCACCGAGCAUUCAUGGAAUUUCACGCUUUUCACCAAUUUAAAGAAGUCUGGAAACAUCAUUAGGUAACACCAAAUUUAAGACUUCACAGAUGAGGUAACACCAAACCUCAUUUGAAAAUAACACCAAAUUUAAGUCUUCACAAAUGAGGUAAACCAGUAAACUUUUUAUUAUACUAAUGAACCAGAAGCCAAACAGUAAUAAUGGUGACCAUUUCCAAUAGUUAGAAUUUUAUAAGAGAUUCUUAACAAAUUCUUAGUAUAAAUUUUGCUUUUAUCAAAGUUAAAAACUUGAAUAAGAGUUUUUAAAUUUUGUUCCUCCAAUGGUUAGAACCCCUAGUUUUUAUCGUCGAAGGCUAAAUCAAAUGAAAUUUCUGAUUCGGUUGAUUUGGUCGGAGUUUUGGCUUCUUUGUCCAUGAAUUUGAUCAUGUUUCUUUGUUUUUUUUUUUAAGUUUUAAUGGGGAAACUUCGACAGAUACACAUACAAGCUCCCACUGAUUCUUUUCACCAAUGAAGCAAGGUGAUUUAUGAUUUGGAACCAACAUAGUUUGCAUGUGAAUGUUUGUAUCCAAAUUUGAAAGCUUAAAUAUUAGUAUAUUUUAGUUCUGAUUUCUCUUCUUUGCUCAUUUCUUAUCUGUAGUGAGGAAAAUGGUUUAAUGUUCUCUGUUUCGUUUGUUUAGAUUUAGUGGCCGAUUGGUAGGAUACUUUAAGACUUUAAAUAUUUUUAAAGUCUUUAAAGUAAUUAAUUUGCCAAUCAACAUUUUUGGCUUUUAUUUUGUUUUAAAGCAUUGAAAUUCACUUUUAUUUUUCAUUCUUUGUUUUCUCAUUUUUUUAAAAGCGUCAAAAACCUGACUUUAAAUCUAAUCAAUUAAAAAUAUUUAUUUUUCACAUCCCCAUUACAUUUAAAACAUUUCCACAAGUUUAUACAUAUAUUAAAUAUAUAUUUUAUUUUUAUAAAUUAAUUAUUCUUAUUUUUUUCUUCUUCUUUUAAGAUCCAUUUCAAUAAUAAUAAUUUUUAUAAAUUCAUUUUUAACAUAAUUUAUAUUUAUUAUUAAUAUAAAAUAAUAAUAAUAAUAAAAAUAACAGCUACAUCUUUAAUAGUGGUUCAUUACCAAUCAUAUUUUAACAGUAAAAGUUUCUACAGCCAAAACAUAUACAGCCAAAACAUAUACUGCUAAAUUCUCUGCUGCUAAAAUUUUAAAGUCAAAGUCUCUACAGCCAAAAGUAACAGUCGUUACCAAUCGGAGCCUUAGAUUUAGGUAAAGGCUUAACUAUUGUAUUGAUUCUCAAAACACCUUUUUUGGUAAUAAAUGAUUGUUAGCUGCAAGCCUGCAACGAUCUCAGAGUUUGAGAGUUUCAGUCAUGGAUUCAUAUAGUCAGUCUUCAAGCUUAACACAUACCAAAUCAGUCUGAGUAAGAGAGUUUUAUUGUUUUGGUUUGUAUGAACUCUCAGUUUUUUAAAAUAAAUGAAUCAUUGAGUUUAUUUAUUCAAAACUGAACCACUUGUGAAUGGUAGUAAAACAGAAUCAGUAAAUGGCUUUGAGUUUAACUUAGGAAUGCAUUGAUUUCUCUGUGAAAGCUUUGUGUUAGUUGCUUUGGUUUCAGCAGCCGAGUCUCUCUUGAGCGUUGCUAAAUAUAUGUUACAAUUUCAGGGUUUUGACUAAGUUGAGGUCACUAAGUUGUUAGUUUGUUUCCUAUUUUCUAUGUUGCUGCGUUAGUGGACGUUAUAAGGCUUUUAUAUAAAACCAUCUAUUGCUUUUAAUGAAGUACUCAGACUUUUCUAAACACAUUGAGAGCGAAGCUUCUAAUCGUUGGCCGUCUGAGUAUAAUUUAACCUUCCUGAGUUUUCUCUUUUCUUUGUUGUGGUUUUGGUUUGGAUUGGAUUUGAUGUGUUUUUUUUGUUAUUGUUUGGGUUAUAAAAAAAAAGCUUAUGAAUACACAAGUGUGAGUCAACGUAACUAAUGCAUAAUAAGUAACAGUUUUCCAUUAUUAUUAUGCAUUAAUAAUAUAAAGAUUUGUUUCCGGAAACAAAUCUUAACAAGUUAGAUUUGCCUUGGAACACGUCUUUGAAAACCUCAUGCUCAAAACAAAAUCAUCUUCCUUAUAAAUAACGAAUUUUUUUAUGGUUUUGCUUCGUUCCUCUUUCAAUGGCUUUUGGUUUCUGAGGAAGGCGAGUUCGAAAUUCUCAGUCUCCUUUACGGUACUCCACAUCUUCCUAUUUAGCUUACCAAUUGAUUUCUCAUUUAUUCUGUGAUUGAGGAUUCUUGUCUUGUGAAUUUGAUGAAUCUGUAAUCUAAUCUAAUGAUCUGCUUACUUAUUUACUAUUAGGGCAAAAAAAAAAAUUGCAAAAUUUAAAUGAGAAUUAGAUUCGUAUUGUGUUUUGUAAUGACCAAUUAAGAUGUUAUAAUCAGUUUGAUCAUUAGUUAAUUUAAUGUUUUUAUGCAGUUUUGGAUGAGUUGUGUUCUCUGGAACAGUUUGGUAGUAAACAUUUAGGAAGGAAUGGAUCCGACAGCUGUCGUGAAAGAUGCUUUUGAUCGAGUUACUAAGAAACAGAAGCUGUAUCACUCUGUAUCGCUAGAUGUUAUCGACCUAGUUUGUGAAGGAAUCCAAGAUACGUUGAGGCGAAUCCAAUUAGAGGAAGAUGGGGUAGAACCUGAAUUGGUUCUUGCUGAGUUGAGGCGUAAGCUUGAUGCUAUUUACCCUAUUAUCCAGCUUAAGAAAUCACACAAGGAAACCAAAGGGAGUCUUAGCAAGUUGGUGAAAGUUUUGGAGACUUGUUAUCAUCCUGACAUAUCUCUAGCCUGUAGAACCAUUGGUUUCGAUAUCGCUUUGGUGAAUAAGAUACUUAUCCAGCAUUGUUACCGAGAAGGGCUCUUCGAGGUUGGUGAUUGCCUGGUCAAGGAGGCUGGAGGUGAGGAAGAAGCUGAGGUUAGAUCUCAGUCAUUUGAAAUCAAGGAGAUUAUCGAGUCAAUGAAGCUGAGGAACAUUGAGCCUGCAAUGAGAUGGAUCUCUGCCAACAGUGGAAAGCUGAAGGAAAUGGGUUCGAAGCUGGAGUUUAAUGUCGUAACUUUGAAGUACUGUGAUAUGUUGAGAGAAGGAAAGCGUGAUGAUGCUAUGAAGUAUGCGAGAACCCAUUUCCCGCGAUACGGCUCACUCCAUGUACGAGAGAUACAAAAGCUUAUGACUUGUCAGAUAUGGAUUGGAGAACUUGACAAGAGUCCUUACGCAGAGAUUGUAUCUCCAUCAUGUUGGGACAAGGUAACCAAAGAGCUACUCAGGGAAUACUACCAUCUCCAUGAUCAGCCAUCAAAAUCCCCGUUGGCAGUCGCUUUAUCCGCAGGUUUAGAGAGCUUACCGACACUUUUAAAGCUGGUAGAUGUAAUGGCUUUGAAGAAAGAAGAAUGGGAAGCCAUGGAGCAUCUCCCGGUACCUUUGGAGCUGGGGAAAGAGUAUCAGUAUCACUCGGUUUUUGUUUGUUCAGUGAGCAGAGAUGAGAGCAGCAAAGAAAACCCGCCAAUGAUGAUGAUGCCUUGCCGUCAUGUUAUUAGCAAGAAGUCAAUGACGAGACUCAGCAAGAACUGUAGUGACCGCAGAUUCAAAUGCCCUUAUUGCCCUGCAACGACUUCAUCCCAAGCAUGCAGACAAUUAUUCUUUUGAAAAGAUUUGGUGAUUUUGCUCAGAUAUUUCAUGACUUGUUCAGCUCAAUAAGUAGAUGUGGAAAAAAGACACUUCACAAUCUGUUACAAGAUCUUGUUCUCUCUUAAGUUAGAACAAUCCAUAAUCUAUGUCGCAGUUUGUAGUUGCUUAUUCUUUUUUAUUUUUCACCUGAAUCCGAGAAGAUAACAAGUGAAUGAUUCAUGAUUGGGAUCUGUGUUUGUUUUGGGAUGUUGUAGUUAAAGAUAAUUUGAAUGUUAAAAAGGAAAGUUUAAAGCAAAAAAUCCAGUAAAGAUUCAACUUGAGAGUUAAAGUGAUGCAAGAAGAGCAAAGAACAUUGUAGUAGUGAAUGGAGUUUAACAGGCUCAGGAAAAUUGAAUGUGGCUUAAGGUUAACAGUGACAAAGAACAAUCAAGGACACUAUAUUCUUAAAACUAAGCAAUUGAAGUUUGGAAGCUAAAGUACUCUGGCUGAGACGAUACAGGAACUAAGUACCAACCAAAUGAUUUUUGGAUGAAAACGCAACAGUAAGUUGUUGUACACUUACAUCUUUACUCAAAUAUAAUUCACAAAAUAACAGAUUUGAGCAAUGGUGAUCAAUGAUAUCAUCACAGAGUGUAAAGUUAAGAUUUUUUGGUUUGUAAUAUAAUAAUACUUGAUUAAAAUCAUGAAUCCAGACACAAGAUCCCAAAAUCUGAGAAAAUAUCUGUUUCUCAGAGGUUUAACUUGGAAGAUUGACUAUAGAAAGCAGGAUAUAACACCAGAAAAGAUGAACUCUUCCUAGUAUCAGCAAGUUUCUGAACAAGCCAAUAAUAUUAUUUUAAAAAAGGAACCUAAACCACAACUUUGGGGAAGAAGAAGAUCUAAGAAAUAGAAGAUAGAUUCAUCAUGUUACUUUAAUUCUCUGCAUACUUCACAUAUAAACCAAAACUGAAACAAAACAAAGUCUAAAUUACAAAUCAGAAAGGUUAAUCACAUAUCUUGAUAAAUGAUUCUGUGGAAGCUUUGAAUAUAUUGACAUCAAUGAGUUGUAACAAAAGUCUAAUACAUAGUACAUACAUAUAUAGUGAUCAGCGUUUUCAUUUGAAGAAUCAGAAUGUAAACACUAUUUAAAAUUUUAUUGACUUGUAAAUACCUCUACACGAGUAUAUGAUCAUCUCAGCCUUUUAGCAAAUAGCAAUUAGGCUUCUUGUUUCUUCAUUUUGGUCUCGUCCAAAACUCCAACAAGGCAUUUCUCAAGUAAGAUAUCAAAAUUGACCCAAGCAUGGUAUUUGUUGAACAAGAGCGUACCGUCUCUCCCAACCGCUUUCAUUAGCAUAUCGACACCUCCAGGAUGAAAGUUCAUAUAAGGUGAUAUGUUGUACACACGACCUUUCAAAACAGUCCACAUAGAAUCUCUUGAUCUGUGCUUCUUUACUUCAUCCAUUGGAAUAAGCCUCUUGUUUGACUCUCCCUUCAGUCCUGCAAACACACAUAGCCGCUUCAUGUAUGUAAUACAUCAAAAAUGUGGUUUAGGAAAAGACGACUAAAGAGAGAUUUGCGUACGGGCAAGAUCAGGAUGUGUUCGUGUAAGUUUCAUCCAAUCCAUUUGGCUAUAACCCUUUUCAAAGGGAACUUUGGUACGAGUUACAGGCUUUCUAGCGGGAGAUUUGAAAGUCUCAGAUGAUUCAUUGGACGGCUUUUUCGAAGAUGAAUCAAUCACCGUGAAAGACAAAGAACCUAUUUUCUCUUCCUUUGGAGGAAGAGACUUAUCUUUCCAAAUAAGACCAUUGCUUGGUUGAUCUAAUCCAUCGUCAAGGGUAAUACUUCCCACAUUUGAUGCAAGUUCUUUUGCCUCAAGAGCAACUUCACUAUCUGGUCCCGCAACCUUUCAAGAUGGAGCAAACCAAGAAUCAAAUCAUAAAUUCUAAAACUUUCAUGUUUGUAUAAACUGAAAUCCUCAAGAAAAUGGGUGGAAACUUACCUUUGAGAAUGUGAAUUCAUCAUCUCUAGUAGUAUCCAUCUUGAGCUAAAACUGAGCUUGGAACAAUUAGUUUCAAAACAAUCUGCAACCAAUUUUUAGAACAAUUUGUAUCAGUUAAAAAAGAACUAACUAAGAGGAAGAAGACGAAUAUCUAAACAAGACUCAUCAUCUAUUUCACUUCUCUGGUAACUUUACAAAUCAAAGACAAUAAUUAGAGACAAAACAAAGUCUAAAGAUGCCAAAGUUAGGGACUUUAGGUCAAAAUCUAAUAGCUAAACCCGUUCCAACCUUGGUUCUGUUUUUUUUUAUCAUUUUUUUUUUCAAAUUAAGACAACAACACACGUGAGUUAAAAUUAAAAGCAGUCUUAACUUAAGGUAUUACUUGCUUAAACCAAGUAAAAUCUGAGACGUAAUUCUUUUACCAAACAUGCUUUAAAGAAGCCAAAGGAAAUAAUAAUACCUCUUGUCUAAUAGAUGUAAUGAUCUCUUCUGAAUAAUCUUGUUUGGAGAACACCUUUACAGCCACAUCCUGCAUUGACAUAAUUUCAGAUCAUCAAUAAAUGUCUGAGAUAAAUGAACAAAGAAAGCUGUAGAAUUGGUUAUUGAACUAACUUGGUUUUAUUGAUUUCCCAACUUAGGUAUUUAUAAGAACAUAAGACCUGAUAAACCUUAUCUCCCUAAAACAAUGAUCUCUAAACCUUAUCACAAUAGGAAUAUAAAUCAUAAUAACGAUAUGCCUUUAUCACUAAUUGCCUUGGGCUUCACGGAUCCACUUCAAUAAUGGACUCACGGUCCAUAAUAGUUGGUCCGCAAGAUACACAUCUUGCUCCCCAAGAUAUCUUCAAUAAAAGUCAUAUCUAGAUUCAGCAUACAUCAAAGGAGCAGUGUUGAAAGAUGACAACUCUCUUGAACCAAAUGAACCAAGUACUUUUUUCCAAAUUUCGAUUUUUUUUUCUCAAGCACAAAGCCUUAUGAUGGCAAAGAAUCUCAAAGGAUCUUUCUUUACCCUCCAAAUCCAGUGUCACAGAUCCAUAAAUCUCUCAAGCAGCUUCUCUAUCACACAAUUCAUCUACUUAACUAACAAACGAGAAACAAAGUGCCAGCUUUCUUAAGACAAAACAAAAACUUCAGCUCAAUCUAGAGAUAACUUAAGCAGAGCCAAGCUUCAACUAUACCAAGCUCCCACUAUAUCCAAGAACAGAACCUUCUACUCUACCAUCGUGUUCCAAAUCAUACAAAAGAGUACAAAGUAAAUUAUUUGCAAGAACAGCUAGAUCUAUACUAAUACCAAAAACAAUCACGGGUACGAAGAUUGACCUUCAACGAAGACGAUAACGGGUACUAAACCAAACUGCUUCUCUCUCUUUCUCCUGCUCAAAAGAUGGGAUUUUUAUCAAAAUCAGAUUCAUGGAGACAGCUCAAAACGAAAAUUUUCAAAAACCCAAUUAUCUCAGAUGAGACUUAUACCUGGGAGAUGAAGCUUUAGCCUUGGCGAUUGAGAUGAAGCUCAAAAAUUUGUGAGAUGAAGCUUUAGCCUUCGUCGAUUGAGAAGAGAAAACUGAGAUUGAGUUUCUCAAUUUGGAAAAUCAACCUAAAACCGAUGGCGUUUUAAAAAUUUUAAGUUAAUAAAAAUAUUUUGGGCGAGCUCGUUUUAAGCCCGUUAAUAUUGUACAGUCCUGCUCGUUUUAAAUUCGAAAUAUAUUUUUUUAAAGAAGACAGGGCUUUAACCCGAAAAUAUUAAGACGAGCCGGGCCAACCCUGUAAAUCUAAGCACAUUUUAACAACUCUAGUUAUGCAAAUAUGCUGCGGUGUCCAAAGAAGAGUGGGAAAAACAAAGUAAGAUAUGGCCAACUUCAUUUCACCCCCCAACCUAGUAAGUUUCAUAUCUUUCUGUUAGAUUUUGGUUUCUUGGAUUUUUUUUGUAACUAAAAGACUCUACAUUACUUUUCUUGUCUUUUAAUUAUUUAAACUUUAGUCGUUCUGAAGUAAUCCUACUUCUUGAUGAUUUCUAUUAGUGAUCUUAUAUGCACUUUUAUAGCAAUAUAUUUCUUCAUUUAUAGUACAACAGUCAAUUAUUUUUUACUUUUGCAUUUGGUAAUAACAGCAAUAUAGAAGGCAUCGGUGGGUUCAGCGAAGAGGACACACAAUCAAUCUGCAAAUUCAUGAGAAUUGUUAUUGAAAUGGCAGUAUCUGGUCAUAAAGCAGUAAGUAUUUUCUAUUAAUCUACAUAACGUUGAUUUGAAGUUUUAGACAAUAGACCAGGCUCUCCUAUUCAUAUAUUUCCAUUAUUAACAUAUCAUUUGCUUUUCUUUAGUGCCUCAAUCCUUUUUUUCUUGGUAGUAAGAUUUACCAUGGUUUCAUUACAUAGAAAUGAUUUCAACUAAGAAUCUCGACGUGGGUUCUCUGCCAUUCCCUCGCAGUUUCAUCCCUAACCCAUAUAUGAAAAACUAUAUCUCCAUUCGGUUCAUUCACAAUUCCAUCUAAGAAGUCAGAGUCGUUCACCAAGGCAAUUUUCCCAUUGUAAAUCACAAAAUUCCAAUAUGUACUAAUAUGUAGAUCAGGAAAUUCAAUGACGGUAAACUCUUCAGACCUCACAUCAAACUUCAUUACCAGAGGUUCGUGACUAGUGGACCGAGCUCCAUAGUACAAAAUCCCUCCUUUACAUAGUCCUUGAGUUUCUGGUUGAUGAUCCUUCGUACAUGUGAUCCGUCUCCAAGAAGAAGAAGGUUCUUCACCCAAUUCCACAGUCAAGACUUGAUAAUCAUAAGCUCUGAGUGAUGGUUCAAUGUUAUGUAACAUCGUCACACAUAAGACCUUGAACACUUUGGUGGCUUCAUCGUAUCCUAGAAAACUUGUUACGACAGCGUCCUUAUGCGCUUGGAUAUCCGGUAAAGUCUGAAACUUUUUCGUACCCGGAUUGCAAAUCGCAACCUUAGUUUGUAACCGAAGACAGAUCAUACCUCUGAUGGGCUGAGAAAUAUGAGAAUUUGUUGAAUCAAGAGAAAUACGCAACUGUUGUUGACCGAACGACAACAAUGGUUUCUCCUCUUGAUAAACAUAGUGAAACAACACCUCACUGGUAGGUGGGCCAGGGAGACAUCUUUGCUCUCGAGUAACAGAGUGAAACCACAACAUAUCAGGUUCGGGUGGCUAGGAUGCAACUCGGUCGACCAGGAACAACACUCGAGGCCUUGUUAUCGAUGGGUAAAGAUAUCUAAAAUCUUCAGAGCGGAUAAAAGAUGCCCAUUCCUUCAAGUUUCUCCACUUUUUUCAUCCGGUUACUAGGAUUGUUUAUUAGUUUAUAUAUGUUAGGAUUCCAAAUUGUAAUCAAAUUAUGUAAUGUUAUUAUUGUUAUUAUUAAAAGUAUACUAUUAUCAUUGGCUAUAGUAGUAUUUUCAUAGAACUUACAAACGUGAGACAAAACGGUAAAAGAACAAUAAACAAAACCAAAUAUGAUAAAAGAUUGAUCGCAACAAAAAUAAAGCAAUGAGGCAAUUGCAAAUCCAAAUCCUUUGCCGCCUCUGUUUUCUGUUACCGACUAUUUAAAGGUUUUUAAAAAGGUUUUCAUUUUAAUAUUGUGUAAUUAAUACGUCCAAACUAAUUAUUUUGUUUUCUUGUUACUAAACUAGCAGAGAGAUCAUUUGGUACCAAGAGCAUGACUUGGAAGGUUUUGUUUUUACAUGACAUAUACUUAUGAUCCACUUGUCUUGAGUUUCAUCGUACACGUUUUAACAGUUUAAUCCUUCAAAUAAAACUAAAAAUCAAACGUCAAAAUAUAAAUAACACCUUAUAUAGUUUUCUCACAUUUUUUUUUUUUGGGAAUUCUCUUAAAUACCACAAAAAUGGGUAUUUUUUUUUUCUCCAAAAAUAUCAUUAUGAAGUUUAUUUUCCAAAAAUACCACUAGAUUACAAUUUUUUCCAAAAAUACCACAAAACUAAAACUUAAAUUUUAACAUUCAAAACUAAAUUCUAAAUCCUAAACACUACAUAUUACCCUUAAAAACUAUACCCUAAAUGAUAAUACAAUAAUAAAAAAAUUAAAAAAAAAAAAAUCAUCGCGAAAAAAUAUUUGUCGAUAUAUUAUUCAAUUUGACCAUUUUUAUAGUAGAAGAAGAAAUAUACGUAAAAAUUAUAAAACAUUUGCAUACAUAAAAAAUAUAUACUCAUAUUUUUUUUUUUACUGACCACCCCAAAACGGAUUGAGUCGUAAAAAAUUUAUUCAUAACUCUCUUUACAAUAUUACCGUGAUUUUAACAAACUAACCCGUGAAAACCGUAAUUUACAUAGUUUGAUAAAUAAUAUAGUUUCUCGGUAAAACUUAGUUCGUAUGAUUUUUUUUUAAUCAAUCUUUGAUUAAUAAAUUUUGUAUAAACCACCAAAUUUUGAUUUAGUCAUCUAAUUUAGGAUCCGUAAUUCACAAAAAGUUAAUAACUUUUCCAUAUAAUUUGAAAUCAUAUUUCUGUGAGAUUUUUAUUACAAAGUAUUUAAUUGUAAAACUUAAGUGGUGUGUAUCAUGUUCUAACCCAUUACAAAAAUAUCAAUUAAAUUUAAUAUAUAAUUUAACCCAUUGCAAAAUUAUCAGUUAUUUUAUAUAUUAAUAAUAUUUGAACCUUAUAAAAUGUAACAACCAAUCCCGUGGGACCCUCUGCCAUAUGGCACACCUCGCCACAUGGCAGCUACAAGCGCUGCAGCACAUCGACCCUAACCUCUCGCUUGUAGCUGCAAUAUAUAAAUUUUGUGAUUUUGUAUUAUAGAAUGAUUGAGUACGAUAUUCAAAUUUAUAAUUAACGAAAUACAUUUGUUUAGUAACUACCAAGCAGUAUAAAUUGUCAUCUUGUAUCCAAUUUUAAUAAUUUUUAAUACAUUUUCAAAUAAAAAGUGAUGUUAUAUUGUUAAUUUUUUUUUUAUCUAGGUACACUUUUAAAUCACCCUAAAAAUAUCUUUUUUUUUUGGUAGAAUAAAAAUAUCUUGUUUAUUAUAUCAUCUGAACUUAAAAUAUCUCGUUAAAAUAUUAGUGCUAAUUUACUAAUUUAAACCAUACACUACAAACAAAUUUACAUGUUAAAACUUAAAACAUACAUUUUGGUAGUUACAGAACCGUUGUUGGUGAACGAGUAUUGAAAAUCAUAGGUUAAGUUACAACUAUCUAUGAAUUUUGGGUUUUACUUCUGAUAUGAAAUUUGCCAAAAAAAAUUCCAUAUACUUGAACAUAGUUUCAUCAAAAGUAAAAAGACAGCAAUAACAUAGACGACAUGAGCAUGUAUAUGUAUACCUUCGUCUUGAUGAGUAGGAGCAACUUGUUGAAUAGGAUCUUGUGGGUUAUAGACACAAGGAUGGCUAUCAGUAGAGCCCAUAUUAUCGUGAGAAUUGCUUUGUUGGUUUCCGAUUACUUGAGUCAAGGCCGAGACCAUAACACGCAUGUCGUAUUGAGAUUUGGCCGAGCAUAACUACAGUUAAGAAAAAAAAUUUUAGUUAAUAGUAUAGCAGAAAUAAUAAUCUACAUAUAUUACCAUUGUAGAAGCCAAUACGAUUAGGAGCAUUCUGGAUUUUUUAUUCAGAAGUUAUGUAUAGAGUUCCUUUGUGAUGAAAAAAUUAGGUGUGAUAUCCAAUCGGGUAUUUAGUAUUUAGGUAAGAAAUAUCCCAUUCAAUUAUUGUGUAUGUGUGAAGAUGUAUUGAUGUUGUUACUGGUUAUUAGACUCAAGAGAAAUGAUGAGAAGCAACGAGCAUGUUUAAUACAACCAUAAGUGCAUACACAGAUGUAAUGAACAAGUUUGAUAUAUAUGCAAUCAAAUACAGAUGCAGUGAUGCAGUGAACAAAUAUGUUGGUUGUACAACCAGAUACAGACACAGUAAAGUGAACAAGUUUGGUACAACUUCAUGUAUAGAGAAUGAUGUUGUGACUCAUGAGCCAGAGAUUCAGAGAAUCAUGAACAUCCAAAACAUCUAAAUGUAAGGUCACAUGGAAUGAAGUGACGCGUUGAACAUUGGAGUCUUACUGAGAAUAUCCAAGAAGUAAGAGCUCAACCAAUCAUGUUUUAAGCUCAUAAGAACAAGUCAUGCAUAAGCUGCUGAGUAAACCUAAAAGUGCUUCAGAGCAGAAUGAAGGAAGCAGCUGUGUUAUACUAGAGCAGAAAUAUGUUUUCUAGUUGAGUAAACUUGAAGUGAGGCAGAGAAGAAAACAGAGCAGUCAAUGGAGUGCAACAUAAUGAAAGAGCUUCAAGUUGCAGCAAACAAGGGAGUGAACGAGUAUCAGGGGAACAAUUGUGACAUAACAGACAAGGUUCAAAGUGUCAGUGGCUGUGUUCCAUAACAGAGACGGUGAAGUCUCAAACAGAGAAGGGUCAAGUUGACAGCAGCUUGUACAAAAGCAUGGGUCAAGUUGACAAAAGAGCACAAGCUAUUAUCCAUAAGAGAAAAGGGUGAGCUUGGGAACUUAAGGUUUUGGAGAACUCUAAAGAGUAUAAAAAGGAAGAGGUGGGUACAAGAAAAGGUUGCACACCUAGGGUUUCUUUUUAUAUGCACACUUUGUGUGUGGUGUUGCCCCAUCAACAAAAGAAAAAUUGUUGAUGGUUUUGUAAAGGAAUCACACUCGAAAAAACAAUGAGUGGUGAUUGCCUUGAAUUAUCUAGUUAAGAGUAGUAGGCACAAGUGUGUGCUAGAUAUUGGAAAAUGUGACUUUUGCGUUCUUAAGCUAGUAAAUCGUUCUGGACUCUCAGAUAAAAAUAUUAAAUGAGUUAGGGAGAAUGCCUAUCGGGAAACACAACAUAGUAAAUAUCUGAAAAAUUAGAAAACCCAUUAUCUUCAUAUCUUGUAUCCAAUCUGAAAUACAAAACAAUGAAAUAUGUCCCAUAUCGGGGUUGUCCCGUAUUCUUCCACCCACCUGACUAUUAAACCUAUUCAUUUUAAUUGCGAAUGACUGCUGAUUUGUUCGGAACUAGAAUUUACCCCGUGCUAUACCACGGGUCCAUAAUUUAAUAUAUUUGUUUGGUUGGUUUUUUCGUAGUUGUUUUAAAUAGUCUAGUUUUAUACGUGUUUAUUUCAUUUAAUUUUAUAUAAUUUUAUGAAUUUGUAUUAUAAGUAGAUUUAUAGAUAUAUGUGGUCAACCCGCGGUACACCGCAUCAUAAUUUUGUUGUAAAACAAAUUAUAUUUUAACUUAACCCGUAAAAAUAUAUUAUUAUAGACAACCCGUAAAAAAAUAUAAUUCUAUUUAUGUAAACUCAAACCACGAGUCCAUAAUUUAAUAUAUUUGUUUGGUUGGUUUUUUUGUAGUUGUUUUAUAUAGUCUACUUUUAUACGUGUUUAUUUCAUUUAAUUUUACAUAAUUUUAUGAAUUUGUAUUAUAAGUAGAUUCAUAGAUAUAUGUGGUCAACCCGUGGUACACCGCAAAAUAAUUUUGUUGUAAAACAAAUUUUUAACCCGUAAAAAUAUUUUAUUAUAUACAACCCGUAAAAAAAUAUAAUCCUAUUUAUGCAAACUCAAAUCCGUCCAAUCAUAUUUAUGUACAAUUAUUAUAUUUUAAAAAAUUUAGAGUUAAAAUAUUAAUAAUACUUUAAAAGAAAUGUUAUAACAUUAGGGCAUUAGUAAGAGUUUCUAUAAUAUUUUAAACCUUUCUAAUAAAAUUUUUAAUAUUUUAAAACUCUUUAAAAAUUUAUGUUUCUUAAAUAUAUAACUGGAUUAAACAGAAUAAUUUUUUUAAAAAUUUGGAUGCCUAAGAAACCAAAUUUCAUGCUCAUUUGUAGUUGGAAACAUAUAGUCAUAUUUAGGGAUGUUAAAAAGAGCUUGUAUGCCCUGUUCAACCCUGGCCCUGUUUAGCCCUGAAUAUAAAAUGGCUUUGUAAAAUUAAUAUUAAAGGGCUGAACCCUUUCCAGCCCUGGUUCUGUAUUUUUUUUUUCUUUCUUAAUAAGAAGUAAGGUUAUUAAUUAUUAAUUAUAUUUCAAUAAAUCCUCAAAAAUCAGAAUACGGUAUAACAUAAUCUGCAACUUAAAUAUAUUCAAAACCAGAUACCAUGAAAGUUCUUCUUCCUGCAAUGUUCUUGAUAGCAAGCUUAAUCAAAUCACUAACAUGCUUUAAAGAAGCCAAAGGAAAGAAUAAUACCUCUUGUCUAAAAGAUGUAAUGAUCUCUUCUGAAUAAUCUUGUUUGGAGAACACCUUUACAGCCACAUCCUGCAUUGGCAUUAGCAACUCUCAGUAAUUUACAUUUUUAUGUUUAACGUGAACAUUAAACAUUAAACACUAAAUUCAUAUCUAAUUCACUGAACCCUCGGAUUCAAAGACACUACAUAGAUAAAGCAUAUCAUAAGACCCAUUUGUGCAAAAUAAACAUCACUCAUGAUUGCAAAAGUAACCUAGACGUUCUGCUUAUAACAAGGCUUACCAGUUCUUAAUUACCAAAACCAAACAUUAAAUUAAUCAAGGGGAUACAACAGGAAGACAUAUAAAACUAACAAGAAGAAAAGGGUUUUAUAAGAACUAACCAGAGGAGAAAAGGGUUGCCUAAGAUCUCCCCCAAGAUUGCAACUUUGUGAGCAGAGAGACAGUAAAAAAAGUUCCAGAUCGAGAUCUACACUAGAGCAAGAACGCAUCAGUUUAGAGUAGGAGACAAGAAGCAUUAGCAAAGCAAAACUAAAUUUAUUUAGUCCAUGAUCCAUGGUCGCAAGUCUAAAUUUCCAUGAAUAACUUUAACCAAGUCACAUAAACUUUUUUCGUCAGAUCAUGUGCAUAGCUACGAAAUGGAAGAUAUACAAUGGUGUAAGCAUUAGAAUUUUGAAGUUUCCAUCAAUAUCCUUAUCACAUAAACUCUGAACUUGACUCAAAACCAUAUCUAACAUGAAUAUUUGUAUUAGAUGAACUCUUUAUGAGUAACUUGAAUAUUUGUAUUAGACAGAGUAAACAUAUAACAUGCUUAAUAUUCAUAAUACACAAUAUCAAAGAUGGUUCAUAUGUGACAGUGACCCAAAGUUCCAUUUCCUAAAACAUCAGUAUUUCUAACACAGUGAAUUUUUUGAUGCCCAAAUCCAGAACUACACAACUACAUCCCAAUUCACCAACGCAAAGGAACGAGAAAUCAUAAGGUCUGAUUCAAUUUCUCUACUUCAAUCUAUUUGAACCAUUUAUGGAAUCAAACACAAACAUCUGGAGAGAACGAAAAGCUUUUGGGAAAAUGAAAUGAAAAAAAAACACUUACAUUUUAGGAAUGAAACGAAGAUGAACCAAUGGUGAGGGGAAGAGGGAGGAAGACGAGCAAAAAUGGCAAAACUGAUGCGGACAUCGAUUAUCCUGUCCAACCCGCUGAACUAGAUCAAGUACCAGAUCCUGUACCACACCCUGUACCAGUCGUCCCAGUAGGUCCCAUGACUCGUUCAAAGUCUAAACAACUUAGAAAGAGGUUCAACCUAGCUGUACAAGACAUUGUGAGCUCACUAGAGCUGAACUACGUCAACUGGUCUGUACCACCGUUACUCCAUCACGACGAAUAUGAUCCCAUCGCCGAGGAAGAGCUUGCUGAAGCAUUCACCCAAAUGAGUCUUGAACAUACCAUUUCCCCAGGUAUGAAUUCUCCUUUGACAGGUCAAGAAACAUCUAGAAUCCAAGAGAAGACAAUGGAGUCACAAGAGACGAGCAAAACAAGCUUCACCUUCGAGAGUGAUCGAGAGAGUGAAGAUCAAGAACAAGACAUCAAGGACUUGGAAGAGCUUCAAGAGACUGAUCAAGCUACCCAAGAGAAACUCCAAGAAACCAUCUACUUCAAGAAACCAACAAACAAACAUGCACCUGACAAGACCCCUGAAGUUGAUCAAGACGUAGUUCAGAGAACAUCGAUUGGGCCUAGAUCGCAUCCAGGUAAGUUCUAUUCAAUAUUUUUGAUAAUUGCAGGUCCAUUAAGCCCCAACAACGGCUAGGAGACGUGCUCAUCACGAGGUUUCAAGUUUGUUUUAGUAUUUUACUUAUUUUCUUUCCAAAAACAAUGGCUUUGUAUUUGUAAUUUUAUUUGUUUCCUUUGUUGCAUUUUUACAUUUAUUUUGGCCUUAGGGCUAGCUGAAGGACUCUUAUAAAGUCCCCCUGCAGCAGUUGUACGAGUUUUUUACCCUUGAUUAUCAAUAAAGAACCGAACUUUCUUCAGUUCUUCUCUUUAAGUGUUCUUAAGAGAAUAAGCUUGUUCUUUGUCUUGUGUGUGUGAUUCCACAAGGCUAAGAUCGUGUACUGUAUCAGAGACCAAUCAAAUCUCUGUGGUGUACUUCAAUCCGCCAGCACUUCCCCUUCAUUCGAUCCCACACGAGAGAAGCGACCGCCAUCGUGUCAGAUCUACAUCAACGACCAUCUUUCCUACACAAGAGAGAAGCGACCGCCAUCUUGUGUAGCCAUCAUAUCUAUCCUGAUACAAGCUCACCACCGAGUCUUGUAUCAUCUGGUAUCAGAGCCUCACGCUCUUCCCUUGCCAUGUUUACCUUUUCCAUCUUCUUUUGAUAGUUUUGAAUUCUAGUUUUGUUUUAUUUUUCAAAAAAAAAAAUAAUAAUAAUUAAGAACCCUAGUUUGCUGCAGUCUUGUUUAUGUAGGUUGUUUAGUUUUAUUUUCCUUAACAAAAAAAAAAAUUGUCACUAUUCUUUCCUUAAAUCGUCUGCUUUAGUCUUUGAUUUAGUUUUUGUACUAGUUAAAGGUUUUCGUAAAAAAAAAAAAAAAAAAAAUAUUUCGUUUUUAAAUUUUUGCGUCAUUAUCUUUGUUAGCUAGUAUUGUUUAAGUAUCUUAAAACUUAUUUAAAUAAAAAAAAAAGGUUUUCAUUUUCUUGUCUAAUUCAGCACGUCCAUCAGUUUCUCGUUUCUAAAGUUUUCAUUUUCGAUUUCUGUGGUACGUUGAUUUCUUUGUUGUUUUUGUCUAAGUGCAGG
This 332251-nucleotide long non-coding RNA is filed under the name Capsella rubella. Its description in RNAcentral is "long non-coding RNA (CRUB_LNC003032)". The stretch from base 121192 to 121298 matches the Rfam family "Plant small nucleolar RNA R71". Lineage: Eukaryota; Viridiplantae; Streptophyta; Magnoliopsida; Brassicales; Brassicaceae. The record is from RNAcentral.